This 332093-nucleotide long non-coding RNA is filed under the name Malus domestica (apple). RNAcentral's name for it is "long non-coding RNA (MDOM_LNC014959)". The stretch from base 255313 to 255385 matches the Rfam family "tRNA". The record is from RNAcentral. Lineage: Eukaryota; Viridiplantae; Streptophyta; Magnoliopsida; Rosales; Rosaceae.
GGAAUGGGUGCUCUGGGAACGUCAUUUCAAAUGCUGUUUGAUGCUGUAAAAUCAGUGCAGGAGGAGAAUACAAUGUUCCAACACCUCCUCGGAGACAUCAAAUCCACACUGAACUCUCUACAACCACUCAUCAAAGACAUCGAAAAGUAUAACUCCAAGGAGGGACUGGAAAAUUAUGCAAUACAGAUGGAGGAAGGAGCAAAGCUUGUUCAGAAGUGCAGCAAAGUAGGCGUGUGGAGAAAACACACAUACACCAAGAAGCUUAGUCAACUGGACAAAUCUCUCCGAAGAGUGUUUGAUGUGCUUAAACGGCAGGGUAUGAGGGAUGCGAGGGAGACGUUAGUUUCUUUGAGGAGUAUCCAGACGGUGCUCUCUCGAAUAGAAGAGAGUUUGAAGAUGAAAAAUAAUCAGCCUGAAAUGGUUAAAUGUUCGUCUGCGGUGCCUGAAGCGCCAUCAGUUACAGUCGGGUUAGAUUUACCGUUGAAGGAGUUGAAGAUGAAGCUCCUUAAGGAUGAACAGGUGUCUAUGCUUGUGCUGACUGCUGCUGGAGGAUGCGGGAAAACCACCUUGGCUAAAAUGUUUUGUCAAGAUCAAGAAGUCAAAGGUAUGCUAAUUAAAAAGUAAUACACCGUGUAGAGGAUUAUGCAAGUAGAACUACGCGCUAGGGCCUAUAAAAUGUCCGCUAUACUCCCUCCAAACAUACACAGUAACCAAAAUUUGUUAAAAGAAAAACAACGAAGGGGACAUGAAACUAAAGCGCACGAAAGGAAUAUAAGAAAGAUUAGAAAGACCUAAAUGGGCAUGCCCAACAUAUAACAAGUGGUAGUGAUAUGAACUUGACAUGAUUUUCUUUGUACUAAAUGUAAGUUAAGCUGAUGCCUUCCUCUUAGAGUUAACAAGUCUUGCACUGAGCUACCGCUUGAUUACUUACUUGAUCUCAGAAUUGCAGACAUAUCUUGUCAACCUUAUAUUAACACCUUUCCUACAUUCUGUUUGGUUAGAUACAUUCAAGAACAACAUCUUCUUUGUCAAUGUCUCGAAAAAGCCCAACUUGGACCUUAUUGUACAUGAACUAUAUCAACGGAAGGGGUUCGAGCUGCCUGCUUUCGAAAACGAAGUCAUGGCAGCUAACUGGUUGCAACAAUUUCUGAAGGAAUCAAGACAAAAUCCUCUACUGUUUGUCCUGGAUGAUGUUUGGUCAGGAUCAGAGUCCCUUCUUGAGAAGUUUGAUCAAUUCAAGUUUUCAAAUUGCAAGAUUUUGGUCACUUCAAGAUUUGCAUUUCCAAGAUUCGGUUCUCCUUAUCAUUUGGCACCAUUGAAUGAUGAAGAUGCAAUGGCUCUUUUUCAGUAUUCUGCAUCCUCGGAGGAUAAGAGCUCUUAUACUUAUGAAGAUCCUUCGAGAAAGGUGAUUUCUUAGUCCACAACACACACACACACACACAUAUAUAUAUAUGCUUAUUUAUGCCUCAGAAGAGGGUAAAGAAAUAACGUUUGAGCAUCCACACACGUUAAUGAACUGUGAAGAAUGAAGUAAGAAGAAUGAAAGAGUAGACAGUUUACAAUUUUAUCAUCUUUAUGAAUCCAUUUAGAUGAUUUUCAAGAAUUUAAUCAAAUAAUAGUAAUUGAAUUCUUUUUGGAUAAUUAAAUUGCAGAUUAUCAAGCGCUGUAAGGGAUGCCCACUUGCCAUUGCAUUGGUCGGGAGAUCACUUCGCGGCCAGCCUAUAGAAAUCUGGCACAAAAGAGUAGUGGAAUGGUGCAAAGGUUCAUCUAUUCUUGAUUCUGACAAGGAUUUACUUGCUUGCCUCCAAAGCAGCUUAGAUGCCUUGGAUAAAGAGAAGGCUAUCAUCAAGGAAUGUUUCCUCGAUCUAGGUUCUUUUCCGGAGGACCAAAGAAUUGCUGCUGCCACCCUCAUUGAUAUGUGGGCGGAGUUAUAUGGUCUAGAUGAAGAAAUUCUGACCAUUGCCAACCUUCACGAGCUCACCACCCGAAGUUUAGCUAAUCUUGUUGUCACAAGGUAUGCAGGCUGCUCAUAAUUUUUUCUAUUUCAUUAUGUAUGCCGAACAAAUCAUUAAAUAAAUUAGUAUUGAUCAUCCAGACAUGAGGGGGAGACAGAUGGCUAUUACGCUGAACACUUUGUCACCCUGCACGGCAUGCUUAGAGAGUUGGCGAUCCAUCAGGCGAGUCAAGACCCAAUAGAACAUAGGAAACGACUAUUUUUAAAUAUCUGUGGGAACAAACUUCCUAAGUGGUUGACAGAACAAAAGUAUCAAGCGAUCAAGGCUGGGCUAUUAUCUAUCUCAACAGGUUCAAUCAAUCUCUCUUUAGUAAAUACUUAUACGCUCGGGACACACGUGUGCACACACACCCAUGCUCUUUCUUACUAAGACUUCAAUCGGACUUCGACACAUUUAAGUUCAACCCACGCUAACAUCUUAAAGCUUAUUGUUUGCAGAUGGAGCCUUCUCAGCAAAAUGGCCAAACAUGCAAGUACCCGAAGCAGAGGUUCUAGUUCUGAAUUUUCAAACAAAGAACUAUGCCUUACCUGAGUUUGUGGAGAAAAUGGAUAAACUAAAGGUUCUAAUACUAAAUAAUUACGGUAUGUUACCUGCUGAACUAGAUAAUUUUGAACUACUUGGUUCGCUAUCAAAUCUUAAGAGAAUUAGAUUAGAACGUAUUUCAAUUCCUCCCAUAAGCAAGGUCCUUAAACAGUUGAAAAGCUUGCAAAAGAUCUCUCUGUUCAUGUGUGAUAUCGGCCAAGGUUUCGUCAAAAAUUUAGAUGCACUGCCAAAUCUAGUGGAAUUGAACAUUGAUUAUUGCCAUGAUCUGGUGCAACUUCCUCCCAACCUUUGUGACCUUGUUCACCUUAAGAAGCUUAGCAUCACCAACUGUCAUAAGCUUUCUGCCUUGCCUGCAGACAUCGGAAAGCUAGUCAAUCUUGAAGUGUUGAGGCUUAGGUCAUGUGCAGAUUUGUUAGAGUUGCCAGGCUCGAUUAGGAACCUUAAAGUUUUAAAAUUUCUCGACAUAUCUGAUUGCUUUAGCGUAAAGGAGUUGCCAGAGGACAUUGGUGCAAUGUGCAGCAUGGAAAAGAUCAACGUGAGCCAGUGUUCUAGACUGAAAGGGCUGCCUGCUUCUGUUAUGGAUCUUGAGCAGUUGAACGAAGUGAUAUGCGACGAGGAGACGAAAACUUUAUGGGAACCCUUCUUGCCAAUUCUCACAAACAUGCGCAUUAAGGUGAUCAAAGAAGAUAUCAACCUAAAUUGGCUCAACAAGCUUCCACCCUAAGGCUAUGGCCCUUCCAUCAAUGAGUGUUGGUGCAAUGUAUGCAGUAUGAUUGUGUAUAAUGUUAUUUUUCCUUUGUAAUUUACUUCUAUUUUAUGUUUUAUGUGUUUUUAAAUAACCUGGCAGCACUGUAAAUUAUUGUAAGGCCAAAUUGAAUAAAUGAUCCCUAUGGUUAUAAGGUAUUUGGAAGAUAACCUCUGUGCUUAAAAAUCUUAGAUUUAAACCCCUAUGGUGUACUCCAUGAAAAACUUUAGUCCAAAAGUGAUUUUUCCGUUAACUAUAUGUUAAUAUAUGGGUAAAAUUGUACUUUGACAUGUGCACUCUUCCUCGUCUCUCUGCUCUCUCUUCAACACAUCCCCCACCAGUACCUCUUGAAGCAGGUUACUGAAACGCUGCUCCUUCACGUCAACCGGCAAUAAAUCAUCAAUCUCUUUCUCAAUAUCAAAUACUGUCUCAUCAACUGGUGCAUCCAUAUAACUUCCCAUACUUGAAGCUGCCUGGAUGGUUGAUUCUUUUAAUUCAUUUAGUCCCUACAAUACAAAUGUGUUUCAAUUAAAGCACGAUGAUCACCUGGUAAUUAUUAUUGUUGAUGCACAAAACUGGAGGGGUCUUGGAAUAACGUAAAUCCGACCGUGAAUCUGCAAGAAAGUAAAGAACAUAAGAUGUAUCGUGGUUCACCCCAAUUUUUGGGCUACAUCCGCACUGAUGUUGAUAUUGUUUCACUCUGAAUGAUGAAUAUACAAGAAGGCUAGAGCCAGUGUGCUGUCUAGCCUAUUUUCUCUCUUCCCUUGGCCUGAAACUUGACCUCCCUCAAUGAAGAGAGUGAGGAGUCCUUUUAUAGAAUAAGGGCUCCUCACUUAUUACAUAUUUGCCCCUUCAUUUAUUACAUAAUUACAUUUGAGUCCCCCGAGUAUUUAUACAAGAUCUAAAUACAGAGGCCCUAAGUAUGGUACAAACAAUAGUCUCCCAAGUCUUCAGUCAAGAGAGUCUUUUGGCUGGAGACUUGAAAUUCAGUCCAUGUGUGGGCCGAAGUAACUAGAUGUCGUCUAGAACUGAAUACUCGAUAUGAGGCGGUGCUCAAUAUGAAAUGAUACUCAACUAGAAGUAGCACAUGUUGCGAGGCUGCUCGACUUGUGGCUUAUAUUGCCUUGGUUGGCUCAGCUUGUGGCGUUGAAUGUGAAGGAGUCCCUUUUAUAUAAUAAGGGCUCGCUCCUCAAUACAUAAGUGAUGGGUUAGGAGUGAUGCUCGUGGCGAGGCGGUUGCUUAGCAGGCGGCGAUGUUCUCUAAUGAUGGUGAAGGAGUCCCUUUUAUAGAAUAAGGGCUCGCUCCUCAAUACAUAAAUGAUGGGGUAGAGUUGAUGCUCGCGACGAGGCGAUUGCUCAGCAGGCGGCGAUGCUCUCUAAUGAUGGUGAGGGAGUCCCUUUUAUAGAAUAAGGGCUCGCUCCUUAAUACAUAAAUGAUGGGUUAGAGUUGAUGCUCGCGGCGAGGCGAUUGCUCAGCAGGUGACGAUGCUCUCUAAUGAUGGUGAGGGGGUCCCUUUUAUAGAAUAAGGGUUCGCUCCUCAAUACAUAAGUGAUGGGCCAAGAGUGAUGCUUACGGCGAAGCGGUUGCUCAGUUGGCGGCGAUACUCUCUAAUGAAGGUGAGGGAGUCCUUUUUAUAGAAUAAGGUUUCGUUCCUCAAUAUAUAAAUAAUGGGCUAAGUCCCCCAAGUGUUUUUCAUGAGGCCCAGUUGCGGAAGCCCAAUAUAUGGUACAUAGUGUAGUCUCCCAAGUCUUCAGUCAAUAGAGUCUGUUGGUUGGAGACUUCAAAUUCAAUCCAUGUAUGGGUCGAAGUGGCGGUUGUUCGGAGGCGGUCUUUGUAUACCAUGCACUGAAGCUUUGUAGGUGAAGCUUUGAAGCUAGAGCUUUUGUAAAUGAAGCUUUGAAGUCAGAGCUUUGUAAAUGAAGCUUUUGAAACUGAAGCUCUUGUAAAUGAAGCUUUCGAAGCUAGAGUUCUUGUAAAUGAAGCUUUCGAAGCUGGAGCUCUCGAAGCUGGAGCUCUGUAAAUGAAGCUUUCGAAACUGAUUGACAUAAGUGAUGCUCAUGAAUGUUUAUGUUGAUUGACAUGAGUGAUGCUCAUGGAUGUUGACAUGAGUGAUGCUCAUGAAUGUUGACAUGAGUGAUGUUCAUGAAUGUUUAUGUAUGAUUGACAUGAGUGAUGCUCAUGAAUGUUUAUGCAUGAUUGACAUGAGUGAUGCUCAUGUAUAAUUUUGGAGUACUGGACGUACUUUUGAUCACCUGAUUGGUGAUAAUAGUGGCAGGCUGUUGAAUAAUUUUGGAGUACUGAACGUACUUUUGAUCACCUGGUUGGUGAUAAUAGAGGGUGAACCUAAAGUGGAGGGAUAGAGGUUGGAGUUUGAAGCCAUAGGGCCUGGCUCUUUUGGGCAUAUGGGCCUUCGCCCUUCACAUAACAUUCCAGCCUACUAUCAUUUUGCCCUUUUUUUUUUGGCAUGCUGCCUUCUUUCUUUAUUUAUGAUUACCCUCUGGUGGGGUUAUACAGAUGUCUCCAAAAGAUAAGAAAAAGUAAAUCACAUCAUUAAAAAAAAACUGUUGUGCUGGGACUUGGCAACAACGAGAUUUCUCCCUUCACAUCAACCUCAGUGGUCUAGCUAUUGGAGGAAACCUUCACGUGGAGGCAGGUUUGGUCCGCAGGCAUGAUCUCUCAUACUUUGAUAGUACAAUCCCGUGGCUUUUUCAGAAAAUGGGGGGAACAUGCACUCCCCUUCAUGAUGAAAGUUUCAUCUUUUUCAACAUGUUGAUGGGCAUCUUCUGGUCCAACAUGAAGUGGAGACGGGGGACCUUGGUGGGCAUCUUCUUAUCUUAAUCAUGUUAUCCUGUGGGAUAGUGGAAUAGUGGAACAUAAUAAAUAAAAGAGGUAUUUAUCAAUUUCCCCCCUGAACUUGUGAUUAUUGGCCAAUUUCCCCCCUCAACUCUCAUAAUUAGACAAUUUCCCCCCUUAACUUUAAUUUGGCCAAUUUCCCCCCUCAACUCUCAUAAUUAGUCAAUUUGCACCCUACUGUUAAUUUUUUAAUUUGAUCAUAAUUAAACAAGUGUGUGUAAGAAACUAAAUAAGAUGUAUGUUAAUCAUUUUCCUAAGUCUUUAUCCUAUUACAAAUAGAUUAAAAUUUAGAAUUUUACAAUUUAUCAUAGAUAGUAUUAUUAGUCAUAAUAAAUCAGUAUGGAGUAAUUUUAUUUGAUUUUUUACUAUACAAAAUUGAUAACGAAACGGAUUGAUGUGUACAUUUUUGUAUGUGAAUACAAUUUUCUUUAUAAAAGUGAGAGCUAAGUUCAAGUAAAUUGCGGAGAAUCGAGCUUUAGUGCAAAAAUGGCUAAUCAAUUCAUAAUUUUCGACUCCUUAUUAAGAAUAACCCAUUUUAUUGAAAUAGGUCGGAUCCAUGAGUUUAGGAUUAUUAUUUCUUCUUCUACAUGCUUUAAACCCGAUUCAUAACUUUUUCUUAUAAUCAACCCAUAUCACAUACUAAUUGUAUUAUGUUUUUGUACAUUUUACCCUAUAUUAUGCAGGUGAGUUUAUGUUAAUUUUAGUACUUUGUUGGAAGUUAUUAGAAAGAUUGAAAGAAAACAAAAAGAAUAGAUGAAAAAUUAAAAAAAUUAACAGUAGGGUGCAAAUUGACUAAUUAUGAUAGUUGAGGGGGGAAAUUGGUCAAAUUAAAGUUGAGGGGGGGAAUUGACUAAUUAUGAGAGUUGAGGGGGGAAAUUGGCCAAAAUUAAAGUUGAGGGGGGGAAUCGGCCAAUGGUCGCAAGUUUAGGGGGGGAAUUGAUAAAUACCUCUAAAUAAAAUAAAGCAUUCGUUGGGGACCACCAUCAUAGGGACCCGAACUCUCGAAUUCCAGAUUGUCGCACGCACUUUUGCUUUAUUCGUCGGUGUUCGUACCAUUGGUCCCAGUUGCCCUCCAUUUUUUGUAGGGGAAACAUAACUUCCACCAUUGUUUUCCUCCUCUGUUCAAAAACAGAUGGCGCAAAAUGUCUGUCUUUCUUGACACUUUUUGAAGCUGCUGCACCAACAGCUGAAUGAGUAUUUGGCAUUACCCUAAUAAAUUGGCUAUGACCUGCCCAUUCCUGCAGAUCUUUCAAUUUGAUACCAGCAUCAAUUGAAACAAGCAACUUCUUCCUGGAAAGCAGCGGCCUCAACUGCAAAACUACAUCUUUAACAACUUGAGGUUUGACCAAGAAAAUGACAACGUCAUUCUCUUCCACCACGUCGUCGUUUUUGGAGAUGAGAUGGACUCAAGAGGACUCGAAGGCUUGGCGUCGACUGGCGUCAGGGUGGAAGAUAGCGAUGCGAUUGGGAGGGAGAACGCCCGAUCAGAUGAUUCAUCUGGCGAUGCUCUCGGUCAUUUUACCAGCUCCGACAAACCCUAGCUUUUAUGUUUCCGUCGGGAUGGGUACCGCCUCCAUGGCUGCAAUGCGACGUCGUAUCGUUGCUAAGUCUUCUGAUUCAGUUUGCUUAGAUUGGGGAUUUAGGGUUACGGAAGAGAGAGGAGAAGCGGGGGUUUAUCAUUCGAUAAGCCUGUGAGCGUCUUUGGGGGAGAGCUUAGGGGCGAAGGCAGGAUCCGUGUCCAGGACGAUGCCGUUCUCGUCCAGCUUUCGCUUCUUGGUUGAGUCCAUUGGCAGAAGAGCAAGUUUAAACCCUAACCCUUGGGAAGAGAAACAGAGAGUCUAGAGAGAGAGAGCGAGUUGGGAUUUUUUUUGUUUACUAGCAGAGAGAGACCAGGCUCUUCUUGUUUGUGGUCAUGUGGAAUGUAGAGGUAGAAUGGUCGGAGUUUGGGGUUUGGUUUUCUUGGGUUUUUUGCAGAUUCACGGUGGAUAUUGUGGUGAGGUUUCACGGUGGUGAGAUGAAAAAAUGAAAGAGAACCGACAUAGCUUUUUGUGUCGAUUCCCACAGACGGCACUAAAUGUUGAUGCACAAAACCGGAGGGGUCUUGGAACAACGUAAAUUCGACCGUGAAUCUGCAAGAAAGUAAAGAACACAAGAUGUAUCGUGGUUCACCCCAAUGUUUGGGCUACGUCCACACUGAUGUUGAUAUUGUUUCACUCUGAAGGGUGAAUAUACAAGAAGGCUAGAGGCAGUGUGCUCUCUAGCCUAUUUUCUUUCUUCCCUUGGCCUGAAACUUAACUUCCCUCAAUGAGGAGAGUGAGGAGUCAUUUUAUAGAAUAAGGGCUCCUCACUUAUUACAUAUUUACCCCUUCAUUUAUUACAUAAUUACAUUUGAGUCCCAUGAGUAUUUAUAUGAGAUCUAAACACGGAGGACCUAAAUAUGGUACAAACAGUAGUCCCCCACCAUCAUUAGAGAGAGACUCUUAGCCCAUGAAAAAUACUUGAAGGACUUAGCCUAUUACUUAUGUACUGUGGAGCAAAGCCUUAUUUUAUAAAAGGGACUCCCUCACCUUCAUUAGAGAGAGACUCUUAGCCCAUCACUUAUGUAUUGAGGAGCGAACCCUUAUUCUAUAAAAGGGACUACCUCACCUUCAUUAGAGAGCAUUGUCGCCAACUGAGCAACCGCCUCGCCGCCAGCUGAGCAACCGCCUCGCCGCCAGCAUCACUCCUAACCCAUCACUUAUGUAUUGAAGAGCGAGCCUUUAUUCUAUAAAAGGGACUCCCUCACCAUCAUUAGAGAGCAUCGCCACCUAGCAACUGCCUCGCCACCUAGCAACUGCCUCGCCACGAGCAUCAACUCUAGCCCAUCAUUUAUGUAUUGAGAAGCGAGCCCUUAUUCUAUAAAAAGGACUCCCUCACCUUCAUUAGAGAGCAUCGCCGCCAGCUGAGCAACCUCCUCGCCGCAAGCAUCACUCCUAACCCAUCACUUAUGUAUUGAGGAGCGAGCCCUUAUUCUAUAAAAAGGACUCCAUCACCAUCAUUAGAGAGUAUUGCCGCCUGCUGAGCAACCACCUCGCUGCGAGCAUAAACUCUAGCCCAUCAUUUAUGUAUUGAGGAGCGAGCCCUUAUUCUAUAAAAGGGACUCCCUCACCUUCAAAGCCACAAGCCGAGCCAACCAAGGCAACAUAAGCCACAAGCCGAGCAGCAUUGCAACAUGUGCUACUUCUACUUAAGCAUCAUUUCACAUUGAGCACCGCCUCAUAUCGAGUAUCAGUUCUAGACGACAUCUAGUUACUUCGGCCCACACAUGGACUGAAAUUCAAGUCUCCAGCCAAAAGACUCACUUGACUGAGGACUUGGGGGACUACUGUUUGUACCAUACUUAGGGCCUCCGAAUUUAGAUCUCGUAUAAAUACUCGGGGGACUUAAAUGUAAUUAUGUAAUAAAUGAAAGGGAAAAUAUAUAAUAAGUAAGGAGCCCUUAUUCUAUAAAAUGACUUCUCACUCUCCUUAUUAGGAGAGGUCAAAAUUUCAGACCAUGGGAAGAGAGAAAAUAGGCUAGAGAGCAUACUGCCUCUAGCCUUCUUGUAUAUUCACCAUUCAGAGUGAAACAAUAUCAACAUCAGUGUGGACGUAGCCCAAACAUUGAGGUAAACCACGAUACAUCUUGUGUUCUUUACUUUCUUGCAGACUGACGGUUGGAUUUACGUUGUUCCAAGACCCCUUCGGUUUUGUGCAUCAACAAAUAUCAUCAAAUCUUCUAAACUACGGCCUUCUUGCCAUUGCAAAUCAAAGCCACAUGUUUAAUAUAUCAAAAAAUUUGAAAAUUAAAAUAUAUAUUCUUGUCAUACUCGAGAUGAGGCCUCCUGGUAAACCAAAGGCGUCUGCAUUUGUCGAUAGGCAUCUUGCAUAUUUCCAUACAGUUAGAUAAAGAAAAGGUUUUGUGUGAUUACCUGUUAUUUAAGAGUAGCCAAACUCUUUGUAUGCAUUGGACACUGUGGGAUGACUCCAUUUCAUGGAGGAAUUCCAAGCAGACCACACAUUAAAGUAUGCCAUGAAAAGCUCCAAUGAUAUAGAGGACUGGAACAUUGAGCAUGUCCUGUGAGAGGCCAGUCUUUCAAGCCUUUCAAUUCUUGUUGUUCGUAGAAAACAACGAGAGGCCAGUCUUGAAGCUUCCUGCCGAUCUCAAUGACGGCUUUCUUAGAAUUGGUUUGUGAAAAUUCAAAUUACAGAGAGAGUAGAGAAACAAGGAAGAGUGUACAUGUCAAAGUCCAAUUUUAUCCAUGUAUUAACAGAUAGUUAACGGAAAAAUCACUUUUGGGCUAAAUUUGGUAACGGAGUACAUCACAUGGGUUUAAAUCUGAGUUUUUUUAGCACAUGGGCUAUUUUCCGAAUACCUUAUGACCAUAGGGAUCAUUUAUCCGAUUUGGCCUUAUUGUAAUUAUUCACCAUGGCUAUUAUUGUAAAUAACAUGUUUGCACUCCUCAUUGUGCAACUCUUUUAUUGAUUCUCUUUGAUUUAUCCAAUCAAUGGGUGUUUGUAGGGGUGGGUUCAAAAAACCGAAAACCAAAAAAAAAUCGAGAACCGAACCGGACCGAGGCCGAAAAAACCGAAUCGAAAAAAACCGAACCGAAAACUAUCAAACCGAACCAAACCGAUAUAUAUAUAUAUUUAAUUAUUUUUUAUAAUAUUUUAAUUAUAAAAAUCAUAAAAAUAAAAAAAAAUAUCUAAAACCUAGAGGCUUGAGGGUUCGAACCCAAGCCUUUCAGGUUGAAAGGUUUCACUAAAACUAACCUGGCAACGGGUCUUGUUUUGUUAUGAUUGUAAGAUUAAAGUAUUUAUAAAGAUUGAAACCUAUAGUCUUUUGUGAAAUUAGAAAUCAAUAAAACCCUAGCCACUAGUGGUAGCAGCCAUACCUUUUUUAUUUUUCAUUCCCCUCUUCUCCUUUUCGCCCCUCCAUGUCCAUGCCUCCAAUUUCUCCAUUAUUUUCUCUCCGUUUCUCGAUCUUCUCACUCCUGGGUAAGAUCUCUAACCUCUCUUGUUUAUUUAGUUGAUUUAUGGUUUUUUUUUUUUGGAGUAAAGUCCAUGGAGGGAAUCUAAAAUUUUGGUGAUUGUUAUGGUUCGUAUUGCAGAUUUGUUUGAUUUUUGUGUUGUGAGAGUCUCACCCAUUUUUUUCCUUUUGUUUUUUUUUCUCCCCUGGUAUCAUUAUUUGAUUGGUUUUCCUCUUUUUUUGCCUCAGCUGCAGCAAGGGCAGUGACAGCACCACCACCACAACCAGUUGCAGCAACUGCAAUAGCACCACCUCCACCAGCUGUGGUGGUCUUGCCGCCCAACACAGCCAAUAAGUAUGCAGCGACCACUUUCAUCUCUGCUUGAGAUGGCUUUGGAUCUGCGGAGUGUGGAGAGAAAGGGUAAAUUUGCAGCCGAAUGCGGAAAAAAAGUACUUUAAGCUCCAGAUAUUAAAAAAAAUGCAUGAAAAAACCGAAAAAAAAAAUCGAAACCGAACCGUUUAGAACCGAACCCAGCCCUAGGUGUUUGUGCAAUGUAUGCCGGGAUAAGUGCAUGGAAAGAAAAUAAGAGUUCAAAAAUAACAACCCUUUGAUUUAUCCAAUUAAUGAGUGUUGGUGCAAAAUGUAUUAACUUUUGGUUGUUUCUCCACUCUCUCUCUUGCUACACCUCUUUAUCCCCUUCAGUUAAAUAUGCCAUAACAUUACUGUUUUAUUUAAGGGUAAUUUAAAUUAGUAGAUAAAAUUUUGCAAACUAAGUGACAUGGAAAUUGAUAAUUGGAAUAUGACUUAAACGUAGAUAAAUGUGCUUAAUCCUAUUGGUAACAUAUCAUUUAGUUUGCAAAUUUUGUCCUCUUAACAUUACUCAUAUUUUAAAUUAUUUAUUCAAGAGCACAACAUUUUUUUUACUAUUUUAUUUUCAACUAUAUAUGCUACAACACAAAAUUUUAAAAGCAGUGCAAUACCAAAUCAUAUGCACUAGAAAAUUCUGUAUCUUCUCGCCUCCUAAUGGCGCGUCAAAUGUCUUACCCGACUCAUUCGUUUUCUUUGGGUGAAAUUCAUUGCUCUUCGUUAAGUUGUAUAUAUGUGUGCUGAAACCAACAGACAGCUUACAUCACAUUCUUACUUUCUCAUCAAACUAAAUUAACAAAGAGGAUUAAGGGUUAGUUUGGGAUUGUUGUGUUUUGUUGAUGCACAAAAUCAGUGAGGACUUUGGUACAACAGAAAGUGUCAAGUUUGUGACCUUCGUUAGAUUGCUCCAGUCACUAGUGUGGAUAAGUAUGUAAAUGAAUAGAGGCAAGGAAGCAAGUAUAAGGUGUACGUGGUUCACCUAGAUUGGCUACGUCCAAGGAGUCGAGGAGUUCUCAUUAAUUGUGAAGGGUUUACACAAGUAUAUAGGUUCAAGCUCUCCUUUAAUGAGUACUAGUGAAUGAUUUAAUACAAAUGACAUUAGGGAUUAUUGUGGGAGAAUGAUCUCCUUUUAUAAAAGAGAGUUUCUAGCUUUGUUAUGGCUUUGACACGUGUCAUGCUAUGAUUGACCUUUGAUGUUGACAUGUGUCUCCUGUGAUUGGCCUCUUGGUGUUGACACGUGUUACGUUGUGAUUGGCCUUCUGGUUGAAGGGAAACUCUUCUGGGUCCUUGACGGUAUAACGCUGACCGGUGCUUAGUAGUUUCGGGAUUGGGGUCAAGUAUGGUACAAACAGUGCUCCCCUAAGUUCUCGAGUGAGGGAAGCUCCUCGGUUGGGGACUUGUAAGAUCCAAGCCGCUGAGUAAUCACGAAACUUCUAAGUACCGAAGUGUGGUAUUGUUUUCACUUGCCUUAUCUGUCUCAUAGGUAGAUGUGGCAUCUUCUCUGGAAGUACUUUUCCUCUAUCUAGUGGUGGUAUCUUUAACCGAUGGACAUGCAUAAGGUAAUGUAUCAAUUUCACUUGAAGCUUACUUGUAGUUUUGGGCUUGGACAAGCGCAAUACAAACCCUAUAGUAGGAGUCCCCCAAGUCUUUGAGCGAGGAGAUCUGCUGAAAGAGGUGACAGACAAAGUAAGCAAUCAGAGUUCCAAGCAGUCAGUCUUAGAUCAAAAGUUUGAUCUCAUGUUCCGGCUGAUUGUUCUCCUUCUUCUUAUUCUGUAGACAUCAACAAGGACAAAGAAAAUGACAUGGAGAAGAGAUGAUAUAAGAUACUUUUGCUUUUGAAGAAGUAACUUUCCACAUGCUUAUUCUUGAACUGGGCUGGAGGGUUUUCUGGUUUCCUCUAGAGUAUAAGGCUAACUUAAGAAUUUGAGGGUCAAAACAAGUCCAUCAAAUCAAGAGUGCGUUCGACCUUGAUGUUAUGGGAUACUUUUGUUGUUGACAAAGUAAUAGAUAAAUCGACACAUGUUCUGUUGCACUUGUCUCCACAUACUUCCUUGUAUCCUUCUCACUUACCCUAUCUGUUCCUCAGGCAGAUGUGGUAUCUUUUCUGGAAGCACAAGAUGUUGAAGAUGAAUACUCGAGAGAAAUGCCAGGUAAGUAAUCAGGCAAGGGGUUCCAGGCAGUCAGUUCAUGACUGGAAGCUUAAUUCCAAGUGCUGACUGAUUGCUCUCUUUCUCAUUGUCUUGCAGGUAAGAACAAGGGCAAAGGAAAAGACAGGGAAAAAGAAUGAUAUGGGAUACUCUUGCUUUAACCCCGAUGAUAUGAGAUACUCUUGCUCUGGUGUGGCUUGUUUGCAGAGGUAUUAUCGGGGGAAAGAAAGUUGAGUAUUUCGAGAGGCUUCGUUGGAAGUGCCCUCUUAGAUAUGAGGAAGGGUUGAGCAUUUUUGCAGGUCUGACUGUCCGUGAAGGAUGGAGGUAGCCAUAUAUAGGAGUUUCCCCAACAAGUAGUAAUGUUAUUCCUUUACCCUUCUUGGUCAUAGCAAUGUAGUGGGAGCUGCAAGCUUCACGUGUUUUAACUUUGUCAGCACUUUGAAAAAGUGGUCCAUGGUGUCUGGAGAGCUGAUAUUGCGUGUGAAGAUUGCAGACAAGCUUUAUCCAAGGAAAUCUGGCUCUUGAAGCUCAAAGAGUGGUGCCUUUUCAGUUUUCGGGAAAGAAGAUAUGUUAAAGAUUUGGCUCUCGAAAUUUGGAGAGCGUUGCCUCUUCGAUUUUUCAACAAGCAAUCCUAUUGGGAGUCUGGCUUUAAAUAUUCAGAGAGCGGUGCCUCUUUGAUUUUUGAGAAAGCAAUCAUGUUGGGAGUCUGACUCUCGAGAUUCGAAGAGCGGUGCCUCUUCGAUUUUUGAGCAAGUAAUCCUGUUAGGGGUCUGGCUCUCGAGAUUCGGAGAGCGGUGCCUUUUCGAUUUUUUAGCAAGUAAUCCUGUUGGGAGUGUUUUCUCAGAUGUGAGUAAAGGUUGAGCAUUUUUGCCAGUCUGCCUUGCCACGGAGCACGAAGGUUGACACACAUAGGGACUUUCCAGUUAUCAAGCAGUGGUGAUGUUCCUUUACCCUUGUGGGUAAUAGUAGGGUAGCUGGACCUUCAAAUUUUAUGUGGCUAAACUUUGUCAGAGAUCUUUGGCAAAGUUAUCUAGGGUACCCGAGGAAUUGAUGUUGCGCGUAGAGAUUGUCAACAGAUUUUACUCAAGAAAAUCCGCUUCUCGAAAUCCAGAGAGUGGUGCCUCUUCAAUUUUUGAACAAACGGCCCUGCUGCCCUUUCUUUUAUAGGGGCACCAAUUGUGUGCAGGAAGUAUGUUUAGAGAGUUAUUGCUUGUAGGAAUUUUCCCCUUAUUUUUGUACUUUAGAGAUUUAUUGGACCUCAUUUCUCCUUCAUCAUUUCUGAAAAUAUCUGGCCCAUCUGACCGUUGUUUUGACUUGAACUUUGGUGAAGAGGCAGCCAUGCCUCCUCAAGACAACAUAUGGCGCCCAUCUUUCUUAUCCCUUACUGGUUCUCUUACCGAUGGGGACUCUAUGAUGAAGAAUGAUAUGACCGCUACGGUGGUGGCCAGAAACCUUCUCACUCCCAAAGAUAACAGACUACUUUCCAAACGGUCUGAUGAGUUGGCUUAAGGAUUCUCUGGCUCUCAGUGUUUAGUGUGCGGGUUCUGUGUCUAAUAUGGCCCAACGCCUAUUUGCUCGAACCCGUCAAGUUGAAUCAUUGGUGACUGAAGUGAUAAGUCUCAAAUAGGAGAUCAGAGGGCUCCAGCAUGAGAAUAAACAGUUGCACAGGCUCGCACAUGACUAUGCUACAAACAUGAAGAGGAAGCUUGACCAGCUACAGGAAUUUGAUGGUCAGAUUUUACUUGAUUAUCAGAGGUUUAUGGGUUUGUUCCAAAGGCAUUUAUUGCCUUCAUCUUCUGGGGCUGUACCGCGUAAUGAAGCUCCAAAUGAUCAACCUCCAAUGCCUCCUCCUUCUGGGGUUCUGCCCAGUACUGAGGCUCCGAAUGAUCACCCUCCGAUGCCUCCUCUUUCUGGGGCUCUGCCGAUUGCUGAGACUUCUCCUGAGCAACCUUUGUGAAGGCUACCUCUUGUUUGUUUAUUUUGAUUCAUGUAUAUGUACAUAUUUGUAACUUAUCGGAGAUAUCAAUAAAUAAGCUUUGCUUCAUUUCAACGUAUUGUGUUAAAUACACCAAGGCCUCAUUCACUAAGUUCUUUGAAUUUAUUCUUUUGUUGAAGCUUAUAUGUUGAAGCUUUGUGAGUGAAGCAUAUAGGUUGAGGUAGUGCUCCCUUAAUUUCUCGAGUGAGAAAAACUUCUUGGUUGGAGACUUGAAAGAUCCAAAUCACUGAGUAGUCGUGAACCUUCCAAGUACCGAGGUGUAGUAGCAUAUGGUAGGAGUCCCCCAAGUCUCCGGUCGAGAGAGUUGACGAAGGAGGUGUCUUGCUAGUAGCCAAGUUUCCAAAGAAACAAAACUUCACCAUUUUCCUUUCUAAGUGGUAGCCCAAAACUCCUCCUUCAUUUGUAUUUGUUAUGAAAGUUGUUAGGCCCAAAGAAGGGGAGGCCUAGGCCUUUUUUUUUUUUUUUUUUUUUUUGAAUUUUUGAAUUUUUUUUUUCUCGAAUUUUCAAAAAAAUAUAUAUUUUUUAAAGCUUUAUAGGUAAAGCUUUGUAGGGUGAAGCUUUGAUGUUGAAGCUUUGUAGGUGAAGCUUUGGAGUUUGAAGCUUUGUAGGUGAAUCUUUGUGUUGAAGCUUUUGUAGGUGAAGCUUUUGUGUUGAAGCUUUGUAGGUGAAGCUUUUAUGUUGAAGCUUUGUAGGUGAAGCCUUUGAGGUUGAAGCUUUGUUGGGUACCAUGAAUUGAUUUUGCUUCACACUAUCUUGAUGAAGAGUGUGUGAAGCUUUUGAGAAUUGUAGUUGCCCUCCAUUUGUUGAAGCUUUUGUGGUGAAGCUUUGUUGGGUACCAUGAAUUGAUUUUGCUUCACACUAUCUUGAUCAAGAGUGUGUGAAGCUUUUGGCAUUUGUAGUUACCCUCCAUUUGUUGAAGCUUUUGUGGUGAAGCUUUUGUGUUGAAGCUUUAUAGAUGAAGCUUUGAGGUUGAAGCUUUGUUGGGUACCAUGAAUUGAUUUUGCUUCACACUAUCUUGAUCAAGAGUGUGUGAAGCUUUUGACAUUUUGGGGAAAACUAGAAAUUUGAAAAUGUGGGAGAGACAACACAUACAAAUUUUUCUUCCACACUUUGAGCAAGAGAUUGUGGUGCAAGCCACACCUUGUAGUAGUCAAAGGUUUGGAUGAACCAUAUAAAUUGAAUUUGCUUCAAACAGUCUUGAUCAAGAGUGUGUGAAGCUUUCUAUGAGUUGUAGUGUUUGCAUUGUUACAAAGGAGAAAUGUCCGAAGCAGAUGCAAGAGGGCUGAAGAGCUUAAUCUUCGUAUGCCAUGCACUGAAGCCAUUGUUGGCUUGCAAUAAGACCUUGUUGGUGACUAUAACUCUUGUUAGGCAUAAGUGUUCUCCUAGUUGAGUUGUAAAGCUUGAGGGUUUUUGAUUAUUUGUGAAUGCUAGGAGUUCACAUGUACAAGUUGUACCAUUCGUCUUCUGGUUGGUGGAAUGAAUGGUGAGUUGCUUUCAUCACUUUGAUUCAUGGUACGAAGGUGAGUUCCUUCAUCACCUUUUAUCACAUUUCAUCACCUGGUUGGUGGCACGAAGAUGAGUUCCUUCUUCACCUGGUUGGUAAUAAGAGUGGCAAGUUGCCAAAUAAGAUUAGAGUACGGGUUGUACAUUUCAUCAUCUAGUUGGUGGCAUGAAGAUGAGUUCCUUCUUCACCUGGUUGGUGGCAUGAGUGUUAAGUUGCCAAAUGAUAUUAGAGUAAGGGUUGUACAUUUCAUCACAUGGUUGGUGGCAUGAAAGAGAGUACAGGUUGUACAUUUCAUCACCUGGUUGGUGAGAAUAAGGGCAAUGUGUCGAGGCACAUUGUAGCAAGUGUUGAAUGACACAAACUAUGUUGAACCCUUUCGAAGCACAGUUGGCUUAUGUAUGGAUGCGUUGGAAUGUAUUAUGUUUAUGUAUGAAUGUGUUGAAAUGUAUGAUGUUUAUUUAUGAAUGUGUUGGAAUGUAUGAUGUUUAUGUUGAUUGACAUGAGUGUUGCUUAUGAAUGUUUUGCUAUGCAUGAAGGGAUCCAUGCUUUCGAUAUGCGAACCAUGUUGGUUGUAACACUUAGUAUCACAUACUUUGUGUCAAAGUACGCAUGUUGAAGCUCUGAGUUGGAUUAUAGGGGUAGGUCAGUGUAGACCAAGUGUUCCAGUGUUAGAAAUGCAAAAGACUCAGAAGAAGUUGUCUGAAUUCCCUCUUCUUUAAAUAUGUGCCGAAUGGCUUAUGUGACAAAAGAUCUCAAACGGUUGAGAGUCAAAACAUUUGUAAUGUGUAUGCCUUCUUAUAAUAGCAUUUCCUUUAGUACCUAGUCCUCCACUUUGAAAGAGUGAGGCUUGGCCCCAUAGUCAUAAUAGUCGACGGUACGUUCACCCCUGGUUUUCUUGAUACGAACUUUUAUCCCUCUUGUUGUAAUGGGCUUGCUGAGAGUAAAAAUCUUUCCUCUUACCAAGAGACAAAUAUGUUUGGUGACUUAGUGAGUAGCUAAAUGAGGCAGUAGAUGAUGCAAUGGGUGUCUUAAUGGCCAAGAUCUCCUCACUUGGUAGAACUUGACUUCCACUUCCCACUUGUUGAUAGGGGUUAACCAUAUAGGGGUUCCCUUGGUAUGUCCUUGCUUCGGCGGAAGCGUGGCUGUAAGCCUGUGCCAUCACCUCAGAGUAAGUCUUCCAAGUGUUGGCAUUGAUCAUGUACUUGAAGAAACAAUCACGUAGGCUUGUCGUGAAGGCUUUGAGGGCAGUCUUGUCAUCUGCCUCAGCGCAGCGAGAAUACUCAUAGCUAAAGCGACAUGCAUACUCUCAUAAUGACUCGUCCGACUUCUGGCGAAUAGGGUACAAGUCAUUUGCAGAAUGUAAGCGAUCAGUCUGAAAGAUGUGUUGAGAGACAAACAAUUUCCUUAGUUCUUCAAAUGAGUCUACUGUUUCGGGUGGAAGAUGACAAUACUAGUUUAGAGCUCCGUCAGAAAGGGUGGAAGGGAAAAGAAGACAUCGCUCUUCGUCGGUGUGCAUCCGAUAUGCCAUGGUGGACUCAAAGAGGUUAAGGUGUUCAAUCGGGUCCUCCAUUCUAGUAUAGAGUUGUAAACCAAACUUUUGUUUUGUCUUCGCUUGAAGAGGGGUGUCAAGGAUCCUCCUUAUGAUAGGGCUAGGCUUGGGUUGGUUCCAGUUAAGUAUCUCGGCCUGACGUUCGGCCUUCAACUUUUUUACUUCCUCAAGGAGCUGUAGGACAAUGGGGUCCUGAGUAGAGUCAUGUACCACUGGAAUUUUCUUCCGUAAGUCUCCAUUGUCUCUCAGAAGUAGAAAAGUUUAAGUAAGAGCGUGUGAUUUUUCCUUGGACUCGCCGUACUGACUUCUAGGGCGAGUCUGUCGGAAUACCUCCGAGUCCCCUGUACUUUCAUAUUCCUCUGGGACUUGUCGUUCCUUCCUUAGAUGGGCAGCUGGCUUGGGUCGUGGGAGGGGACCGAGUUUUUCAGAAACCCUUGGGUCAUUGAUCUUGGAGCUUAUGUGAAGGGGAUUCUCUCAAUGUUGUUUUAGGAAGUCUCGGCAGUCACGAUAAACAGCUUUCGAUCCUUCCAACUCUUCUGCAAGGAGGUGUCUUCCUCCACUUCUCCUGCUUCAGGUCGAAGCAGCUUGGUUGAGAGAAGUCUCAUGUUGAUCAAUGUUUUGAUGAUUAGCUCGCUCCUCAUUAGGGAUACCCAUGUCGAAGGAAGGUGACCCUCCGUGUUGAGGGGUACCCAGAUGAUGGUUGAUGUCCACAGGGGCAACAAGCUCGCGUGUUUGAGUACGCCUAGUUUCGUGGAACGUCUCGAAGAGCUUCUCAUAUUGUUCUUGGAGGAUCUCAUUCUUUAUUGCUAUCUUGAUCCUCCAGCUUCUCGACUUUAGCUUGAAGAAUGAGCUUCUUUCCUUCUUUCUUUCUUUGCUUCGCACUAGGUGUAAGAAGGGUGUCAUUAUGUGUGUCGUGGCUUCCUUUGCUCCCUAUGUUAGAGAGGGAUGCCUGGUCAAAAGAGAGUGUACAAAUGGUGGAAACCAGCUUGACAAAGUGAAGAAAGUGGGAAUAAGUGUCAUUCCAACAUACGGCGCCAAAUGUUGAUGCACAAAAUCAGUGAGGACAUUGGUACAACAGAAAAUGCAAGUUUAUGACCUUCGCUAAAUUGCUCCGGUCACUAGUAUGGAUAAGUAUGUAAAUGGAUAGAGACAAGGAAGCAAACACAAGAUAUACGUGAUGUAAGGUUAGUAUUUGUAGUGGUAGGUGAUAACAUUUAUUUUAUUCUCUAAGGAAUGUGUUUGGAAGGUUAAACAAUGUCAUUUAAAAAAAAAAAUUAAUGAGGUAUUACAACAAUUGAAAAUAAUUAUUAUAAACACAACUCUACUUUUUUUUAUUAAAGCAGCUUUUAAAAGCAACUUGUGGGCUGCUUUUAAAAGAUGCUCUUUGGAGUCUCUUUGUUUUGGUAAAUAUGUCUCUGGCUUCGGUCGGAAUGGGUGCUUUCAGAACGGCAUUUGAAAUGUUGUUUGAUGCUGUAAAAUCAGUGCAGGAGGAGAAUAAAAUGUUCCAACACCUCUCCCGAGACAUCAAGUUCGCACUAGACUCUGUACAACCACUCAUCAAAGACAUCGAAAAGUAUAACUCGAAAGAGGGACUGCAAAAUUUUGCAAUACAGAUGGAGGAGGGAGCAAGUUUUCAACAACUGUUACAUAAUCUCAGUGGCAUUCUCGAAUAUAGAAGAAAUGUAUAUCGACUAUUGCAGUGAUUUAAUAGAGUUGCCCGCCGAGUUUUGUGAUCUUAGUAAACUAAAGAAGCUCAGUGUCACUAACUGUCAUAAGAUAUCUGUCUUUACCUGAAGGGAUUGGAAAGUCGGAAAAUUUAGAAAUGUUCAGGCUAAGAUCCUGCACAGAACUGUCAAAGCUUCCAACCACGAUGAAGAACCUUGGAAAGGUAAACUUUCUUGACAUAUCUAUUUGCUUCAGCAUCAAGAUGUUGCCCAAAGACAUAGGUGAAAUGAGUAGUUUAAAGAAGAUCAACGUGAGACAAUGCUCAAGGUUGCAAGACCUGCCUCCAUCAGUCAUGGAUCUUAAGCAGUUAAAGGAAGUUGUCUGUGAUGAAGAGAUAAAAUACUUAUGGGAAUCUUUCUCAUUGCGUCUCAACAACGUAAGGAUAAUUGUGGCCAAAGAGAAUAUCAACCUAAAUUGGAUCCACAAGACUCAGUUCUGAUACCUGUGUUUCCUCGGUGAACGUUGCUCUUCAACCUCUCUUGACUUGUGUUUCAUUGUCUUCCUAUUUUAGGCUAUUUCCCAUCUCCUUUUCAGUUUACGCCCUUCGUUUCGUAAAUAGUAGUGUGGGAUAUUAAACCAUUGGUAUUAAAUAUAGAAAUUAUGAAAAUAACACAAGAAUUUCAAUAAUAAUAAUUACAAGGAAAUUCACAACAUCACAUGUGCACAAAAUUAAUAUAAACAACCAGAGAGAAAGUUAGAAAAACUGACAAACUUGGAGAUUGAGGCUUGCAUAAAUGCAAUGUCCUAAAGACAGAAUUUCGCCCCUACUCUUAUGCUUGUAGUUCGGUAGGCAUCCGUCUCCUAGGAUUCAACAAUCUAUAAUCCGAAGUCAAAGCAUUCAAUCUUCGGACUUUGGCUAACUUUAUAUAUUAUGUACUCUCAAGACACGACUCAGAAGUUUGACUAAGACAUUAGAGAAAACUAUUCUCAUAAUACUCUCACGACUAUACUAACGUGAGUUUAUAUAAAACCUAAGAUACUGGUUGAUUAAGAGACACAAGCAUUCAUGUAUUAGAUGAUACCGUUUACCAAAGAUUGCCUUGAUCCCUUUCAAAAGGUUAUGCAUUUUUCAUUCAAUAUUUUGAAUUAAAUAUUAUAAUUAUUAAUAUUAUAAUAUAUAAAUUCCAACAAUCCCCCACAUGAAUGAAAAAUUAGGAAGAAUUUAAGAGUACAGGCGAAAAAGAGAUGCAUCGGGAGAGGUAUCUUUUGGACUUGAACCUACCCUAGUGAAUACUUAUCGGAUUUACUUGGUGACGCAGUGAAUAUAGAAUCUUAAACUGUUCACCGUAAUAGUAAACCGAGACAAUAAGCAACACACAUCACUAAUCCUAAUAUAUUUUGGUUCAUAUGGUUGUGUUCAUUUUGGUCCUGAACAAAUCCCAGAUUCAUGAGAGCUUUAGAGAAUUUAGCCAUCUCAUACGCAUAGAAGCGACCCACUUCUACUCUCACAUAGGUGACCACUGAUUAAGAAUAGUCUACUCUAUUCCUCUUAUUUAUAAGAUAUCACUGUCAUUAAGUAUAAAUAUACAACCUAAAACCUCUGCAGACAACACACUUUUUCCAUCAUAGGAAUGAGGUAUAUAGUGUGUUAACUUCUUUGAAUCAUGCCCAACCAGUUUGCCUAUUGAACUUAGACCAUGGGAUCUCCAAUCAACAAAGUUAGGUUUCCGCUCGGCUGAUUCAUUAGUUAUGUUGGCUUUAGCCUCAUUCCCAUCGAUGAUCAACUUUCUCUCUAGUCUAACCUUUAAUAAUUGAAUCCACUACUAGGUUGACUAUUUUUAAUGGUGUGCACAAUCCAUCUUAUGAAAUUAUAUUUCAUACGAGAGGAGUUGUUUGACAUUACUUGAAAUGUCAAGUCCUCAAAAUUAUAUUAGAAAUCUCAAGAGUAAAAAUUAACUCUAAUUUUCUAUAUUUAAUACCAAUGGUUUCAUGGGUUUAUAUAGAAUCCAACUUCUACUUAUUAAAGAGAUGUAACUUUUCAUCUAUAAGUAUACAUCACUUAUUAAGGGAAUACACCUAAACAACAUAACCUUUCUAAGUAAUUUGCUAACACUAAGCACUUGGGUAAACUCCCCCACAUUUAAGGUAUUUGUAAGAAGAUCUCUAACCUUGCCAUACCUUAAAAUUAUUCAUUACAACAGAUGACAUCUUAAAUGUCGUUCAAUUAGCAAAUUACUUUUAACCAACUCCCACAAUUCUUUCAUAAUUGUAGUUGCUUUUAAUGCUAUCAUUAAAUCGAUCACAUUUUCCACUUUAAGAAGUAAGAAACAACUAAGAUAGACUCUAUCUAUCUUUUUAGGCCUUCAUGCUUCACUAGAAAUGAUGAGAAAAUCACUUCUUGACUUUCAUUCUUUCCUUACUCUGACUAACAUGCAUGAUCCGACUCAUAUGCUUACUUAAUAAGCAUCAUUAUGUCGAAUUCAAAUCUGUGAAAUGUCUUUCACAUUUUUAGUAUGGUCUUGUCCUUUUUUGAAAGACCCCCACACUUUCAUGAUUAUUUCUUUAUAUUAAUAUCACUUUAAAUGACACUCAAUAUCAUCAUGGGCCUCUUGUAAUUUAGAAAUAUAUCACUUCAAAGAAAGCAUAUAAAUGAUUUUGCAACAUUAUUAUCACUAUAUGAUAAUACAUCCAAUCGGUAUGUGGAAGUUUACAUACCAGCCAAUGAACACAUUUGAAUAUGCCAAUGACUAGUUGAAAAUGUCAUACCCCUUCACUGUCAAAAGCAGCACUUCAAAUGGCAUGCUUUUCCUUUGAAUCUCACAUGGUAGAUUUCAAUUUUCAAUUCCACCUUACAAAACCAUCCAUUUGUUAAAUAGUUGCAUAUUUAUGCAACUUUACCGCCACAUGGUUCAAUAUAAGUCUUGGACCUUGACCCCAUAAUUCAAUAAGCAUCUUUCGACGUUGAUAGAUAACUCAUCUAAAAUGAGUUCAGUUUAUUAGUUUAUUUUUGUUGCUUCUCAAAGCCAAAUUCAUCCACUUUCUGGGUUCUUAUCAUGACUGAAGGCUAGACCCAAUUCUGCAUAUGCACACAUAUGCCUGAGUAAUUGUUCAAUUUUCCUCAUACGUAUUCCAUUCAUUCCAUGAGUGGACAUGUACAUAUGAGUACUGCACUCAUCUUAUAUUCCAUGAUACCAUGGAAGUUGGGUUCAUAUCUUGUACUGGAGUUUUCCAACUGUUUCAAUACAAAUUUGAAACAACCCCAUUUUAUUUGUGUAUUCACUCUUCAUCAAGAGCUUUCGCUGACAUCUUUAUGAAUAUAAGGGUUUUCUCAACAAAAACCUAUUAAUCAUCAUCGUGCCCAAUCAAAUAUUGAUCUCCUUUGUCCCAAGAAAGAAACAUUGCAUUAGUCCACGAACUGGUACAUUAUGUCCCUUUUAGAUUUGCAAAUAAUGCAAAUUUUUGUAUGACUAUUGAAGAAAGUUGGGAUUCCAACAUAUAACCAAUUGAGAAUAUGGAGAACAAUCUAAUUCCUUAUAAGCUUUUGUUAUAUUUCUCAUUUCACCAAUGUGAAACCCCUUUUGUCUUCACAUCCUCACAAUCAUACCAUUUCACUUGGCCUUAUUCGAAACCUUUCUUCAUAUAAAGGAGACAAACACUGAACAUGGAUUUUAAGUAGAUCUGAUAAUAAUUGCAGUAGCCAUAUAAUAAAAAUUGUUAUCACUGUAUCGUUCUGGAAACUAGAAUCUUGAUCUUUUCUAUAUAAAACAGUUAUAGAGACAUGUAUAAAGUAACAGCCAAGUAUGAGAUUUCUAUAUAUCAAAGGAUUUAUAUAAUUAACAACAACAGCAACAACAGUUGCGGCAUGCAUAAUAAUUUACCAUGCCUCAAAGUUUAAAACAUUGUCUGAUCGCGACAUGCCUAGAAUGCCAAGAGAAGGUAAAUUCAAACUAACAUUAAUUUAAAAGCAGUUAGAUUCUAAUUUCUAAUAAAUAUAUAUAAGACAAAUAACCUUCUAUCCUAAUCAUCAUCAUCAUCAUCAAUAAAUCCCAAAAUUGUUGUGUUGUUUUGUGUGUGUAUAUAUAUAUAUAACUUUCAACACAUCAUCUAGCCCUGAUCUAUCUUUUCGUAGAAAUUUAAAGGAUUCAUGUCUUAGAUGCAUCGGUGAAAUAUACUGAUGUCUUCUUCUUUAUUUCUUCAAGAGGGCUAGGCUAAACAUAAAUUACAAUAUUUUCAUUGCGAAUCCCUAAAGUCCUAGGCUUUACUCAUAUUUUCUAAUUGUUUCAUAAACAAAUUUCUGUCUUUAGAUUGUUGGAGCAAUAUUAGAAAGUAUGAAAAUAACACAAGAAUUCCAAUAUUAAUAAUUACAAAGAAAUUCACAACAUCACAUGUGCACAAAAUUAAUAUCAACAACUAGAGAGAAAGUUAGAAAAACUAACAAACUUGGAGAUUGAGGCUUGCAUAAAUGCAAUGUCCUAAAGACAGAAUUUCGCCCAUACUUUUAUGCUUGUAUUUUGGUAGGCCUUCGUCUCCCAGGAUUCAACAAUCCAUAAUCCGAAGUCAAAGCAUUCAAUCUUCGGACUCUGGCUAACUUUAUAUAUUAUGUACUCUUAAGACACGACUCAGAAGUUUGACUAAGACAUUAGAGAAAACUAUUCUCAUAAUACUCUCACGACUAUACUAACAUGAGUUUAUAUAAAACGUAAGAUGCUGGUUGAUUAAGAUAUACAAGCAUUCAUCUAUUAGAUGAUACCGUUUACCAAAGAUUGCCUUGAUCCCUUUCAAAUGGUUAUGCAUUUUUCAUUCAAUAUUUUGAAUUAAAUAUUAUAAUUAUUAAUAUUAUAAUAUAUAAAUUCCAACAAGGUAUAAUCAUUUGUCGUUAAAUGAGCACUAUUUUGACAACCUUAAGAAAUUUUCUAAACUUGUGAAAUGUGAGGGGAAAUUUAAUAUCUGAGCAAUAAGUUUAAUGUGAAAGUUGUUUUUUUAGAGGGAAAAUGUGGUUUGUGUUUUUAAUGGGACUUCUUAAACUCUACUCUGACAUAGUUUCACAAUCAAUCCCUAUACACAGUUUCUUAACCUUUUGGUUUGAAAAUCUGUAUGUAUAGUUCAACAUCACAGUGUGAUUAUGCUCUCCCAAAAUAAGUUUUAUAAGUAAAAGGAACCAAAAAGAAGGGGUUGAAGAGUCUCCAUAAGACAAGAACUUUUAUGUCACAGAGUCAAGUAUUAAUCUCGUCAUCGGUAAGUUUCUCAAGUAUCUAUAUUCACAUUUGUUGGUCAAGUUUUCAGAAUUGUGUUCACAUAUAAUCUAAAUUCAUUGCCAAAUGUUGAGGAAUUGAUUGUUAUUGACUAUUGCGAUGAAUUGGUCUCAAACUACGUUUUCCAACCAACACGGUUUGAUCAGUUUUAAAAAAACCACUGUUUGAUUAGUCUCGUUCAAUACCAUUACGUGAUUAGCUUAAAUUUACUUUUCAUGUUCAAACUAGUUAAACUAAGAAAGAACGGGCCAUAUUUUCUUUCUUUUCAAAGUUGUUCACAUAGAAGUGGACAUUGACAAAGUAGAUAAUGAAUAACAUUAUAACAUUGUAAUUUGGAUGAAAAUACACAAAUCCAAUACUUUAAUUAGAUGCAUUAUACUUUAAAUGAAAAUAAAUAAAUUUAAUAUUCUUAGAGGUCACAAUAGAAAUUUCACAACUAAGAACGGAUUAGGGCAUGCCAAUACUUAAAAAGCCGACUUUUCUAAUUCAAUUCACAAGAUUCUCAAAACCAUUGCUCACACAUAUUCUAAAACUAAGGCUAGAGUGACACAGUUAAGCCAAGCCUACAUCUUUGAAGCUGAUAUCAAAUCUAAGAAACCAACAAGUCAAGUGAUGCAACUUUGGACCACUUAAACGAAUCCAAACCAGAAAACAAUUCCGAACCAUCACUCAACGGAAUCGUGGAGUAGAAGGGAUUUAGGACCAUCACUCAAAGGAAUCCAAACAAGGAUACGAUUCCGGACCAUCACUCAACGGAAUCGAGGAGUAGAAAGGAUUCCGGACCAUCACUCAAUGGAAUCCAAACAAGGAUAUGAUUCUGGACCAUCACUCAAUGGAAUCACUUGCACUAUCAACUUCUCAUGACCACUAUCUUGUCAUACAAGCAUAAAAGUUAUACAUAAUACUUCUCAUAAGAUUCUGGGUUCACAUCGUCCUAAAAACAAUCAUACACAUCAUAUUGAUCAUACAUAUCUAACCACAUUUCAUAAAUGUUUCCAAGCUACAAUCGAAUCACAAUUAAUAAACAUAGAUCGAUGCUAAAAUAAAAUAACACUUCAAUAGAAAGCACAUUUAAUUAACAAGUAUAACUCAAUAUGAUGCAACUAAUACAUAUAUCGAGACACACAUCAACCAAGAAUGACACGUCAUCGUGAUGAGCCAACUAAGUUCCAUCAAGCCUCAACAGCAAACUAGAGAUAAACGACACUCUAGAGUAUAACACGUUGACUAGAACGUUAACCGUCAAUAAGGUAGGUCCAUUAAGAUCAACAAUCUAAGGUUAUUUAAACCAGAAGAUCCGCACAUCAGAUUUCCGAUCCGUAAGUUCUCAAAGGUCCAACAACUGAUACCUAAGGUGCUCACAAAAUUGUACGACGAUCCAACAAUCGGAUUGUCAUCAAUCAUACAAACAAGUGGUAGUCCAAUUUGAUUACCACAUCAAACAAUUUAAUUUCGGGAAACCGAGCUAGACAUAGGUUCAUAGAGUCACUAGAAGGUAUUUAGUACUUAGACAACAUUCAUGGACGGUCUCACGCACCGCCACAAGCGAUGGUAGCCAUGGUGAAGGGUUUGAAAACCCAAAUUUUCAACCUUAACCAAAAAGGUUCAAAUUUAUGUGGUAACUAGAGCUCAACAAGGGAAACAUUAUUCACAACUAGGCCAAUGACAAAUUCUAACCGGAAACCAUCCAAAUUCAUCGGGAAAAACCGGGUUUCUAGGGUUCUAAACACCCAACUCUAAAACAAAUACGAAAGCACAAAACAAGCAUAUCAACUUGAAGAUUAUGAAGAGUAGAUGAAGCUUAAUACCUCACUCGAAAGAAAUGGUUGCCGAAAUCACCGGAAAAAUGACAAAAUCGUCGGAAACCAAGGAACUUUGCUGCCUCGAACUGGAAAAAUGGAUAAGAAAAUUGGAAAUGUAACACUGCAGAGAUGUAGGGCUCGUCAAGAGCUUUCUAUGGACUCCAAGAUCACCCAAAACGGAGAUCGGAUGAAGGAGAUAUGAGCAGAUCAAGUUUGCGGGUUAACGGGUCUAAUUCGCCCCAAAACGGGUUUUUUCUUCUUUUCUCUCGCCACACUUCCGUGGCUUUCUUUUCCUUCCCUCUUUUAGCCACUCCCGUGGCUUUUUCCUUCUCUUUUCAUUUUUUUUAUUUUUUAUUUUUUUAGCAACAACUUCAAACGUCCGUAACUAUACCGUUACAAUUUGGACUCGCAAACGGUUUUUGCCUAUACGUUCAUAAUCUCGAUAUCUAUUCGACAAUAUAAAUUGUGACCUCGAAUGGUCUACAGAUUUUAAAUAAUUAAUUUCCCGAAAAAUAAUAUAAAAUUUCUAUAAUACCAAUACGUAGAUUAUAAUAAUGAAAUCCAGGAACGGGAUUUGACAUUCUCCCCCCCUUAAAAAAAUUUUGUCCUCGAAAUUUUAGUAUCAAUUCAAUAUCCACCAAUGCCACAAUUCAACCGAAUGACAAUUUCGAAAUGGUAUUUACUCUUUAAUUAUAAUCGAAUUUAAUUAACAUCAAACUCGACAACAUCGAAUCACAAGUCACAAAUACAAUUAUCAUCGUCUCAGCACGACUUCACCACCAAUCUUUGCACAAUCACAAAGAAUGGCACUACUAAUAAGAAUUCAUCAAUAUACUCAUAAUUCUGGCAACCAUACCAACCAAUUUUGUAAUUACAAGCAUUUCCCAUUAUUCCAUUUAUGGUGAAUAAGAUCAUAACCUCAGUCUACGAGUUUAUUCAACUCAAAACAAAUAAAUUAACGGAUAGAUCAUCAUGAUUCUCACCCAUAUACUCAGAUUCACAGCAAUAUUUAUUGGCAGAAUAAAUAUUAGAAAUUCUAGCCAUACACAUUGUCAAAAUAUUUAUUAAACAUCAAGCCACAGUCUUCAUAACUUAAAAUAAUUACUAAAUUAUCAAAUCACAUUUACUAUUGGUUAGACAUAUACUAACAUAAUAAUUACAAUUAUUGGUAAACCAUCCACCAUCAUUGGCUAUACAUAGUCGUAACUACGAUUCUUUCUCAAAAUUUCUAGCCACACUCCCUUGCAAAAUAAUAUCCACCUUAAACCAUAAGUCUUGUUGGCUAAAUGAAUAUUAAAAUUUCAGCCAACCAUUAAAAUUGACAAAUCAAGUUCCAAAAUUCCAACCAAAAUUAUUGGAAUUUCCAAACACAUCACUAGGUAAUGGAAAGAAGAAUACCAAGUGAUCACAAAUAAACCGAAUUAUGAGUCAUUGAUUAAUUUGACUCAAAUUAUUUCCAUAUCAUCUAUUAUAUGCUUAUUUUUGCUCAAAAACAAAUUUUGACAUUCCUUUAGUGUUGUUUUCAGAGCAUACCUACGUCAUAUUUUACUACACAAGGAACGAGAUCAUAGGUAUCAAUGUAAACGUCGUGAAAACAAUCUUUGAAUCAAGAAUAGCUAUCAUGGCAGCAGUUAUUCUCUUCCUUACAAACGAAGGGUUAAAAUUUAGUCACCAUUCCACAUUCAACCAAUUUGUUUUGAAUCAAGGUUAUAGCGGUGAGACGAGCAUCGAUAUUAGAUCAUUUAUUGGCUGAGUUGUGCAAUAGCAAUUUUUAUAAACUUUCACAUACUCCAACACAAUGAAUAAGAUAGUAAUAAUUCAACCAAUUUCUUCCCAAUUUCUCACCAAAACAGAUUAUGCAACCAGUUCAUGUAUCAAUUUAAAGAUAGUCUCAGUCAUAGAACUAACUUAUCUCACAUUGACAAAGUCACAUGCCAAAUCUCAAGCCAUGACUAACAUGGCUAACAAAAUAUCAUAAUUUCAUACCAUAAUACGUUAAUGGUAAACCAACCAAUCAAGUUUAUAAUUAUCAACCUUUCGCGUCAAUUCUUUUCAUCAGACGAAGAAACUCAGUUGGGAAAGCAUUUAUAUUAAAUGAAUUCAAAUUUUCAUUCUAUAAUUUCAUUCAUAUUCACCCACCAUUCUCAUUAUAAUGGCAAACCAUAAUCACAGUUUAUAAUUUCAUUCCCCUUCAACAAAUCACCAUAUCUUCCUUAAAUGUUAACAUUUCCAACCACUUUUAUCGUUGGCCAAAACAUUUUAAAAUUUCUAUCCACACCUAUCAUUGACGGAAUAAUGAUUUCACCAUCUUUUUCUUUUAUUUCAAUCAGUGACUAGUAAUCUGGAAAAGAUUGUAAUAUACCUGACCAAUACACAUCACACUUUCUUUUUCUUUUCUUCUUCUUCUUUUUCUUUCUUUUUCUUCUUCUUUUUCUUCUUCUUUUUUUUCUUCUUUCUCACAUCUACGGGCCUUUUCCGCCCAUUUACACAUUCGCAGGCCUUUCUUGCCCAAUUUCACAUUUCCACCCUUAUAUCCACGGGCCUUUUGCCCAAUUCAAUUUCUCAAGUGCCAGGUCUAAUACAAACUCUCCAUCUACUUAUCACCACCUCAAAAUCACCUUAACAUUCAACAUUUUCAUAAUACAUAGAAAAAUAACCAAGUAGGCAAUUACGUGACUCCCUAAUGCGGAUUAACCAGCAGGACCACAAAUGGCCCCCCAAUGCGGAUUAACCAAGCAGGGUCAAGAUAAUCAGGUAGGUAGUGACCCCCCAAUGAGGAUUAACCAAGCAGAGUCACACCUGCAGAACUGUUAGGCAGUGAUCACCCAACGCGGAUUAACCAAGCAUGAUCACCCCUAAGUAUAAAUAGCCAUCAGGAUCGCCCAACGCGGAUUAACCAAGCGCGAUCCAUAUAUAGUAUGGUCCCCUAAUGCAGAUUAACCAAGUAGGAUCACUAAUGACCCCCUAUCGUAGAUUAACCAAGCAGGGUCAUAGUCUCCUAUUAGGCCUCAAUUUAACAACCAUUCCAAUAUGCAAUUCAAUUCACUUUUUCAAAAAUAUUAUCAAUCCAAUUUACUUCACUUCAUGAUGUUUCACAACAUAAAUAUACUUCUCACAUAACUUUCUCAUUACUUAAAGAACUUAGGGAAUAAUGCAAUACCAAUGCAAAUCAUAAUUCCCAUUAAUGAGUUUUUCAUAAUCACCAUGGAAAUUUCACCACAACACAAUGCAAUUCAUAUAUGUAUCUCAAAAGUAUAUGUGUCCAUAUAUCACAUGAAUGCAUCUUUAUGCCCAAAAAAAUUAUGAAAUCAUGCAACCACAAUGCAUAUCGUAAUUCACGCCAACAAGACUCGAAAAGGUUGUAUAUCAUAGAGUAUGAUCAUUUGCUCUGAUACCAUUAAAUGUUGUCACGCCCCGAUCCCGACAUACGUCUAGAAUCGACACGUGACGUCACCAAAUACCCAUAUCUAUCAUACCUCGCCUUUGGGAUAUGGGCAGAGCACAAUUCGAUAAUCGAAUCGCAUAGUAAUUUUACGUAUGCUUUAUGGCUGCAUUUAACCUCCUCGUUAGACUGCCUACGUACCCUAAACAGGGAUCAAGUCAUUCGUAGUUCGUCAUGUACUAUAAUUGACAUAUGUCACAGUCCGUUUAAGGCGAAGGGCAUAACAUUUCUCAAUCAAUCAAUAGCUUAACAAGCAUGAAAUUUCUAGACUCAAGGUUACAUAACAAACCCACCUGAAAGUCAUGAUUUCCCUUCCAGCUUCUGUAUAAGUCAUUAUGUCGCAACAUGAUACCGUAAUUCACAACAUAUAUCAUAUCAAGAAACCGACGAAGCACAAUACAAUUCUCUAGCCACAUUAAUUAACUAAUUUGCCCAAAAUAAUAACAACUAUAACCAUAUCUUCUAAAUUCAUACUUUAUGAAAUCAUAAUUGAAUCAUAGAAAAUCAUGAAGGAGUCACCCAAACGUCCAACAACUUUUCUAAUUCAAUUCACAAGAUUCUCAAAACCAUUGCUCACACAUAUUCUAAAACUAAGGCUAGAGUGACACAGUUAAGCCAAGCCUACAUCUCUGAAGUUGAUAUCAAAUAUAAGAAACCAACAAGUCAAGUGAUGCAACUUUGGACCACUUAAACGAAUUCAAACCAGGAAACGAUUCCGGACCAUCACUCAACGGAAUCGUGAAGUAGAAAGGAUUCUGGACCAUCACUCAACGGAAUCCAAACAAGGAUACGAUUCCGGACCAUCACUCAACGGAAUCGCGGAGUAGAAAGGAUUCCGGACCAUCACUCAACGGAAUCCAAACAAGGAUACGAUUCCGGACCAUCACUCAACGGAAUCACUUGCACUAUCAACUUCUCAUGACCACUAACUAUCUUAUCAUACAAGCAUAAAAGUUAUACGUAAUACUUCUCAUAAGAUUCUGGGUUCACAUCAUCCUAAAAAAAAUCAUACAAAUCAUACUGAUUAUACAUAUCUAACCACAUUUCAUAAAUGUUUCCAAGCUACAGUCGAAUCACAAUUAAUAAACAUAGAUCGAUGCUAAAAUAAAAUAACACUUCAAUAGAAAGCACAUUUAAUUAACAAGUAUAACUCAAUAUGAUGCCACUAAUACAUAUAUUGAGACACAUGUCAACCAAGAACGACACGUCAUCGUGAUGAGCCAACUAAGUUCCAUCAAGUCUCAACAACAAACUAGAGAUAAACGACACUCUAGUGUAUAACACGUUGACUAGAACGUCAACCGUCAAUAAGGUAGGUCCAUUAAGAUCAACAAUCUAAGUUAUUCAAACCGGAAGAUCCGCACAUCAGAUUUCCGAUCCGUAAGUUCUCAAAGGUCCAACAACUGAUAACUAAGGUGCUCACAAAAUUGUACGACGAUCCAACGAUCGGAUUGUCGUCAAUCAUACAAACAAGUGGUGGUCCAUUUUGAUCACCACAUCAAACAAUUGAAUUUCGGGAAACCGAGCUAGACAUAGGUUCUUAGGAUCACUAGAAGGUAUUUCGUACUUAGACAACACUCAUGCACAGUCCCACGCACCGCCACACGCAAUGGUAGCCAUGGUGAAGGGUUUGAAAACCCAAUUUUCAACCUUAACCAAAAAGGCUCAAAUUUACGUGGUAACUAGAGCUCAACAAGGGAAACAUUAUUCACAACUAGGCCAACGACAAAUUCUAACCGGAAACCAUCCAAAUUCAUCAGGGAAAACCGGGUUUCUAGGGUUCUAAACACCUAACUCUAAAACGAAAACGAAACCACAAACCAAGCAUACCAACUUGAAGAUUAUGAAGAGUAGAUGAAGUUUAAUACCUCACUCGAAAGAAAUGGUUGCCGAAAUCACCGGAAACCCAAGGAACUUUGCUGCCUAUAACUGGAAAAAUGGAUAAGAAAAUGGGAAAUGUAACACUGCAGAGAUAUAGGGCUCAUCAAGAGCUUUCAAUGGACACCAAGAUCACCCAAAACAGAGAUCGGAAGAAGGAGAUAUGAGCGGAUCAAGUUUGCGGGUUAACGGGUCUAAUUCGCCCCAAAACGGGUUUUUUCUUCCUUUCUCUCGCCACACUCCAGUGGCUUUCUUUUCCUUCCCUCUUUUAGCCACUCCGGUGGCUUUUUUCUUCUCUUUUCAUUUUUUUUAGCAACAACUUUAAACAUCCGUAGCUAUACCGUUACAAUCCGGACUCGCAAACGGUUUUCGCAUAUGCGUUCAUAAUCUCGAUAUCUAUUCAACAAUAUAAAUUGUGACCUCGAAUGGUCUACGGAUUUUAAAUAAUUAAUUUCCCGAAAAAUAAUAUAAAAUUUCUAUAAUACCAAUACGUAGAUUAUAAUAAUGAAAUUUAGGAAUGAGAUUUCACACUUAUAGUUUUGAAACAAAUAAUUUUACAUUAGAAAAGAUAACUUAUACUUUCACUAAAAAGGAGAGCUGAUUUUUAUUAAUUAACAUUGAAGUUUUUGCCUAUUCAAGAGAUGUGGGUCCUGUAUUUCAAUCAACACAUGUGAGUCUCAUCUCUAUUAAAAAAAUGAUACAAAUGAUGGUUACAAAUAAAUGAUAAGAAUAAUAUUUUUAUUUACAAAAAAAUUAUUAUGCACUCCUAUCUAAUAAAGUAAACAAGGUCAAAAGGAGGACAAAGUGGGUUUCUUUUAGCGCUAAUAUUCUUUUAGAAACUAUAUAUUUGAUUGUAUGAACAAUAAAGUCAUUGUACAAUUUAAAUUUAAAACUCAUAAAGAAAAUUAUACAAGGCAUACAAAGUUUAUUAAUCAACAUUGAACCUUUUGUGCAUAUUCUUUGAAAACAUAAGGAAAUUAUACAAUGGUCUCCUCACAAGAAAUUCUCAACUCUUUCAUUUUUUGUGAACUUGUGAUACACGCUAAAGGGGAUGAAUUCUUCAAUGAAAUUUUGACAUGUAAAAAUGAGACCUAUUCGUAAGUUUAUUGAAAAUAAUAAAGCUCAUAUGAGUAGCCCAGAAUAUAAUUUCCUUGUGUUUUCAUAGCAUAUGAACACAAAAUAUAAUGUUGCAAAAUAAGUUUGAUGUUUUAUGUAUAUAAUUAUAAGUAUAAUAUUUUCUCACCUUCUAGUACAAGUUUUGUGCAUAUUCUACAAAACCAAAAACAAAUUAAAACUCAACAUCAUAGCAAUAUUUUCUCAAAAAUAAAAAAGCAUUUCGUAGUAAACGAAUAUACUUUUCCCUCACACUAAAUUUCGUAAAUAUUUUAUGAAAAUAUAAGGAAAUUACACUAUGGUCUCCCCUCAAGAAAUUCCAAGAAAUUCCCAGCUCCAUUAUUUUUUGUUAACUUAUAAUUCAUGGGAUCAAUUUACCAAAGGACGUAUGAUACACGUAAAUAAGAUCAAUUUAUAAGUGCAUUGAACAUGACAUAUUAUGUUAAUAGAGAAACAUAUAAUUUUCUUAUGUUUCAUGGCAUGUGCACAAAAAGUUUUAUUGUUGAAAAUUUUAUAUGUAUAUAAGCAUAUUUUCUCAUCUUAUAGUAUGCUAAAAGGAAACCAAAUAGUAGCAUCUUCAUAAUAAAUUCUCUAACUUGCUUACACCAGGCCUAUAGUGGCGAAGCCACGUGAGGGCGAGGAGUGGCGUCCACCACUCCCCUAGCCUGAAAAACAAGACUGGAGCGCUGAUUUUGCCCCUCCCCUGCCGGAAAACCCACUGGUUCUACUAUUGUUGGUCUUCGUCUCCGACUCUCCGGUCUGCUUUGCAGAUCUAACUUUUUUUUUUUUUAAACAACCAGGCCAAAACAACGUCGUUUUGGACCUGGUAAAAAAAUUUUAAAAAGAAAAAGAAAAAAAAAUGAAACGGGCAGUUUUGAUAAGUUGGAAGUCAAAAAAAAAAAUUAUAUAGGGGGACCGCGUGUCCCCCAUUCAUUCAAUCUCUUCCUUUCUCUCUCUGUUGUGUCGUUUUGCACCUUUCCCCUUUUCAUCCUCCAAUCACAGCAGCAAAGGGCAGCCAUUGCUCCCCUUUUCGAAGCAGAAAAUGGAACGGAACUUCUGCACAGCAGCACCGUUUGGCAUUAGACCAAUUAGCACUCAACAGCAGCACAGCGCCACUGCCAGGGCCCAGCUUCCAACCAUCAAACACAAUAUUUAGGUAAAUUUUUUAAUUCCCAAAUUUAUAAUCCCUAACCCUAAUUAAUUAUUUAAAAUGAAUUUUGUUUAAUUGGUAUAGAAUCAUAUAGUAAAACACUCAAUGCACUAAUAUGGUUAUAGUUAUUGAUUAUUGAUAUGAAAUUAUGAAAUUAUUUUUUAGGGUAAAAAUUAAAAUUUGAAUUCUCGAUUAUUUAUUAAUUAAUUGAAUUAUUACAUAAUGUAUUACAAUUAUUCAUGUGAUUAGUUGAAUUGAAUUUUUAUUUAUCGAAUAAUUGUUUGUUUAUUGGUAUUGAUUAAUUGAAUUGUUGGUUGGAUUAGUUAUUAUGCAUACUAUAGUAUAGUCUACUCUAGGAUUAAGAGUCUAAGAAUUUUUUUUUUCUUUCCAUUUUACAGUUAUGUAAUGGAACGAUACUAUAAGAAACAAUGCUUAAAUCCUCCUUCAAACAUUUCGGGUAGUCCUUCUCCUUCAAACAUUUCGGGUAGUCCUUUUCCUUCAAAUAUUCCGAGUAGUCCUCCUCCUCCUUCAAAUAUUCCAAGAAGUCCUCCUUCGAAUAUUCCUAGUAGGUCACAACAAAGUAAGGCCACUGAGUUGGAUGAAAUAUUAGCUAAUCUUCCUGCAGACCCUGGACAUAGACGUCAAAUGCUUGAUUAUCCACCUAAUUAUCGUGAAGCAAUUCGUAGACACUAUCUCCAAAAUGAUCCUUGUCAACCUAGAGACCACAUCAUGCCAAGAAAAGUUUGUGACAAAAGAUGUUUUAUCAUCGGUUGGUUUGAUAAGUUUAAGUGUUUGGAGUAUAGUAUAUCAAAAAAUGCUUCAUUUUGCCGUUAUUGCUAUCUUUUCAAAUGUGAUUUCGAUCAAAUGGGUAGCACUAGAAGUGAUGUCUUCACUAAGAAAAGGUUUACAAAUUAGAAGAAAGGACCUCAAAAUCUUCGAGUCCAUGAGGGAGGUGUUGGAAGUCUUCAUAAUAAAGCUGUACAAUAAGCUAGAGAUUUGAUGGCACAAAAACAACACAUUGAAACAUUUGUGAGUAAGCAAACCGAUGAAGCUCGCAUUAAUUAUCGUACUUUCUUGAAUGCCUCACUUGAGUGUACAAGAUGGUUGUUAGGACAAGGUUUGCCUUUUCGUGAUCACGAUGAAUCAUUCAAAUCAAGCAAUAGAGGUAAUUAUUUGGAGCUUAUGCAAUUUCUUUCCAAGCAUAAUGAGCAAGUUAGGAAAGUUGUGUUGAGAAUGCUCCCAAGAAUCUUAAGUAUACUUCUUCCGAUAUUCAAAAAGAUCUUGUCCGUGCUUGUGCCAUUGAAAUUAUAGAUGCAAUCACUAAAGAUAUGGAAGGUGCAUUCUUUUCUCUUUUGGUUGAUGGAUCACAUGAUUCUUCAACUAAAGAGCAAAUGGCAGUAGUAUUGCGUUAUGUGAACAAAAAAGGAGAAGCAAUUGAAAAGUUUUUGGGUGUACAACAUGUCACUUCUACAACUAGUAGCUCACUUGAAGAGGCUAUUGAGAGAUUUUUUGCUACAACAAAUUUGAGUAUGUCCAAGUUACAGGACAAAGCUAUGAUGGAGCUAGUAAUAUGAAAGGUGAGCUAAUGGCCUUAAAACAAAGAUUUUGAACAAGUAUCCUCAAGCAUUUUAUGUUCAUUGUUUUGCACACCAACUUCAACUAGCUCAUGUAGCCGUUGCAAAGGGAAUUGAGGGCGUCGCCAUUUUCUUCAACAAUGCUAGUAUCUUGGUCAAUACUAUUGGAUCAUCGUGUAAGCAUCGUGAUGCAUUUAGAGAGAAACAACUAGAACAAAUUACAAAAACUCUUGAUAUUGUUGAUCUUGAAAUGGGUAGAGGGUUAAAUCAAGAGAGCAGUCUCAUGUGUCUUUGUGAUAUACGUUGGAACUCACAUUAUGGUACUAUAAUGAGUAUUAUUGUCAAUUUUGAAGCUGUGGUGGAGGUGCUUGAAUGGAUUAAAGAUGAUACCAACCAAGACAAUUUCGAAGAAGCAAGUAAGUUAUUCCAUGACAUACAAACUUUUGAUUUUGUGUUUCACCUUUUUUUUAUGAGACACAUAUUGGGAAUUAUAGAUGAGUUAUCACAAGCAUUACAAAAGAAAGAUGAAGAUAUUGUGAAUGCGAUGGCAUUAGUGGAGGUAUGCAAGCAAAGAUUACAAUCCUUGAGAGAUGAUGAUUUUGGGAACUUGCUUGAUGAUGUACAAAAGUUUUGUGAAGAGCAUGAUAUUGUUGUUCCUAACAUGGAGGAUUUGCAUUUCGUACCCGAAAAAUCAAGGCGUAAAGCUCCAAGACUCACAAACUUCCAUUACUAUCGUGUGGACCUCUAUUUUCAAGUCCUUGAUACGCAAUUAAAGGAAUUGAAUGAUCACUUCGAUGAGGUAAACACUGAAUUGCUUCUUUGUAUGGCAUGUUUGAGUCUGGUGAAUAAUUUUGCAUCUUUUGAUAAAGCAAAAAUUGUUCAUCUAGCCCAACAUUAUCCUCAAGAUUUUGAUCGUAUGGACCUCAUAAAUCUUCCAAUUCAACUUGACAAUUACAUUCAUGAUAUGAAGAUGCAUAGUGAGUUUUCAUCAUUGAGAGGAAUUGUGAUCUUGCAAAGGAGUUGGUGAAGACCGGAAGGUGUGCAAGCUAUAUCUUAGUGUAUAAGCUUCUUACAUUGGCUUUAGUGUUACCGGUUGCAACCGCUUCGGUGGAGAGAGCUUUUUAUGCUAUGAAGAUUGUGAAAACACCAUUGCGUAACAAAAUGGGAGAUCAAUUGUUAAGUGAUAACAUGCUUGUUUACAUUGAGAGAGAUGUAUUUGCUUUUAUUGAUAAUGAGCCUAUUAUGCGACGUUUUCAUGAUAUGAAACCUCACCGGCAACAAUUGUAAUUGUAUUGAUAAAUUAUGGAAGACAUUACUAUAUAAAAGGAUUUGGUUGUUGCUAUUCUUUUGAACUUUGCAAUCUUUUAACUUCGCCCCUCCCCCCGUCAAUUCCUGGUUUCGCCACUGCAGGCCUAUGAAUUCACUCGCAACAAAAUUUGAAUUGAGAAAAAAAUUCAUCUUACACUAUUCUCCAAUGAAAUAAGAAAGGUCAAAAGGAGGGCAAAGUGAAUUUCUUUUAGCAAUAAUAACAGUUUUUUUUUUUUGAACAAACAAUAUAAUCCAUACUAAGGAGGUGAGGGAGGUGGGCUAAGCCUCACAAUGACUAACAAUAAUGUGGUUCAAAUUCUUCUUUGGUGAGAAUCGAACCUAAGAACUCUUACUUACAAGUGAAAAGGAAUACUACUAGACCGUAGUACUAAGUUGCCUAAUAAUAGUUCUUUUAAAAACUAUAUAUUUGAUUACAUGAACAAUAAAGUCAUUGUAUAAUUUAUAUUUAAAACUCAUAAAGAAAAUUAUUUAGGAAAUAAAAUUAUAUUUAAAGACAUUCAAGUUUUAUUAAUCAAUAUUGAAACAAUUGUGCAUAUUCCAUGAAAGCAUAUUGAUGAGAUUAUAAUAUAGUCUCCCACAUGAAAUUCUCAGAUCUAUUAAUUUCCGUGAACUUGUGAUACACAAUAAAUGUGUGAAUUCUCCAAUGGACUUCUGAUAAUUGUAAAUGAAAUCCAUUCUUAAGUUUAAACUGGAAAUGACGAAGCAACCAAGAAGAACAAAGUAGACCCAGGAGGAGCCAAUAACACACCAACACAAAACUAAAAUACUCACUAGAGAUACUCACAAAUAACCUCAAGAAAAUAGUAAGGCUAGGAGAACGGAGAUGGGCAGCCAUUGGCCACAAGCUAAAGAAAGGGGUCAGGAGCUGUGAAUUUUAUAAAUAUAAGAUUUUAGUAGAGGAAAGGAGAGAGACGCUAGCAGUAGUUUCUUAUAUAUUAGCAUUCCAAGAAUCCAUCCUUUUGACUUUUAUUAAUGUAUUUCUAGUACAAUUUUAAUAAGAGUAUUAUCGGAAAGUAAAUAUGUAUUUUACACUAAUAAGAAAGAUGUAAAUUUGGGAGCUCAUUUAUUUAUGGUCUCUUUUAACCAAUGAAAAUGGAUAUACAUAUUUUUUUAGUCCACCUCUUAAAAAUGUAAAUAUACAUUUUAUUCACAUGUUUACACUAAUCCUUUGAGAGCUUUCCAACCAAAAAAAAUUAAAUUGUAGUACACCACAUGCUAUUAUAUAAUUGGAAAAAAAAAUUAAUUUUUCAAGUGUUAUUCUAUUUGUAUAAUGAUAUGUGUUAUAUUACUUUGUGUUUUGUGCACUGAAAAAUAUCUCGUAUCAGAUAUGCUAGUGGAGUACCAAUUUGGGGUUGUUGAAAUUAAUUUUUUUUUGUCAAAGGGUUGUUGAAAUUAUUUAAAAGAAUAAAUUGUAGCAAUGGUACCUCAAUUUUAAUGAAAUUAGAGCAAUGAUUCUUCAACUAAAAACCUAUUAUCAUUCGUCCUUCAACUCAUCAAAACGUGUAGCUGUGAUCCUUUUCGUCAACUUGGUCAAAAUGAAUUAUGUUGGAAGGACCAUUGCUACAAUUAGAUUAAAGUUUAGGGACCAUUCUCCAAUUGGAUUAAAAUUGAGAGACCAUUUUUUCAGUUAAAUUAGAAUUGAAGAACCAUUGGUAAUAGAUUUUUAGUUGAGGGACUAUAGCUGCACGUUUUGAUGAGUUAAAAGACCAAUGCUAAUAGAUUUUUAGUUAGAGAUCAUUAUUUCAAUUGAGUUAAAGUUAAUUGACUAUUACUAUAAUUUACUAUAUUUAAAAAGCAACUUAUUAAAAAAUCUGGUGAAUGGUGAACAUUAAAGUUUAAUGAAAAUUUUAUGAGGAUAGCAGUACCCUGGGUUUUUAAUUAAAAUUACAGCCAGUAUCUUCGCUUCUCCUUUCCCCUUUCUCCAUGUCGUCCUUCAAAUCGAAGGUUGGCGACCUUCAAUUACCUGGAGAAAUCAACAAUAAGCCAUAAUUCCUUCAAUUAGAGGAUGCUCUGCUCGUCUUCUGCUGACUUUUCUUUAAAUUUUGAGCUUACAGUGCUCACAUGGGAACAUAGAGAGAGAGAGAGAGAGAUAAAGAGAGAGAGAGAGAGAGAGAGAUUGAAGUUUUUAUGGAAGGAAAGAAAUUUGAGCUUUGUGUAGGAUAGAGCAGGCGAGUGAGAUUGCAUGCGACGAAUCAGUUAGGUUUCUGACUUCAAAUGGCGCCGUUUGUGGUCUGAUCCGUCCGAGUUAUGGAGAUCGGACAUUGGAGCUCCUAACUAGCAAUAAUUUGGAGCUGCAGAUUCGGUGAGAAAUUCAAAAUAUUUGGAAUGGCUAUGGGGAAACGGGAUGACACAGAGAGAUUGGGUGAUUAGGAUUGUGCCGUGGGCUGGGAGGUCGCGGCGGCGGCGGAAGGAACCCAGACAUAAAACCGUAUAAUUAUUAGAAAUAUUUAGAAAUUGAUGGGCUGGUAUUUGUUCAAUAAAUCUAUGGGCUGGAUAUAUGGGCUGGUGUUUGUUUAAUUAAUCCAUGGGCUGGUGUUCAAUAUGACUUGGAUUUAAGGUGAAAUUAUUAGAAAAUUUCUAUUAAACUAUUUGAUGGCACGUAAGUGCAGAAGCUGAAGAUAAACAUUGAAGAAGAUAAACAUCGAAGGAAAAAUGGGGAAGAUAAGAUUAUUAAAGAAAAAGGUUAGAUAAAUUAUCAUCCAACCUUAUGAUAUUUUCAGUCAUCUCUAUAUGGGCUUGUUUGACGGCCUGAAAGAUUUUGGACCUUAGAGAGAAAAUUAUAUUAAUAGGGAUUUGAAAGGUAAAACUUGUAACCUAUGUAUAAAGAUAAAUUAGAUAACAUAUUUUAUUGUGAAUUCAUAAUUCAUCAUUGUAGAUGUAAAUUUCUUUCUCCUUGUUCUUGGACAAAAUUGCACCUACAAAAUAAAUAACAACUUAGAUCAAGACCAAGAGCCUCACGCGCCCACGAUGAAUUAGGGGGGCUUUGGUCGAAAAACCUCUGAUGUCAAAAUUAGAAUUUUUAGAGAAAAUUGUUUGAAGAAUUUUGAGUGUUUAGCAAGAGUGAAACUUAGGUUUUUAAAGAAAAUAAGGAAGAAUAUAUAAGGCAUGGCCGGCCCCCUUGGGAGAGAAGAUGACCGGCCUCUUGUGUGUUUUUUUGGUGUAAUUGGUAGUUUAAUUAGCCAUUAAUAAAUUAAUUAGGUAAUAAAUCCAUUAAUUAGUUAAUUAACAUAAUUUAAAAGGAAUGUUUUAGGGGUUACCUCGUGGAGAAGAUAUGAUAAGGGACGGAUGAAAUAAGUUAUAAAUAAAUACCUAUUUGUGCACUUUUGACUUGAUUGUGAGAUGAUUGUCCACUGCUCGUGUGUAGUAAUUCCAGUGUGCCUCAAGGAUAAUUUUGUCAUUUUAACCCAACAAUCCACGUGUCGCCUCUUGAUUAUUUUUAGCUCCACAAUCAUGUCAUGUCCACUUUACUUUUUAACACAACAAACAACGAAUUAGAUUAAGGUCUAUUUUAACUAUUACAUGCUAACACAUAUUGUGCGAAAAAUUUCUUUUUAUUUUGUUUUGUAUUAUAAAGUGUUGAUUAUUUUAAAAAUUCUCGAAAAAGCUUACAUGAGGUGCUCAGAUCAGAGUCGAUCGUUUUCAAGUCGUAACCCUUUUCGGAGCUGUGGGGAAGAUGGUGGCUUGGUAGUUGGGUUGGGUGAUAUCCGCCUCUUAUGAAGCUUUUUCUAUUUUUUUUAUUUUUUAUUGUUAAUUUUCUUUUUAUUUGUUUGUUAUUAAAUUUUGUGGGAUUCACAUGUGUGUCACGUUAACAUUCUAACAGAAGUUUUGACGAAAAUAUAAUGGCAAAUUGAUUUGUAGCAUCCAAUUCAAAGGCUACACUGAUCGAUUUCAAUUUCAAAUGUCACCUUAAUUAGUGCGUCAAUUUCCGACUAUUUGCGUUGAAGACACAUUAUAGAAAAAUCUACUACACACACAACGUGUGGGGGGUGUUGAUUUGAACGCCCGGUGAAGUCACGGUAAGACCAAAACAUGUAGCCAGAAAAUUCGGUGUCUCGCCUUCCCAACUCGUUCGACCUAUGUAUGUGUGCUGAAACAGAGUCGAAAACAAACAACGCACGACAUUCUCAGUUUCUCAUCAAACUAAAUUAUUUUACGUUCUCUCUGUAAACCGUUGGAAUUUCUGUUCUUCUUUCGUCACCCAAGAACAGAUUACGUAAUUGAAUCAAGUUUUGAGUCUCAUUGUUUCCGUAAAUUAUGUCUCUGGUUUCGGUCAGAAUGGGUGCUCUGAGAACGUCAUUUCAAAUGCUGUUUGAUGCGGUAAAAUCAGCGCAGGAGGAGAAUACAAUGUUCCAACACCUCCUCGGAGACAUCAAAUCCACACUGGAAUCUCUACAACCACUCAUCAAAGACAUCGAAAAGUAUAACUCCAAGGAGGGGCGGGAAAAUUAUGCAAUACAGAUGGAGGAAGGAGCAAAGCUUGUUCAAAAGUGCAGCAAAGUUGGCGUGUGGAGAAAACACACAUACACCAAGAAGCUUAAUCAACUGGACAAAUCUCUUCGAAGAGUGUUUGAUGUGCUUAAACUGCAGGUUAUGAGGGUGCGAGGGAGACGUUGGUUCCUUUGAGGAAUAUCGAGACGGUGCUCUCUCGAAUAGAAGAGAGAUUGAAGAUAAAAAAUAACCAGCCUGAAAUGGUUAAAUGUUCGUCUGCGGUGCCUGAAGCGCCAUCAGUUACAGUCGGGUUGGAUUUGCCGUUGAAGGAGUUGAAGGUGAAGCUCCUUAAGGAUGAAAAGGUGUCUAUGCUUGUGCUGACCGCCGCUGGACGAUGCGGGAAAACCACCUUGGCUAAAAUGUUUUGUCAAGAUCAAGAAGUCAAAGGUAUGCUAUUUAUGAUUUCAACCAUACACAGUAACCAAAAUUUGUUAAAAGAAAAACAACGAAAGGGGACAUGAAACUAAAGCGCACGAAAGGAAUAUAAGAAAGAUUAGAAAGACCUAUAUUCUCUGUACUAAAGUUAAGCUGAUGCCUUCCUUUUAUUAACACCUUUCCUACAUUCUGUUUGAAUAGAUACAUUCAAGAACAACAUCUUCUUUGUCAAUGUCUCGAAAAAACCCAACUUGGACCUUAUUGUACACGAACUAUAUCAACGGAAGGGGUCCGAGCUGCCUGCUUUCGAAAACGAAGACAUGGCAGCUAACUGGUUGCAACAAUUUCUGAUGGAAUCAAGACAAAAUCCUCUACUGUUUGUCCUGGAUGAUGUUUGGUCAGGAUCAGAGUCCCUUCUUGAGAAGUUUGAUCAAUUCAAGUUUUCAAAUUACAAGAUUUUGGUCACAUCAAGAUUUGCAUUUCCAAGAUUCGGUUCUCCUUAUCAUUUGGCACCAUUGAAUGAUGAAGAUGCAAUGGCUCUUUUUCACUAUUCUGCAUCCUUGGAAGAUAAGAGCUCUUAUACUUACGAAGAUCUUUCGAGAAAGGUGAUUUCUUAGUCCACAAUACACACACACACACACACACACACACACACACACAUAUAUAUAUAUGCUUAUUUAUGCCUCAGAAGAAGGUAAAGAAUAACAUUUGAGCAUCCACACACGUUAAUGAACUGUGAAGAGUGAAGUAAGAAGAAUGAAAGACUAGACAGUUUACAAUUUUAUCAUCUAUACGAAACCAUAGUAAUUGAAUUCAUUUUGGAUAAUGAUAUUGCAGAUUAUCAAGCGCUGUAAGGGAUGCCCACUUGCCAUUGCAUUGGUUGGGAGAUCACUUCGCGGCCAGCCUAUAGAAAUCUGGCACAAAAGAGUAGUGGAAUGGUGCAAAAGUUCAUCUAUUCUUGAUUCUGACAAGGAUUUACUUGCUUGCCUCCAAAGCAGCUUAGAUGCCUUGGAUAAAGAGAAGGUUAUCAUCAAGGAAUGUUUCCUCGAUCUAGGUUCUUUUCCGGAGGACCAAAGAAUUGCUGCUGCCGCUCUCAUUGAUAUGUGGGCGCAGUUAUAUGGUCUAGAUGAAGAAAUUCUGACCAUUGCCAACCUUCACGAGCUCACCGCUCGAAGUUUAGCUAAUCUUGUUGUCACAAGGUAUGCAGGCUGCUCAUAAUUUUUUCUAUUUAAUUAUGUAUGCCGAACAAAUCAUUAAAGAAAGUAGUAUUGAUCAUCCAGACAUGAGGGGGAGACAGAUGGCUAUUACACUGAACACUUUGUCACCCAGCACGACAUGCUUAAGAGAGUUGGCGAUCCAUCCGGCGAGUCAAGACCCAGCACGACAUCACUUGAUUUAGUUGAGUAUUGAAGAAGUUACGGACGUUUAAAGUUUACCCAGUUUCCGGCGAGUUUUCUAGUUUUCCCUUGGACCAGUCAACUUUGAGGCUGUUGUCUGACCAUCUCUGGCAACCAUUGGGCUUCUAAAUAGGUAUAAUCUUAUUCUACACUUUCCUAUCUUCAUUUUGAUAUUAUGGAUCGAAUUUGAUUAAGAAACAAUUGAGUUACGAGGCUUUGAAAAUUGCCCAAACUUCCGGCCAAGAGCUCCGGGACACUGAACGGAGUUUUUAACAGAUUGACCACUAUGAUGGAUAGUGAACAAUCUCAGGGACCACUUCUAUUGAUUUGAAAUCUCAGGUACCCAAAUGAGGAGUUAUGCAAAUCUCAGGGACCAUUUUGGCUAAAAAGCCUAUUGUAAAUAACAUGUUUGCACUCCUCAUUGUUCAACUCUUCAUUGAUUCUCUUUGAUUUAUCCAAUCAAUGGGUGUUUGUGCAAUGUAUGCAGAAAAUAAGGGCAUGGAAAGAAAAUAAGAGUUAAAAAAUAACUUCCCUUUGAUUUAUCCAAUCAAUGAGUGUUGGUGCAAUGUAUUAACUCUAUUGGUUGUUUCUCCACUCUUUCUCUUGCUGAACCUCUUCAUUCCCUUUCAGUUAAAUAGGCCAUUAAAUUAAUGUUUUAUUUUAAGGGUAAUGCUAAAGACAUUAAAUUUGUAGACAAAAUUUUGCAAACUAAGUGACAUAGAAGUUGAUGAUUAGAUUAUGGCUUAAGUGUAGAUAAACGUGCUUAAUCAUAUUGGUAACAUAUCAUUUAGUUUACAAAUUUUGUCUCUAUAACAUUACUCGUAUUUAAAACUAUUUAUUCAAGAGCACAACAUUUUUUUUACUAUUUUAUUUUAAACUAUUUAUGCUACAGCACAACAUUUUAAAAGCAGUGCAAUACCAAAUCAUAUGUACUAGAAAAUUAUGUAUCUCCUCGCCUCCUAAGAGCAAGUCCACCCCUGUGGACUUUGCGCCAGCACCCAGCGCAUUUAUCCACUCAAAUGAACAGUAACAGACUCCAAUGAACAGUAAUAGGCCAAGGCAUCUCCACCCCUAAAACUAAAUAGCCUAGUCAAUUUUAUUAAAAUAUUAUUAAUUUUUAUUAUAAAAUAAUAAUUUUUAUUAAAGUACUCUUUGGACUCCAUUCUUCUUUUUCUUCCGUGAUUUUCCAACUGUGCUGUCAAGCACAGUUUCACCACUUUUUCUUCCCUUCUUCUUUUUCUUCUCUUCAAACCACCAAAACCCAUGUGAGAUUAGCCAAGUUCAGCCCUACCCCACGAGCUGCAACCACCAAACGAACCCGACGACCCACAAUCCCACCCAACCUUCCUCCCCGAUCCCCUCACCCACUGGUGCGCCAACCAAAACUGCAAACCCUUCGCCGUCGAUCCUCUCGAUCCCCGGAGCUCAUCCGAUUACGACUGGUUCUCCGACGCCGCCUCCGAUUCAGACCAUGACGUCAGCUACUUCGUCACCGAUCUAUUCAAUCGCUGCAGCUCCGAGCAACAGCCCAAGACCGAGAGGGAGAGUUUUGGAUAUGGAAGCUCGAGUUGGGGUGGUGGUGGAAGGAAAGCAGAGAGCUUCGAAUUCAGCUCAAGGAGAUAUGGCGGUAUCACCUGGCAUCAUGUAGGCCGGGCAAGAGCUCAGCACAUUCUGAGCCGGCCUAGAGACCAGCUUGGGCUGGGUGCCAGCCUAUCUGCUCGGCUGGAAUGGAUUGGCUGGGUGUCGGGCCAAUAAUUUGGCUGGGUGCUGGCCUAAAGGUUCCCCGGUGGAACUGCUCUAAUAACGCGUCAAAUGUCUUUCCCAGCUCGUUCGUUUUCUUUGGGUGAAAUUCAUUGCUCGUUCGUUAAGUUGUAUAUAUGUGUGCUAAAACCAACAAAUAGCUUACAUAUCAUUCUCACUUUCUCAUCAAACUAGAUUAACGAAGAGGAUUAAGGGCCAGUUUAGGAUUGCUGUAUUAAAAAAAACUAAUUAUGUUAUGCUUUAAGAAUAAUCAGCUGUAAAAUAAAGCUGAUGACCGUUUGGUUAAUUGAAUUUUAAAAGUGUUGUGAAUAUGAAAAGCAACAUAAAAGCGUUUGGUAAAAUUUAAUGUAAAAGUGAUAUGAUUGUAUACAAUGAUAGAUGGACAUAGUAGUAGGAGUGGGGGCAACGACAACAGUGGUGGUGGUGGUGGUGGAGGUGGUGGUUGCGGUAGAGGUGGUGGUGGUGGUGGUGGUGGUGCUAAUAGUGGGAUGUGUUGGUUGAGGUGGAAAGGUAACACUAGUGGCAAGGCGUGGUGGUGCUAAUAAUGGGAUGUGUUGGUUGAGGUGGAAAGGUAACAUUGGUGGUAAGGUGGUGGCAGUGGUGGCGAUUGCGGUUAUGGUGGUGUCGGCAGUGGCGGCAAUGAUGGUGGCAAUGACAGUUGUGGUUGUGAUGGCAAUGGUGGCAGUUGCAGUAAUGGUGGUGGUGAUGGUGUUUGCGAUAGCAGCAUCGAUGGUGGUAGUAGUGGUGGUGGCAAUGGCGGCGGUGCGAUAAUGGUAGUGAUGGUGGUGACAAUGAUGGUAGUGAUGAUAGUGGUGGAGGUUGUGGUCAUGGCAGUGGUGGUGACAAAAUUGGUGGUUGUAAUGGCGAUGAUGGCGUAAAGUUAGUAUUUGUAGUGGUAGGUGGUAGCGUUCACUUUAUUCUCUAAGGAAUAAAAUGUGUGUGGAAGGCUAAACAAUGUCAUUUAAAAAAAAUUAAUGAAUGUAUUACAGCAAUUAAAAAUAAUUAUUAUAGACCCAACUUUGCUUUUUAUUAAAGCAACUUACAUGCUGCUUUUAAAAACUGAUGUAUGAAGCCCAUUGUUUGGAGUCUCUUUGUUUUGGUAAAUAUGUCUCUUGCUUCAGUCGGAAUGGGUGCUCUCAGAAUGGCAUUUGAAAUGUUGUUUGAUGCUGUAAAAUUAGCGCAUGAGGAGAAUAAAAUGUUCCAACACCUCUCCCGAGACAUCAUGUCCACACUCGACUCUGUACAACCACUCAUCAAAGACUUCGAGAAAAGUAUAACUCGAGGAGGGAGCAAGCUUUCAACAGUUGUUACUUAAUCUCAGUGGCAUUCCUGAAUCUAGAAGAAAUGUACAUCGACUAUUGCAGUGAUUUAAUAGAGUUGCCUGCCGAGAUUUGUGAACUUAGUAAACUAAAGAAGUUCAGUGUCACUGUCAUAAGCUGUCUGCCAUACUUGAAGGGAUUGGAAAGUCGAAAAAUUUAGAAAUGUUGAGGCUAAGAUCCUGCACAGAACUGUCAAAGCUUCCAACCACGAUGAAGAACCUUGGAAAGGUAAAAUUUCUUGACAUAUCUGUAUGCUUUAGCAUCAAGAUGUUGCCCAAAGACUUAGGUGAAAUGAGUAGUUUAAAGAAGAUCAACAUGAGACAAUGCUCAAGGUUGCAAGAGCUGCCUCCAUCAGUCAUGGAUCUUAAGCAGUUAAAGGAAGUAGUCUGUGAUGAAGAGACAAAAUACUUAUGGGAAUAUUUCUCAUUGUGUCUCAAUAACGUAAGGAUAAUUGUGGCCAGAGAGAAUAUCAACCUAAAUUGGAUCCACAAGACUCAGUUCUGAUACCUGUGUUUCCUCAGAGAACGUUGCUAUUCAACCUCUCUUGACUUGUGUUUCAUUGUCUUCCUAUUUUAGGCUAUUUCCCAUCUCCUUUUCAGUUUACGCCCUUCAUUUCGUAAAUGUGGGAUAUUGCAAGUUAUAAUCAUUUGUCGUUAAAUUAGAACUAUUUUGACAACCUUAAGAAAUUUUCUAAACUUGUGAAAUGUGAAGAGAAAUUUAAUAUCUAAGCAAUAAGUUUAAUGUGAAAAUUGUUUUAUCAGAUGGAAAAUGUGGUUUGUGCUUUUAAUGGGACUUUUUAAACUCUACUCUAACAUAGUUUCACAAUCAAUCCCUAUACACAGUUUCUUAACCUUUUGGUUUGAAAAUCUGUAUGUAUAAUAAUUCAACACCACCAUCUGAUUCAUGCUCUCCAAAAUAAAUUUUAUAAGUAAAAGGAACCAAAAAGAGAAGGUUGAAGAUUCUCCAUAAGACAAGAACUUUUAUGCCACGGGGUCAAGUGUUAAUCUUGUCCUCGAUAAGUUUUUCUAGUAUCUAAACUCACAUUUGUUGGUCAAGUUUCCAGAACUGUGUUCAUAUAUAAUCUGGAUUCAUUACCAAAUCUAGAGGAAUUGAUUGUUAUUGACUAUUGCGAUGAAUUGGUCUCAAACUAUGUUUUCCAACCAACACAGAUUGAUCAGCCUUUUUUUUUUUUUAAAUAAAAAACUGUUUGAUUAGCUUAAACUUAUUUUUCUUGUUCAAACUUUUAAUAGUUAAACUAAUAAAGAAUGGACCAUAUUUUCUUUCUUUUAAAAGUUGUUCACAUAGAAGUGGUCAUUGACAAAGUAGAUAAUGAAUAAACAUUGUAAUUUGGAUGAAAUUACACAAAUUCAAUACUUUAAUUAGAUUUAUAUACUUUAAAUGAAAAUAAAUAAAUUUAAUAUUCUUAGAGAAGGGCACAAUAGAAAUUUCACAACUAAGAAUCGAUUAUAGCAUGCCAAUACUUAAAUAGCCGACUUGGCUUUGUAAUGGGAAGGGUACAAAGAAAUUUCACAACUAAAAAUUAAUUAGAUCAUGACAAUUAGGUAGAUGAGGGGUUCUUUUCUCCAAAUGAACUCUUGAAGUAUUUUUAUAGAAAACUUAUAGUUUUGAAACAAAUAAUUGUACAUUAGAAAAAGAUAGCUCAUAGUUUCACUGAAAAAGAGAGUUGAUUUUUAUUAAUUAGCAUUGAAGAUUUUGCCUAUUAAAAAGAUGUGGGUCUCAUCUUUUUAAUAGAGGUAUGACCCAUCAAUACAUAUUAAUCUCAUCUUUAAUAACAUUUUUUUUGCAAAAAUUAUUAGGCACUGCUUCCUAAUAAAGUAAACAAGGUCAAAGGAGGACAAAGUGGUUUUCUUUUAGCACUAAUACUCUUUUCGAAACUAUAGAUUUGAUUGUAUGAACAAUAAAGUCAUUGUACAAUUUAAAUUUAAAACUCAUAAAGAAAAUUAUACAAGGCAUAAAAAGUUUAUUAAUCAACAUUGAAACUUUUGUGCAUAUUCUAUGAAAACAUAAGGAAACUUUACUAUGGUCUCCUCACAAGAAAUUCUCAACUCUUUCAUUUUUCGUGAAUUUCUGACACACGCUAAAGGGGAUGAAUUCUUCAAUGAAAUUUUGAUACGCAUAAAAAUGAGACCUAUUCGUAAGUUUAUUGAAAAUAAUGAAGCGCAUAUGAGUACUCCAGCCCAUAAUACAAUUUCCUUGUGUUUUCAUAGCAUAUGCACACAAAAUAUAAUGUUGAAAAAUAAGUUUUAUUUUUUAUGUAUAUAAGUAUAAUAUUUUCUCAUCUUCUAGUACAAGUUUUGUGCAUAUUCUACAAACCCAAAAAAUAAAUUAAAAAUCAACAUCUUAGCAAUAUUUUCUCAAAAAAAUUAAAUAAAAUAAAUUUCACGGUAAACAAAUAUACUUUUCCACACUAAAUUUUGCAAAUAUUCUAUGAAAAUAUAAGGAAAUUACACUAUGGUCUCAUCUAAAAAAAUUCCAAGAAAUUCCUAGCUCUAUCAUUUUUCGUUAACCUAUAAUUCAUGCAAACGAGAUCAAAUUAUCAAAGGACGUAUGAUACACGUAAAUGAGGUCAAUUUAUAAGUGCAUUGAACAUGGCAUAUCAUGUGAAUGGGAAUAAAGAAGCAUAUAAGUUUCUUAUGUUUUCAUGGCAUGUGCACAAAAAGUUUUAUUGGUGUUGAAAAUUUUAUAAUGUAUAUAAGCAUAUUUUCUCAUCUUGUUGUAUGCUAAAAGGAGCAGAUAGCGGCAUCUUCAUAAUAAAUUCUCUAACUAACUUACACCAAGCUUAUGAAUUCACUCGCAAAAAAAAAAUUUGAACUGAAAAAAAAAAAAUCUUACACUAUUCUCUAAUGAAAUAAGAAAGGUCAAAAUGAGGGCAAAGUGACUUUCUUUUAGCACUAAUAAUAUUUUUUUUUUUUUUGAAUAAACGAUAUUAUCUACCCUAAGAGGGUGGGGGAGUAGGCUAAGCCUCACAAUAGCUGGCAGUAAUGUGGUUCAAUGUGGUUCAAAUUUGUCUUUUGUGGAAAUCGAACCUAAGACCUCUCACUUACAAGUGAAGAGAAACAUCACUCAACCGUAGUACUAAGUGGCCUAAUAUGUCACACCCCGACCCGGAAUGUCCAGUAGGACUCCGAAUCGAGCUGUGCUGACCGACACCUGGAAGGUGACGAAGUCAUAAAAUGUGAUGAUGUGGAAAAAAAAUGAAUAAAUUUAAACCUAAAAGUGCAUAAAUACAACAGUGCGCCGCGAACGGAAAUGAACCCAUUUCACACGUGACGUCAAAGCAUAAAUAAAGUACAAUAGAGUGGAUUGAAAAUCAUACCAUCAAAGGUAAUCUCCAAUACCAAGACUUGCCAUGAAUCCUCGUCGAUAUGAAAGCUUUGCUACUAGACUUGGAGGGACAAAACAAGAGUAAGUGGCCAGAACAUAAAGCUUUAAUAAAGACCUUCUAAACGAUAUAAUCCCUCACCGUAACACCUGUUUAGCUUCCAAAAAAUCAUACUACGGAUAAGUAUGAAAUCAAAAGUAUACUAACAUUAAAUCCAGAAGUAUACCACGACACAGCAUCUCAAUAACAAUAUAAAUAAUCAAGUGCUUAAUAACCCAUACUAGCACGCCAACCAUAUCUCAUCAAUCAAUACUAACACAUAAGUCGGAGUCACCUGUAGUGACCUGUACAACUUAUCCACAUCUCAUUAAUCAAUGCUAGCUCAUAAGUCGAAGUCACCUAUAGUGACCUAUACGACUUAUCCAUAUCUCAUCAAUCAAUGCUAGCUCAUAAGUCGGAGUCACCUAUAGUGACCUGUACGAGUUAUCCAUACCUCAUCAAUCAAUGCUAGCUCAUAAGUCGGAGUGACAUAUAGUGACUUGUACAACUUAUCCAUAUCUCAUCAAUCAAUGCCAGCUCAUAAGUCGAAGUCGCUUAAAACAUCAUAUAGUCAUGCCAUCACUCGAUCGUUCCAAAUAAAAUGUAAUCAUAAUUAUGCAUCCCACAUUUCACAACAUAUACUCACCUGAACUUAUCUAUGCAUCCUGCACUCACCUUCGUACUUUAAAGCAUUCAUAAUAAUUAUGUGCAAUAUAUACUUAUGGACAUGCCUUGAUGCAAUUCAAAACUUAACCAUAUCAUAGUGCUUCCAAAUAUAUAUAUAUAUAUAUAUAUAUAUAUAUAUAUAUAUAUAUAUAUAUAUAUAUAUAUAUAUAUAUAUCAAUACUGUGGCGUAAAAUGCACAAUCUAUAACGCCCUACUCCCGAACUAUUAAUUUUUAGGAAUAAUUAUUGGUGACAAGCUCAACUAAACAUUAGUUUAACUAACUAUCAAUACUUACAAUUCUUUACUUCAAAUUCUCGAUCCUUCACACAAUGAUUUAUGACCAACAUCCAAUCACUAAAUCAUAAGGUUAACUCUCACAUUUUCCACCAAUGUCCCUCACCUUGCACAAUUUCCCAAACAAGGCUAUUGCCUCAAUUAUUUAAUCUCAUUUAUGUUAUGGCUACAUCUAACGUCUCGUUAGACUGCCUACGUACCCUAAACAGAAAUCAAGCCAUUCGUAGUUCGCAUUAGUACUUCACAGCAUUCACAGUAAUUAUAUGAAAUAAUCAAUUUAUAAGCAUUUGUGGAAUUAUCAAUAUAUAUAUAUAUAUACACACACGAUAGAAAGGAAGAGACCCACUCACCUGAGGUCCGCGCUAUGACUCCCUAGCAUGAAUAUUGCGACAUCACGAACCAUCAUCGCCUAUAACAAUUAUCAAAUCACGUCUCAAAGUUCUUAUCAAUAAAAUAUGCAACUUACAUAACAUACAUCCCUGCGUAGUUCGAUUCGGAAGAUCCGCAUCACGGAUUUCCGAUCCCUUACUUCCAAAGAUCCACAUUAUACUUCUAGAACAACAUCCUAAAGUUCCAUUACGAUCCAACAGUCGGAUUUCCACCAAUUGCCAAAACCAAGUGGCGGUUAAUAUUUUAUUUUAUGAACUUAAAAAUCCAAUUCGGGAAGAUCCGUAUAUUGGAUUCCCGAUCCGUAAGUUCCUAUGGCCCUUAAAUAUCACGUACUAUAACAUAUUAAAGUUUGGGGACAAUCCAAUAGUCGGAUUGUCGAUUCAAAUAAUGACCUAUUAACGUAACAUAGAGAAUUUAGGUUCCAACAAUCAACCUACAUCAUACAAUUACCAAAACUGAGCUCAAGGUAUCUAAUUUAGCCUAAGAAUAACAUCGACUGCCCCCUGGCCACGCGACACCGCACGCACCGCCGUGGGUGGCAGUCGACCGCCCCGACUCGCCGGAAAAUCCAACUAUUUCCAAAAAUUACCAAAAUUUACAAGAAUGAAGAUCUCAAUGAGUAGAGUAAACUUUAUACAUGUGGCCAAUUCCAAUUUGGCCGGGAAAAGCUUCAAUUUCACUCAAACCUGCCGAAACCUAGAAAAUGGUGUGCUCCAAUUCGACCUCCAUACUCAUUCUGACGCCUCGACCAUUGCUUGGGCUUUAUGGUAAUUGGUUGGGUUAGCUUCAAUUUUUUACUGAUUGUCUCCAUACACCCACAGGGCCCACCGUCGGUUUUUCCUCCAAAAUACCACCAAAUUCUUCUAAUUUUGGGAUGAAAAUGGAAGAGAGAGAGUUAUGGUGGUAUUUCCAAGUAGUGAUUCAACACAAUUCACCGGAAAUUGGCCGGAAAAUGCACGAAUUUGGCCUUGAUACUCGGCCGGGUCGCACGGGUCAAGAAGGAGACCCGAUUUCCCCCUCUUUCUCACCUUCCUUCCUUUCCCUCCUUUCCUUUCUCUCUGGUUGGUCAGUCUCAUCUCUUCAUUUCCUCCGAUUGAGCAGCAGCCCUUCUGUCUUCUCUCUCCCGUUCCCCCCACUUCUUCUUUCUCUUUUUCAACUUUUAAAAAUCACUAAAUGAUAAAUAAAAUAUAGACAUUAUAAAAAUAUAUAAAUAGUGACUAAACAAAAGUACUUCUCGGGUUUACAGUUCUGUAAAACUUUAACCGUAACCCUAAAUCCUUUUCUGCUUACACCUAUGAGUCCGUAAUGUUGAGUACUUCAGGAAAACGCUAAAGGAUUAAUUCAUACACCUCGAUAUACGUUGGUCAACGGAAGUCAAGACCCUCGCCUCUAAGGGCAUUUUCGUAAAAACACACUUUUAAAUUUUGUAAAAACAUAAGAUUAGGGACGGGUCGUCACAUAAUAAUAGUUCUUUGAAAAACUAUAUAUUUGAUUGUAUAAACAAUAAAGUCAUUGUUUAAUUCAUAUUUAAAUUAAAACUCAUAAAGAAAAUUAUAAUUGUCACGCCCCAAUCCCGACAUACGUCCAAGAUCGACAUGUGAUGUUAGCUCAUCCCUGUUUAUUUAUCAUGUCUCGUCUCUGAGACAAUUCCAAAACGCAAUCAAUGAUUCAACCAAGCAGUGACUUUCCUUUAUUUCAUGGCUGAAUCUAACCUUUGCGUUAGACCCCAUACGUACCCUAAAUAGGGAUCAAGCCAUUCGUAGUUCACCAUUUACUACACUCUGACGUUUAUCAUAGUACAUUCUAACAGAAGGGCAUAUCAUCCCUCAAUCAAUUAUUAGAACUGGAAAAGCAUGAAAUUACUAGAUUCAGGGCUACAUAAUAAACCCACAUGACAAUCAAGAUUUCCACUUCAUCCAUCAUAUAAAUCACUAUGUUUCAACAUAAUACUGCAAUUCAUAGCAUGCAACAUCUAAAAGAACAAUCAACGAAGCGCAAUAUUAUUCUCUAGUCACAUUGGUCAAUGAGUCUAAUCGUAAUAAUAACAAUCAUAUCCAAUAUCGUUCCACAAUCACUCCAAUUAAUCAAUUCCAUGAAUCAAAGAAGAACGAUAUUAACAUUUAACUACGUUCAUCAAUCAAUAAGAUAACAUAUUAAUUCACAAAAUUUAAUAAAGGAAUCCUAUAUAAUUUCCUACUUGGAUUCCAAGUAAUAACAUGAUAAAUCUAAUUUAUAAACACAAUGUCUACUGUGAGCAAUUCCUAUUCACUCGAAUCUAGGGGCCGGACUAACUUUAUGGAAAUGAUAAAGAAUAAGGAUUCCGGACACUCACCGGAAUCCAACUAAAUUAUGGUUGCCUAUCAAACUAUACUAACCCUCAUCACCCCUGGAAUGCGUAUGGUCCCCAAUUGUGGAUAUACCAAGCAGAACCAUAGGCAUAAUCUAAGCGUGCAGGCAGUGAUCACCCAUCAUGGAUAUACCAAGUAUGAUCACCCUUGAAAUACGUAUGGUCCCCCAUCGCGGAUAUAACAAGCAGGACCGUAUCCUAUAGCUCUAGGUAGUGAGCACCCAUCGAGGAUAUACCAAGCAUGGUCACUCCUAGAAUGCGUGUAUGGUCCCCCCAUUGUGGAUAAACCAAGCAGAACCAUAUGCAUAGUCUAAUAAUGUAGGCAAUGAUCACCCAUCGCGGAUAUACCAAUCAUGAUCACUCCUAAAAUGUGUAUGGUCCCCCAUUGCGGAUAAACCAAGCAGAACCAUAAGUAUAGUCUAAUCGUGCAAGCGGUGAUCACCCAUCGCAGAUAUACCAAGCAUGAUCACCCUUGAAAUACGUAUGGUCCCCUAUCGUGGAUAUACCAAGCAGGACCAUCCUAACCACUGCUACAUGGUGCAGUCACAUCAAUACACAACAAGCACCAAAUUAAUAUGAAUCAUAAUUCCUAGCAUACACACCAUCAAUUCGACAAGACAACGAUCAUUGAAUCACAUCAUACACAUUCUAUAACAUGUGUCUAUGCCGAAAUAUAUAAAAUUAACUUUUUUUUACCAAAAUAAUUGUACAUACAUGAUUGUACCACAAUAUAUUAUAAUGAACCUAAAUGUAUGUACCAAAAUGUAUUCUAUAGAAUUAAUGUACCUAAAUGUUAGUACCAAAAUGUAUUCUAUAGAAUUAAUGUACCUAAAUGUUAUGUACCGAAAUAUAGUAUAUUAAAUUAAUGUACCUAAAAGUCAAUACUCAAAUGUGUGUACCAAAACGUACGUACCGAAAUGCAUUAUAUUGAAUUAAUGUACCUAUAUGUUUGUAUCGAUGAAUAUACCUAAAUAUUCAAAUGUAUUAAUGUACCUAAAUGAAGAACAUACAAAAUUGUUAUCAGAAUAUAUAUUAUAAAAAAAUUAGUUGCUUAAAUGUAGACAUUAAAAUAUAUUAUGAUGAAUGAAAUAAAAAUUAAAUUUAAAUGUAAUUAAUACAUUAAAAUAAAAAUAAAAAGAUAAAUAAAACAUCAAAAUAUAACUAAUAAAUGAGAUUAUUAAAUGUACUAGGCAUUAGAGCAUCUCCAAAGGAGAUGUCUAAAUUGCCAUGUAGGCAUACAACAAUAAAAAAUGGUAGCAAACUCUCUCCAAUCGAGCCUUCAAUUUCUUACAUGGCGCUGAGUCAUUUGAAGGCAAAGCAUUUUGCUGUUAUGUUUUUGAAAUAUUUGAUUGGUUGCCUUAAUAAUUGGACUCCACAAAAAGAUAAAAAAUUUAUUAAAUGACAUUAUUAUUUACUAUAUCGGAUGGAGCAAAAUAUUGUACAAAAUGUCAAAACUGCCACAUAAGCUAUCAACUAUCAUUUUUUAUGUUUAAAAUUUGACAUCUCCUUUGGAGAUGCUUUUACAAAGCAAAUCACAUCCAAAAACAUUGAAAGGAAGAAAUCAUUAAAGUAAAUAAGCAAAUGUGCAUCCACAACCCAAUUAAAAAAAAAUAAAGGAAACCACUUACAUAGAAAGGAAUCUCAUGAGAAGAGAAUUAAACUUCUCCCUUGGCUUAAAGUCAGAUUUCGAUGAAUUGGUCGGAAUUUUUUGUUUCUCCGUCGGGUGCUUCUUUUCUUGCCCUUGUUCUGCCCUGCGUGGUCAUUUCGAAGGAAAAUCGGGGUGGUAAAUGUGUUAGGGUUAUUGAUGCUUAGAUUGAUAUAAGAUUUGUCGAAAACGAUAACCGAAUGAAAAAGAUGUGAAGAUUUGAAGUUAGAGGAGCCAAAUGGAGAAGAGAAAAAAAAAUCAAGAACAGCAGCAGAGCUGCUAGUUUCACACGCAGUUCGAAUUUACCAAAAUCCCCUUUUAUUUAGAAAAUUCGUAAAUUUCUCGUUCGAAUUUCAAACUCCAAUUUGUUUGCGCUUACGUGUUCAUAGUAACAUGUACUAUCUAAUUAAAUAUCCGAAGAACAAUAGAAAAAUAUGAAAGGAUCAAAUACAUCCAUGUAAAAUCUCGUUUAGCACAAGAGGGGCAUCUUCAUCUUUUAACCAUUUCAAGAAAAAAUUAAACGCAGCAAAUAUAAACGCGUCGAAACUAAGAAUACAAAAUACCUAAUUUUAAAUCGUGAAAUCCGGAGAUGGGGGUUCACAAUAAUAUUUUAGGAAAUACAUUUAUGUGGAGCCAAAAAUAAUCACAAGGCGACACGUGGAUUUUUUAGUGAAAGAGGACCAAACUACCCUUGAGGCACACCGGGAUUCCUACAUGCGAGCAACUCAAAAAUGCUCCAAAGAGGUAACAAUUCAACAUUCAUCUCAUCAAAUUCCCUUUUUUGCAAAGUAACCUCCAAAAUAAUAUUAAUUGGUAAAUUAAUAGAUUAAUUAUCCAAUUAAUCCAUUAAUUACCUAUUAAAUUAUACAAUUUAACCUAAAAAUUGUUAAAGGGCUGGCUACUUCCUUUUCAUCCUCACCUUUCUCACUUUUCUCCAUUUUAUUAACCCAUUUAUACAAAUAAAUAAUUUUGUAACCUCCCGCCGAGCAGCCCAUUCUCGUGGCCCAGCCUGCUCCCGCCGAGCAGCCCAUUCUCGUGGCCUAGUCUGCUUCCACGGCCCAGCCUGCUUCUGCCGAGCAGUCCACUCUCGCGGCCCAGUCUGCUUCCGCCGAGUAGCCCACUCUCAUGGCCCAGUCUGCUCCCGCGGCCCAGCCUAUUCCUGCUGAGCAGCCCACUCUCGUGGCAUAGCCUGUUUCCGCCAAGCAGCCCACUCUCAUGGCUCAGUCUGCUUCCGCGGUCGAGCCUACUUCCGUAGCAUUCCAAGCAGCCCAAAUCGGCUCAAGACUAUUUCGACCAUUCGGACCAACCAUCAAGCCGAGGGCAUUUUCACCAUGUUUCUCUGUGGAUUUGACAUUUCCCAAUUUAAAUCUCGCGCCCGGAGCCUACCACACUUCCACUGCUCAAUGAGGCACAUUCCUUCCAAGCUCUUUCAAUCCAAAUGGCAAACAACACUUGUCUCGACAAGUUAUAGAGUUGAUGAGCGCCCUUGCACAACAAACGACCUUGGUGAAUCAACUUUUGCAGCUCACCGAGAUCCAACGUGCCCCGAACGAGGUGUCACGAAGUAGGAUAAGGGCAGACGAAUCUUUCCAGUAGCGUCAAAUGCAAGCAGCCACUCGAUCAGCCAUGAGCCGAGCGUUCAGGCAGUGUACAUUCCCGAUUAGGCCCCCAAGAUAGCGUAUACUCCCGUCUUAGCGCGCGGAUGAGUGUGCACUCUUGAUUGGGCCCGAAGACAAGUAUACACUUACGGUUGGAGUCACAUUCCGAUAAUCAACAUAAGAAGCCUUUCAGGCAAAGUGUUUAUUCGCGGCUGGGCCUGCAAGGAGUAUCCUCCACAUUACAUCAGAGCAGGCAGCACGACGGAUAGAGAGAAACAGUCACUCAAUCUGCCUCAAGUUCAACCGGCAGUCUGCGAAGGAGUAUCCUCCACAUUACAUCAAAGCAGGCAGCACGACGGAUAGAGAGAAACAGUCACUCAAUCCGCCUCAAGUUCAACCGGCAGUCUGCGAAUAAUUCCCUUGUUUGCCAAGAGUGGACCACAUGCACCCUGCCACGACGUAGACGAGCUGAGAACAUGGAAAAGUAGCCUAGACCAGUAGGUCAAGACCGGGGCAACCGAUAGCCCUGCCACCCCCAACAAAGGUAAAUUUAGGAAGAAGUAGAAAGGCUCAUGACCAAGCGAUUGCGUAAUUUCCCGCACAACGAAGUUAUUAAUAAGACACUCCGAUGAGACAUGACCAACAUAAGCGAGUCAUCUUUCAAUGACAAGAUCGAGCAGAAGGGAUUACCCCACAUAGAUUGUCGAAUAUAAAGAUAACUUCUGCUCUGACAAACAUAGCAGCUCAGCCUAAUGGCGCACCGGGGGCAAACGAGUACCAAAAGGACACAUUAACCCAACUACCAAGAACCGGGGGCAGGUUAAGGAUUAUUUCAGUUGUCUCAUCAGUCUAGCUUUCCUCAGCUGCACUCACAACAACGACUUCCAUGCUCUCCAGUGCGAUAGGGUAAACCAAUUCCCCGACACCCAAAAGGGUAUGUUCUCUAGUGCGAGAGGUUAAACUAAUAUGCUUUCCAGUGCGAGAGGGUAAACCAAUUCCCCAACACCAAAAAGGGUCUGCUCUCUAGUGCGAGAGGUUAAACUAAUUGCUCUCCAGUGCGAGAGGGUAAACCAAUUCCCCGACACCCAUAUGGGUAAGCUCUCGAGUGCGAGAGGAUAAACUAAUUACUCUCCAGUGCGAGAGGGUAAACUAAUUUCCCGACACCCACCUAGGUAAGCUCUCCAAUGCGAGAAGGCCACAUAGUUCAAAAGAUCAAAUGCUUGAAGAUCAACUAAGUAACAAAUGGUUAGGGGGUAGCAGCUACUUUUACACUUAACAGUUCGAUCAUCCGACACUUCGUCUUCGACAACUCCGAUCUUGGCAACUUCAUCCUUGACUACUCCAUCUACGACAUCUGAGAAAUCAAACUCAAGCAGUUUCCUCAUUUUUGGCAAACAGCCCAGACGUGGCAGCCCAAAUCGUUGUCCAUGCCACGCCAUUUCCUCGGCCUAUGCUGAGCCAAUCCUUGGCUUCAAUCAAGCCAAGUAACACAAACAAUGGCCUUUGCCACAUCACCUCCUUGGCCCAUGCCAAGUCGACUCCUGGCCCCUACCAACCGAUGUGCCGUACCACCCCGAUGGUUGCCCCGUGGCAGCACCUUUCAAGAAGAAGAUAAGGAGAAUUAAGUUUUUCUUACAUCGGUGCGGCGUGGAGAAGACGAAGAAAGCAACGAAAAACGGUCUUUUGCACGGGCAAGAUAUAGAAGAUUGGUAGAGGAGGGGGAACAAGUAUCAUCUAAGCUCUCUCUCUCUCUCUUGUAGGGUAGAAUAAAUCACUUUUCAAAGUUGAUUUAAUAACCCACUUAAGGUGGACUUAAAUAAGCUUUGGGAGAAAUUUAUUUUCCUUUCCUAGAAGGAUCUAAUUUCAUAUUAAAGAGGGAAUCUACAUCAAAAUAGGAAGCAGUUCUAAGUUUCCUAGAGCAAGAAGAUCUCUACACCUGCUGCCUUUUUCUACGAGUAGUCCAGCAGGUGUGGGGGCAUUUGUGGAGCCAAAAAUAAUCACAAGGCAACACGUGGAUUUUUUAGUAAAAGAGGACCAAACUAUCCUUGAGGCACACUGGGAUUCUUACAUGCGAGCAGCUCAAAAAUGCUCCAAAGAGGUAACAAUUCAACAUUCAUCUUAUCAAAUUCCCUUUUUUUGCAAAGUAACCUCCAAAAUAAUAUUAAUUGGUAAAUUAAUAGAUUAAUUACCCAAUUAAUCCAUUAAUUAACUAUUAAAUUAUACAAUUUAACCUAAAAAUUGUUAAAGGGCCGACCACUUCCUUUUCAUCCUCACCUUUCUCACUUUUCUCCAUUUUAUUACCCCAUUUAUACAAAUAAAUAAUUUUGUAACCUCCCAUUUACUUCUUUCAUACUUAAUUAGCCUAUAAAUUGGCUAAUUAAGCCAAAACCAUAACCACAAAAUCCCUUGAAAAACCGGCCAUCCUAGCCCUAUAAAUAGGCUCCUAUUUUCACCAAACACUCAUUCGAAUACUUUGGCAAAAAUCCCAAAAAACUCUCCAAAUACUUUUCUCUCUAAAUUCUAACUUUGGCAUUGGAGGUUCUUCGGCCAAAGCCCCCCCCAUUCAUCGUGGGCGCGUGAGGCUCUUGGCCUUGACCUAAGGUGUUAAUUGUUUUGUAGGUGCAAUUUUGUCCAAGAAGAAGAAGGUGGGAAUUUGCAUCCACAAUUUAUACUUACAAAGACAUACAAAUUUUACUAAUCAACAUUGAAACAAUUGUGCAUAUUCCAUGAAAGCGUAAUGAGAUUAUAAAAUAGUCCCCCACAUGAAAUUUUCAGAUCUACAAUUUUCGUAAACUUGUGAUACACGGUAAAUGUGUGAAUUCUUCAAUGAAUUGUCUGGAGCCUAAAAUAAUUCCAAAAAUUCUAGAGGCAACACGUGGACUUUUGUUCGAGAAAGACAAGAUUGCCCUCAAUAACUGGACAUGCUCCUCAGAUACUCCCAUGCGCAGCUUACACCCCUGAAGGUCUCAACAGUUAAAUACAGUCUACACAUAGCUCACCUGCCCUUAGCAAGGAAAAGUCAAAGCAUGAAAGAUAAGGAUUAAUUACCCAAAUCCUAUCUUUAAUACAUUCCCAAUUGAAGAUUAACUCCAAUCAAGUAAGUAAUCCCAAUUUAAAUCAAUUAGGGAUAAUUACUCCAUUAUCUCAAGAUAUUAUUUCCUAUUUAAUAUCUUGAGAAUAUUUCUCCAUAAACAUUGAUCAAUAGGAUGCCGCCAUGUGUAGGGUAAAACCCUAACACUAUGGCCAGCCCUCUCCCUUAUAUAUACCCCAUAUUCUACCAAAUUUCAAAAGCUUUUGCUACCCUAAAAAAGCCCUAAUCACUUUACUCUCUCAGAGAAACUGAUUUAGGCAUCGGAGAUCCAUUGGCCUAACGCCCUCCCCUCCACCUUGUGGGCGCGUGAGGCUUAGGUCUUUGAUCAAAGGUGUUGAUUGUUUUGUAGGUGCAUUUUCGUUAAGACUGAAGACAGUGGAAAUUUGCAUCGACAAAUUAGUGCUUUCAUUGAGAGCUGAUUCAAAUACUUGAAGAAGCCUUUUGCAUUUGGUUUCUAGAAUUUUCUGUUACGUUGAAUUUCUCACAUGUAUCAAUUAGUUUUUCCUAGAAAAGUUUCUUGAUCAAUCCCUAGAGAAAGGAUAUAAUGGUAGAAAAUUCAAAAACCACGACGAAAGGAGUGUAAGUACAAGGACUUGGACCGGAGAGUGGAGAUGAGGACAUGGCCACACGACGGCGAUCCUCAAGGCUCAAUGGGAUGGCAGGAGGAUCCCCACUGCCACGGAAUCGCACCACCACCGUUGCCGCGACCCAGUAGCCACGACAAGGCCACCAGGCCACGGCUCAGGCUCCUACAACGCUGCCCUUGCAGUGGCCCAAUCCCCAAAACCCUGGGCAGGAGGCCUAAAGCCUGGCAGCUAGCACAGCAAGCCCAGGACAGGAGGCCCAGCCCACCGCAGUAGCAAGCUGCAUCGCGGACCUAAGCCCACAAGAGCCUAGUAGACCUGGCCCAGCCAGUAGGAGCAGCCCAAGGACAGGCGGCCCAAGCCCAGCUCACUGCUAGCCGAGCCCAAGCUUGUGAGGAGCAAGGAGCGGCCCAGCGUCAGCCAGCCCACGCGCUACCCUAGAGCGUCCCCACACAGACUCUAAUUGCGCAGAUUAAAGUCUAUUUUAACUAGUACAUGCUUACAUAUAUUGUGUGAACAAUUUCAUUUUAUUUUGCUUUGUAUUAUAAAGUGUUGAUUAUUUUAAAAAUUCUCGAAAAAGCUUACAUGAGGUGCUUGGAUCAGAGUCGAUCGUUUUCGAGUCGUAACCCUUUUCGGGGCAGUGAGGAAGAUGGUGGCUUGGUAGUUGGGUUUGGGUGAUCUUAGCCUCUUAUGAAGCUUUUCUAUUUUUUAUUGUUAAGUUUCUUUUUAUUUAUUUGUUAUUAAAUUUUGUGGGAUCCACAUGUGUAUCACGUUAGCAUUCUAACAGAAGUUUUGACGAAAAUAUAAUGGCAAAUUGAUUUGUGGCAUCCAAUUCAAAUGUUACACUGAUCGAUUUCAAUUUCAAAUGUCACCUUAAUUAAUGCGUCAAUUUCCGAAUAUUUGCGUUGAAGACACAUUUUAGAAAAAUCUACUACACAACGUGUGGGGUGUUGAUUUGAAAACGCACGGUCAAGCACGGUAAUACCAAAAUAUUUGGAAUGGCCAUGGGGAAAAUUCCGUAUCUCGUCUCGCUUGAACUCGUUCGCUAACCUAUAUAUGUGUGCUGAAACACAGAGUCGAAAACAAACAACGCACGUAACAUUCUCAGCUUCUCAUCAAACUAGAUUAUUUUACUUUCUCUCUGUAAACCGUUGGAAUUUCUGUUCUUUCAUCACCCAAGAACAGAUUACGUAAUUGAAUUAAGUUUUGAGUCACUUUGUUUCCUAAAUUAUGUCUGUAGUUUCGGUCGGAAUGGGUGCUCUGAGAACGUCAUUUCAAAUGCUGUUUGAUGCGGUAAAAUCAGCGCAGGAGGAGAAUACAAUGUUCCAACACCUCCUCGGAAACAUCAAAUCCACACUGGAAUCUCUACAACCACUCAUCAAAGACAUCGAAAAGUAUAACUCCAAGGAGGGGCGGGAAAAUUAUGCAAUACAGAUGGAGGAAGGAGCAAAGCUUGUUCAAAAGUGCAGCAAAGUUGGCGUGGGGAGAAAACACGCAUACACAAAGAAGCUUAAUCAACUGGACAAGUCUCUUCGAAGAGUCUUUGAUGUGCUUAAACUGCAGGUUAUGAGGGAUGCGAGGGAGACGUUGGUUCCUUUGAGGAAAAUCGAGACGGUGCUCUCUCGAAUAGAAGAGAGAUUGAAGAUAAAAAAUAACCAGCCUGAAAUGGUUAAAUGUUCGUCUGCGGUGCCUGAAGCGCCAUCGGUUACAGUCGGGUUGGAUUUGCCGUUGAAGGAGUUGAAGGUUAAGCUCCUUAAGGAUGAAAAGGUGUCUAUGCUUGUGCUGACCGCUGCUGGAGGAUGCGGGAAAACCACCUUGGCUAAAAUGUUUUGUCAAGAUCAAGAAGUCAAAGGUAUGCUAAUUAAAAAGUAAUACACCGUGUAGAGGAUUAUGCAAGUAGAACUACGCGCUAGGGCCUAUAAAAUGUCCGCUAUACUCCCUCCAAACAUACACAGUAACCAAAAUUUGUUAAAGAAAAACAACGAAGGAGACAUGAAACUAAAGCGCACGAAAGGAAUAUAAGAAAGAUUAGAAAGGCCUAAAUGGGCAUGCCCAACAAAUAACAAGUGGUAGUGAUAUGAACUUGGCAUGAUUUUCUUUGUACUAAUUGUAAGUUAAGCUGAUGCCUUCCUCUUAGAGUUAACAGGUCUUGCAAUGAGCUACUGCUUGAUUACUUGGUCUCAGAAUUGCAGACAUAUCUAGUCAACCUUUUAUUAACACCUUUCCUACAUUCUGUUUGGAUAGAUACAUUCAAGAACAACAUCUUCUUUGUCAAUGUCUCGAAAAAGCCCAACUUGGACCUUAUUGUACACGAACUAUAUCAACGGAAGGGGUCCGAGCUGCCUGCUUUCGAAAACGAAGUCAUGGCGGCUAAAUGGUUGCAACAAUUUCUGAAGGAAUCAAGACAAAAUCCUCUACUGUUUGUCCUGGAUGAUGUUUGGUCAGAAUCAGGGUCCCUUCUUGAGAAGUUUGAUCAAUUCAAGUUUUCAAAUUGCAAGAUUUUGGUCACAUCAAGAUUUGCAUUUCCAAGAUUCGGUUCUCCUUAUCAUUUGGCACCAUUGAAUGAUGAAGAUGCAAUGGAUCUUUUUCACUAUUCUGCAUCCUUGGAGGAUAAGAGCUCUUAUACUUAUGAAGAUCUUUCGAGAAAGGUGAUUUCUUAGUCCACAAUACACACACACACACACAUACAUAUAUAUGCUUAUUUAUGCCCCAGAAGAAGGUAAAGAAAUAACAUUUGAGCAUCCACACACGUUAAUGAACUGUGAAGAAUGAAGUAAGAAGAAUGAAAGACUAGACAGUUUACAAUUUUAUCAUCUUUAUGAAACCAUUUAGAUGAUUUUCAACAAUUUAAUCAAAUAAUAGUAAUUGAAUUCAUUUUGGAUAAUUAAAUUGCAGAUUAUCAAGCGCUUUAAGGGAUGCCCACUUGCCAUUGCAUUGGUUGGGAGAUCACUUCGCGGCCAGCCUAUAGAAAUCUGGCACAAAAGAGUAGUGGAAUGGUGCAAAGGUUCAUCUAUUCUUGAUUCUGACAGGGAUUUACUUGCUUGCCUCCAAAGCAGCUUAGAUGCCUUGGAUAAAGAGAAGGCUAUCAUCAAGGAAUGUUUCCUCGAUCUAGGUUCUUUUUCGGAGGACCAAAGAAUUGCUGCUGCCGCCCUCAUUGAUAUGUGGGCGGAGUUAUAUGGUCUAGAUGAAGAAAUUCUGACCAUUGCCAACCUUCAUGAGCUCACCGCCCGAAGUUUAGCUACUCUUGUUGUCACAAGGUAUGCGGGCUGCUCAUAAUUUUCUAUUUCAUUAUGUAUGCCGAACAAAUCAUUAAAGAAUUAAGCAUCGAUCAUCCAGGCAUGAGAGGGAGGCGGAUGGCUAUUACACUGAACACUUUGUCACCCAGCACAACAUGCUUAGAGAGUUGGCGAUCCAUCAGGGGAGUCAAGACCCAAUAGAACAUAGGAAACGACUAUUUAUAAACAUAUGCGGGGACAAACUUCCUAAGUGGUUGACAGAACAAAAGUAUCAAGCAAUCAAGGCUCGACUGUUAUCUAUCUCAACAGGUUCCAUCAAUCUCUCUUUAGUAAAUACUUAUACAUGUGCGCUCGGGACAUGGUUUGUGUGCACACACACACACGCUCAUUCAUACUAAAACUUCAAUAGGACUUCCACACAUUUAGGCUAAUAUCUUAAAGCUUAUUGUUUGCAGAUGGAGCCUUCUCAGCAAAAUGGCCAAACAUGCAAGCACCUGAAGCAGAGGUUCUAGUUCUGAAUUUUCAAACAAAGAACUAUGCCUUACCUGAGUUUGUGGAGAAAAUGGAUAUACUAAAGGUUCUAAUACUAAAAAAUUAUGGUUUGUUAUCUGCUGAACUAGAUAAUUUUGAACUACUUGGUUCGUUAUCAAAUCUUAAGAGAAUUAGAUUAGAACGUAUUUCAAUUCCAUCCAUAAGCAAGGUCCUUAAACAGUUGAAAAGUUUGCAAAAGAUAUCUUUUUUCAUGUGUGAUAUCGGCCAAGGUUUCGUCCAAAUUUUAGAUGCUCUGCCAAAUCUAGUGGAAUUGAACAUAGAUUAUUGCCAUGAUCUGGUGCAACUUCCUGCCAACCUCUGUAACCUUGUUCACCUUAAGAAGCUUAGCAUCACCAACUGUCAUAAGCUAUCUACCUUGCCUGCAGACAUCGGAAAGCUUGUAAAUCUAGAAGUGUUGAGGCUUAGGUCAUGUGCAGACUUGUUAGAGUUGCCAGGCUCGAUUAGGAACCUUAAAGUUUUGAAAUUUCUCGACAUAUCCGAUUGCUUUAGCGUAAAGGAGUUGCCCGAGGACAUUGGUGCAAUGUGCAGCAUGGAAAAGAUCAACGUGAGCCAGUGUUCAAGACUGAAAGAGCUCCCUGCUUCUGUUAUGGAUCUUGAGCAGUUGAACGAAGUGAUAUGCGACGAGGAGACGAAAACUUUAUGGGAACCCUUCUUACCGUUUCUCACAAACAUACACUUGAAGGUGAUCAAAGAAGAUAUCAACCUAAAUUGGCUCAACAAGCUUCCAUCCUAAGGCCAUCCUAAGGCCAUGGUCCUUCCAUCAAUGAGUGUUGGUGCAAUGUAUGCAUCGUGAUUGUGUUUAAUGUUAUUUUUCCUUUGUAAUUUGCUUCUAUUUUAUGUUUUAUAUGAUUUAAAAUAACACGGCAAUACUGUAGAAUUAUUGUAAUUACUCACCAUGGGUAUUAUUGUAAUACCAUGUUUGCAUUCCUCACUCUUCAUCAAGGUAUUAAAUAUCAGUAAUAUCGGAAAUAUUGGUAGUCCGAAAACACGGAAAUAUCGAUGGAAAUAUCGGGAUAAUAUCGAUAUCGAUAAAAAUUACAUGGAAACCACGGAAAUUGUAAGAAAAACUUGGAAAUUUUUAUUGAAACUUUGCAGGAUGUUUAUUUAGUCAAUUAUCUAUUAGUUUAUCACAAAAAAUUGGAAAGAAAUGCAUUGCAUGAUGGAUUUAACAUUAUCAAGUUGAUUAUAUAGCGAGCUGACAAACAUUGUGAGUGUAGAAAAUAUGUAGUAAUUAAUGAAAGAAGUCUAAACACACCAUAAUUAUUUAUAUAUAAUGAAUUAGUACAAUAUUUUACACUUUAUACAUUGUAUGGUAAGAUACAUGAGUGACUUAGUACCACAUAGAGUUCCUAUGAGGUUCAAAUUUUUCACUAUGUUCAUCAUCUCUAUGUGUAGAGUGAGUGUAUUGUGAAGAGUAGUUAUCAAAUGAUAAAUCCCCAAAAUAGUUUUGCAUGUAAUUGUUAACAUGCCACCCAUAUGGAUCCGAGAUUGGUUGACCUUGUCCAUAAGCAAAAUCAUUUGAAGAUUGAGUCUCGGAUUGUUUCCAUGAGUCGCUCGAUUCCAUCCCAACAGGAUUGGGAUAUGAAGGGUAGGGAAAUGGUUGGUUAUGAGUAUAACCAUAGUUACUACUUCCCAAUCCAACAGAAUCCGAAGUUAUAGAUAACGAGUCAUCUUCUUGACUUGACAAAAUCCCCUUGCCUCUUUCUCUAUAAGUAUAGUCCUUCCCUAUGGCACCAAUUCCUGGUCCUGCCCGCCUACUGUCAUAGUCAUCAUCCUGUUUUGCAUGCGUGAAGUUUCCCUCACCAGUGAAGGGGCUCAUAAAUCCGGGAGGUGCUCCAACAUAAUUUCCAUAUCCACCACCACUACCUCCAGCUCCACUAUAUCCUUCAUCAUUCCCACCUCCGGUGGUAGGUGAGUCUCCUGAUCUUGUACUAAAGCUAUCAUUAGUAUCAGCAUGAUGUUGUGGUUGUGUAGGAUUGGAAGAAGGUGGAAUUCCAGUGUUUCUUGGUCUUGGGCGCAAAAGUUCUUCCAAAGAGUCAGCGCUGCUAGAUCCCACCUCUUCCUCUAAUACUCUUUCUACAUUUAUCCCUUCAUUACGUGCUUCUUCAGCAACUCUGGGAGCUGGGUUGCCUUCAUCAUCAUCUAAAUGAAGAUGUCUAAUCCAUUGAUAAAAUUGGUUACCCUCUGUAUCAUCAUCUUCACCACAAUAUCAAACAUAUCUAAUGGGUCACCACGGUCGACAUGAUCUAUUUCUGCUUCCUUAUCUCGAAUUUGAAGCUUCAUGUUAUAGUAGCAAUAAACUAAUUUUUCCAACCUACUAUGAGCCAACCUAUUUCUUUGCUUUGUGUGUAUGAGUACAAAUGUGCUCCAAUUUCUUUCACAAGCAGAUGAGGAAGCUGUUUGUGAUAAUACUUUGAUUGCUAACUUUCUCACAGUUAGUGCAUCGGUCCCAUACAUGAUCCACCAUUCAGCUACAAUGAAAAACAAUGUUGAUAAGCCUAAUAACUCCAACAAAUUCUAUUAUAAACUUAUAGUGAAAUAUGUUUACACUCACUAGGAGACAUUGUUGUUCGAGCAACAAUUGAUGUUGGUUCUCCAAAAGUUCUCCAAAAGUUCUUCUUGCAUCUUUAAACCAUGUUAGCUGAAUUCAAUAAAUCGUGUUAGUUUAAUCCAACAAAGUAAUUAUUAUAAUUUAAGUAACUGUGUACCUCAUUUCCAAAUUGGCCAACUGCUGGUGAUGCAAGGUCUAAUUUAGAGUAAACAUUAUGUACAGCAUGUAUAAGGGUACCAUCAUCUUCAACACCUGGUCUGUAUUGGUAUCGAGGAUUCAAAUAAUAUGUUGUUCAAAUAAACACAUACUCUAAUAAGAGAAAUAAUACUUAUGCAACUAAAGAAAUGAAUUGCAAAUUAUGACAUAAUUUAUACCUGCUACAUGCAAAUCGUGGUAUAAUGUUUUAUACCAUCGGUCUUCAAUUAUCUUUAUGACCCACCUUGCACCAUGUUUUCUUUCCAAUUCAUCCUUCACUACACGCAUUAACUCAUAUACUGCCCCUAUAGUAGGAUACACUUCUGUGUCAACAAUCCGUAAAACCUUGUAAAGAGGUUCAAACACUUGGCACACAUGUUCUGAUUAAGUCCAAAAAGCAUGAUCAAGCACUAUACUUUCCACCAUACGACCUGCAUUUGAGCGGCUGAAAUUGUGGUUGGCCCAAUUGUCACUAGUGAAUAGUUGCUUCAACCCUGCUUUCUUCUUAAGUAGGCUGUCUAAUGCAAUAUAGUUGGUGGCGAAUCGAGUGGUAGCUGGACGAAUAAUUUCUCCUUUGCAAAAUUCACGCAUCUUUGCCAACAACCAACCGUGAUUGUAAAUAUAAUUUGUGAUCGGUCUAGCUCUUUUGACCACAGUAGCAACAUUCUCUCUCUUCCCCAUUGCCUCAAACAUGAGAUCAAUACAAUGUGCUGCACAUGAUGUCCAAAACACAUUAUGAUGCUUCAUUAACUUUUUUCCAGCUUUGACAAAUGCAGAACUAUUGUCGGUCACGACUUGGACAACAUUAUGCUCUCCCAUCUCCAUGAUUACAUCCCUCAAUAAUUUGUAAAUAUACUUGUAGUUCUUUAUAUGGUCUGAAGCAUCAACAAACUUCAAAAAAAAUUGUCUUUCCCUUGGAGUAUACCAUGAAGUUUAUGAUAGACAAUCUGGUCGGGCUGGUCCAUCCGUCACACAUGAUUGUGCAACCAUUAGUUUCCCACUUUGACCUCAACUUGUUAACAUACUCGCCAAUGUCUUUAUACUCCAUAUCCAAAUAUUUGUUUCUUAUCUCAUAGGGAGUGGGAGGUUGUACUCCAACACCGGCCUGUUGACAUCCCACUACCAUAUUUUUGAAAUGAUAUGAUGAUGUUUUCUCAGCAGGGACAUUUUCAUAGAUAAAGAACUUGCUAAUUAGACGCCCCAUUCCCCCCUUCACAUUACCUCCAGUGAAAUAACUCCAAACACUAUUUUGAUGUGCUUUGGAUGACUUAUAUAAACUUGGGGCUAUUGGUGGUGUUGGUUGUGAUUCUCUAAGAUUGCCUCCCCGUCUCAUUUGUGCACCACCACUUGUCCCGGAACCUUGUGCUCUAUUAGGAAUUUUAUGAAGGUGUUCUCUUUCCCAUGCUGACUGUUUGGAGGCACGUAAUGCUUGUUUCAAACUACGUCGUUCUUCAGGUCUCAUGUCAUCAUCACAUUCGUCCUCAUCAUCAUCAUCAUCACUGUCAACCGCUUGGCCAUAGACUUCUCCCCGUAGCCCAGCUCGAAUAUUUUCCAUUCCAUGUGUUAUCUUUUCCUUCUGCUGUUUUUUAUUUUUUAAUAAUGUGUUGAUGAAUGCCUUCACUUCUGGGGGGACAUUAUUGCAUCGUUGGACAUUUUUUGAUGGAUCUAAUCCACUAAGAUGGUACUUAAGUCGUGUCACUCCGCCACUCUUCAUUACCCGACCAUAAUAUUUGCAAAUUGUGCCAUGUUUGUUUCCGUCUAUUGGGUCUCCAUGUUCCCAAGCUGGAUCACGUUUAGUAACUCCACUAGACAUCUUAAACGUACCUAUAUUUAUUUUUCAUGAAAAUUACACAAUUAUUUUUUGGUAAAAUAAGAGAACCUAAAUAAUAAAGUUAUUCUACAGAAGAAUUAAAUACGAAGUAAAGAAAAUGAUUGUAAAAAUUUAAGUAAUUAUACAAAUAAUAUGGAAUAAUAAAACCUAAUAUUAAUGAAUAAUAAUCCAAUUUGAUAAAAAAAUAAUCCUAAUAUAAAACAUGGUGAUGAAUAAUAAUCCAAUUUGAUAAUAAUCCAAUUUAAUGAAUAAUCCAAUUUGAUAAUAAUCCAAUUUAAUGAAUAAUAAUCCAAUUUGAUAAUAAAAAAACCUAAUAUUAAUGAAUAAUAAUCCAAUUUGAUAAUAAAACCUAAUAUUAAUGAAUAAUAAUCCAAUUUGAUAAAAAAAAUAAUCCUAAUAUAAAACAUGGUGAUGAAUAAUAAUCCAAUUUGAUAAUAAUCCAAUUUAAUGAAUAAUCCAAUUUGAUAAUAAUCCAAUUUAAUGAAUAAUAAUCCAAUUUGAUAAUAAAAAAAACCUAAUAUUAAUGAAUAAUAAUCCAAUUUGAUAAUAAAACCUAAUAUUAAUGAAUAAUAAUCCAAUUUGAUAAAAAAAUAAUCCUAAUAUAAAACAUGGUGAUGAAUAAUAAUCCAAUUUGAUAAUAAUCCAAUUUAAUGAAUAAUAAUCCAAUUUAAUGAAUAAUAAUCCAAUUUGAUAAUAAUCCAAUUUAAUGAAUAAUAAUCCAAUUUGAUAAUAAAACCUAAUAUUAAUGAAUAAUAAUCCAAUUUGAUAAAAAAAAUAAUCCUAAUAUAAAACAUGGUGAUGAAUAAUAAUCCAAUUUGAUAAUAAUCCAAUUUAAUGAAUAAUAAUCCAAUUUAAUGAAUAAUAAUCCAAUUUGAUAAUAAAAAAAACCUAAUAUUAAUGAAUAAUAAUCCAAUUUGAUAAUAAAACCUAAUAUUAAUAAAAUAAUAAAUAACAUUAAACAUAUUAAAAUUAUCCUAGGGAAUAAUUAUACAACAUUACUUAAUUACUUAAAAAAAUUAACAUGUAAUUGUUAACAUUACUUAAUUACUUACAAAAAUUAACAUGCAAGUAUUAAUUACUUAAAAAAUUAACAUACGAGUCCACACAAAUUUAUUUGUUGUUGUAUAAAUCACAAUAAUAUAAAUAUAAGUUUGUAAACUUACCUUAAAUAUGGAACUCUUUGUGUUCAAGCUUUGGAAUGGAUCUGGAAUGGCUUUGAAAAUGGUAAGGGAAGAAGAAGAAACGAAAAUGCUCUGAAUGCCUCUGAUACUCCACCUCUGAUAAGGUGAAAGAAUAUAACAGACAAUGGCAAACUGUUUUGCAUGUGAAAGAAUAUCACGGACUCACAGUGGCACACGGUUUCAUUAUGAAAGCACUAUUAUUUGUUGUCCAUGGUCUGAAAUUGCAAAAAGUUAUUUGGAUCAUUGGAUCAGAGAGCUAGAGACAGGUUUUGAAUUAUUUGGAUCAUUGGAUGCUUUUUUUUUCUCACACGCCACCACACACACACAGAGUCAGAGAGUGAGUCACACUCACACGCCACCACACACGCACUUCGAGACCCCCCACACCACACACGCACACAGAGACUGAGCUCAGUCUCUCGAUCCUUCCUUUUCUCUCUUCUGAGUUCUGAGUCUUCUCCCUUCCUUCUCUCUUCUGAGUUUUCUCCCUUCCCUUCUCCCUUCUCUAGUUCUCCCACACACACACACAGACAUCAUCUCUCGAUCCAUCUCUCGAUCCUCCUCGUCCGCGUCUCCCUCUGCUCCUCCCUCGCCUUCCUCCUCGUCGAGCUCGUCACCAUGUCCCGCGACCUCUAUCUCUCCUCUGUCGUCCCCAUCGAUGCGAUCCUCCUCGUCCGCGUCUCCCUCUGCUCCUCCCUCACCUUCCUCCUCGUCGAGCCCGUCACCAUGUCCCGCGACCUCUACCUCUCCUCCGUCGUCCCCAUCGGCGCUCUCUACUCCCUCUCCCUCUGGCUCUCCAACUCCGCCUACAUCUUCCUCUCCGUCUCCUUCAUCUAGAUGCUCAAGGCCCUCAUACCCGUCGGCCGUCGCCGUCUACUCCAUCGGCGUCUCCUUCAAGCAAUGUUGCGAUAAUAUCGCUAAUAUCGCGAUAUUAUCUCGAUAUUUUGACGGAAACCUAUUGGAUAUGUGUAGAAAUAUUGGACUCCCAAAAAAAAACGAUAAUAUUAGUGAAAUAUCGCCGAUAUUAUCGAUUUUUUAUAUCUUGCUCUUCAUUGAUUCUCCUUUGAUUUAUUCAAUCAAUAGGUGUUGGUGCAAUGUAUGUACGGAGAAGUGCAUGGAAAGAAAAUAAGAGUUAAAAAAAAUACCCUUUGAUUUAUCCAAUCAAUGAGUUUUGGUGCAAUGUAUUAAUCUAUUGGUUGUUUCUCCACUCUCUCUUGCCGCACCUCUUUAUCCCCUAGGUCAAAACAUUACUGUUUUAUUUUGAGGAUAAUGCUAAGGUGAUUAAAUUUGUAAACAGAAUUUUACAAAGUAAGUGACAUUAAAGUUGAUGAUUGGAUUAAAACUUAAGCGUUGAUAAACUUGCUUAUUUUGAUUGAUGAUAUAUCAUUUAGUUUAUAAAUUUUGUCUUCCUAACAUUACCUCUUAUUUUAAAACUAUUUUUUAACAAGAUUUUAAACUAUUUAUUCUAAAGCACAACAUUUUUUUUACUAUUUUAUUUUAAACUAUUUAUGCUACAGCAGAACAUUUUUUAAAAGCAGUGCAAUACCAAAUCAUAUGUGCUAGAAAAUUCUGUCUCUCUCGCCUCCUAAUAGAGCGUCAAAUGUCUUUCCCAGCUCGUUCGUUUUCUUUUGGGUGAAACUUCGUUUUCUUUUGGGUGAAACUCCUUGCUCGUUCGUUAAGCUGAAACCGACAAACAGCUUACAUAACCUCCUGAGUUUCUCAUCAAACUAGAUUAUUUUACAUUCUCUCCGUGUAUCCAUUCGAAUUUCUUUCUUUCUUUCUUCAGCCAAGAACAGAUUACCUAAUUGAGUCAAGUUUUGAGUCUCUUUGUUAUGCUAAAUAUGUCUCUGGCUUCAGUCAGAAUGGGUGCUCUCAGAACGCCAUUUCAAAUGCCGUUUGAUGCUGUAAAAUCAGCAGAGGAGGAGAAAAAAUGUUCCCACACCUCCCUCCGAGACAUCAAUCCACACUGGAAUCUCUACAACCACUCAUCAAAACAUGGAAAAGUAUAACACGAAAGAGGGACUGCAAAAUUUUGCAAUACAGAUGAAGGAGGGAGCAAAACUUGUUCAGAAGUGCAGCAAAGUUGGCCUGUGGAGAAAAUACAAGUACGUCAACAAGCUUCAUCAACUGGACAAAUCUCUUCGGAGAGUGUUGAUGUGCUUAAACUGCUGGGUAUGAGGGAUGCAAGGGAGACAUUGGUUCUUUUGAGGAAUAUCGAAGUCUCUCGAAUACAAGAGAAUUUGUGAUGAAAAAUAAUCAGCCUGAAAAGGUUAAGUGUUCGCCUGUGGUGCCUGAACCGCAGUCAGUUACGAUCGGUUGUCCAUGCUUAUGUUGACUGUUGCUGGAGGUUGACCUUACCCAAAAAGUUUUGUCCAGACCAAGAAGUCAAAGGUAUGCUCUCUAUGAUUUCAACUAUUUUUUUGGUGAAGUUUUACGUCCUAUUAAAAAAGUAAUACACUAUAUAGAAGAUUAUGGGGCCUAAAAAUGCCCUCUACUCUCUCCCAGCAUAUCACUAACCAAAAUUUUCAUUUUCAAUUGUGAGUGUAGACAUCGAAAUUUUGGUAAAUAAAUUUUGACCGAUAAAUCAAAGUUUCAACGCUCAUGAAUUACAUAAAUUUUACACGUAGCGUGUGCCUCGACGAAAAAUUGAAAUGAGUCGGAAAAGUCAUCAAACAGGACACGUGUCAACACCUGGCAAAAACAACUUAUUUCAUUUGGAAUAUUAUAUUCAAAAUUAGGCCUUGGAAAUUUCUAUAAAUAGAAGGCUAAUUCAUUCAUUUGAAGGAACCAAAAUCAUUAGGCAAAAUUCUUGAAGCUCUGAAGCUCUGAAACGCCGAAGCUCUCAAGCAUCCAGGUUCCCGAAGAAUCAAGAAAGCUCUCUUCGUUCUUCGUUCUUCGUUCAUCGUUCAUCCUAAGAUCAAGCCCAAACGGCCCUUUGGAUCAACAAUCAUCCACCAAUUCAAGAUCAAGCCCCGAUGGCCCUUGAAGAAAGUGUUAUUCGUUCUUUGUUCAUCAGUCUUCCAAGAUUAAACCCCAACGGCCCUUUGGAUCAACAAUCAUCCACCAAUUCAAGAUCAAGCCCCGACGGCCCUUGAAGAAAACGUUCUUCGUUCUUCGUUCAUCGUUCUUCCAGGAUCAAACCCCAACGGCCCUUUGGAUCAAUAAUCAUCCACCAAUUCAAGAUCAAGCCCCGACGGCCCUUGAAGAAAGCGUUCUUCGUUCUUCCAAGAUCAAGCCCAGACGGCCCUUGGAUCAACAAUCCACCAAUUCAAGAUCAAGCCCCAAAGGCCCUUGAAGAACUUCCACCAAUUCAAGAUCAAGCCCCGACGGCCCUUGAAGAAAGCACCAUCGUUCAUCAUCCGUUCAUCUUAAGAUCAAGUCCCAACGACCCUUUGGAUCAACAACGUCGACAAAUCCACACAUCCAACCGUUCUUCAAAAUCAAGCCCAAAAGCUCUUGAAGAUCCGUUCAUCAUUGUUCUUCAAGAUCAAGCCCAAAAACCUUUGAAGAUCCGUUCAUCACUGUUAUUCAAGAUCAAGCCUCAACGGCCCUUGAAGAAACACUCAUCCUCAAGAUCAAGCCCCAACGACUCCUUGAAGAUUCGCUCAAAUCCACCUUCAAAGAUCAAGCCCAUGGCCCUUGAAGAAACUUCCAACAGUUCAUCCAAAAUCAAGCCUCGAUGGCCCUUGGAUCAACGAAACAUCCACAAAUCAACACCUUACAGAGAUUGAAUCAGAGGAUCAAAUUUGAGAGAGAUUGUAACCCAAAACCAUCAAAUACAAAUAUUAUUUUGUGCACGUUGUUCUUGUCGCUUUCGUUUCAGGAAAAUUUCGUGUUCACAAAUUUGGCACGCCUAGUGGGACUAUCUCUGCCUAUCAUCUCUUUCUCCGUUCAAGAAAAUCAAGCACACUUCCAAAAUCAAUGGCAUCAAGCAAAGGACAAGCCGUUCUCACAAAGGGAAGAAGCUUGAGCACUUCCGCCAUGAACGGAGCAUCCAUUGGCGCCACAACCGCUCCUCAACAUGCCACUUCAAAAUUGGUGUCGCUAAAAGAGCAAGGGGAUCAUCAAAGGCGCGAGUCCGUCAUCAACCUGACCUCGCUGGAGGCACCGAAGCAUGAUGCUGAGGCACACAAGAUGACAUCCCAAAGCAGCCAACGAUGUUCUUCGUCAGCUUCCUGGAUGUCUAAAGGAAAGUCACGUCUAUUGGUUGCACAAGUCAUGACCAUCGACGUUACCUCCAUCGAAGAACAACUGGCUCAAAUAAAUGAAGCGAUUGCAAGGCUAACACAGAUUGUGGAAGAAAAAUACUUGCAAAUCGCUGUACUCGUCAGCCGACUGGAGCCACAGGACGACGAGAACCCCAACCCAGAAGAUGAUCCACUAAAAAGAGAAGCUGGCGAAUAAGAUAAGCCUCCGAUAGAGAGAAUCGAUGUGAAGCCGGAGCUAGACCAAGCAGCGGCACUUAUGGGAUUUCUUUCUAUCCAGCAGCUGUAGGAGAUGAUCACCAACACCAUCAAGGCACAGUACGAAAGGAGCUCAAAUACUUCCGGGUUCUACUCGAAGCCUUAUUCCAAGAAGAUUGAUACCCUGAAGAUGCCAAAGGGUUAUCAACCACCAAAGUUCAUGCAGUUUGAUGGAAAAGGAAACCCAAAGCAGCAUGUUGCACAUUUCGUUGAAACUUGCAACAACGUGGGGACGGAGGGAGACUACCUCGCCAAGCAGUUUGUGCGCUCGCUGAAAGGAAACGCCUUUGAGUGGUACACGGACCUAGAGUCUGAGUCCAUCAACAACUAGGAGCAAUUGGAAAGAGAGUUCUUUAAUCGCUUCUACAGCACCCGCCGCACUGUAAGCAUGUUAAAGCUGACAAGUACAAAGCAAUGGAAAGAUAAGCCGGUCAUUGACUACAUCAACAGAUGGCGCACUCUAAGCCUCGACUGCAAAGACAGGCUCUCGGAGACCUCUUCAAUCGAGAUGUGCAUCCAAGGCAUGCAAUGGGGUUUGCAAUACAUCCUUCAAGGCAUCAAACCACGGACCUUCGAAGAGCUAGCCACCCGCGCCCAUGACAUGGAGUUAAGCAUCGCCCAUCAUGGGAAGAAGGAACCAAUCGCCGACUACAAGAACGACAAAGUUCUUGAGACAAAGGUGGAGAAGGUUGUGUGGAAAUCCACCAAGGAAGCAAUGACGGUCAACACAGCUCCCGUCAAAAUCCCUACAUGAGGCAAGGCGAUUCAAGCUGAAGCUUUUCGUGAUCAAGAGAUGCGUAAACGCACUUUGAAGGAGCUUGAGGAAAAGACUUAUCCAUUCCCCGACUCUGAUGUGGUUGCCAUGUUAGAAGACUUGCUGGAAAAGAAGGUGAUCGGCUUGCCUAAGUGCAGACGGCCAGAAGAGAUGAAUCGCACCGACAGUCUAAGGUACUGUAAAUUCCAUCGCUUCAUCAGUCAUCCGACAAAAAAGUGCUUCGUGCUGAAAGAUCUCAUCAUGAAGCUGGCACAGAAAGGAAUCAUCGAGCUAGAUCUUGACGAUAUGGUGAAGUCAAACUAUACCACCAUCAUUUUUGGCUCUUCUGACUCAAAGUUUUUACCUCAACCUCCGGGGGCAUCCUUCAAGACAAGUAAAGUUGAAGGAUGGACUCAAGUCAUUCCUAAGAAAUUGCACAAGAAGCAUACGUCUCCUCCAUAAGUCCGCCAAUCGGAAAGGGGGCAAAGCAGCUCUUGUCAACCUUCAAAGCAACGUGAACGUGUUAAAGAUGAUGAAAUUGCGAUACAAAGAUCGUCUGUUGCCAUCACGAUGCGCGACUUCUUACCCGAAGACUUCUUCAAUCACGCGGUCAAGGCUCCUUACUAUGAAGAUUGUGAGGAACGCCUCUCCAAAAUUGCUUGACAAAUUCACCAAUUUUCCUCACCCGCGUGAGUCUAAACUGCAUGGCACAAAGCUCCUGGUCUGCACGAGCAUAAAAGGCAACACUAAUGCUCCUUCUCCGCAAGAGCCUAAACUGCAGAACACUAAAGCUCUUGGUUUGCACGAGCAUAAAAGGCAACACCAAACGCUCCUUGCCUGCACGAGUUAAAACUGCAAACGGCACAAAAAAAAAUUCCAAAAAAAAAAAUCUGUAUUUGAACUACGUUUUCAUUUGAUCUCUUCCUUGGAGGGGUACGUAGGCAGCUCGAACAUUAAAUUUCGAGUUUAGUCACAUCAAAAUAAAAUUUAAAAAAAAUAAAUGUUUUAUUAAUGAAAGUCAAUUUCAUUACAAGAAAAAGAAUACAUAUGCUAUUACUAUGUAUUUUAGAAAAAAAGAAAAAAAAAGAAAAAAAAUAAAUACAUAUAUUAAAAAAAAAAGAAACACACACACAUAUAUAUAUAUAUAUAUAUAUAUAUAUAUAUAUAUAUAUAUAUAUAUAUAUAUAUUUGUAUAGCCCAGCUACAAAUCAGGCUUCUUUCAGUUCACAGGCCCAAUCUGACCACCAAGCAGCAGCAAGCCCAUCCUCACUUGUGUCUGGGCCCAGCAGCAGAAAGCUCAACCCCCUAGCCCUGAUCUCUCCCUGCGACUCCAAACUGCUCUUCUCCGCUCGCCAAUCGCAGAUCCAAACCGCCGCACGAUGGCAAAAAAAGCAAUCAAAACCCAAACAGAUUUCGCCGGCGAACGCAGUCUUUCUCGACGCUCUAGCUCCUGGCGUUAACAGUCCAAUAUGGACGACGCUGAGAUUUGUGUUUGUAAUGCUGGCUGGAGCUUUGUAACGUCAACUAUGGCUCGGCCAAGGCAUGUGCAUGAACGCAACAAGCUACGGCGUUGUUCGAUUGUCGCGGUGCUUACAACAGUGGCGGAGAAUAUGAACAUAGCAACAGAUACAAGACCGGCAGAUGCUGCAGUAGAAGAGAAGAUAGUGAGUCAUCCCUUGCCUCUAGCUGCAUCUUCCUGACGCUGUCUCUGCGUUCGCUGCCGUCGGUGUGCAGCUUCCUCUUGAUCCUGCUCCACGUGUUGACAAUUGACGGGGCUACAUCUAGAUGCGCAGCGGCGAGGAAAAAGUCGAGCUCCAAGUAGUACGGAGCGCACAUGGUGCUAAAGGCACUGACGGCGAUUCCAAGGGUCGCUGGCACCAGCAGUCGCUGACGGUGCUGGUGUUCACGAGGGCCUUCUCCUGCAAAUAUCCUGUCUCUCGUCAUCCGCCACGUCUUCUUCCUCUCAUGAAAGUGGCGGAGUCACCCACAAACAAAAGGAAGACCCGCAGAUGCACAAGAUCUGGAUAUUGUUGGAUGGCUUGCUAGGGAUCCUAAUGUCCUGCGUCGUGUUGGACACUUGCUGCUGCAACUUCCUUAUACAGUUUCACGCAGUCCAAGACAAAUUGUAAUAGCUGAUGAUUGCUUUCAAGAAGUAAAGAUUCCCGUUGAUAGGAUUGUUCAAGUGGUGAUCAAAUCCACUGAGAAGCUUUUUGGAAAACAAGUUUUGAAACAUGAAAAUAUUGGGGAAUACUGCAAUUCAAAAGUUCCAAGCUUGAAAAAGAUUUCACGGCCAGAAGAAGCUUCAUCCCUCAAAUUGCUUGCCAAUGUUGUGCAGUUUCUUCAAAGGCAUGAGUUCAGACAUAAUCAUGGGGAGUGGAUUGAUUCGGUAAAGCCUGUUUUGGAGUCUGCUACUUCAGCUCAGCACUGCGUCCUCCUCGGGCGACCACGGUCCCCUCACUUUCCUGCUGGGCAUUGCGCCCUCGUUCAACUCAGCUUCGGUGCCGGGGCGGUUGUCGGCUUCUUUGGGGACAACGUCGUUUAGGACUGUCAUUGGUGGUCCCCAUUGCUGGCAUUAUCCUCACAACAACUCUAUUGACAAGACCCCAAGGACUCGUCGGACAUUUCCCGCAUCUCCUCCUUGCUGUUGGAAUGGACCAAGCUCCUCUGCAACAAGCACAACACCAUCAAUACAGCUGCUUCAUCCACUGCCUCAGAACAAUCAUCUUCUCCGUCAAGCAGAAAAGUUAGAGGUGCAGGAAGCUGUCAAAGUUGUAGUGAUAUAUAGAAAGAAAUAAUAAUAAUAAAAAACAUUGGUGCGGCAUGAGUGGUGGUACCACCGAAAGCAAAGAAAAAAUAAUAAUAAUAAAAAUUCAAUAGAGUCAUGAUGCGGUGUGUUUGAGCACUACCAAAUGCCAAAAUAUAAAAAUAAAAAAAGGGAUGGUGGAGUAAAGUGGUGCUGGCACCACGUGAAAAAAAAAGAGGGUGCAUCUCGCACCGAAAGCAAAAAAAAAAAAUAUAUAUAUAUAUAUAUAUAAAAAAUAAAAAAAAUGCAUUGAGAGAAAUAAAGUCUAUUUUAUUUAUUUUUCUGAAAAUUUUACAUAAAUUUGCAUUAUACAUACCUAAAAAUAAAAGAGUAAACUGUCGAUUUACCCCCUGAACUUUCACCUCGCUUUCAAUUUCCCCCCUUUUCUAUUGGAAAAUUAAGGACUCAAACUAAUUUUUUUAGCCGAUUUGCCCCCUACCGUUAGUUUUUCAUAUAUUCCAUCCAUAUUUCUGUUAUGUGAUAAUUCUUUAAGGGCAGAAAAGUCAUUUAGCAAGACUUUCACACAAUAUACCCUUUGCACCAUCGCUGUUUAGAAAUUUAGGGUUUACACGCGACUUGCAAGGUGGGUGUUCACUGAAACUUGGGGGAAAUUGACUUCAUAGUUUGCUGAUGGUGGAUUCGACAAAAUCAUUAAGAUUACAAAAAGUUUUGAGAGUUGAAGAUGCCUUUGGAGGUGCGCAGUGGGGGAAUCGUCCAAAGUACUGCAAGUAUAUUUUAUACCUUUUGUAAUUGUUUGUUUAAUAGGAAGAUGUUCAUAAUACUCAUAAAAAAAUGUUCAAGAUAAUUAUAUACUUUUCAUAAUGUCAUAAUCCCAAUACAAUUCCACAAAAUGAUCCUUAAGAAGUUGGAAAACAUAAGAGAUUUUACCAUCCAUAAGGUAUAUAACCCAUAUAAUCUCGAUUACAAAAUAUGGGCAUUCCACUUAACCAAACACAAGCAAAAUAAGGUUUUAGUUAUCAAAACAAGAGCACAAACAUUCUGCUCGAAACGCACAUGACACGUGGAGAUCAACUACACUUUCCAUGGCCUUCCUCGUUUGGCUGGAAUCUUGUACCUAAACCUAUUUUCAUUUCUGAUGGCUGAGUAAGGUUGAGGGUGUGAUGUAGAAACAGCAACUUGAGGUUAUGCUUCACAUUGUGCUUGAGAUACAUACCCUUCUCUUGUAACCUAAAAAAAAAUAUCAGUUAAAGCAUUAACAUAAAUCAGUUGAAAUAUAAAAACUGCAUACCUUCCUCUUGUAUUUUCAUUUAUACCUAUAGAAUAGAAAAUGAUGUACUUACAGAAAAAAUUGUCGUCCUUUGAGCUUGAGAUUGAGAUUGAAUUGGACAUUCAGAAUGAGCUUGAGUUGGAACUUGAGAAUGAGUUUCACCUUGAUCUUGCUUACCUCCUAAACCCUGAAGUAAUUCAAUGAUGUUAACAAUAGUUUAUUUACCAAUUUAAAUAAAAAUAAAAACUUAAAUUGAUGGUUUUCAUCACCCCUGUUAAGUUUAGAGCUCCUCUGCCUCCUCUUGCUCCUCCACGUUGUCCUCUUGCUUCUCCACGUUGUCAUCUUGCUCCUUUACCUCCCCUUGCUCCUCUUCCUCUUCUACCUCCUUGUCCAUCCAUCUGCAAUAAAGUUGGGAAUUUCAAUGAAAUGCGUGUGAAACUAUGAGAACUAAAUUAAGUUCAAGUCAAAAUUUGAGAAUAUCAGAAAUACAUGCUCAUUGUUGCGACAAGUUGCUGAGUUAUGACCAUCAACACCACAAAUGUUGCAAUUAAUAACAAUGCCAUAUCUUCUCAACUUUGUUGCCUUUUUUGGUAUCUCAUCAGCUUCCCUUUUUCUACAAGUUUUAGGUCUCCCAGGUUGUUUGUGAUACAAAGGGGGCUUGAUAGGCACAAGGCCUGUUUUCCUCCACUCUUUUGGACCAGGCAUCGGAGAAAUGUAUCCCUCAUAAGCCCUGUCAUAUGCUGGCCUCUUAUAACAAGAAUGAACAUAAUCAAGUGGGUUAUGCUCUUUCUUGCCUAUUGCAGUAAUAGCAUGUGGACAUGGGAUUCCACAUAAAUCCCACUUUCGACAAGAACAUGUAUGACGUUCCAAAUCAACAGCGUACAUACCACCAUGAAGAUGGUUCACCUGAUACUUUCCCCCACCAGCAUAUGAGGCUAUGCAUAAAAAACUUUCAAUUUUAUAUUUCUCAACCAUUUCAAAUAUUCUGGGCCCAACUUCAUGAUUCCAAAUUAUCUCUCGAACCCUAGCCAUCCUAAGCAUCAAGUAUGGAUGCAUCCUUUGUAGCAAAGUCAGAAUGGGCUUAUCUCUUGCUUCCAAUAUAGCAGCAUUAAAAGACUCACACAAGUUAUUGAGUAGUAUAUCACACUUUGCAUUAGUAUUGAAAUGUGACCUACUCCAAUUAUUUGCUGGCUUAUCCUCAAACCAAUCAAAUGCUGACUUAGAUUGAGCUAACAUUUUAUCCAUUUCAGCCUCCCACAUAGGGAUUGUUGUUGCCCUUGCCGCAGCCCACAAUCUUUGUUUUAGUGCAAGACCAGUGUGACCUGCAGUCUUAAAAUUAUUGUGCAAAUGCCUAACGCAAUGCCUAUGUUCUGCAUUUGGCAUCAAAGCGGUAAUCGCAUUUCCUAAUCCUUUUUGCUUAUCAGUUAUAAACACCCAUCCAUUGCCAUUUUCAAUCCCAACAUCAGCAAAAAAUAUUUCCAUAAACCAUGUCCAUGUCUCCGUAUUCUCAAUCUCAACCACCGCAAAUGCAAUUGGAAACAUCCCAUUAUUUGCGUCGAUUCCGACUGCACUUAGUAUUUGCCCAGGAUGAGACCCUUUAAUGUGACAGCCAUCAAAGCCUACGACGGGCCUACAUCCUUCUACAAAACCCCUCUUCAAAGCUGCAAAACAUAUAUAAAUCCGUUUAAAAAUAGGAUUCUCACCUUGCAAGUCAGUUUUUACUACCACAGUACUACUAGGAUUAUUUCUCUUUAUCUCAUCGCAAUAAUCCCAUAUCUUUGCAUAUUGCUCUUCAAUACUACCUUGUAUCCUCCCUCUAGCUUUUCUCUUGGCUUUAUACACUUGGUUCUCUGUGAUGUCUAUACCAUAGUGUUUCCUCACAAGCUUCUUGAAUGCACCAACACUCAUAUUUGGAUUAUCUCUAAGCUCUUCAUCAAAUCUUUCAGCUAGCCAAGAAGAAGUGGCAUACUUUGUCUUUUGCAAUCUUCCACAAGUAUGUUCUGGUACAAAUGUUUAAUCCUUGUAGUCAGCCCCCUCCCUACAUGAGCUGCAUAUAGUAACCAAGGACAUUUUAUUUUAGAUGUUCCUAAACAUGAUACUCGAAGCCUAGUUCGAUCAUUCUUAUCCCAAUGCAAUGGUCUACUAAUAGCAACCGAAUAGUACCUUACAGCCUCCCUGCAUGCCUUCAUGUCAGGAAACUUCAUACCCAAAUAAAAGGUUGGAUUUAAUAAGUCAGUCUCUCUUCUGAAUUGUUUAAACCUUGGAGCUUUUCUCUUUCGUCUAACCUUUUUCACAACAAUACCUUCUUCAUCUGAAUGCUACUCUUCAUCAAGACUUACCAGCUCAUCUGAGUUGUACUCAUCAGUAGAAAUUUCGCCAGGCUCUUUAUGCGAUGCCUCAAAAGCCUCAUCAACCACAAACCUCUCAAAUAGAGUAUCAUCUUUCACAACUUCAGUAUCAUUUUCAGAUUGCACAUAAUCAGAGUCAACAUAUUCAAAGUCAUUUUCACUUUCCUCUCUUGCACCAUCAUCUUCCUCCAUAUCAAGCUCUGAUCCCACUUCAUCAUCAUCACCAACAUCUUCAUCAUCUUCAUUUUCAUUUUCAUAUUCAUCAUCAGCAUCUACAUCAAAUAUUUUUACAUCAACUCUUUGAUUCACACUAGCUUCAACAUUCACACCUUUUUCACAUUGUACUGUAGCAUCUACAAGAUGGUUGUCUAAGUCAGUUGCCAACAUUUCUUUCUCAAACCAAUUAUCCCAACCAUUACCCCACUGACCAUUAUUUGUCAAAUAUAAAACUUGAACCCUAAAUGAAGGUAUAUGAGAAACAAAUUCACUAACAUCGGCAUCUGCAAUAAGAGGGACAAACCCCUUUACUUUGUCUUUGUAGUGAAACCCUGUUUGUAGAUGGUUGUAGCCAAGUGAUACAGCCACAUCAUAUAUAUCUAGCAUAGACAUUAAGUCAGCGUCGAAGUUGUCCACCCACUGUACAAGACCACCAACAUACUUUCCAUCCUUAAGAUGACCUCCAUGGUGAAUCUCUAUUGUGAAUAAAUCAGGCUUAGCUACAAAAAUAAAAACACAUAAUUAAAAAUCUAUUUUUGUUAAAAUAACAAAAGGCCCAAGGUUCAAAUCCCUACAAUGUAAACAAACAAAAAAAAUAACAUAAACACAUCCCAUGGAGAGUAUUAGAAUCUAGAGAGUGGUAUUACAAGAUUUUUCAUCCAAAACUUCAAAAAAAAAGAUAUGGGACGACAAACUGACUAAAGCAACUACAAAAGGUAUAAAAUAUACUUACAGUACUUUGGCCGAUUCCCCCCACUGCGCACCUCCAAAGGCAUCUUCAACUCUCAAAACUUUUUGUAAUCUCAAUGAUUUUGUCGAAUCCACCAUCAGCAAACUAUGAAGUCAAUUUCCCCCAAGUUGUAAACCCUAAAUUUCUAAACAGCGAUGGUGCAAAGGGUAUAUUGUGUGAAAGUCUUGCUAAAUGACUUUUCUGCCCUUAAAGAAUUAUCACAUAACAGAAAUAUGGAUGGAAUAUAUGAAAAACUAACGGUAGGGGUAAAUCGGCUAAAAAAAUUAGUUUGAGUCCUUAAUUUUCCAAUAGAAAAGUUCAUGGGGGAAAUCGAAAGUGAGGUGAAAGUUCAGGGGGUAAAUCGACAGUUUACUCAAAAUAAAAAAUAAAUAAAAAGUCAAAUCAAAUUUACAGGAGGGGAUCUUCAAGGAUGAUCAGGUGGCGCCUCAUCACUCGGCGGAACUCCAGGAAGAAGAGGGAGUCAGAGGUUGAUCAUCUGGAGCUUCAUUACGCGGCAUAGCCCUAGAAGACGAAGACAACUGUUUUUGGAACAAACCCACAAACCUCUUAUGAUCAAGUAAAUCUGACCAUCAGAUUCCUGCACCUGGUCAAUCUUCCUUUUUAUGUUUGUAGCAUAGUUAUGUGCGAGCCUGUGCAAUUGUUUAUUUUCAUGCUUGAGCCCUCUAAUCUCCUGUUUGGGACUCAUCACUUCAGCUGCCAAUGAUUCAACUUGACGGGUCUGAGCAAAUAGGCGUUGGACCAUAUUAGACACAGAACCUGCACACUGAACACUGAGAGCCAGAGAAUCCUUAACAGCCAACUUAUCAGACCGUUUGGAAAGCAGUCUGUUAUCUUUGGGAGUGACAAGGUUCCGGGCCACCACCGUAGCGGUCAUAUCAUUCUUCAUCACCGAAUCCCCAACGAUAAGAGGACCAGUAGGGGAUAUGAAAGAUGGGCGCCAUAUGUUAUCUGGAGAAGGCGGGACUGCCUCUUCACCAAGGUUCAAAUCAAAACGACGGUCGGAGGGUCCAGACAUUUUCAAAGUUGUUGAAGAAAGAAGAGGUUAGACAAUUCAAGAUCUUAUAACUGCGAGAAAUGAGUUUCUACAAGCGAAAAUUCAAGUGUGCUUUGAAACGACCUGCAUGCCUCUAUAAAAAUCAGCACUCGACGGGAUUUCAAAGAUCGAAGAGGCGAGCUCAGAAUUUGAAGAGGCCAAUUCAAAAAUCGAAGAGGCAAGCUCAGAAAUCGGAGAGGCAUCUUGCUUUUCCAAACGUGUCAGCACCCGUCACACGCAAACUCAGCUUUGCAGAAAUCACGGGCAAUUUGUCGAAACGCUGAUCCCAGAUAUCGAAGAGGCGCCAGUCCUUUUCAGCCUCAUCAACACCUGUCACAUGCACACUCAGCUUGGCCACGAGUGAAAGAAUAGUACCUCUACAGGUAUUAAAAAAACUUCCUAUAACUGUCCACCUUCACCCUCCAUAGCAAGGCAGACAUACAGAACCUUUCUUCAUCUCCGAGGAUGUCUUCCUAACGAAGCCUCUCGAGUCACUCAGUUUUCCUUAUUCCUUGGGGUACCUCUGCAAACAAAUGACACCAAAGAAAAAGUAUCUCAUAUCACCAGGUUAGAAAGCAAGAGUUUCUCAUAUCAUGCGUUUUCCCUAUCAUUUCCUUUGUCCUUGUUCUUACCAGCAAAGACAAGGAUAAAGAAAGAAAUAUGCCGGAACCUCCACUCGAACUCGGGUAAGGAACCAACUGCUUGGAACCCUUCCCUGAUUGCCUACCUAGCACUGCUCUCGAAUACUCGUCUUCCACUGCUGCUGCACUUCCAGAGAAGCUGCCACAUCUGCCUGGAGAACAGAUAAGGCAAGUGAAAAUGAUACCUUGCAGCAUGUGGAGACAACGUGCAAAAGAAACAAGCAGAGAAGAAUGCAGCCUGCAUAGUCAACUUAGCAGACGGAGUCUGAGCUAAGGAACUCGAGAAGAUGCCACAUUCUGCCAGAAGAAUAGAUAAGGCAAGGGAAAAUGAUACAUUGAAGCAUGUGGAGACAAGCACAACAAAGCACGUGUCGAUUCAUCCGCUACUUCUUCAAAAUCAAAAGUAUCUCAUAUCAUCAAGGUUGCAAUCACUCUGGGUGGAGGACUCGUUUUGACCCUCAAAUUCUUGGGUCGACUCGCUAGGCGUUGUGGGUUACACGUGCCGAUUCACCACCCUUGAAUCAAAUCCUUAAAGAUCAAGUCACCAACUGGAAGAAGAGCCCAUCAAUCUUGAAUAUCAUACCGUUGACCAAACUGCUCAGGUGUGAAAUAGAAGGAUUGAACAAAGCAACAAGUCGUCACCUUUACCUCGUGCUUGCUUGCCAUAUAUUCAAUUCAACCUUCAAGAAUCAAACCAACGGCCCUUGAGGAAAUCACAAGUCCGAUUCAAGAUCAAGCAUCCGCCACCCUUGAAUCAAACCCAGUUCAAGAAUAAGUUGUGGAAAGUCAACAACUGGAGGAAUCCAGAAAAUCCUCCAACCCAGUUCAAGAUCAAAGCUGUGGAAAGUCAACAAGUGCAACAAAAUAUGUGCCGAUUCAUCCACUACCAAAGCCAAAGAUCAUCUACCACAUGAAGCUCCUUGUGGUCCAAUUUCAACCUUCAAGAUCAAGCCCCGACGGCCCUUGAAGAAAUUUCAAACAAAGUUCAAGAUCAAGCCUCAAUGGCCCUUGAAGAAAUUUCCCGCCCAAUUCAAGAUCAAGCCUCAACGGCCCUUGAAGAAAUUUCCAGUCCAAUUCAAGAUCAAGCCCCAACGGCCCUUGGAUCGACAUCUAUAAUAAGGGACUUCAAAAUGCAUCUCCUACACGUGACAAGCACGUGUAUACGACGUGCCUUGAAGUGGGGGCAUUUGUAGACAUCAAAAUUUUGGUAAAUAAAUGUUGACCGAUAAAUCAAAGUUUCAACGCUCAUGUAUUACAUAAAUUUUACACGUACCGUGUGACUCGACGAAAAAUUGAAAUGAGUCGGAAAAGUCAUCAAACAAGAUACGUGUCAACACUUGGCAAAAACGACUUAUUUCAUCUGGAAUAUUAUAUUCAAAAUUAGGCCUUGGAAAUUUCUAUAAAUAGAAGGCUAAUUCAUUCAUUUGAAGGAACCAAAAUCAUUAGGCAAAAUUCUUGAAGCUCUGAAGCUCUGAAACGCUGAAGCUCUCAAGCAUCCAGGUUCCCGAAGAAUCAAGAAAGCUCUCUUCGUUCUUCGUUCUUCGUUCUUCGUUCUUCGUUCAUCGUUCAUCCUAAGAUCAAGCCCAAACGGCCAUUUGGAUCAACAAUCAUCCACCAAUUUAAGAUCAAGCCCCGACGGCCCUUGAAGAAAGUGUUCUUCGUUCUUUGUUCAUCAUUCUUCCAAGAUCAAACCCCAACGGUCCUUUGGAUCAACAAUCAUCCACCAAUUCAAGAUCAAGCCCCGACGGCCCUUGAAGAAAACGUUCUUCGUUCUUCGUUCAUCGUUCUUCCAAGAUCAAACCCCAACGGCCCUUUAGAUCAACAAUCAUCCACCAAUUCAAGAUCAAGCCCCUUCGGCCCUUGAAGAAAGCGUUCUUCGUUCUUCGUUCAUUGUUCUUCCAAGAUCAAGCCCCAACGGCCCUUUGGAUCAACAAUCAUCCACCAAUUCAAGAUCAAGCCCCGACGGCCCUUAAAGAAAGCGUUCUUCGUUCUUCGUUCUUCGUUCAUCGUUCUUCCAAGAUCAAGCCUCGACGGCCCUUGGAUCAACAAUCCACCAAUUCAAGAUCAAGCCCCAAAGACCCUUGAAGAACUUCCACCAAUUCAAGAUCAAGCCCCGACGGCCCUUGAAGAAAGCACCAUCGUUCAUCAUCCGUUCAUCUUAAGAUCAAGCCCCAACGGCCCUUUGGAUCAACAACGUCGACAAAUCCACACAUCCAACCGUUCUUCAAGAUCAAGCCCAAAAGCCCUUGAAGAUCCGUUCAUCACUGUUCUUCAAGAUCAAGCCCAAAAGCUCUUGAAAAUCCGUUCAUCACCGUUAUUCAAGAUCAAGCCUCAACGGCCCUUGAAUAAACACUUAUCCUCAAGAUCAAGCCCCAAUGGCUCCUUGAAGAUUCGCUCAAAUCCACCUUCAAAGAUCAAGCCCACGGCCCUUGAAGAAACUUCCAACAGUUCAUCCAAAAUCAAGCCUCGACGGCCCUUGGAUCAACGAAACAUCCACAAAUCAACGCCUUACGGAGAUCGAAUCAGAGGAUCAAAUUUGAGAGAGAUUGUAACCCAAAACCAUCAAAUACAAAUAUUAUUUUGUGCACGUUGUUCUUGUCGCUUUCGUUUCAGGAAAAUUUCGUGUUCACAGUGAGAUCUGUGUUUCCUCAAUAAAUGUUGGAGCAACGUUUUUUUUUAUUUGUGUUGCAUUGUUGUCUUUAAUUUUCAUCAUCUUGUUGAAUUUUUCUUGUUUGAUUUCGUUCUUGGUUCUGUCUAAUUUCUAAGUUUUAUCACAUCAAUUUGUAAUACUAGUUAUAUCAAACUCUCUUGAGUCAUUAGAAAUUAUGUGUUAUUUUUUCCUGUAUAAUUGUCAUGUUAUUGUUUUACACAAAUAAAUAACGUGUGAUAAUUUCUUGGAUUGUACAAAAAAUGUGUAUUUACUACACAUAAUAUGUAUGUAUCUACAAGUUUUCUUUUAUUGCUUACUUUGGUAUAGCGGAAUAUAUAUUGAGACAUUCUAAGUUAAGGUUUACUGUAUAACGCGGACAUACAAUAAAUGCCAAUUUAUAUGCCUUUGUUAUUGUUAUGCCCUCGAUAUUACAAAGUUAAAAUUGUAAAAGACAAAUGUUAAAGAGAUUUUUUUCAAAAUUGAAACUCUCAAUAAAUUCUCUAUCACCUUAUAUUUUUAGUAUUCUUGUGCCAAUAGUAUAUAACAUUACGCAAAAUAUAUAAAAUAAUAGAAGAUUUAUGGAAAAUUACAUUUUAAGAGGAGUCUCUUUAGCAUUUCUCAUUGUAAAAUUAUUAUGAAUAGUGCUCGACCGUUGUUAAAAGGAAUGAUUUAUUAAUCAUUUAUUGCUCAUUGGUUCAAAACUUUUGUGCCUUUGCUUUUGUCUCCCUUCGAAACUAAACCUUCACAAUUUAAUGGGAUAAGGAACAAUAUUUUCUGACAAAAUUACAAUUGUGGUCAGCCUCUACCUGCGGUAUGGUUGGUGGGUGUCACCAUGAAACUUCCAAGAAAUGGUGAUGCAGUUUCCUGGUUAAUUUCCAAGUCUCCCACCACACUCAAUCAGCUAUCGUCAACGCGCUCCAACUCCGAAAUUUCUAUCGAGCUUCAAUCGUAAGUAUUUCUAUGCUAAAACCCAGAUAGUUUGGUGAAGAAAAUAUAUUUUUGUUUAUCCUGUUUUGCAUGACCACCAACAAUGUAAGAGAAAAUUUAACUUUGCAUUUCUUGAGUUGCAAAUUCUAGAGCGUCUCACUUUUUCACAGUUUCCACUGUUUCUAAUCUGUUGUUGUUUUCGGAAAGUGGCAAAAUGGUCCGAAAUCAAUCCAGUUGCUGAAUUGAUCAAAAUCUAAUAGCCAUGACAUACUGAAAAAUUGAUCAGUUCAUUGUGGCAAUUGGGUGAAAAAUGAUCAUUUCGGCCAAUUUCCAUAGUUUUUUUUUAUGUUGUAAUAAAUUUUAGUUUGAGACUUCUUUUGAGUUUUUCUGAUUUUGGUGUUGGGUUUUGUUGUUAAGAAUCAACGAAUGGGUGGAGGAGCAGAUGACCUUUUCGGAGGGGCUGGUGUCGGAGCAGUAUUCAAUGUGCUGUAUGACGUCCUCAAGGAGCUGACCACCAAGAAUGAAUGUUUAAGCCCCUCCUCAAAGACAUCAAAUUCAGGUUACACUCUGUGCAACCAUAGUUGUUUUGGUUUUUGUUUUUGUUUUUGUUUUUUGUUUUUUUUGGUCGAACUCUUUGCAACCAUAGUUGUUAGAUAUAGAAAAAUCCAACAAGAUAUUGGAUCUUCAGGAUAUGGAACUAGAAAACUUAAAACAACAUUUGGAGGAGGGCACAAGAAAUUUCACAACUAAAAAUCAACAAGAGCAUGACAUUUAGGUAGAUGAGGGGUUUAUUUUUUCUUUUCCAGUUGAGCUCUUGAAGUAUUGUUAUAUAAAAUUGUUUAAAACAAAUAAGUGUACAUUAGAAAAGAUCUAUAGCUGAUAUUUCACAAAAAAAAAAAAUAGAUCUGAUUUUUAUUAAUCAACAUUGAAGUUUUUACGUACAUUCUAUGAAAACAUAUGGAAAUUCACACAAUCGGAAUCAAUUUGUCAAUAUAUGUAUAAUACACGUAAAUGAGAUGGAUUCGUAUGUGCAUGUUUAUUAAACAUGACAUAGCCUAUGUGAGUAGGGAAGCAUAUAAUUUCCCUAUGUUGAUAGUAUAUUUUGUCAUCUUCUAGUAUAUAAAAAAUAAAUAAAAAAGUAGCAUCUUCUCAAUGUAUGUGUGGGUAAUGUUCGGGGGACCAAAUUUUUAAACUAAAUUUUGUAAACCAAAUUAUAUGGAUGUUGAUGAUUGAAUUAUUACUUAACUGUUGAUUAACGUGCUUACUUCUUAUAGAUGACACAUAAUUUAGUUUGCAAACUUAAUUUAAAAAUUUAAUCACUUUAGCAUCCUAUAGGUAUAUUGUGCUAUGCUUCCUAAUAAAAUAAACAAGAUUAAAAGGAGGACAAAGUGGCUCAAUCUUUUAGAAACUAUAUAUUUGAUUUCAAGAACAAUAAAGUUAUUCUAUACUUUAAAAUUAAAACUCAUAAAGAAAAGUAUUAUUUUUAAGGAAAGAAAAUUAUACAAGGACAUAAAAAGUUUAUAAUUAGCAUUGAAAUUUUGUGCACAUUCUGUGAAAACGUAAAGGUUAUACUAUGGGUACACAUAAACUUGUGAUACACCGUUAAAGGGGAUGAAUUCUUUAUUGAAAUUUUGAUACACGUAAAUGAACUAUUCGUAAGUUUAUUGAAAAUAAUAAAGCUCACAUGAGUAGGCCAGAAUACAAUUUCCUUGUGUUUUCAUAGCAUAUGCAUAAAUAGUGUUGAAAAUAAGUUUUAUUUAUUUAUUUUAUUUUAUUUUAUUUUAUUUUAUUUUAUUUUUUAGAAAACCUUGACGGUACGAGGGAUAUUUUAUAGACAAUGAAAAAAAAGUUAUACCUAGUUAGGGGGGACAUAAACCUUACCCCUCAUAAUACCAAGAAAAUGAGAAAAAGAACAUGAAUAAGAAAGGAGACAUAAAUCUUACCUCUCUAGAAACAAAAACAAAAAUGAUACGAGGAAAAGAGGGGGGACAUAAAACCUAACAUGUCUAAAGCCAAACCUAAAAUGUCUAAAACAUGCAAAACAAGUCAAACAAGACCACCACAAGGUUAGUAAAAAACAAGAAAUGAAGACAUACACAUAUGGCGAGAUGCACAUUAGUUUGAGAAAAGGAAACCGGGCAAGCUUACAUAGUCUGAAAACAAAGCAGCACGAGCCGGCGGUGGAAGGGAGUCAUGCCACACCAAAGUUGGAGAAGACAAGCUCAUGUUAGCAAAUUUUAUCCGCAACAACAUUUGUUUCACGAUAUAUGUGAGAGGUGUAGAAUGUCAUAUUUUGAAUGCAGUCUAGACAAAUGGACCAUUGUGUACGAAGAGGCCAAGGAGGAUAAAAUCAGUUGAUUGGAAAGUAGAAAUAACACUAGAAGAGUCACUUUCCAACCAAAGGCAAUGCCAACCCAGCUAAUAUGCAAACUCAACACCAAAAAUAAUUGCUGAUAAUUCUGCAAAAAGGGAGUUGCGAUGACCAAUCAAUUGGCAAAGCCCACCAAGAAACUGACCAUGGCAAUCUUUGAAAACUCCUCCACAUGCAGCAAGAUUAGGAUUUCCUUUGGACAAACCAUCUGUAUUUGAGCGAGGUUCAAAUGCGAUAAGUCUUGGGAUUGAAACUGGCAGACAGACUAAUGAUCGAAAGGGUUUAGGGUUUAGAUUAAGGACCCCUACGAGAAAUUUUUCAGUGUCCAAAAAUGAGGCAUUCUAAAAUACCUAACAUUUUUUUUUAAUUUGAAUUUGAUUUUUUUUAUGUAUGUAAGUAUAAUUUUCUCAUCUUCUAGUACAAGUUUUAUGGAUAUUCUACAAAACCGAAACUAAAUAAAAAAUCAGAAUCUAAGCACUAUUUUCUAAAAAAUAAAUAAAUAGAUAAACUUGCAUUAAGCCCAUGAAUUCACUCAAAAUAAAAUAAAAAACAUUGCAUGCUAAAUAUAGGUGUAAUUAUAUUAGCUAUAACAAAUAUACUUUCUCCUAACACCCAAUUUGUGCAUACUAUAUGAAAAUAUAAUGAAAUUAUACUAUGGUCUCCUCUCAAGAAAUUUCCAGUUCUAUCAUUUUUCGUUAACCUAUAAUUUAUGCAAAUAGGAUCAAUUAUUAAAAGACGUAUGGUACAUGUAAAUGAGAUCAAUUUAUAAGUGCAUUGAAGAGAAGCAUAUAAUUUCCUUAUGUUUUUCAUGGCAUGUGCACAAAUUUUUUUUCAAUGUUGAAAAUUUUAUAUGUAUAUAAGCAUAUUUUCACAUCUUCUAGUAUACCAAAAGGAAACCAUAUAGUAGCAUCUUCACAAUGAAAUCUCUAACUUACACUAAGCCUAUGAAUUCACUCGCAACAAAAUUUAAACCGAAACAAAAAAAAAAAUCAUUUUACACUACUCUAAUGAAAUAAAAAGAAAGGUCAAAAUGAGGGUAAGGUGACUUUCUUUUAAUGCUAGUAACGGUCCUCUUUUUUUUUUCUUUUUUUUUUCCUUCAAAAACUAUAUACUUGAUUGCAUGAAAAAUAACGUUACUGUACAAUUUAAAUUUAAAACUCAUAAAAAUUAUACUUUUUUAAGGAAAUAAAAUUAUACUUUCUGAGGAAAUAAAUUUAUACUUACAAAACAUACAAAAUUUAUUAAUCAACACUGAAACUAUGUGCAUAUUCCAUGAAGACAUGAUGAGAUUAUACCAAAGUCUCCCACAUGAAAUUAUUAUACCAAAGUCUCCCACAUGAAAUUAUUAGCUUUGUCAAUUUUUGUGAACUUGUGAUACACGCUAAAUAGUUGAAUUUUUCAAUGAACUUUUGAUAUACGUAAAUUAGAUCUAUUGAAAGUAGCUGCUUUAGCUUCAGCUACUCGAAUUUUUUAUAUUCCUUUUUUAUUUCUCAUCAAAAGAAUGACAUCUUAUUUUGAAAAUCGUAGCUAUCCUUAGCAUGAUAUUGGGGAAUCUUAUUGCUAUUACUCAAACAAGCAUGAAAUGUAUGCUUGCAUAUUCGUCCAUAGGUCAAAUUGAAUAUGUAAUUAUUGGAAUAAUUGUUAGAGACUCAUAUGGUGGAUAUGCAAGCAUGAUAACUUAUAUGUUAUCCUAUAUCUCCAUGAACUUGGGAACUUUUACUUGCAUUGUGACAUUUGGUCUAUGUAACUGAUAACAUUCGAGAUUAUGCAGGAUUAUAAACAAUGGAUCCUGUUUUGGCCCUCUCUUUAGCCUAUGUCUCUUAUCCUUAGAGCCGCUCUCGGCCCAAUAAUCUUCUAGAAUUUUUGUCAUGGGACGUCCAGUCUGUAUAGGCCUUCCAGUCAGGAUUGGCCGAAUCCUAUUCCGAGGGGAAUUAGUUUAGAUAAGAGCGCGAUAGUCGAAACCUAGUGCAAAAAUGAGUCUUAAGGCUAAGGAUGCUGAGACUUAGGAGAUGAAUCUGGUUUGUUAAAGAGCUUGGUUCAAAGUCCUAUUGGAGUUGGGAUUGGCCGAGACCUAAUUAGAUUAGGUUGAGGAGUUCUAAUCCAAAUACAAUUCUAGCUCGGUCAUGAAGAUGGUUUGCUACUAUAAAUAGAGAAAGGAGUGCAUAAUUCAAGGCCCCUCUAAAUCAACACACAAAUUGCCCUGCGCAAAGCUUCUUAACAACCUUUGAGAUUUUAUCUUCUUCCCCUUUCUUUCGCCAACACAUCUUCACUUCGGAUAAAUAGCACUGUGAAGGCAAUCAGCGACAUCUUCAGUUUGGAUAAACAGCAUUGGAGCCGUAGAAUCAGCCGAUCAAUGAGCACAUUCAGUUUGGAUAAACAACACUACUUUGAGACCGACUGGUUAUUUAUCCAAGUCUCAGUCGACAAGGAUUUUUAAGUUCUUGUUGGUAGAGGUUAUCACAUCAGCCUUCUCGGCGAAAUGAGGUGUUACAGGUUACUGGGCUCGGCAUAUUGAAUGCCAAGUUGUUUUAUGAUUGGAUACUCGCAAGUAAGUUUUAGAGUUCAACAUUCUGACGACCGAACAGCAUUUACCAUCAAGACAUACAUCUCUUUCGAGUAUUUGUGUCCAUAUAGUCUGGUACCAGUUCGGCGUGCUUAUACUCUUACGAAUAUAAUCACCGUAACUGAACCUAGUGCCGACGAUCGUGAACUUCGCAAGACUAGCAGCCUUGUCUUAAGGCUCUAGAACCCGAAGGCCAAUACGUGUUCCUUCCUUAACCACAGUUGUAAGAUCAAGAAGUCAACAUCGCACUCAACACCACAUCAACACAUUUUACUCCCCGACCGAGCUCGGCUGUCAAGUUGGCACGCCCCGUACAUAAUCGAAUGACGUAGUUAGCUUAUUAGUUACUUGGCCUGAACGCCAUGAAGGCUUGGUAGUUUUUAGAGUCAACAUUUUGGCACGCCCAGUGGGACCCAAUGCUAAAGCUACGAAGUUCAUGACCAUUGAGACAUGGUCAGUAAAAAAGUAAACAGUCGUAAGAAAGUGAAUGACUAAUUUUCCAGUUCAAAACCCAAGACAAGAUGGCUUGCCACAUGUACACAAUCAUUCUACUGUCGUGACACUUAAAGCCACAAGUACAACACGCCGAGAAAACGAAAUUAAUCUCGGCGAUCAGACUCGUGAUACAGAAAUCCCCGCCAAAACGACAAAGGUAUUUUUGUUGAAGGAUUAGUGGAAGAUUGCGAUGAGGAUAGUGGUGAGGCUUCUGAUCCACCAACUAGAUCGUUUUUUCGACAAUGACUUGAAGAAAAAUCCUGGUAGUUUGAGCAAAUGUUCAGCUGAAAGGUAAAAAGCAUACUCGAAGAUAUGCGUGAUAAUAGUGUUAUACACAACAUGCUGCUCAAAAUAAUGCUUAAUACAACCCACGUAGGAGGACCCGCCGAUUGUUCCAGGCAGCCUCCAAUUAAGAACAAUCUCUGCCAACGAUACAGGCCGAGACAGGAUCUGCUCAGCUCAAAAUGAUCGAUUUGGAAAAAAAAAGGUGGAUCAAGCAAUAGAUCGGACAAAUUUGACCAAGGAGCAGAAAUGACGUCUAUUGAUAUAGUCGAGGUCCAUAGAAUGAUUCAUUCGGCCUUCAAAAAGGGGUCGAAGUUUCCAAAAUUCAUUCACCCAUAUCUAGCAUUUGUAGAAAAGUUCAAAUAUCCCAAGGGAUUCAAAAUUCUGGAUUUCAGCCUUUUCGCUUGAGUGUUAUCCCUAUCGUCGUUAAAACACGUGGCUCGAUUCAAUGCUAAAUGUAGGGACGUUAACAGUGAUUUCCAUAAGCUAUAAUUGUUCAAUUUCUCGUUAACCAGCUCAACAUUUGCAUGGUAUAUCAACCUCCUACCCAACUUCAUUCAAAGCUGGGAAGAACUAGUUGAGAAAUUUCAUAAGCAAUUAUAUCUAGGGAUGGACGUGACAGUAUUUUCUUUGGCCAGGAUGGCUCAAGCCUCUCACGAGUCGCCAAUGGAAUACCUUACGAGGUUUAAGUCAGCCAGAAAUUGGUGCCGAGUACCUCUCUCUGAAUUCAAGUUUGUUAAGCUUGCCCUAAACGGCCUAGAUGUGGAGUACAAAAAGAAAUUCUUGGGGGCAAACUUUUGAGAUAUGUAUGAACUGGCCCAACAUGUUGAGUAAUAUGAUUAUUUGCUCCGAGAAGAAAACAUCUCGGAGUCUCCAUCCUGAAGAACGAUCUCCAAAAACCCUACGGUUAGUUAUGCAUCGGUCGAAGACGAAGAAUCGUAAUAUGCCAGUAUAGACGUGGCCAAGAUAGUGAUCGACAAACCAUACAUAUGCAAAGCAUUGGCUCAUGCUAAUUCCAAGGAUGCCAAAACCCGCUCGACCUAUGAGGAAGCUGCUUUCAAAACAUCGAAAGUCUAUACUUUUGACAUCACCAAGGGCGAUGCCAUCAUCAAGCUUUGGCUCGGGCAUAAUAUUCCCAAAGCUGAAGAUUUAAAAGGAAAGACAUAUUGCAAAUACCACAACUCAAACAAGCAUACGACAAAUAAUUUUGUAGUAUUUUGCGAUGCCAUUUAGAGCUAGAUCAACAAUGGUAAGCCUAAGUUUCUUGAGAAACAAAUGGUCGUCGAUGCCUAUCAUUUCCCUACGGCAACGGUAAGCAUGGUGAAUGCUCAUCUACCUAGGGAUAAAGGAAAAGGAAAGGCCGAGUUCAUUCCAAUGAAAUUCAUCCUUAAGCAGAACUCUUGGUCGCGAUUGAAAAUUGAUUUAUUUUCAAACGAGCCACCCAAAGAUUUGGCAGGACUAGCUAUUGUUGAGUCAGUGUCGGACUCUAAAAUGUAGGAAACUGACGGGCCGAUGGUUUUAUGUAGUUAGUGAAAAGAAAACAUCAUCUUGACUAAGCCAAAGAAAAGUCACUUCAGGUUGAAAUACGGCAAUAUCCCAAAAAGGUGCUCAGUGCAGGCCAACGUUAGAAAGUUUUCGAUAGGCUCAACCCUCAAGUACAAGAAAACAGGCAUUCUUUGCCUAGACGACGCCUUUCGACACACCAUUUUACAAUGAAAAUUAUUAUGUGUGCAACACUAGCAAUUCAAGUUCACCCAUGAACCAACGCACCUUUAGACCACCUGAGCCAUGUGACCAUCACUGGUAUACCUACAACUUCCCUACCGAUGUAUAUACUGCGUUGUCAAAAUCACAAAAACACCAGCGCCAUAAAAUGGACUGUAUGGCUCGCCGACAAACGGCCCAGGAUACCUCAGCCACCAAAUGGCAGCCGAAAAAGACAGUUGGCAGUAAAGAUGACCAACAACCUCCGGCAAUCAUAACCGAGUUACUUCAAGGAAAUAAGGUAAUUUAUCGCGAUUUCGAAACCAUAAUUAAGAAUCUAAAAAGCGAAUUAAGCUCAUUCUUUGGCCUGGGGAAAUAAAAGCUCACCUCGAACACUUCCGGAAGGAAGCCGAAAGCAAACUCCCCCUGCUAUAUACACAAGAACCGUUGAUAAAAGUUAGACGAAAUCUCCAUCCACCAUUUCUUGGUGAGGCUUUAGAAUACAUGCAAGAGUUUCACAAGAAGCAUUCGGCAAAUAACUUAAACGGCAUGCCAAAGGCAUGUCAAUAGGCUAUUGAUCUAGCUAUAACUUGCCUCAACGCCAAACAGAUCAUUCAAAAGACCACGGAUCCGGGGAUGAAGGCUAGGUUUCAGCAUAUACGCGAGGCUCGGGUUCUCAACUUUGAGGUAGACCCGUAUACUAUUAUCGACGUAGCUGACAUUCCCUUUUCUCUUGAGGACCUCUAAUAUUUGCGCUAUCAUUUUGAAGUUUACUCAACUGUUGCCCUCUUUGGUCUACGAUCGAUGAAAAUGAGCGCGUGGUACAAUUAGACACUUACCUGGACACGAUAGACGUCUGCAUCGCGUAUCAGGAACAGACUUACAAGGAUUUACAAGACCAAGUUCCAAUGCCGAGCGAGCCAGAGGUCGGAACUCAGAAUGAAACAGCUUUGACAAACAUGCCACAUGACCACAUAGCCACUACAGUCGAAGAUAGCUAAACAAGUGAUGCCCAUGAACAAGAUACCUAGCCAGAAAAUCCAGAGGCCGAGGAUCACGACCUGAUGGGCCCUUCGUUCUAGACAACAUGGAAAUCAGCAUGGUCCAUAUCUUACCUGUCAAGUUCCAGCCAACCUCAUAUCAACCAAAUUUUCUGGACGGUGACGUGGUUGCCGAGGAAGCCACACAAGUCGAUUUAAUGGUCACCGAAGAGAUCGGGCAAGAAAGCAAAUAUGAUAAACUUAGAGCAACCCUUACAUAAUUGUUUCCCCGAUCUUCAUCCAUUAAUCUUCAUCAUUUAAAGCCGAUGUAUGUUAUGGCUUAUAUUGAAGGAUACCCAGUUUCCAAAAUUUUCGUCGACUAUGAAAUAAUAGUCAACAUCAUGUCCAUUUCUAUCAUGAAAGCAUUACGUCGCUCCAACAACAAACUCAUUCCAUCGGGGGUAACCAUAAAUAGCUUUUUCGGCAACAAAUCUUAGACCAAGGGAGUGUUUCCCUUAGAGGUGACAAUCGCAGGUCGAAAUCACAUAACUGCGUUCUUUAUAGUAGAUUCGAAGAUUAGGUAUAAUGCCUUGCUUUGUCGGGAUUGGAUCCACCAAACUGGUUGUAUCCUCUCGUUUUUGUGUCAAGUCCUUAUCUUCUGGGAUGACAAGUCGGCCGUAGUUCAUCUGGCCGACAAUCAGCCGUUUGAAGCUAAUAUAAUUCAGGCUCACUAUUAUGAUAAUCACAUCGACUGCAUCACCCUACAAGGUUUUAACAAAAAAAGACGACCGACUCGGAUCUCAGUUCAGAAAACCAUCAAGGUUGACGCCAAAACUGUUCACCAGGAUUCAGUGAGACUCGGGUUGGCUGACCUAAUCGCUAAUCCUGAUGUCUGAUACCAAACAGGAAAAACAUCGGGCCACGGUUUCAUCUACCAUAGAAUGACUAGGCAUUGGUAUACUAUUUCUAAGCAAUUGAAUUUUGGUGUAAACUUAGUAGAGUUCUUCACCGAAGGAGACAACGGCCCAGUCCUGUCACUUGACAAAGUCCAAGCCACUCUAGCCGAGCUCGAAGAUAGUCUGCCCCAAGUCAAAGAUCCAUUAAAAGAAAUAAAUGUCGAAAUGACCAAUGAUCAUCGGCCUUUAUUUAUUAGUGCUUUGUUACCCCAACUUAUGAAAUCGAGCUUUGUAAAUUACUCGAAGAAUUUAAAGAUUGUUUUGCUUAAAGUUACCAUGAAAUGCCUGGUUUAGAUCGAACACUCGUCGAACACGAAUUACGCAUCAAGGCUGGUUCUAAACCUUUCCGCCAACCCCAUCGAAGAUUCUCGAUCGAAGUUCAACUCGGCAUAAAAGAUGAACUCAUUUGACUUUUAAAAGUUGGGUUUAUUCAGACAGCUUGAUGCGUCGGAUGGUUGGCGAACAUCGUCCCAGUUUUAAAGAAAAAUGGUGCUCUACGUAUUUGCAUUGGUUUUUGAAAUUUGAAUUUAGCAACCCCUAAAGAUGAAUAUACAAUGCCAAUUUCAUACUUGUUAAUCGACGCAGCAGCAAACCAUGAGCAGCAAACCAUAAAACUACUUUUUGUUGCCCCGGGGUGCUUGAGACCUACAAAUGGGUCGUCAUGCCUUUCAGCCUUAAGAACACUGGUACCAUAUAUCAAUGCACUAUGAAUAUCGAACCACCGCCGAUCACAUUUAGAAGAUAUUCGACAAACUUUCCUUCCAAUGCGCCAACAUAACCUCAAAAUGAACCCCACCAAGUGCACCAUUGGUGUAUCGAAAAACAACUUUUUAGGGUUCCUUGUACAUCGAAGUGGAUGUAAAUAAAGCUAAAGCAAUCAUUAAUGCUCUACACCUGACAACCAAGAAGCAAUUACAAUCAUUACUCGGUAAAAUCAAUUUCCUCCACCGUUUCAUUUCCAAUUCGGCAGGGAAGAUGAAAGUUUUCUCCACAAUCUUGAAACUUGAGGAUUCUGACAAAUUUGAAUGGCGCGAGGAACAUCAAGAUGUUUUCAUGCAAAUCAAGGUCUCCCUCACUACUCUACCUGUCUUCGUGCCACCUCGGUGCGGCAAACCCCUCAAGGUGUAUAUCUCGACGGUCGAGGAAUCCAUUGGCUAUCUUCUUGUACAAGACAACGACACGGGGCAGGAGCAGGCCAUUAUUUACCUUAGCCGAAAUCUUAACCCCGCUGAGAUAAAUUAUUCACCUGUCAAGAAACUCUGCUUAGCUUUGUUCUUCGCUACGUCUAAGCUCAGGCAUUACAUUCUCCAUUCUAUUACGCAGGUCAUUGCCCAAACAGACGUUAUUCGCUAUAUGCUCACUCGGUCGAUAGUGAAAGGUCGAAUCAGGAAGUGGACAAUGGUGCUGUCCAAAUUUAGUUUGCAAUACGUGCCCCAAAAAGCUGAACAUCCAUUUGCUGAUUUCUUGGCUCAACACCCUUCUCUAUAUGGUUUUGGAGGCAAUGAUGUCAAAAUUGGCAUGAUGAAAACACGUGAUAGUUAUUGGACGAUGUAUUUUGAUGGCUCUAGUACCUUGACCUCGACCGGCGUUAGAAUCGUCAUACAGUCCCCUGAUCACUACCGAUGGUAUUUUUCUUUUAAGCUGGAUUUUGACUGCACAAAUAACCAGGCCGAAUACGAAGUCCUUAUCAUCGGCCUUAACAUCCUUCACAACUUGAGGGCAGCCUGCGUGCUCAUCCUUGGCGAUUUAGAACUAGUGAUUAACCAACUCAAUGAGGCUUUUCGUUGCAUGAGUUGUACUCUAGCGCCCUAUCACAUGGUUGCUAACUAUUUAGUCAAAUCAUUUGAAGACAUUACAUUCAAGCACAUCUCACAGGUUCGAAAUACUGACGUAAACGAAUUGGCUCAAAUAGCCUCCAGAGCACAACUUCUGAAGGGCGAGCUAGGCUAGGUCAUACCAAUAAUGCGACGUCCACAUCUUGCCUUGGUUAAUCAACAAGUUCUCCAACACGACCAUGUAAUCUGUACACGAGUUAUGUCUCUAGUUUCGUUGUUGGAAUGAAAGGAUCCUAUAGAUGUUUGUGCGGUUAAGACAUUACCUGACGACUGGAGAAAGUCAAUUAUGCAGUAUCUUGAUAAUCCCAAUGGCAACCACGACCGCAAAACAAGGGUACAUGCCACAAAUUACGUAAGAAUAAGUUAUACCGAAACGGUGAAGACAGUCUGUUGUUAUUAUGUCUCGGUUCAGAAAAAGCCACCCAAGCUAUUACUGAGGUACACAAAGGAAUAUGCAGGGCUCAUCAAUUUGGACGUAAAACACGAUGGUUGCUUCACUGACACGGCUAUUUCUGGCCGAAUAUGUUGAAAAAUUACAUUGAAUACGCACGAUGAUGGGUACAAUGUCAAAUCCAUGGGCAUGUAUAGAAAGUCCUGGCCAAAUGACUUCAUUCAAUCACUAAACCAUGGCCAUUCAAAGGGUGGGCCAUGGAUGUGAUCGGCAAAAACAUGCCAUCUUCUGGAUUAGCAAAGCAUGCAUGGAUACUCAUUACGACAGAGUACUUCACUAAGUGGGUCGAAGUGAAGUCAUACGUGAGUUAACUUCUAAAGAGGUCUGCAACUUUGUAGAAGAAAACAUCGUGACAAGAUUCGGCAUACGAGAAAUGAUCAUCACGAACAACGACAUAAUUUUUACAUCCGACAGGUUUAAAAAAUACGCAGCGAGUUUGAAAAUUCGGCUCAAUCAGUCUACGCCCUAUUACCUACAGGCAAACGGAUAGGCCAAAGCAAGUAAUACAGUUUUAAUAGGUAUUCUUGAGAAAAUGAUAAAAGAAAAGCCUGGUAUGUGGCAUUUGAAGUUAAACGAGGCAUUAAGGGCAUAUCGAACUUCACUCUGAUCAACAACAGGGACAACCUUAUAAACUCGUUACGAGUUAUCUAACAAAGCAGUUUAUUCAAUGCCGAGUACAAUCAGGCCAUGAGGCAAAAGUUGGAAGACUUGGAGGAAGCUCGGCUUGAUGCUUAUAACUUACUAGUGGCAUAAAAAAAGAUUGUUGAACAAGCUUAUAAUCGAGGAGUUAGGCAAAAGACGUUUAGCGAAGGUGAAUUAGUAUGGCAAACCAUUUUGCUAGUGGGGAUCAAAGACCCUAGAUUUGGGAAAUGGUCGCCGAAUAGGGAAGGACCAUUCGCCGUCCACAAAGUUCUCGGCAAAGGGGCAUACCACCUUAAGGAUCAAAUUGGUUUAGUCCAUAAAUUACCAAUCGAUGGGAAAUUUUUAAAGAAGUAUCAUCCAAUUACUUGGGAAAUGCAAGAAUAAUUUUUUUUUUUCAUUAAUUCUCAAAAGGGGUACAAGCAAGAUUACAAAAAGUCAAUGGCCUACAACUGCAGACAAAAUCCUAAAGGGUCGAAGGAAGAAAAGCUUCAAGAGCGACUUUCAGUUCUAACCACCUUACUUCGCCUAUCGUGACUUCGACCUGCAUUGUUCUUUUAUCAAGUUGUAGUUGCUGUAUCUGCUUCGCGUCAGCUCCGUAUUCCGCCAGUAGAGGUUUAUUCGACUCAAAAUCCUUUUCAAGCUCCAAAGCAACGACCGACCUUUGACGUUGAAGUUCAGCGAUUUAACAGUCGAGGUCGGUCAGUCAUUUCUUCUUUGCCUUUAUUGCCUCAAGCUCUGGUCGGAUAGCUUCAUAAGCAACCAUUUCAGCAUUGAGGUCAUCCUCUGCCCAAAUAGCCCUCUCAAAAAUAGUGAAGUACUGCCAAGUUCGCUCUAGGACAUUGGACAUGUGAAUAACACUCUCAUUGCUCAGAAGGUCGUCGGUUGCAAGGUCGUUCAUUCAUUGUCCUACAGAAUAGUGGCCUUUGCGUUGGAGGAUUUGCGAGGCCAACAGGGAUAGAAGCUUCUGCAACAUGGCGAAUGUGCCAGACUUGGCGCAGUUGCAGAAGCCUCAGGGAUCCUAGAAGUGCUAGAGAGAAGAGCGUCGAGCUCGACUUCCCUUGAAGGCUGCAUAAAGAAUAAUUGUUAGGAAAAAGAGAAUUCAAAAGGGAUGGCUGAAAAUGAAGUGGUGUUAGACCUGCUAAGAUGAGACUUCAGCCAUGUCUGCUGGUUCGAUGCUCAAACCCAGAGAGCUUAAUGGUUGAGCCCAGUGUUUAAGACAGCCUUUUAAUUUAUAUGACCGAUGAAGGUUAUCUACGUUUGAUGGCCAUUGAGGUGGCCAGGAAAUAUAAAUAACGCCCUUUGGCGUAUAGAAUUUUCAAUGAAAUAAGGGAUUGGGCACCUGACAUUUAAUGGUUUUCUUGGUUUAGAAUUCUAAGGUUGUAAAUUAAUAAAAGAAAAUGAUUGAGCCUUACAAAAGUCGAAGUGAACUUUUGAGGAAGAAUGCCAAUAUUUUGGUCCUAAUGAUGAACCAGUGUCUCUGCUAUCGCCUCUGGCUCGACUAAAGGCGCCGCUUCAAGCCUAUGACCUACUUCAACCAGUCGAGGGUGCCUUACUAGCAAGGAUGCCUCGCUCUUCUUCUCCUGGUCAUAAAAAUUGGUCGUCCAGUUAAGAGAUUCAUUUAAAAUGAUAGAACACCAAAGGAAAUUGUUAUACCUUUUCUUCUAGGAUGAUCACUGAAUGUUUCUUUGGAUUAGGGGGAGGGUCCUUCUCGGCUGUAGAAGUCGUCUUCUGCAAAGUAGCAACCGUUGGGUCGACAUCAGCAUGAGCAACGCCCGGUGUCGAAGUUGCAAGUUCCUCGAUAACCGGAGCUAUGAUCGAUUCGACCACGACAACGACUUGCGUGGUAGGUUGGACCGCGGUCGCCUGGCCUGUGGUUGGACCGUCGGGUUUCGCAAUACCAUUGCUGAGACUUGGAUAACAUGAGAAAGGAGAGGGGCACUAUGAGUUAUUGCUCCCAUAGUUUGACUAGAGAUGAUGUGAAUUUCCUGUUAUUCCUCCCUUACCUUUUUCUUGAUGCUUUUUUCAGGCCAGGCAACAUUGCCAGUUGUCUUAAGCUCCGGGUGAGAUUGUUUACUCUGUCCAGUCAGCGUAGCAGGGGUUACUGCUCGAGUUGGUUCAAAUGAGGAAGGUACAACGGUCAUAGCCUUCUUGAGAGGAAGGGCGAGUUUUUUCUUGGCCGCGACCAUUGCAACCACAUCGGCCCAUUUUAUUAACCAACCACCUAGAAAAACUAAGCUUGAGUCAAAACGAAGUUUAAACAGACAAAGUUGAGGAGAAAUAACAAAGAAAUGAAGAGAUGUAUACCUUAAGCCAUUUCUUUGGAUUUUGGAGUAAGAGUCUUUUAAGGCCAAUCGCCAAAAAGCUUAUUUGAAGUAAGCAUCCCACCAAUCGGCAAAGGUGCUGGUACAGUGGGUUUCUGGAAUGCUCGGCCAAAGAUGGAAUUUAGUAUUUUGCUCUUGGAACUCUUUCUCGGCUUCUUUGCACUCCCUUUUCAAGGAGCCAGAGAGGCGUUCUCGGCGCAAGAGAGAGCGGGAAGUGAGGAGUGGCACAAGACAGCCUUGGAGGAAGCUUAGUUGACGAGCCAGAAAGUUGGGGUGAUAAACUUCCCAGCUAGCCCACCGAGGGUCGCAAACUAGGGUGAAUGAGCCCCAAGCUCGUCGAAAGUCGGCCUCUUCUGCUUCUUCCCAAGCCGAUGUUGAGAGUGUGAUGAAAUAUCGGUAUUUCUGGCGACGGUAGACUAGAAAUUCGUCGUUUGACAAAUCUUCAAGGCUGAAGAAAUAAUUGAAGAUUCCUUCAGUCGAGUGAGUAGGAAAAGGCACGAGGUCAAUUGGAGACCCAUCGAUUCGGAAGAAUUUGAAGCUUGGGAUUUCUUGCCUCAGUGUUGAAAAAAUAGACCUGCAGCCAGAGUUGGAAGACGUAGAAUGGGUCGUUCUCGUGUGUGUCAAUUUUUCCAACAAAAGCCUCGGCCAAGCACUAGUCGAGGUUGGCAAUGAUGGCUGGGCUAAGGGCUAGGACAUGGCCACUGGCUAGAGUUUCGGCCACUGGCAUGUUUUUGGCCAAGCACUUAUUUGACUUAGUACAAGAGACGAACUUAUUGUACCAAUAGAACAAGAAGGCCUCAUGCUCUCAUUUCUUAAGAGCUUCUCCAUUUGAGUCAGUGAAGUGGAUGAUCAGAAUACUGUAGUUGAAGAAAUUUUUGUGCAAUUUUUGCACGUCUUCUUAUGACGGCUCUUGAAAUCUUCGACGGCCCGCUCGUCGAAGACUGCUUUCAGGUCCAGGUUGAAUUCGUACCGAGAUAUAGUAGAUCAAUUAGGAGACCAAAAAGAGAGGUGCCAAGUAUGGCCGUGAUGUCUAGCACAGGUGAACUGAUGAAACCGAGAGGAAUGAUCAUGAUGUUGGUGGCUAAACACCAAAAGCUCAGGGAGGCCAUCAAGAGCUUUCCGUCCAUGGUGAUUUCAAAGGUCGACAGCUUGAUGGCAUCAAAGAUUCCGAGAGUCUUCCACUCGCCACUAAAAUGUGGUUCCAUUCGAGUGACCCAAGCAGCCCAGGUAGCAAGGGUCGAGGGCUAGGCUCUUUGGGGUUUGGCCGAUUCCCACUUCGACCAGUCGUACCCUUGGAGCAAGGGUUUCAGAUAGUGGGCCUUCAUCAUCUCGGUGAUGACUUCUAGGACGUUAUCUUUGAAAAGUGGGUCGACGAUUUGGUGGGAAGCACUCGAAUCACCCUUAAAUCGGAGGGUUUUGAUGGUAUUUCGAUCAAUGAAGUCUUCAUACUUGUCGCAUUCCUCGGCGAGCUUGGUGAUAAAGGUGUUGGUAGCCAUUGAUGAAGACUUGAAGGUUUUCUAGGUUUCCAGAUUUGGUUUCUUUUCUGGGUUGAGAGCAAAUGGCAAGAAAUUUUGGAGAUUUGAAAUCGUAAAAGGUCAAGUGAAUUUUGGAUGAGUAUUUAUAGGCAUUUGGAAAGAAGAUCAAUAGUUUAAUUUUCAGGAGUAAGGGGUAAAAUCGACCGAAGAGUUUUGUAAUCAUGAGAUAUUUGAAAAUACAGGUGAAGAGGCCGAAAAGCAUGGGGAUUUAGGUGCACGAUUGUGUGUAAUGGCGAAAUUUAUGACAAAGAGACGUUUAGGCGUUUGCACGCCUCGAACGUGAAGGCACGCAUGAUUGAAAAUGGACAGUCGCACGGAGAAGCUGCCACGUAUCGACCUAUGCAUGAAUAAGAUGGAAGUGGGAGAACGUGGGAGUUGCCAUGUGUCAAGUGGCGCAGCGUUGUCAGGGAAAUGAUGGGUGAAAAACCAUGUUUCAUAAAUGUGUUUGGACGAUUAGAGUGUUCGAGGUUUGUAGUGUUCUUUGGAUUUUCAAAGGGAAUAUGUUGAGGUUUCUUUGACAUGAAUAUCACUUCUUCCAGGUUGAGGCUUGGCUAGAGAUUGUAGGCCGAAGACCUCAGAAGUGAGGGGCAAUGUUUGGGCCCAAAAUGAUAGUUUGGGCCGAGCUUAGAGUCGCUCUCGGCCUAGUAAUCUUCUAGAAUUUUUGUCAUGGGCCGUCAAGUCAUCAUAGGCCAUCCAAUCAAGAUCGGUCGAAUCCUAUUGCGAGGGGGAUUGGUUUAGAUAAGAGCGGGAUAGUCGAAACCUAGCGCAAAAAUGAGUCUUAAGGCUAAGGAUGCUGAGACUUAGGAGAUGAAUCUGGUUUGUUAAAAAACUUGGUUUAAGGUCCUAUUGGAGUUGGGAUUGGCCGAGACCUAAUCAGAUUAGGUUGAGAAGUUCUAAUCCAAGUACAAUUCUAGCUCGGUCAUGAAGAGGGUUCACUACUAUAAAUAGAGAAGGGAGUGCAUAAUUCAAGGCCCCUACAAUUCAACACACAAAUUGCCAUGCGCAAAGCCUCUCAACAACCUUUGAGAUUUUAUCUUCUUCCCCUUUCUUUCGCCAACACAUCUUCAGUUUGGAUAAACAGUCCUGCUUCGAAACCGACUGGUUAUUUAUCCAAGUCUCGGUCGACAAGGAUUUUCGAGUCCUUGUUGGUAAAGGUCAUCUCAUCAGCUUUCUCGGCGAAGUGAAGUGUUACAGGUUACUAGGCUCGGCAUAUUGAACGCUGAGUUGUUUUAUGAUUGCAUACUCGCAAGUAAGUUUUAGAGUUCGGCAUUUUGACGGCCAGACCACAUUUACCAUCAAGACAUACAUCUCUUUCGAGUAUUUGUGUCCAUAUAGUCUGAUACCAAUUCAGCGUGCUUAUACUUUUACGAAUAUAAUCACUGUAACCGAACACGGUGCUGACGAUCCUUGAACUUUGCAAGACUAGCAGCCUUGUCUUUUGACUCUAGAACCUGAAGGCCGAGACGUGUUCCUUCCUCGGCCGCAGUUGCAAGAUUAAGAAGUCAACAGCGCGCUCAAUGCCACAUCAACACAUUUUAUUCCCCGACCGAGCUCGGCCGUCAAGUUGGCACACCCCGAACAUAAUCGAAAGAUGUAGUUAGCUUAUUAGUUAUUCGGCCUACGCGCCACGUAUGCUUGAUAGUUUUUAGGGUCAACAGCUCCUUACGAGCGUUGUUUUUGUUUACUAUUAUCUAAAACUAAUCAAAUUAUUAAUGACUUGACAAAACAAAGAAAUAAACCUUCACAUGAGUAGUGUCAAUAGGUACCACAACGCUGAAGUAACCCAUCCAGUGACGAUAUUGUAGCAGAGGCCUUGCGGAAAUAUAGCUCGACGCCAGGAUGAUAAAAAGUUUAACACCUCUCAUUCUUGUUACUUUUUCAAAACGGUAAACAAAAUUGAAAAUGAAACUUAAGUUUGAAAAUGACGAAGCUUGUGUGAGCAUAUCAUUAUACAAUUUCUUAUAUUUUCAUAGCAUAUGCACAAAAACUUUCAUGUUGAUGAAUAAGUUUAUUUUUAUGUAUAUAAUUAUAAUACUUUGUCAUCUUCUAUUAUAAGUUUUGUCCAUAUUUACGAAACUAAAAAAUAAAAAAAAUAAAAAAAUAAAAAAGUAGCACCUUCGCAAUAUUUAUUCAUGCCCAUAAAUCCACUCACAAUAAAAUUAAAAAACGAUGGCGUAAUCAUAUUGGUUAGAAAACCAGGAGGAUCCUCUUUGUGAGGAUCCGAGGGAUCCUCCAAUCACAUCUGUUCAUCGUACAUUGUGCGGUUAGAAACCAUUGUAAAUUUUUUUAUUUAAAAUUAAAUAUGAACAGUACCUGACAAAAAUUGAUCGCACAAUGUACGAUAAACAGAUGUGAUUGAAGGAUCCCCGAGAUCCUCACAAAGAGGAUCCGGCGAGGAUCCUCUCUCGUUAGAAAAGAUAUAUUAUUGCUUUAGCAUUAAUAUGUUGCCCCAAGGCAUUGGCAAAUUGAGUAGUUUAAAAAAGAUCAACAAUUAGUCAUUUAGUAUUGCAGUCUAGUCGUAUUCAUCUUCACUUGGAUGUGAGAGGUCUUUCCAAACUUGUGAGUUUAAGGGAAAUUUAAUAACUAAUCAAUAAGUUUAAUUUUUUAACUUGUUUUUCUCUUUCGGAGGGAAAAUGUGGUUUGUGUUUUUAAUGGGAGUCUUUAAACUUUUCUGUAACAUAGUUUCACAAUCAAUCAAUAUACAAAGUUUCUUGACUUUUUGGUCUGAAAUUCAGUAUGUGAAUCCAACACCACAAUCUGAUUCAUGCUCUCCCAAAAUAAUUUUUAAAAGAAAAAGGAACCAAAAAAAAAUGGUUGAAGAAUCUCUAUAGGAUAAGAACUUUCAUGUUACAAGAUCAAGUGUUAAUCAUGUCGUGUGUAAGUUUUUCUAGUAUCUAUACUCACGUAUGCCCGUCAAGUUUCCUGAGUUGUUCAUAUAUAAUAUUGAUGCAUUGCCAAAUCUAGAAGAAUUGAUUGUUAUUGACUAUUGCGAUGAAUCGGUCUCAAACUAUGUAUUCCAACUAAUACAGUUUGAUUAGUCUCGUUCAAUACUAUUAGAAAAAUUACAGUUUUUAUAGUUACCUUACUUGAUCAACUUUAAAUUUAUUUUCCUUGAAGUUGUCAUUGACAAAAUAGACAACGUAACUCAAAAGGAGGACAAAGUGGCUUUCUUUUAGUGCUAAUACAAAUUCUUAUAGAAACUAUAUAUUGAUUGCAUGAACAAGUUCAAUUUAAAUUUAAAUAUCAUAAAGAAAAAUUAUAUUUUUUAGGAAAGAAAAUUAUACAAGAUGUUUAUACCAUAUUUAGGGCCUCGUAUUUAGAUCUCGUACAAAUACUCAGGGGACUUAAAUGUAAUUAUGGAAUAAAGGAAGGGGCAAAUAUGUAAUUAGGGGAGGAGCCCUUAUUCUAUAAAAGGGCCUCCUCACCCUCACAAACCCUAAGCUUCCUCACACCCCCUAAGCUCUAAGCUCUCUCUCCCUCACUUCUCAGAGAAAUAUAAUACAAUCAGUGUGGACGUAGCCCAAACUUUGGGGUGAACCACGAUACAUCUUGUGUUAUUUACAUUACUUGCAGAUUCACGGUCGGAUUUACGUUGUACCAAGACCAUCCGGUUUUGUGCAUCAACAUUUGGCGCCGUCUGUGGGAAUCGACACAAAAAACUAUGUCGGUUCUCUUUCAUUUUUUCACCUCCACCAUGAAUCUGCAAAAUCUGCAAGAACCCAAAACCUUACUCCUAGCAAAGUGUGCCAUGAUUGUUGUUCCUUGGAGCGAAAUAUUAACAAUACGGGAAGGGUAUAGUGGUCCAGUGCAGAAGACGAAACGCAUGCUUAGACUCGGACUCAGCCUCGGGACAACGAUACCGCCGUCGCUGACCUUGACGCCGAUGGUGGCUUCUUUUCUCUGGAGGGAAUGUUACAGUGGGCCAUAGGCCACUCCGAUCCCGUCCAAUUGAAAGAGAAGGCGCGAGAUAUCGAGCGAUUGUCUCCCACCGACCUAAACGACUGCCGGCUGGCGAUAAAACAACUCACGGACGAGCUGAAGACGCCUUCGAACACGCAGCUGAUGCAGAUUACGAUUGACGACUUGAGUAACUUCUCGCUGUCGUUGGAAGAUCAACACCGUGCUCUGGAAGAACUGGUGCUCCAGCAGAUCCAUUGAGCCUCUGAUUUCAGACUAUGCAUCUGCCUCUACCUGUCAAACUCUUUCUCAUCUCUCUCUCUCUACAAAACCCAAAAAGCAGAAAAAUCAGAAAAAUGAAACCGAAAAGGGGAAACAUGUCAUGCUCCGUCGCAGUUGUUAACUCACCGAUGUCUUACCCGCCGUCGUCCCUAUUCUGCAACAAAUCCUCCAUGAUCUCUCUGGCCCCAGAAACCAUGACUUUACCUCCGCCGCCGUCGGCCUUGUCACCAUCGGGAUUGGCUUCGUGUUCGUCUCUGUCGUCAUCGUUUCGGAUUCGGAUCUUGAAUCCGUCGAACAGGUUGUCAUGUUCAGGUCCGGGGUCUCCAGUGAUGCAGCUGAAGAGGAAGAGGCCGGCGAAGCUUUGUAUUCUGGUGGUGUCCCCGGGAUUUGGAUCUGCUCCGCCGACGCUGUCGACGACCGAUUGGAGAUAGGUGAUAGAGGUUCGCUACUUAGCUAGUCUUAAUCUUGAAGGAACUGUUGAAAGCCGGGAGGAUCACAUUACCGACUCGAACGACUGAGAGUCAGAGGAGGAGAAACAACGUGGUAGUACAUGGUUUCCCCUCGUAGGAAAACUGUUGUAUAACCCCAUCAGUUCGAGCCCAGGCCAAUUACUCUGUGAUCAUCGGGGAAACAUGUCGUGCUCAGUCUCGUAGGGCCCACCAGAACCAGAAGGCGGAGCAACCCUGCGUGUCUGGAAGUGGAACCACAUAAUGUUUAAUGCAGACAAGGUGUGGUGUGUGGACCUGCAAGCCUAGUGAACUCAAUGAUGGAUCUAUACCAAAGAAAUCCAAAGAAAUCCAAGCUGGGAUCCACUGUGUACCCUUAUCCCCAGGUUUUUACAUCUGUGGUGGAGCUUUACAACAACAUUCUCUCAACCCAUUCUCUGCUGGAGCACACUAAUGUAUUUGUGUUGCUUGACAAUGAUGCCAUCUACGACAUCUGCAGAAACAAAAGCAAAAGAGAAAGGAAAAAGCAAAAGAGAGAGAUGCAAGCUAUCACCAAGUCGGUUCAAGCAAGGCUAGAGCAACAAAGGUGCAGAGAUCAAGAAAAAAGCAAAAAAGCAAGGGGGAACAAAGCAGAAAAGAGAAAGCAAAAGAGAAAAGCAAAAGAUUUUCCUAUUAUUAUGAUUCCUUCUGUCUACCAGGUUGCAAAAGUAAGGAAUAAACAUCCCACCCGAAUGAUGUAAUUUAUUUUUAUUAUCUUUCAAAAGGUAAUAUGUAUAAACCCCAUCAAAGGGUAAUAACAGUAAAAAAAAAAAAAAAAAAACGGCAAAGCCCAAAAUAAAUGGGCUGACAUGUUGUGGAGGGCAGAGGCCCAUAAGCCCAAAAUAGCUCCAAUCAGGCGAUCAAAAGUACGCUCAAUACUCAAAAAUUAUUCAGCAACCUGCCGCUAUUACCACCAACCAAGCAAUCAAAAGUACGCCCCGUACUCCACAAUUAUUCGGCAACCUGCCGCUAUUAUCACCAACCAGGUAAUCAAAAGUACGCCCAGUACUUCCAAAAUUAUUCGGCAACCCGCCGCUAUUAUCACCAACCAGAUGACCAAAAGUACGCCUAGUACUCCAAAAAUUAUUCGGCAACCUGUCGCUAUUACCACCAACCAGGUGAUGAAAUGUACAACCCGUACUCUAAUAUCAUUUGGCAACUAGCUAUUCAUACCACCAACCAGGUGAUGAAAUGUACAACCCGUACUCUAAUAUCAUUUGGCAACUAGCCAUUCAUGCCACCAACCAGGUGAUGAAAUGUACAACCCGUACUCUAAUAUCAUUUGGCAACUAGCUAUUCAUGCCACCAACCAGGUGAUGAAAUGUACAACCCGUACUCUCCUUCAUGCCACCAACCCGGUGAUCAAAAGUACGCCCAGUACUUCAAAUCAUACAUGAGCAUUACUCAUGUCAUUCAUACAUAAACAUUUAUGAGCAUCACUCAUGACAAUCAUACAUUAACAUUCAUGAGCAUCACUCAUGUCAAACAGCUUCAAAAGAUUCAUUUACAGAGCUCUAACUUCAAUGCUUCACUUGCAAAGCUUCACUUGCAAAGCUUCACCUACAAAGCUUCAGUGCAAGGUAUACAAAUACCGCCUCCGAACAACCGCCACUUCGGCCCAUACAUGGAUUCAAUUUGAAGUCUCUAGCCAACAUACUCUAUUGACCGAAGACUUGGGGGACUACACUAUACACCAUAUAUUGGGCCUCAACUGGGCCUCAUGAAAAAUACUCGAGGGACUUAGCCCAUUACUUAUGUAUGGAGGGGCGAGCUCUUAUUCUAUAAAAUGGACUCCCUCACUUUCAUUAAAGAGCACCCAUUAUUUAUGUACUGAGGAGUGAGCCCUUAUUUUAUAAAAGGGCCCCUCUCAUCACCAUUAGAGAGCAUCGCCGCCUACUGAGCAACCGUCUCGCUGCGAGCAUCAACUCUCACCCAUCACUUAUGUAUUGAGGAGCGAGCCCUUAUUCUAUAAAAUGGACUCCCUCACCUUCAAACGCCACAAGCCGAGCCAACCAAGGCAACAUAAGCUACAAGCAGAGCGGCCUCGCAACAUGUGCUACUUCUAGUUGAGCAUUAUUUCAGAUUGGGCACCGCCUCAUAUCAAGCAUUAGUUCUAGACGACAUCUAGUUACUUCGGCCCACACAUAGACUGAAUUUCAAGUCUCCAGCCAAAAGACUCUCUUGACUGAAGACUUGGGGGACUACUGUUUAUACCAUAUUUAGGGUCUCGUAUUUAGAUCUCGUACAAAUACUCAGGGGACUUAAAUGUAAUUAUGGGAUAAAGGAAGGGGCAAAUACGUAAUUAGGGGAGGAGCCCUUAUUCUAUAAAAGGGCCUCCUCACCUUCACAAACCCUAAGCUUCCUCACACCCCCUAAGCUCUAAGCUCUCUCUCCCUCACUUCUCAGAGAAAUAUAAUACAAUCAGUGUGGACGUAGCCCAAACUUUGGGGUGAACCACGAUACAUCUUGUGUUAUUUACAUUACUUGCAGAUUCACGGUCGGAUUUACGUUGUACCAAGACCAUCCGGUUUUGUGCAUCAACACAAGACAUAAAAAGUUUAUUAAUCAACAAUGAAAUUUUUGUGCAUCUUCCAUGAAAACAUAAGGAAAUUGUACUAUGGUCUCCUCAAAAGAAAUUCUCAAUUCUAUCAUUUUUCGUAACUUGUGAUACACGCUUAGGGAGAUGAAUUCUUCAAUUAAAUUUUAAUACACAUAAACGAGAUCUAUCUGUAGUUUAUUGAAAAUGAUGAAGCUCAAGAAUACAAUUUCCUAGUGUUUUCGUAGCAUAUGUAGACAAAUUUUUAUUUUUAAAAAUAAUAUUUUUUAUGUACAUAAGUAUAAUAUUUUUGCAUCUUUUAAUAUUAUUUUUCAGUUAAAACCUAUAUUUUUUGAAUUAAUUUUUAUUUUAUUUUAAUGCAAGAGUUGAAGAAGAUCUAAUAAUAAAAUACAUCAACUCACAAUAAAAUAAAAAAUAUACCGGCGUAAUUAUAUUGGCUAGAAUAAAUAUUUAAUUCCUUUCAAAAAUCAAAACACCUUGUUGAAUAAUUAAUUGAAAUUAUUGAAAAAGGUAAGUGUUAGAGUAAAUGUAGAAAUAUAGAGAAUAAAUUGAACGAUGACUUUGAGGUACAACUUGAAUUGUUUCCUUAAAGUGUUAUUUACCCCCACUCGAAUGAAUUUGCUAGAGUUCUUGGCAAAUCAUUUCCAGGAUACAACAAAAUAUGAAAUAUUCGAUUAGCAAAACCGAAUUGUAUUCCCUUAGAAAUAACUAGAAAGAAAUUGUAUGAGUGUGAUGGAGAGAAGAGAGAGCAAAGAAAUUGUGUAGACAACAAAUUUUUCAAUGAAUUUCUCUCUACCAAUUUACCAAUAUAUAGGGGAGAUUGCACCCGUUAGACAUAUCCUUUGGUUUUGGAUAUGCCUUCUCGGCAUGGGAUACAUCAUUUGGUUUUAGGUAUACCUUUUCGCCAUGGGAUACAACUGAAUUAAUAUUACAGCAAUAUGCUCAAUACGCAUGUCAGAUGUAAAGCAUCAAUUACCAAAGGCUAUGUCUGUUAGGCCCUGUUUGGCAGCCCGUAUAAAGCAUCGGAUAGGAUAAAUAAUACGGACCCGAGUGUUUGGCGUUGUUCCAUACUAAAUAGCAACCGGAUUAAUUAUACCGGCCCCACAUGAUUUAUACGGUACACACCUGUUAAUUUAUCCUCCCUAAAACGUAAGGAUUAUUAGUCGGGUGGGAAACAACGAUCGCUCUCUCCCUCUCUCCCUCUCUCCCUCUCUGUCCCUUACUCGUCGCGUUCCUUUCUCUCUCUCUCGCAUCGUUCAGCCACCGUCGUUCGUCGUUCGUCGUUCAGCCAUCGUUCAGACGUCGUCCAGCCGUCGCCGUCUAGCCGCCAUCGUUCUGCUUCUACUUUGCUCUGCUCAGUUCCUUUCUCUCUCUCGCAUCGUUCAGCCAUCGUCGUUCUUCUUCUACUUUGCUCUGCUCCGCCCUAAAUUAUUGGGGAAGUUAUAGAUCCCUUCAAAUUAAGUUUUAGAACUCCAUAAUUUCUAUAAAAUUCUAUGAAAUUACUGAGGGUUGGAAAUCCAAUUAAUAGAUUUGGUUAACAGGAUUUGAAACCCAACGACCUGCAAUCGCCUAUUCGCCGGAAUCUGGAGCAGAUCUCAUCGAUUCCCGGAAAACUUCAAGAGCCAAAUGCUCUGUCAAUCCUCGCCGACGUGGCUGGACCUUCUUCUCCGUUUGAAGCCGCACCUUCACAGUGCCUCGAUUUGUCGUAAAACACACCCUUAACGGAUCCAUGUUGUCUGCAGAAGAUCAACCAAAAAGGGUUUUAUGCCAAACAUGAAUGACAAAUUAAAGGCACUGCCCUUUUUUGAUUAUUCUAUCAUUUUUUUUUUUAUCAUAUCCGGUAUAAAACCAAACACCGUAUAAAUAAUACGGUCAUUAGUCCGAUACUGCACCAAACGUCCGACUAAUUUAGUCAGUACUAUCCGGUGACUAUUUAUCCUAUCCGACAGAAAUAGUCAGUACAGUCCGAGCUGUCAAACGAGACCUUAGUAAAUUAUGCACUAGUCAGACAUGGAUCAUGUCUUUUAGCAAAGUUGGAAAAGUCACAUUAAUCUAAUGAAGAGCAACUGUUGGGCAAAUACCCAACUUCUUCCACACGAACGUAUGACUUUUCAUUUAAUCUGAUGAGGCAAAUACCCAACUUCUUCCACACGAACGUAUGACUUUUCCUUCUUCCACACGAACGUAUGACUUUUCCUUUAAUCUGAUCAAGAAGAGCAACUGUUAGGCAAAUACCCAACUACUUCCACAAAAACAUAUUAAUAUAUUAUUAAAAUAUUCAACAGUAGGAACCUUGAAGGUAGUUGCAUGGUACUUUAACAUUUGGUUUUCUUUUACAAUUUCUUCGAAGUUGGGAAUGGAAUCAUCAAAAGAGAACAGGUUAAAGGUUUGUUGAAGAAAGUCACCCACUAUAGGACGGUCAACACGCUUUCGUUAUGAAUAAUGUUUUUGUGGUUGUUGUUGUCUUGGUCGUCGUUGUCAGGACAACUUUUCAAUUGAAUGCCCUUCCAUUUUUUUGGAACUGGAUUUCUCGAUCCAAAAUGAUUUAAGCCUACUAAUUAAUGAAUUCGAACCAUUAAAAUUUGAUUCAACGGUUAAAAAUAAAAGAUUCUUUUAAAAAUUAUAAUAAUUAUAGCUAUUGGAUUCAAUUUUAAUGGUCCAAAUUUAUUGAUUAGUGACCUCAUAUCCUUUUAAAUCCGGAGGAUCCGGUUCCCAUUUUCUUGACCCCGCCGUGCGCGUUAAACCGAAAGUCCUACCAAAUGACACGGUAACUCCAACAAACAUGGACAUGAAGUAUUAAAAUAUGUUUGAUAAUUAUUGUAGUUUUUCUAUUCUGGAUUUUAGUUUAAUUUAAAAGCUAAAAGUCAGAAAAAAUUUAAAAAUUUAAAUAUGUUUGGUAAUUGUUUUUAAAUUCAACAAAAAAAAAAGUUAAAAAUUGAAGAUGAAAUGGUAAUCAAUCAGCCUCAUAACUUUCAGUUAAUCAAUCGGUCUCGUAGCUUUCAGUUUUCAAUUAGCCUCACAAUAAGUGCAAACAAAAAUUAAAAAUGAAAUGAUUAGAAAACAGUCCCUAAAUUUUCUAAAUGCUAACUUGGCUAAACUAGUUGCCCCAACAUUGGCGGAUCUGAGAGUGAAACAGACAUGAUAAUAAGCAAAAAACACAUCCAAAUCUUGAAGUAAUCUAAACUCAAACUCAAAAGACUAAGAUGGAGCUCCAAAGCUAAAGAAACUUCAUGCAUGGUGAAAUUGUCAAACACUUCGCGAAUAAUAAGCAAAAAAUUGCAAUAUAACAAACAUGAAGACGCUAUUUGACAAUAAGCAGUGCCAACUCAAAGAAGAACUGGUAACAAAACAACUAGUGUCUGCCCAUGUGGAUUUUGUUAUCAACACCAUCACCGAAGCUACCAAGAACAACAAAGUAAACCAUAGAGGACCCAAUAACACACCAAUAAAAAAAACUAAAAUACUCACCAGGAGAGACUCACAAAAUCCACACCAAGAAGCCUCUUAUUGACGGAAAAAAUAAAACGAAAUUAAGGGCUGGUUUGGUAUUGCUGUGCUUUGAAAAAAAAAAAAAAAACUGAUUCUGCUGUGCUGUGAGAAUACGCUCAUUUUUGCUGCUUCAUGUUUUCAACUUUUUUCACCAAAAACUGUGAAAAUAAGCUGUUUUUAAGUGUUUACCAAACACUUUUUUGAGCUUAGCUUUUUUUUUAUACCCACUUUUUAUAAAAGCACCUUAGUACAAAACAAAUACUAAAUCUAUGACAAACCAUGAGAAGAGAAAAGUAGUAAGACUAGGAGAUGGGGAGGGGCUGCCAGGGGCCACAAGCUGGAGCAAGGGCCUAAGCUAUAAAUUUUGGAGAUUGAAAUUUUGGUAAGGGAAAGGACAAAAGCCACUAGUAGUAGUUUCUUAUAUAUUAGUAUUCUAAGAGCCAUGCUUUCGAGUUUUACUAACAAAACAUAAAGCAAAAAUAAUUGUAUAUCUACGUCUUGGUAAUUCAUUUGCAAUAAUUUUAGUAGGAAUUUUGUAAGUCCUGAGUGGUUUAUGCAUAAUGUUUUUUUGUAGUACAAUUUUUAAUAAGAGUAUCUCUGAUAAGUGUAAAUAUGAGUUCUACUUCAACGAAAAGAAUGUAAAUUCAAAAUUUUAUUAGUUUUGGCCUCUCUCUGAUCAGCAUAUUCCACCUCUUAAAUAUAUAAAUAUACAUUUCUAUUUACGUAUUACAUUAAUCAUUAGAGAGCUUCCGACAAAAAAUAUAUAUAAAUUGUUAAUUUCUGGACAUUUUGCAUCUUUUAUUAGAGAGGCUCUAAUUGAGAACCAUUUAUUUUGGGGGUGAGGUUGUUGAAAUUAUUUAAAAAACAACUUAUUAGAUGUUAUGGUAAAUGAAUGAAACUUGUUUUUUUUUUCUUCUUCUUUUUUUUCCUCAAAAUCAUAGGUUACUCACAGCAGAAAUCAAGAAAAAAGGUAAAUGUUGCCUCAUCAAUCACUUAGUACUACGGUCUAGUGAUAUUUCUCUUCACUUGUAAUAAUCUUAUGUUCGAUUCUCACCAAAGACAAAUUUUUAUCAUAUUAUUGUUAGCCCAUUGUGAAGUUAUGCACACCUCCUCCCCUUAGUGUAGAUAAUAUCAUUUGUUAAAAAAAAAUAUAUUAAAUAAAGAAAAAGAUGUCUCACUAAUAAGAAUGAACACUUUUAUCAACGUUUUAGUAAUAAAUCAAUAAUCAACUUUCAUAUCCUUUAGGCCAUCUCCAACCGAAGGUUGGCCAGAUGGCUCGUUUGAGCCCUCUAGCCCUCCAAGAUUCCCCAAGAUAUUAAUAUUUUAAUGAACAGUACAGGGCCAUAUUUGCCUCCGUAUCCAACCGAGGGCCAGAGGGCCAAAGGGCUCGUUUUAGCCCUGUCACAAAAAACCGUCUCCAACCGAGGGCCAAAGGGUCAUAGGGCCAAACAUAAUUUAUUAUUUAAAUUUAAAAACUACAACAACUUAAAUUUAAAAACAACAACUUAUAUUUAAACACUACAAAUUAAAUUUAAAAACAACAUUAACUUAAAUUUAAAAAUUACAACGACUUAAAUUUAAUAUCCAUAAUCAAUAUUAUCUUCAUCAUCCGCCAUUGUAGGAGUAUAGUCAGAGAUAAACAAUUGCCGCCGAGCCAUAAUUUCUUUUUUUUUCCUAUCAAAAUAGGUCUUACUCAUUGGAGUGUAAUUCGAAGUGUUCCUUUCCAUAUUCUUAUCAUUCAUCUCUUCUUGUAUUUGUUUGGCUCGCUCUUCAUGUCUACACUUCCUUUCUUCCGCCUCACGGGCAUUUUGCUCCGCCAGUAAUCGAAAUGAGGCCGCCACUUCAUGUUGAGCGGCGUAAUCAGCAUUUGCCUUGCCAUUUUCCCUCAACCUUCGGGCCUUGUUUCGUCCCAUAGGCCUAGGUAAAGAAAUUUCGGACAGAGUCGGAUUUUCUACCCUUGUUUGUUGAAUGGUAGGAGAUCCAUCUUCAUUCAUAUCUACAGAUGGGGAUGCAGCUUCCAAAGGAUCCACUCUAUGUUGAGGUGGAUCUUCAAAUAACACCCACCCUUUACAAAUUUCCCAACAACCGUGAAACUAAAAGGGUUUUGAGCUGCCCUCCAUAUACAAUUCCUCCGCUUGGCGUACCUAGAAAAUAUAAUUAAAAAAAUUUUAGGAAAUUAAUUCACGAAAUUAAUGUAGUAUAAUUAAACAUUUAAAAUAAACUGUAAAAACACUAACUUCGUCAUAGUAAUUGGCGCCGCUUUCAUGUCUACUUGCUGCUGCUAAUAGUGCUUGAUGCCAUUUAUUCAAACUUGGAUGAAGAUGUUUCUUCCAUCUUGAAGAGAACAACUUUCGUGGUUUCGGGUAUUCGGUGGAAUGGUGCCUUCGUAGAACUCUAAGUAUUUUUUGGACACACGAGUCCAAACACCUUCACUUGUUUGAGAAAUCCCCCUCACACUAUCUUCUGAGAUCCAUCUAUAAGCCUUGCAAAGAGCUUCAUCUUCUUUUCGAGUCCAAGCCCUACCUUUCAUUGCAGAUGAGGCCAUUUUUUUUUGAAAAAAAAUGAAGGAAAUAUUGAAGGAAAUAUUACAAAUGAAAUGAAGAAAUAUUAUAGAUGAAGGAAAUAUUGAAAAAUUGAAACAAAUAUUAUAGAUGAAGGAAAUAUUGGAAAAUAUAUUGAAGGAUAGAUGAAGGAAAUAUUGGAAAAUAUAUUGAAGGAAAUAUUGAAAAAUUGAAACAAAUAUUAUAGAUGAAGGAAAUAUUAGAAAAUAUAUUGAAGGAAAUAUUGAGAAAUAUAUUGAACAGUAAAAGAGUAUGGAAAAAGUAAUUUAAGCUGUGUGAAUAUAAGCUGUGUGAAUAUAAAGGGUGAACAGUAAAGUUUAAUGAAAUUUUCAUAAUGACAAUUAUACCCUAGCUAUAAGGUUUUAAUGAAAAAUCCUUAAAUUUUAAUAAAAAUGACAAAAAACUUAAUUUUUAAUGAAAAUGACACAAUUUAAAAAAAAUAAUAAAAAAACAAAAAAUCUGACAUGCACAGUACAUGUACACUGUUUAUAAAACUGAACAUUAUUUAUAAAAUUGAACACUAUUUAUGAAACUGCACUAUUUAUGAAACUGAACGGUAUUAUACUAUUUAUUGGUUCAAUUUCAAAAAUAGUGUUUAGUUUUUUGUUCACUUUUAUAAAAUAAUGUCUAGUUCUUGAUCAUGUUUCAUAAAUAAUGUCUAAUUAUUGGGUCCAGUUUCAUAAAUAAUGUAUAGUAAUUGGUAUAAUUUCAUUAAUAGUGUCUCUUUCUUAGUCCGAUUUCAUAAAUAAUGUCUAGUUAUUGAUCCACUUUCAUUAAAAAGACUAUAGCUACACAUUUUAAAAAGGAUUAUAGCUACACAUUUUGAUAAGUUGAGGGAAUUUUUUGUUACAGCCAGUUUCCUCCUUCUGCCCCCUCGCUCCUUAUCGUCCUUCAAAUUGAAGGUUGGCGACCUUCAAUUACCUGGAGAAAUCAACAAUAAGCCAUAAUUCCUUGAAUUAAUUAGAGUAUGCUCUGCUCGUUUUCUGCUGAGUUUUCUUUAAAUCUUGAUCUUACAGUGCUCACAUGGGAACAUAGAGAGAGAUUGAUGGUUUAUAGAAAGAAACAAGAAGGAAAAUGAAAUUUGAGCUUUGUGUGGAGGGAAGGUGAGCGAGACUGCAUGCGACGAAUCCAUUGAGUUUCGGACUUCAACUGGCGUCGUUGUGGUCUGAUCCGUCUGGGUUAUGGAGAUCGGACAUUGGAGCUCCUAGCUAGCGAUCACUUGGAGCCGUAUAUCCCAUGAGAAAUUGAAAUAUACGGGAAUGGCUAUGGGGAAACGGGAUGACAGAGAGAGAUUGGGUGGUUAGGAUUGUGCCUUGGGCUGGGAGGUCGCGGCGGCGGCGGAAGGAAGGAACCCAGACCUAGAUUAUAGGUAAAAGUAGGAGACGACGGCGACGGCGGAGGAAAAGGGGGUUUCUGCGAAACCGGAAGAUUUAAGGUAAAAUUGUUAGAAUUUUCCUAUUAAUAAAAAUGGAGAAGAUAAGAUUAUUAAAAAACAAAAGUAAGUUAAUUUUUUAUUCAAACAUCGUAAUUUUUUUAAUCAUUUAAUAGUCACUGUCACUUACUUUUACUGUUUUAUUUUAAACUAUUUAUUCGACAGCACAACUUUUUUUAAAAGCCGUGUAGGUGAAAAUUCGGCGUCCCUUCUCGCCUCCUGCAGAUGUCUUUCCUAGCUUCUUGGGUGAAUUUGCUAACAUCUGUUCGUGUCUAUAUAUAACCAACAGACAGCUGGAACCAACAAAAGCUUACAUAACAUUCUCAGUUUCUAAGCAAACUUAGAUUAUUAUUCGACUUUCUGUUCUUGUUUCUUCAGCCAAGAACAGAUUACCUAAUUGACUUGAGUUCUGAGUCUCCCUGUUUUGCUGAGUAUGUCUCUAGCUUCAGUCGGAAUAGGUGCUCUCAGUACGCCAUUUCAAAUGCUGUUUGAUGCUGUAAAAUCAGCGCAGCCGGAGAAUAAAAUGCUCCGGCACCGCCUCCGAGACAUCAAAUCCACACUAGACUCUCUACAACCACUCAUCAUAGACAUCGAAAAAUCUGACCCCAAAGAGCAACUGCAACAUUUUGCACUACAGAUGGAGGAGGGGGCAAAUCUUGUUCACAAGUGCACCAAAAAUCGUCUUCAGAAGUGCAGCAAAGUUGCCCUGUGGAGAAAAUACAUAUACGCCAAAAAGCUUCGUCAACUGGACAAAUCUCUUCGAAGAGUGUUUGAUGUUCUUAAACUGCAGGGUACGAGGGAUGCGAGGGAGACGUUGGUUUCUUUGAGGAUUAUCGAGAAGGUGCUCUCUCGAGUAGAAGAGAGUUUGAAGAUGAAAACUAAUCAGCCUGAAAUAGUUACAUGUUCGCCUAGGGUGCCUGAAGCGCCAUCGGUUGCAGUCGGGUUGGAUGUGCCGUUGAAGGAGUUGAAGAUGAAGCUCCUCAAGGAUGAAAAGGUGUCUAUGCUUGUGCUGACUGCUGCUGGAGGGUGUGGGAAAACCACCUUGGCUAAAAAGUUUUGUCAGGAUCAAGAAGUCAAAGGUAUGCUAUCUAUGAUUUCAACUUUUUUUGGUGAAGUUUUACUUCCUAGUGAUAAGUUGAUUCCUUCCUCUUAGAGUUAACAAAUCUUUGCAAUGAGCUCCCUGUUUGAUUACUUACUUGAUCUGAGAAUUGCAGACAUAUCUAGUUAACCUUUUAUUAACACCUUUCUUACAUUCUGUUUGGAUAGAUACAUUCAAGAAGAACAUCUUCUUUGUCAAUGUCUCGAAGAAGCCCAACUUGGGCCUUAUUGUACAUGAACUAUAUCAACAGAAGGGGACCGAGCUGCCUGCUGUCCAAAACGAAGUCAUGGCAGCUAACCGUUUGCAACAAUUUCUCAAGGAAUCAACACAAAAUCCUCUACUAUUUGUCCUGGAUGAUGUUUGGUCGGGAUCAGAGCCCCUUCUUGAGAAGUUUGAUCAAUUGAAGUUUUCAAAUUACAAGAUUUUGGUCACAUCAAGAUUUGCAUUUCCAAGAUUCGGUUCUCCUUAUCGUUUGGCAUCAUUGAGUGAUGAAGAUGCAAUGAUCCUUUUUCACUACUCGGCAUCCUUGGUGGAUAAGAGCUCUUAUACUUACGAAGAUCUUUCGAGAAAGGUGAUUUCUUAGUCCACUAUGCACAUACAUACAUGUAUAUGCUUAUUUAUGCCUCACAAGAGGGUAAAGAAAUAACGUCUGAGCAUCCACACACGUUCACACACGUUAAUGAAGUGUGAAGAAUGAAGUAAGAAGAAUGAAAGAGUAGACAAUUUACAAUUUUAUCAUCUUUAUGAAACCAUUUAGAUGAUUUUCAACAAUAUAAUCAAAUAAUAGUAAUUGAAUUCAUUUUGGAUAAUUAAAUUGCAGAUUAUCAAGCGCUGUAAGGGAUGCCCACUGGCCAUUGCAUUGGUCGGGAGAUCACUUCGCGGCCAGCCUAUAGAAAUCUGGCACAAAAGAGUAGUGGAAUGGUGCAAAGGUUCAUCUAUUCUUGAUUCUGACAAGGAAUUGCUUGCUUGCCUCCUAAGCAGUUUAGAUGCCUUGGAUAAAGAAAAAGCUAUCAUCAAGGAAUGUUUCCUCGAUCUAGGUUCUUUUCCGGAGGACCAAAGAAUUGCUGUUGCCGCCCUCAUUGAUAUGUGGGCAGAGUUAUAUGAUCUAGAUGAAGAGAUUCUGACCAUUGCCAAUCUUCACGAGCUCACCGCCCGAAGUUUAGCUAAUCUUGUUGUCACAAGGUAUGCAGGCUGCUCAUAAUUUUCUAUUUCAAUAUGUAUGCUGAACAAAUCACUAAAGAAAUUAGUAUUGUUCAUCCAGGCAUGAGAUGGGAGCGGAUGGCUAUUACACUGAACACUUCGUCACCCAGCACGACAUGCUUAGAGAGUUGGCGAUCCAUCAGGCGAGUCAAGGCCCAAUAGAACAUAGGGAACGACUAUUUAUAAACAUAUGUGGGGACAAACUUCCCAAGUGGUUGACAGAACAAAAGUAUCAAGCGAUCAAGGCUCGACUAUUAUCUAUCUCAACAGGUUCCAUCCAUCUCUCUCUAGUAAAUAUUUACACGUGCGCUCGGGACACGCUUGUGUGUGCUCGCGCGCGCACACACACAUGCUCAUUCAUACUAACACUUCAAUAGGACGUCCACACAUUUAGGCUAAUAUCUUGAAGCUUAUUGUUUGCAGAUGGAGCCUUCUCGGCAAAAUGGCCAAACAUGCAAGUACCCGAGGCAGAGGUUCUAGUUCUGAAUUUUCAAACGAGGAACUAUGCCUUACCUGAGUUUGUGGAGAAAAUGGAUAAACUAAAGGUUCUAAUACUAAAAAAUGACGGUUUGUUACCUGCUGAACUAGAUAAUUUUGAACUACUUGGUUCGCUAUCAAAUCUUAAGAGAAUUAGAUUAGAACGUAUUUCAAUUCCUCCCAUAAGCAAGGUCCUUAAACAGUUGAAAAGCUUGCAAAAGAUCUCUCUUUUCAUGUGUGAUAUCGGCCAAGGUUUCGGCCAAAUUUUAGAUGCACUGCCAAAUCUAGUGGAAUUGAACAUUGAUUAUUGCCAUGAUCUGGUGCAUCUUCCUGACUACGUUUGUGACCUUGUUCACCUUAAGAAGCUUAGCAUCACCAACUGUCAUAAGCUCUCUGCCUUGCCUGCAGACAUCGGAAAGCUAGUCAAUCUUGAAGUGUUGAGGCUUAGGUCAUGUGCAGAGUUGUUAGAGUUGCCAGGCUCGAUUAGGAACCUUAAAGUUUUGAAAUUUCUCGACAUAUCCGGUUGCUUUAGCGUAAAGGAGUUGCCCGAGGACAUUGGUGCAAUGGGCAGCAUGGAAAAGAUCAACGUGAGCCAGUGUUCGAGACUGAAAGAGCUGCCUGCUUCUGUUAUGGAUCUUGAACAGUUGAACGAAGUGAUAUGCGACGAGGAGACGAAAACUUUAUGGGAACCCUUCUUACCGUUUCUCACAAACAUACACAUAAAGGUGAUCAAAGAAGAUAUCAACCUAAAUUGGCUCAACAAGCUUCCAUCCUAAGGCCAUGGUCCUUCCAUCAAUUGUGUUGGUCCAAUGUAUGCAUCGUGAUUGUGUUUAAUGUUAUUUUUCCUUUGUAAUUUGCUUCUAUUUUAUGUUUUACUAAAUAAUAAGCAUGCACGUUGUGACAGGAAUCAACUGUUUCAGACGUAACUGCAUGAAUAAGACAUAUUUAACCUGAAUAAAUUCAACACAAUCAUGAAUGAACAGAUGGACACAUGAGUGAAUGAGGUCAAUAAGAUAAGCAACUUGGCUUUUAUAUACAUUCAACUCAGCAUAGCUUAUUCACGAGUUAAAAGAACUGAUUGAAAUAAAAACAGUCACAACACAUGACAUGAUUAGAUGGACCACUGCGUUAUCUGUAAGUUAAGUUGUGGCCCCAUAAAAUAGAUACACUUUCCAAUCCAUAACAAAAUAGAUUUUGAUUCAAGUAUACCUUGUAUGACAGUGAAUAAGCUCCUGUUGAUUUUCCCCAUCCAUCUAGCCUGUGAGAAUCAGAUGUACAAACUUGAACUCCAGAGCUUCAUUCACCAGAAUCACUUCCCAUUCCUAAAAUUAGGCAAAUUCCCAACAAUAACAACAAAAAACCUCUUAGACUUCAUCUUCACUUAAUCAUAGGCAUCCACUCAUCUGUAACAAAUGGAGAAAUAAGCAGAAUCACCUUGAGACAACACAGAGUCCACUGUUGCUGCCUCGGCAACACCUUGAACAGGAAGAAUACCAAUUAACCCCUUCUCUUCCCGCUGCCAUAACUCAUGCUCCACCAAUUUGACACUACAUUAAUCAAAUUCCUCAAUUUUAUCAAUUCGAUAAUCCACCAAUUAGAAAAAUCCAACUUACAAACCGCAUAACGAUCAAUUACCUAAAAAAAGGAAAAAGGAAAGUUGGCAUUUGAAAUUAACUCUAGCAAAAUUCAAGAACAAAAUAUGCAAAAUUUUUGCAGCAAAAAGUAAACGACACAGUUUGGGCAACAAAGAGCAUAAAAAGGAACAUAAUUUCCAAGCAAGCAUAGUAAUUGCAGAGCUAUAAAGUUUGUGCUGAGCUAAAACAGCUACCAGUUAAAGCACACACAGUUUUCUCAAGAUUCAAAUAGAAAAAACAAUCAAUCAAAAGACAAAUUUUAAGGCUCAAAGGUACCUGCCGGGUGAAGUGCAAUGAAUUCGAAGAUGGUGCAGGGUAGAAGGACCUUGUUUCAUAAAGGAAAGAUGCCUAGGCGAGUGGGGAGCUCCACCGAUUCCACCAUAUUUGGAAGUUGCACAAAGAGAAGAAUAAGAAAAAGAAAAAAGAGUCAGAGGAGGAGGUAGAGAACACAGGCAUAACCAUAUAAGUGCCUAAUAAAAACUAAAAAGUUAAAACAAUUAUGGACGUCUUUGUAGAGAAGCCCUUGCUUGCAGAGAAAGCAAGAAACUUAGGAAUAAGGCCAUUGGCGUGCAACUUUGACCAAUCUAAUUUUCAAAUUAACAAAUUGCAUCUCUUGAAAGAGGCACUCUUUUUCCCACUGCACCAGUUUUCGAGUCUUUCUAAUGUUUGGUUACCUAUUACUUCACAAAAUUUAUAGUAUAAUGGCUGUCUAUCCCCCACAAAAAAUGUAGUUAGACUUACAGUUCAAUUACACAAUUCCACAGAGAGUUAGUAUGAAAGUAAUCAACCUUAUAAAGACAGAGAAGAACUAACUGAUACAUAGACCCAAAGGGCAUUUUGCAAAUCAUUUUCCUUACAUUAAAUUCAAACGCUGAAUGUCCAAAAACAAAAAUUAGAAAAACAUAGUAUACUCUUAAUAACAAUCCAAUUGUUGAACCAAAUAACAUGAGCCGUUGUAUAUCUUCGUAUGCUAAAGAUUAAAAUUAAAACAAAACACAUUUUGAACUAACAGUCCAACAUUGGUCUCUUAAUUUAACUAUUUAUGUAAGCUCAACAUCAUGAUUUCAACAAAAAACAGUCAAAAGUUGAUAAAUACACACAAACAGGAAUCAUGAGUAUUUCACCAAAGUUGCGAAAUUUUACGAAGAAUCAUCAAUGCGGCCAGUUUGUGCUUAAACAAUCAUCAAAUUUUCUUCAACCCUACCCUCUCUCUGCAGCCAACACACUCAUUCUCUCAACCCUACCCUCAAACCGUGCACCCAAUCAACUCUCUUUCUGUCCCCCUAAUUCUCUCUGCAACCAAGCCCCUCCCUUAUCUACCCCAAAUUACGCACCACUCUCUGCAACCAACCCCCUCUCCUCUCUUCCCCCAUAUAAUGUGCCCACCCUGCGAAGGCACUGACAACAGACCACCUCCCUAGAAACCGGCCCUAAAAACCCAUACCUCCCUCACCCAAUAAAUCUUCGUGGACAUAUUGCAGAGAAAGGCACACAUAGGGAACAAGAAAGCAUGAAAUAAACAAACAUUCAUAGAAGUUUCAAAUUUUACCUGCCAAUCCAGCAACAGCCCCAAUUCAAAGGUCAACCCCUUCUCUACGUCACGCAAACAUCAUUCAUAUAAGAAGUUUGAGAUUUCUACUCUACAUUAUACAAAAUUAUUAAAUUAGAAUCAAACUAAUAAAGGAACUAAUAAGAUGUUACAGUGUUGCCUCAACAACCAUUUUAUGAAUGUCAUAGUUAUAUUGCCUUGCUUGAAAGAAAUUAUACCUACAGAGCGAAGGCAAAGGCAUUUGCUCAGCCAGAUAGAACCCUGCAAAGACCAAAAAUCCCUGAAAAUCAGUAUAUUAUACUACAUCUAUAUCAAACUGUAGUACAAUUUUCUUUUACAGUGGGCCCAAAGAUAACCAAAAAAAAAAUAUAUCUGACUAUCUGAGCCAUGAUUAAAAAAGAGAUGCAAUGCUGAAUUCUUCUCAACUUACCUAUUUAGUGAGUUAUUGGACCUAUUUAGAGAGUUAAUGGACUGAAAUGAAGCCAACUCUGCAACAGAGAAACAAAUGGAAAAGUCAAAAUCCAGAAAUCCAAGUUUUAACUCAAUCAAAUAUAAUAACCAACGAAACUUGCAAGCUGCAAAUACUCAGCAACAUAGACAAAGAAAUUUGCUUUUCAAAGACAUAUUUGGUCCUCUAUUUUAUUAAUUAUCGUUUGGGAAAGGAAAUUUGAGACAACACUAUUAAGGAGAAUGACAAGUCAUCAAAUUCUGUUACUGUCAAUAAUUCUAUUACUGUUAAAUAACUGAAUGUAAUUAGUUGUGGUAUCUGUUGAGAUUAGUUAGGAUAGUCAGGGGUAUCUAUGUAAAUAGCCAAAGGCUAUAUAUAUCUACACAGUGUGUAAAGUAUUCAUUCAAUCAAUACAAUUGAAAACUUACAGAGGAAGUUUUCUGUUUCUUUAUGGUAUCUCGCCAUCUUGCUUCACAGCUUCGAUCUUUUUUUUCCGCUCGCUUCAUCGAUCGAUUUGUGAUCGAUUCUUGUUAUUCUUCUUCUCUGAUCCUUCGAUUUGUCUUCUACGAUCUUGAUUUCUGUCAGUAAUGGCGGCUCCGUCGACUGGAUCGUCUUCUCCGGUCAUCUCCCCUUCGAGCCCAAACCCUAAUUCCUCUUGUAAUCCAAGUCCUAUGAAUUCCUACACUUCUCUUACCAUCCACAACAUCGGCAGCAUGGUGCCGAUCAAGCUGAAAAGAUCCAAUUAUCUACCAUGGCGCGCACUGUUUGGCCCGAUUCUCCGGCGUUACAAGCUUCUUGGCAUCAUUGAUGGUACCGAAUUCUGUCCAUCGCCAUUUCUUCCUGAUCGUCACAUCAAUCCUGCCUUUGAGGAAUGGUAUGAAAAAGAUCAAAAUCUUUUGAUCUGGUUGAAUUCCACACUUUCUGAGGAAAUCAUUCCUUUCACGGUUGGGGUUUCGUCAUCUCGAGAGCUUUGGGUGAAGCUUGAACAGCAUUUUGGAGGCAUUUCAGAAGCUCAUAUCCAUCAACUGCGAUCGCGCCUUCAAUCUGUUCAAAAAGGAUCUCGUUCCAUUUCUGAAUAUCUUCAAGAUCUAAAGGAAAUUUCAGAUUCCUUGCAAGCCGCUGGUGCUUCUGUGACUGAUCGAGAUCUUAUUGCAGCCACACUACAUGGCUUGCCUGAUGAAUUUGAGUCUUUUAUAGAUUCUAUCAUGCUUCGAUUGUCCUCUACCUCUCUUGAUGAACUUCAUGGCCUUCUUCUUACAAAGGAAUUGUCUAUGGCAAGGCGCAAAACUGUCAGUUCAUCUCCUGUUACUGAACCUUUCCAGGCCUUCUCGGUGCAAUCUCAGCCUCCCCUACUUCCUACUCCAUCUGCAUUUGCUGCUCAGUAUCAACCUCUUCACUCUGCAUCUCGGUUCAACUCCAAUCGUGGUAGGAAUACUAAGGGGCAGUUCUUUUCCAAUCGAGGUAAUCGAGGAAAUCGUGGUACCUCUACCAACAAUCGUGGCAAUCGAGGUUAUCAAGGCUCUCGCAACAAUCAAGGUUCUUCUCACUUCAAAGUUCCUUGUCAAAUCUGUGGUUCUACCAGUCAUGAAGCUAUUGACUGUUUUGAUCGUAUGAAUCCGGAUAUCAGUGGUCGUAUUCCUCUAGCUAAACUCGCUGCCAUGUGUGCUCAUUAUUCUGCUAAACCAUCUCAGCCUUGGUUAAUUGAUUCUGGUGCAACCUCUCACAUCACUAAUGAUGUUGCUAACAUUACCUCUCCUACUCCCUACACUGGCGAGGAUAAAGUGUAUAUUGGAGACGAUAAAGGUUUGUCUAUUCUUAAUGUUGGUUCAUCUUCUCUGCACACUCCUCAUACCUCCUUUCAACUAAGAAAUGUUUUACAUGUUCCUCACAUAAAACAUAAUCUCUUAUCUGCUUAUCAGUUUGUUCAUGAUAAUAAUUGUUCGUUGACACUUGACCCUUAUGGAUCCUAUGUCAAGGAUCGUACUUCGGGGAAGAUGCUUUUACAGGGACCAAUUAAAGAUGGUUUCUAUCCUCUUCAAAGUUCCAGCAACUCUCAUUCUUCUUCACAUACAACCUUACUCAGCAUUAAAGCUCCUGUUAAAGUUUGGCACAGGCGCUUGGGUCAUCCUUCCUCCUCCAUUUUCAGAAGGUUAAUUUCAACUAAUAAUCUUGCUUUACAAGGCAAGCCUACUGUGGAUUUUUUCUGCUCAGAUUGUGCACUGGCUAAGAAUCAUAAGCUCCCAUUUAAAGCAGCUACUUCAUCAACAACUCAAAGUCUUCAGCUACUGCACUAUGAUCUGUGGGGACCUGCCUCGGUCAAAUCCAAUAGUGGUUUUCAGUAUUAUUUGCUUAUUGUUGAUGACUAUAGCAAAUAUAGUUGGUUCUUUCCUUUGAAAUCCAAGGCUGAUGUAUUUUCUACAUUUGUUGUCUUCAAACCUUAUGUAGAAAAUUUACUUGGAAAUAAAAUAAAAGUUUUGCGUUCAGAUUCAGGGGGUGAAUUUACAAGUCAUUCUUUUGCAUCAUAUCUUAGCAAACAUGGCAUUCUUCAUCAUUUCAGCUGUCCCGAUACCCCUGAGCAAAACGGUUGUGCAGAACGCAAGCACCGGCACCUUGUUGAGACAGCUAGAACUUUACUUGUUGCCUCUCAUGUCCCUCAUCUUUUUUGGGUAGAAGCUUUCUCCACUACCAUCUACCUUAUUAAUCGUCUUCCCAUCUCAGGAGUUUCAAAGUCACCUUGGGAGUUGUUUCACCGCCAUCCUGACUACUCUAAACUAAAGGUGUUUGGUUGUCAAUGUUUUCCUUGGCUCAAACCCUAUAUUCAUAGCAAAUUGGAUCCCAAGAGCAAAAGUUGUAUCUUUUUGGGAUAUAGUCUUCAACACAAAGGGUAUAGGUGCCUUGAUCCUGUCACCAAUCGCAUCUAUAUCUCUCGCCAUGUUGUGUUUGAUGAAAGUACUUAUCCUUUUCAGUUGCUGCCGCACCAGAAUCCUGCUACAAGUUCUCCUCCUUUCUCAUCACCACUUUCAUCCUCUCUGGAUCUCCAAUUUCACACACACAUUCCUCCUGUCUCAAGUCAUCCUUCUGCAUCACCAUUAUGUGUUUCUGUGCCUGUUCCUGUUACUCAAACUUCUUCCUCCACUAACCUCAUCUCAGUAGGUAAUUCUUCAUGUUCUGUUCCCAUUUCAGAACAUUCAUCUUUGUCACAAAAUCACCCAAGUCAUCCUCUUGUCCCUGUUAAUUCCCAUCCUAUGAUUACAAGAUCAAAGGCUGGGAUAUUCAAACCUAGAGCCAUGCAGCAACUAAGCACCCACUUCCAGCGGAUCUUGACUAUGUUCCUAACACAUACUUACAAGCUUCUAAGUAUGCUCAUUGGAGGCAAGCUAUGCAAGAUGAAUACAAUGCAUUGUUGACCACUGGUACUUGGUCUCUUGUUCCUUCUCACCAUUCUCAAAACAUUGUUGGCUGCAAGUGGGUCUUCCGCAUUAAGAAAAAGCCCAAUGGCACAGUUGACAGAUACAAAGCCCGACUUGUGGCCAAGGGCUUUCAUCAACAAGAAGGUAUUGAUUUUCAAGAAACCUUUAGUCCAGUUGCCAAACCGGUUACAAUUCGGAUUCUUCUUACCCUGGCUGUGCAAUAUAAUUGGUUUCUCAAUCAGCUAGACAUUAGUAAUGCCUUCCUUCAUGGAGACUUAAAGGACGAUGUCUACAUGCAACAACCCCCUGGUUUUGUUGAUCCCUUACAUCCUACCUCUAUUUGUAAGUUGAGGAAGUCUUUGUAUGGUCUUAAACAAGCUCCUCGAGCUCGGUUUGAUAAACUGUUUCAAGCUCUUCACUCUUUUGGGUUCACACAAUCCUCUUCCGAUGCUUCUUUAUUUGUUCUCAAUAGUCCUCAGUUGGUGAUUGUUCUUGUCUAUGUUGAUGAUAUUCUUAUCACUGGACCCCAUCCUCAACUUUGUCAACACUUUAUCAAGCAACUCAGUGCCCAAUUUCCAGUGAAAGACCUUGGUCCUUUACACUAUUUCUUGGGUUUAGAGGUACAUAGAUCUUCACAGGGUAUAUUUCUCCACCAAACAAAGUACUUAUUGGAUCUUCUUAAGAAAACCAACAUGGAGGGUGCAAAACCUUGUUGCACUCCUCUUGGAUCUAAGAAACUAGAUAAUAGUGGGCCUCCCUUGUCCAAUCCUACUGAAUAUCGUUCCAUUGUUGGUGGUUUACAAUAUCUCACUUGGACUAGACCGGAUCUUGCCUUUGUUGUGAACCAAAUCUGCCAAUUCAUGCAUGCUCCCCGAGAGCAACACCUUCAGGCAGCAAAAAGGAUUCUCAGAUUUCUCAAAGGUUCUCUUUCCCAUGGUUUGUGGUUCACUAAAGGUCAUGUCCAUCUUUCAGCAUACUCUGAUGCUGAUUGGGCUGGCUGCACAUUUGACAGGCGCUCAACCACUGGCUAUUGUGUCUUCCUGGGUUAUAAUCUUAUCAGCUGGAGUGCCAAGAAACAAAGUACUGUUGCACGGCUCACACAGCUGCUGAAAUCACUUGGGUUUGCAAAAUUCUCAAAGAUCUACACUAUCCUCUAUCUACAUUGCCUACUCUUUGGUGUGACAACAUUUCAGCAAUCUCAUUAGCCUCUAAUCCUGUCUUUCAUGCUCGAACAAAGCAUGUUGAGAUUGAUUACCACUAUAUUAGAGAAUUGGUUCUAGCCAAACUUCUUCAAGUCCGAUUUAUUUGCAGUGAAGACCAAUUGGCUAAUCUUCAUACCAAGUCCCUGUCUAAAAACAGAUUCACCUAUCUGUGUUCCAAGCUUCCAAUUGGACUCAUUUCUGAUUCCCCUUCUAGCUUGAGGGGGUGUAUUAGGGAGAAUGACAAGUCAUCCAAUUCUGUUACUGUUAAUAAUUCUAUUACUGUUAAAUAACUGAAUGUAAUUAGUUGUGGUACCUGUUGAGAUUAGUUAGGAUAGUCAGGGGUAUCUAUGUAAAUAGCCAAAGGCUAUAUAUAUCUACACAGUGCGUAAAGUAUUCAUUCAAUCAAUACAAUUGAAAACUUACAGAGGAAGUUUUCUGUUUCUUUAAACACCUCAUCAAAGAAGAGAACCAUAUUAGCACUCCCUCCACCCCAAAAUCAGAAAAUUAGAAAAUAGAAUAUGAAACAUUGUACGUAGAAAGCAAGGAAUCGAUAAUUUAUGAGGUUUCACAGGACAAUAAUGAGCUUUUAGAUAUCAUUCAUCAUUCAAUGAAUUCAGAUUUCUGAUAAAGACAGAUGGCGCCUUAUUGACUCUAAUCCUCACUAACCAACUAAGCUUAAAUGCCAUUGUUUUGCUCAAAUUAAAUGAAUUGUAACCCCCAUUUUCCGUGCAAUUCACCACCUAAACAAUGCAAUAAAAAACCAAAAGGACUUUACACACAUAUUAUUCCAUCUCUCAAAUUUACACCAAUGAUGCAUGCAUGAACCUCAAUUAAUUGCUUACUGCGAGUGAAAUUUCCAUUUUUAACCACUAAAUCAGAACAACCACCGCCAGGUAAGCAAACAUGAGCUACUUUCAUAAAAAAAUUAAAAUUAAAGACAUAAACUUCACACAGCUAGAACCUGACAACCAGCAUAUAAAUCUAAAACAAAAACCAGGCUCAAACGUAUGUAUUUCCACAGAUGCAUGUAUAAAGCUGUACAUACACACAUGUAUAAUUGUGUAAGCACAGAGGAUUUGGGAAAGUUUUCAACACACCUGUGUAUUGCAGCAGCAGGUCGAAAUGCUGGCUUUCAUCCGUUUUUCAGGCCAGAUUUUGCAGCGUUUGCAUUCACCUAUAGCAUUUAAAAUUUUCAGUCAGAGAGCAAGAAGAAAUGUAAUAAAAUGCUCACAAGGGUAAACCCCAGCAAGCAAUAGAAUAUAUAUUGAAUGCCAAAUGGCAAUUAGGAGUUAAAGGUACCUUAAAAACACAUUUCCGAAACGCAGACAUCCCUUCUUUUGAUUCCCCUAAACCCUAGACUUUCAACUCCAAAAUCCCCAAAUAGUACCAGAAUUUUGCAACGUGCAGGGAAUAUAAUAAUAAAAAAAACUUAAACCACAAUCAAGCACCAUCUAUCUAAAACAAAAGGAGAACCCAAACCACAAACAACAUUACUAAAAUCAAUUUACCAAACCCCUAAAUCUAACAAUUUUAACAAAUACUAUAGCAUCAAUUGAUUUAACCCCAUACAAACUUAAUUUCUAGCCUUGCAUCUACGAAGAGAAACUUAAUUUCUAGCCUUGCAUCUACGAAGAGAAUAAGUACAAUCUUCACAGCCACUGUCAUUAGCAAAUAGCAACAGGGUAAGUUACAAUUGAUGAAUAAUAUUUCAGCUAUACAAAGUUUCAAGAUAAGUUCUAAGAUCAUAUUGUUAAACUUAUUUGUCAGCAGAACCUUUAUUUAAGAAUAAGUACAAUCCUUAACACAUGAAAUCAUGUAUAUAUAUUUUAUUAGUUUAUAUGCAUGUGUGCAUACAGCACAUAUACUUGCAGAGUAUGCAUUUGAUUCAAAUCGCAACAACCUUUUGUUGAGAAUAUCGCGUUUAAGAAUGGGAAAAAUAGAACAAACUCUAGAAAUCGAAAACAAAUAACCAAGAUAAAUAACACCAAGAAUUUACGUGGUUCUGCAAUUUGUGCCUAUGUCCACGGGACAACAACAAUCUUUCACUAUAUCAAUAAUGAGUACAACCAAUAAUCUUGCCAAAUCUCUAGAACUAGGACUUGACGAAACACCUGAAAGAACAAGAACAAGAAAUACACUAUCUCUUUUCUUUUCUCUCGCACACACUUUACAAUAUUCUCUCACUCUAAUCCCUUGAGUGGUAUACAAUUUAUUGUUUUGCUCCCUUCCAAUUCAAAACUAGCACAAUAGUCCCUUUAUAUAGACAAAAUAAAGGUCUUCUUCAAUAAGGAUUAUUAAUCCUAAUUGGAAUCUAGUUAUGAAUCCUUCUCCAAUUGAGAAACUAACUCCAAUUGGGAAAACAAUUUAAUCCUCUAAGACUAUAAUUCCUUAUAGACGUAGGACAACUUAUCAUGGGCUGGAAAAAACCUAACACCUUUUGCCUCAACUGCCAACGAAGAAAAAAAUUAGUCAGUGAUUAAAAGAGAAACGGACUUUUGUGAAGAUUCAUCAACAACAUCAUUAAGGCUUAGCCAAUUAAAUUCGUUAAAACGGAAGAAUAAUGCACAUAAAAAUCUUGAGUCUAAUUUAAGAAAAAUGAAUUAUGCUUAUGACUUCCCACUGAAAAUGUGUCAUGCCUGAACGACUGAGCUUAAAAUCCUAAUACAACAGCAGAAAGGAAAAUGGACUCAAAACAAAAAUUAACAACAAAAUUGAGUUGAUGAAUCCAUUUAAGCACAAAAGUUUAGGCAUUCACCAGUUGUCUGACUUGAACAGCGUUGUGGAUUUAGCAUUCCUCUUGUGGGUUAAAGCGUCACUAUCAAUCAAGCCUCUCUGUGAAGACAAAAUUUAGAAGUCAUUAUUUGAAUAGAUGCAAGCCUUCCCCAUUUUGACAGGAAGAAUAGCAGAGUGUGACAUAACCAUUCUGAAAACUAUAGUAGCAGGUUUCCAAAUCAUUAAAAAGGUCGUACCCAGUGCACAAGGCUCCCGCUUUACGCAGGGUCUGGAAGAGGUGAAUGUUGAAGAUAAUAAAUGAAUAGCUAGAGACAUUGAGAAUAGUUUUCUUCAUUACUUAAACAGUAGAAUGUGUACUGAGCAUAAGUGAGGUUUGCUAAUAUAGAUAUCCUCAUUAUAAAUAUCGCUAAAGCAUGCAUAUACAUUGUGAGGUUUGCCAAUAUUUCCAGCUAUUUCCAAGUGUGUGCUGGUGUGUUUUUUUCUUUUCAAAUAUGCAGUUUUUUUCCAUUUGAGUAUAGAUGUUAAUGCUUCUACGAUUCAAGUGCCAUUUUAUUUCUUCACUUGGAAAAAGAACUAAGCCUUUUCAAGUGGCCGUGGUGGAAAGCAGUUGGACACCAUUGUAUAAUUUCUUGACUCACUGGACAUUUUGUACCUAAAAUUUCACUUGAUUAUGUUUUAGCCUCUACCUAUUCUCUUCCUUAAUUUGGCUUUGCCUAACCAAAGUCUUUUCCCGUUUAAGGACGUGCACCCUAUGUUAUUUCCUUCUCCACUGCAUUCUCAUCUUGCUAAAAUUUAUAACAUCAAACCAUCAGAAUCUCAACCCAUAAACAGUUUUACCCGCCCACAAUAAAUCAGAAUCCUCAAGCCAACAACUUACAUUUGAUUCCGGAAGUAAAGUGACUUGUGCAAAUACUUCAUCAGUGUCUGGUUCAGCCUAUAAUUCAGCAGAAAGAAACAUAUUAUUCCCUCGCAAAGCCCAAUAACUUGAGUACAAAAGAAGCAGGUAAACAAUUAAAUCCAGAAUUCUUAGUUUUCUUUAUAAGAUCAGCCACCAUGCUACCUUCAAUGAUACAUUAACAACCUGACAAAGAAUCUUCAAUGCAAGAUUAUAAACUGGCAUCUGCUGAUCAGCCAGAUGAUUAGUCGAUGCCUCCACCUAUUACUGAAACCAGAAAAUCCAAUUGACAAUUAGUGAUAAAACCCAGAAACACAAACCUAAUAUGUAUCAGCUACAAAAACCCAAAUAAAUAAAUAAAACACUCAAAUUUCUAUGUAAAAGCGAACAUAUUUUGACCCCAAAACGAAGAUGUCAUAGAUGGAGGAAGAGAUAAGUGACAAAGAGGGAGUGACACUAACUCAACCCCACCAUCUCUCUGCAGCCAACACACUCAUUCCCUCAACCCUACCCUCAAAUCUUGUACCCAAUCAACUCUCUUUCUGUCCCCCUAAUCGUGCACCCGCUGUCACCUUCUCUCUACAACCAACCCCCUCUCCUCUCUCCCCCAUAUCACACCUCCAUCCUGUGAAGGCACUGACACCAGACCACCUCCCUAGAAACCGGCCGUAAAAACCCAUACCCGUACCUCCCUUACCCGUUCCCUUUCUCAAAGCUAAAAGUGUUAUAUAUGAUAGUACUCACCCCAAUCUUCACUGCAUAACACUCACCAGUAGGUAUAGGCUCACUCUUUGAGGAAAGCCUGAGGUCAAAAUUGGCAACAACAACUUAACAAAGCCAAAUGAAAGAAUAAAUCUAGAGUCACCACAAAUAUUUUCUAAAAUGGAAGAUAGACCAGAGUCAAACAGGAAAGGGAUAGCAGACACGGUGAGCUUUGUCUCAGUUUGAAAAGAAAAAAGAAAAGAUAAUUGGGUAGUUUCAGGAGCAAAAUAGUUCAUUUGUGUAGAACUAUAACAGCACUGAGAGCUGGGAAGUUAUCACCCAAUAAAUUUUGUUAUACCAAAGAUUAAGAAAAUGGGAUUAGGUAUGGUGGUACCCUUUCUCUUCACAUUUAUAAUAUACGGAACUAAUUAACUAUGUUGAGUACAGUGAAGGGGGAAAGCCAUACCUUCCUAUGAAUGAAUUUAAAAUAGCGGAUUUUCCUGCAUUUUUAGGACCAAAAAUGAAGCAGCUGAAAACAUUUCUUUUUGUUUUUUGGCUUUUAUGAUCUACUGAUCUUCUUCUAGUAACAUGGAUAGCUGAAGCAGGACUGCCAUUGUAUCCAACAUAUAUCAAAUUCGCCAAACUUCGCUUUGGAUUUAACAGUGUCAUGAGGGCCCACUGGAAUCACAAAAAAACAAAGAUAUAGUUACAAUUUACAAUUGGCUUAAGGAGAUUCUUUAAACAAAGAAAAAAGGGAAACAUGUACAUCCAAAAUAAAUGGGAAAAAAAAUCAUGAAGAGCAAAUGUAAGCUAAUUUAAACAGGGUAGCAAUGAAAAGGAAGAUACCUCAGACAAAAAUGCAUUAAGAGGUAAAUUCCCAGAUGCCGUUCUCUUUGCAGCAUCCUUAUAAGGAGAUUCACUCCAAGAACUGAAAUUUCAGUAAACAGCAUAUUAAAAAAUCUAUUUUUGGAGAAACCAUGAUAGGAACAUACAUUAUUUUAUCCACAAAUAACAAAAGGGUCAAAGGAAAAAAGGUAGAAAAACAUGGAGAUAAAUCAGGACUUCACCCAAGCUACAGUUACUUCAGGACUUCAUGAAUCCUAACAGCCGAAAACAAUCAGAAUUCGAGACCCUACCUCCUCCAUUCUCUGAGAGCGAAGCCCUCCUCAGGCAGCAUCUCCGACGGAGCCGACAAAAUCGGAUCGUCGGACGCGCCAAACCCUCCAUCAAAGACCUGGCCGUUCGAUUCGGCGUAGAUCGACGGAGGAGAGAAGGCCUCCGACGCCGGCUGAGUGGCGAAAGCGUCGUUUACGGCGGAGCCGUGGAAGAUUGGGGAAAAGGUGGCGGAGUCCUUGAGCGACUCGGAGUCGAAUCGCUGGGAGGAGAGUCGGGGGUCGUAUCCCAGGUAACCGUCGUCGUCGAACGGGCAAGUUGACCCGGUGGUCGGGACCGAGUCGUUUUCGGAGGAGAUUUUGAUGUUUUGUGGUGGUGGAGGUUGGAGUUGUGCGUUAUUUCGUUGUGCGGAAGCAGAGGCUUGCUAGAGAGAAGUUGAAACGGAAAUUUCUACGAUGAUGGGACACGUAAUCCAUCCAAAACCGAAAAUUCCAAUCUGAACGGAAAGUCCAGCCCAAAUACCCAAAGCCCUUUCUGAAGCCCAGUGGCAAUUUUGCAAAUUACGUUAGAUCAGGGGGCAGAGAGCUUCAUUAGUAAUUUCGUAAAGAUAGCUGUUAUUCUCACUUCAAUGUCUUAUCUUUUCACUCACCUUUUUAUGAAGUUUUUAAUUACAAAUUUAUCAAUUUGUAAAAUGACUAAUAAGGACCUUAGUUACCCCUUUUGCAUUACUUUUUUUUAUAAAAAAAUAAAAAAGAAAAUUUUGGGCUUGAUAACUCUCACGCUAUGUUUAGACGAUUUAUUUCCUUUAAACCCUAACUCAUCAUUCUCAUCUCCUUUCAUUCAGAGAAAGCAAAAUCAUUCAAAGAAAGCAAAAAGAAUGAACUCAGAAGAUGAUGUUUCUAUGAAAAAAGUAGAUGAUUAUGUUUCUGUCGAAGAGGUAAAAGAUAAUUUUAUGUGGGUUAUCUUGAUUUGUCAACAUCGUAUAAUUGAAGCAUAGCUAUGUGACUUUUUAUUUUAAUUUUCAUUAGGUUAGGGUGCAAUUUGUUUCACGUUUUCCUAUGAGAAUUCCUGACAUUUGUUGGAGGUGCUGUGUUGGGAGUUCUUUUGUUUGCCCUUUACUUCUUUUGGAUCCGUGCUGCUGUUCAUCUGUUUGGAACACCAGUGCAGUUGUUCACCCAUUUUCUUCUAAUUACACACACACACAUUGGUUAUUUUAGGAAUAAUAAUGGGUGGGAAAAUAACAUUUUAAUUUUUUAACUUUUUAUAGUCGGUGUAAAUAUAACCUGGGUGGGAAAAUAAGACAACGGGAUAGGUCUAGCAGCUCUCUUUCGUAAAUAAACUGAAAUCAGCCCAAAAUUGCACGAGCAAUGCUAAACCCAUCUCAUUGUCCUAUUUGCCCACCAUAUUAUAAUUUCACCCAUUAUAAAAUGUUAAAAAAUUAAAACACUAUUUCUCCACCCGUUAUUAUACCUAAAAUAACCUCAACUAUACAUUUAAAUUCUUUUUAAUUUGUAGUGGAAUAAAUAUUAGCUAAUAAGCCUAGCGACUUUGUUUUGCAAACCCAGCGAAAGAUACGAAGAGCUUCCUCCCCACGAUCUUGUUUUGCAAACCCAAUGAUGAUGUUGGUCCAUGAGACAGUUCUUCUUCUUGGCAUCUGCUUGAAUAACUUAUAGGCGUCAUCAAUUAAACCGCAGCUGGCAUAUAUGUGUAUGAGUACACCCCAACUCACAACACUCCUCUCACGCAUACCAUAAAACACCCGGCGUGCAUACUCCACACCACCACCCGACCCUCCACUCGUUGCAUACAAAAUUAAUCGAACUCAUCUGACCAAACACGGUGGAUCCACACCCACUUCCCAGACCCUCCAGUGCACAUGUUCCCCUUCUCUCACCAACAACCUUGCACUGAUACAUACGAAUAGGUAGUGUGGCCUAUGAUCAUCUAGUUCCACACAUUAGUACCGGGUUUUCGACAUUUUCAAAAACUUUGAGGGCGUGAUCGAGACACCCAGAAGCAAAGUAGAAUGAUAAAAUCUGAACAAGAAUGUAGCUUUUUUGUGUGAGUCCAUGAAUUGUUAUUUUUGGUGUGAAUUAAUGGUGUACUUGUAGAUCAAUGGAAGCAAGUAUUUUUUGUCAUUUUAUAAGAGGGUAUAAAGGGCAUCAAUUUUUUUAUUAAAAUGUGGGCGGGGAGAUAAGACAAUGGGGUGGAAUUAUUAGCUCUCAAUUGCACAGUGCCAUCCUCCCCUCUACUUUUAGACUAAAGUAAAGUAAUGUGAUUUUAAAUAACAUGGUGUAGAAUUAUUGUAAGUUCUUACCAUGGGCAUUAAUGUAAUAACAUGUCUGCACUCCUCAUCGUUCAACUCUUCAUUGAUUAUCCUUUAAUUUAUCCAAUCAAUGGGAACCCUUCUUAUCAUUUCUCAUAAACGUACACAAAAAGGUUAUCAAAGAAGAUUUCAACCUAAAUUGGCUCAACAAGCUUCCAACCUAAGGCCAUGGUGCUUCAUCAAUGAGUGAUUGUGCAAAGUAUUCAGUGUGGUCGUGUUUAUUUUUUUUUUCUUUCGUAAUUUACUUCUAUUUUAUGUUGUAUGUGUGUUUAAAUAACAUAUCAGCAAUGUAGACUUAUAGUAAUUAUUCACAAUGGGUAUUGACUUUCACACUCUGUGUUCUCUUCUGCACUCCUCUUUGUUCAACUCUUGAGUGUGAAGUGCAUGGAAAGUGUAUUAAUCUAUGUAAUAUGUGGGAUUUCUAUGCUUUCUAUGUAAUAUGCGGCAAAUCAUUUGACUUUACUACUUGUUUCCUUCUUUUUCUUCAUGCUUUUGCUAUUUUAUGUUGGCAAUAUUUUAUUUUACCAUUUUUUUAACAAGCGAUAUUAUCUAAUUAAAGGGUAGGAGAUUGGACUAAGCUUUAAAAUGAGCUAGCAAUAAUGUAAUUCAAAGUCGCUUUUGGCGAAAAUCAAACCUAAAACCUCUCACUUACAAGUGAAGAGGAAUAUUACUGAACCGUAUUAUGUAGUAAAUUCGUCAAUGUGGUCCUACUAGGUAGUUUCAAUGGGCUUUCCAAAUUACCAUUGCGCGCGAAUACCUUACGUCAUUGACCUACAAAGAUUGAUAGCACCCCAAAACUUGAAAUUUUUCUGGGGCGUUACAGUAGAGCUGACUACUAAAUCUGAAACAGCUAAGAAUAGAUAAAGAUAUUCGUUUGUAUGCGGCUUGGAAAUGAGAGGAGGUUGCGACAAGUACUUUUUCAAGUACUGCUGCUUGUGGAUAGCUUUCAUUUACUUUAGAUGAGCUUCAAUCCUCGUUGGGUGACUAAGUAGCCAAGAAAUCUGUCUGAGGAGACUUUGAAUGUUCUAUAGUGAAAUACAACUUCAUGUUUCACAUUUGAGCCACGAGCUUGAAGUUUGGAUCUACGUGCAGCUUACAGCAAAUGUCUAAAGGGAACCAUGCAAAUACGUCUUUGUUUUCCUAAAGAAACACGGGAGUUCGUUAUUCUUCCAUGUACUGAGCCUGCCUAUCCUCGCCUUCCUUUUGAGGCGAUCUGGAUCAAGUAUGACAUGUAUGGCAUACUCUUCUGGCUUCCAUCCUUAUUCCUCUAUCGUGGAGUCUGGUAAGAGUUCGCUUGCUUGAUCAUGGUUUGAGUUGCCUCGAGUCUUCUUGUUGUCAUAUGUUUUUGUUGAUUGGGUGAACUCUUUCCCUUUUGUUGUCCUCUGAUUGGGCGCACUUUUUGGUCAUGGCUUGACAGUCCGGAUCUCACCUACUCCACCGUUGAGGAUGAGAAAUUAAAUCUUCUGACAUUUGCUUAAAGUCUGGGUGGUGAUCUUGUACAUCUAUGGCUUGCUCAAGAUGUUAUUGUAGAGCGAUGGUUCAUCGAUGAUUGCAAACUUCUGAAAACUGACGAUAAGAGGUGUGUAGACGUUGAGCUCAAUGGUGGUAGAUGUGGCACCAUUACAACCAGAUAGCAGACUAGACUUCUUAGUGAUAAUCUUCUUCAUGCCAAGUUUAUUGACGAUGAAGUGUUGAAAGAAUUUGGCAACAUUUCCUUUAUCUACAUGUAUGCGAUCUACUUUCGCAUAAGUAAUCUAGAUAUUGAUGAUGAAUGCAUCGUUGUCUUCCAGAUCACUAGCCUACACCUAGACAUCAUAGCUUGGUGGAUCUUUCUCAUUUUCUCCGGUGCUCUAAUUCGGCGAUGAUCGAAUUAAUCCAAAUGACUUUCUGUGCCACGGCGCCUGGUGUAUCUACAUCCUUGGUCUGCUACUUUGCCUUCUCUCUGCGAAACUUUGUACAUCUAUGCUACUUAACUAACUUUUGGAGAUGGUUCUUCCAGUUUAUACAUUUGUCUGUCAGGUGGUCAGUAGCCUUGUGAAAGACACAAUACUUAAUUUAAUCCUUCUUGCCCCUCAUAAGCGAUGCUUUCGUGAAUGCGUUGUAGAUUUGGUGGACAGGGACGUUGAACUUAGUAUAGGUCAUCUUGGAAGAAUUAUCGUAUAAUGUGGAACGUCGCUGUCACUUCUUUCCGCACUCUAUCUUGAUUGAGCUUUUGUAAUCGGCUUCUUUCUUGGAUGGUUUCUACUUUGUGAUUGAAUUGGGUGCCUUUCUUGCUCGCUUAUUAUCUUCCUAAAUUGCAUGGCCCUUUGUUAAGUCAAAAUGCUUAGCUAAGGUUUGCUUUGGGGUCGUGGUAAUGUCUCUGCAGAGUGAUAACCUACUGGCAGUCCUCUCUUGAAAGCUAUCUAUGGGACUAUUUCAUCGCAGCCGAAAAUUUUAGCCAUUUUAGUCUCGAAGCAUUGAAUGUACUACUGGAUAGACUUAUUGGGCUUCUUCACCACGCGGAAAAGGUGAUCUGAAAAAUUUUGUCUACUCAGUAGGACGAAUAUUGUGAAAACAAAGAAGUUCCUAGAAAAUACCAAUAGAUAGUGGUCCACAGUGUGGAACCAAUCAUGUGUUGCUCUCUGCAAAGUUAUGGCAAAAACUUUACACAUCAAGACUUUGUCCUGCUUGUGAAGUGUCAUAACACUUUGUUAGUUAUUCGAUCAGGGUCUGAAUCUCCAUUGAACGGCAUGAAGAAAAGUGUGGAGAAUCUUUAGGGAGGUUGUGUUGCAUCAGAUGAAUCGUCAUGCUCCUCAUUUUCCUCGAUGGUGCGUUUUAGAUGAACCAAUCAUGUUAGAGUUGCUAACUCGAUUAGGAAUCUUAAAGUUUUGAAAUUGCUCGACAUAUCCAAUUCUAUAAAUAGGAAACCCCCUUUAAUCAAAGGAAUAAUUCCAACCUUUGACUUUUCAUGAAUGAAGAAUUGCAACUUUUAACUCUUCAUAAAUGAUCACAUGUUUUUCAAAGAGGUAUCUCAAAUCCUAUAAAUAGGGAAACCUUCUAUAAUCACUUAACAACUUUUCACCAUACAUAUAUUCAUACAUAUAGUGCACUAAAAAUUAGAGAGUUAUAUUGAGUCUAUAUCAGAGAGUGUUCAACACAAUUGUGGUUCAUUGAAGCUUUGUAAUUUGGAGUGCUACUAUUACAAAGACGUGGUUGUUCUAUCCUGGGAGACAACCUUCGAUCAACCAUGAGCACCAUAGGGGUUUAAACUUAUCUUAAAGACAUGGUGUCUAACACUUGCCUCGACCGUAUUUUCAGGUUUUUCUAAUCCAUUAUGUCAUGUUCCUUUAACAUUGGUUACUCAUGUGCAUGAAGGAAAUUGUAGUAAUGGUCUCACAACUUUAACCUAAUUAGAGUAAUGGUCACUCAACUAAAAAUCCAUGGUUAUUGGUCUUUUUCUUCAACUCCAUUAGAACUUCUAUCAAAAUGAGUCACGUGCCACGCACAUGAGGCUUAAUCAAGGGGCAGAUAUGGAAAACUAAAUGAGAAAAAUUGUAGCUAUGAUCCUUCAACUUUAACCCAACUGGAGAAAUGGUCCAUCAACUUUAACCCAAUUAGAGCAAUGGUCCAUCAACUUUAACCCAAUUGUAGCAAUGGUUCUUCCAACAUAACUCAUUUUGAUGAAAUACUGACGGAGUUAACGAAAACAACUAUAACUGCACGUUUUGAUGAGUUAAGAGACUAAUGGUUAUAGAUUUUUAGUUCCUAAUUUUUCCAACAAUCUUAAGACAAGUUUAUUAGUUUGAUUGUGAAAUUGGCACCAUGUGAAAUAACCUGCAAUUUAAAAUCUAUAUACGUGAUUGUCUGACUAGUCAACAACACUUAGUUUACUAAAAUGUUCCAGUUUACUAAAAUGUUCCAAGUAAAACUCAGUUUACUCACAGCGGAAAUAGUCAAAUUAAAACUCAGUUUACUAAAAUGUUCCAAGUUAACUAAGUUCCAGUUUUACACAUUUUAACUAUGACAAGCUUAGUUGCAUGGACUUAUCUUUUUGCAAAUAAUGUUGAACAUGUAUCACAAGCAAAGGGUAAGAUAAGAAAACUAGAAAAGUGAUAAAUUGCACUGGAUGUUUUUGGUUGGAAAAACCCACCUUUGAGUUAAAAAAUGGGGGACUCUCCACUGAGUCUAAUCCACUAGUGAGACAAGAUUCUUACAAAGUAACUACACAUGCUCAAUUCUUAGAUCCUAAUCUACGGAGUAGCUUGUACCUUUGUGCGAUUGCCUUUCAUGAGAUGGAUUCCUUCGGUCUUCACGAAGUGGCAACUCCUCUUGAGCUCUUCACCUUGUGGCACCGAAAUCAAAUUAACUUAUGCCAAUGAUGUUAUGCGCCGUUGCCAGGGACUGAUUUCAAUCCCCUCUAAUUGCUUGCUUUAUAAACCCUUUCUGUUUUUAUUUUCUUAGUUUAGAUUUUUCAUAUACUAUUUUUUUUUGUUUUGAUUUCAGGUGGUAUAAAAAGAUGUCUGGUGGAUGUCAAUUAUGUGCCAAGACCGGUCAUCCUCUUCAAUUCUACUCAAGAAGAGAUGAGUUUCCUACAUUUGUUCGAGAGCACUCACACUUCUUGAGUUUCUCUAACCAAAGGCCAAUACAUCCAUUGUCAAACACAUAUAGCCCUAUUUGGAAGAAUCCUUAUCAUGACUCUUGCAACAACAUAGAAGCUCAAAAUCAAACAUUUGAACCUCUACCACAACAGGACUUAUUUGACACUUCUUUGGAGGACACUCUGAAGCUAUUUGCUUAAAACAAUUUGCAAUUUCAACAAUCAAUGAGUAGCAUUAUUCAUAACCACUCCAACCAUUAAGCAAGUUGGAAAUUCAAGCGGGUCAGAUUGUCCAAGCUUUAAAUGAACAUCAUAUUCUCGCCAAAGACGAAUUUGAACCAUAUUAUUGCUAACCCAUUGUGAGACUACGCCCGCCCUCUCGCCCUUAGUGUUGAUAUUAUCGUUUGUUAAAAUAAAAAUGGGGAUCCCUUCCCUUAAAGACUUCAUACAUCAUGUUUUAGGAACUUUAAGGGAAGGGAUCCUCAUUUAAAAAAUGAGAAUUAGUUGUAGGACUCACUCCACAUCGAUCUGAACCAUCUAUUUUGCAAGUAUCGAUUCAUAUACAAUCAUUGCAACAAUUCAAUUCAAUCCUAAUCUAUUUACCUAUUUAAUUGUCACGAUAAAAUUUCACUAGUUUCUUGGAAUAUAGUUUUCAUCAAUUUCUUUGAACUCAAUUAGAUACCUCAAAUAUGUCAAAUGUGAUAUAUUCUUGCUUAUCUUCUCUUCAAGUUGUAUCAUUUUGCAAUGCGUUCGGUUUGUAUUUUUCAUAGUUCUAAAAGACACUAGACGUUAGUUGGGCGACAGACAAGAGCUAGCGCCAAGGCGGACGCCUAAGCGAACUAGGCUGAUUUAGUUGAAAUUAAUUAAUUACUAUAUAAUACAUAAUAUGAAAUACUAUGCUAUUAAAAAAAAAGAGAGAAUAUAAUGUGAGAGUUUAAAGGAAAAGGAUGAAAAUAAGACAUUACCAAGUAAUUUAAAUAAGGUUGUUUUUUAUUAGCAUCCUACACAAUGUUGAAUACACCCCACAUUAAAAUUUGAUAUUAAAUAACUUAUAUACACUAAUAUGUAAUGACAAUUUAAGGUUAAAAAAAAAAUCUAAAUACAUCCAAAAUCACUUUUAAUGUUUAUAUCCCGAUAAGAUUCAUUGCCUUCUUCAACUCUUAAAACCACUCUCACUCUUUAUUGUAGAACAAAACUUUGAAUAAUGAAACUCUGAUUUCAACGGCAUCAACAUGCCUAUAUAUAGUUAUGAAUAAUAUUCCUUGAAAAAAACAUAUGAUUGGUAAGGAGGAUCACACACCUAAUAAACCGUAGCCAUUUUCAUUUAAAUCGUACGAAAUCUCCUUGCAAUUCAUAGGAAACGAUUCCUAGGACACCCGAAUCUUUGGUGCUACACAGCACGUACCACAUAUGUGUAAUUUACCUUUUUGAUUCAUUGAAAACGGGACGGAAAACGGAAGUCCAGAAGCAAAAAGGAUAAAAAAUCCAGUGGUGGGAUGGGGUGCCAUUAAUUUACAGAAUGCUAGUAAGAUACAUCCAGUCAUUCCUCAUAUCAUCAUCUUAUACAUAUCCUAAAUUAUCAUUUUGGGAUACACCCCCUCACUUAUCAACGUUCACUAGUUAAAAAGAAGUUGAGCAAAUCCUUGUUGCUAAACAAUAGAAAAAACAUUAGCAAAUCCUUGCUAAACAUGAAUGAUUUUGUAUCAAACAGUACAUAGCACAGACCAAAAAGAAGAAUAAAGAAAUCAUUGUGAAGAGUGUGGGGUGUAUCCGUGUAUGUAGAAAAUGUAGGGGACCAAUGUAAGACGUAUGUUGAGAGUGUGGAGUGUAAAUGUAUUAUGGAAAAAUAUGUGUGAGUAUAUAUAAAUUUUGAUUGGAAAAGUAAAUGUAGGGUAUAUUAAAUACGUAAGGUUUAUUCAAUAAUACGUGGAAUGUUAAUAUAAUAAGCUUAGUUCCCUAAAUAAAGGAAAACUAAUGAAAAUGACUUGUAAACUUUGAGUUUUAACGACAAGAACAAAAUAAAGGGUAAAGUGAAUAGUACCAUGAUUGACUUUUUAGUGUAAAAAUAUGAUUUUUUUUUUGUUAAAAUAAGAGUUUUUAGUUAAAGUUAUCUUUAAAUAAACAUAAAAUUAAGAAAUGAUAUUAUAUUAUUGUAUGUUGCCAUUUACUAUUAUUAUAUAACAUAAAUUUGAAAGUGCUUAUUUCCAAAUUCCAAGUUAAUCUACACCGCUGGUUUUUUUCAACUUCUUUGAAAAGGCUAAAUAUGCUAAAAAAAUUGUUAAAUGGGACAAAUCUCUUCAAAGACUCUUGCCUCUGCUGAACGUGCAGUUAGAAGUUAAUUCCGCGGUGGUGCUCAACCGAAUUGAUGCAAUCUUGUGGCUCAAAAUCAAAACCAAAACCUUAUUCCAACUUGGUGUGCAGUUCCUGACCUUCCAAGCAAUACGCUUAUACUGGAUGCGCCUUUGGCGGAGAUGAAGAUGAAACUCCUUAGAGACGACGCGCUGUCAAUGCUUGUGCUCACUGCUCCGGGAGGAUGUGGGAAGACCACUUUGGCAACUAUGUUCUGUUAUGAUCAACAAAGUCAGAGGUAUCUAUCCAUAAAGUUUUUGUACGAUGCGGCAAACAUUUUUAAGAUACGCACACUCGAUAUUGUUGAUAUAAUUGAUAUAGCACACUUACAAUUGUCAAUGCAUGGUCGAUAGUUAGUCCACAAGGACAGUUAAUCAAAACGUAGAAUGACUGCUACCUGUAUACUAAUGAUAUCAUUUCUUUUCUCUUUUUUCUUCUAAUUAGUAAUGUUACAUUCCUAUGUGUUUUCUUGGCUAGAUAAAUUCAAGCACAAUAUCUUCUUUGCCACGGUUUCCAAUAAGCCCAGCUACCUUGUUUGUGUCAACAUGCCGGAUUCAGCGUACCUGCUUUAGUAAAAGAAGAAAUUGCAUUUAGCUGGCUGCCGCUAUUUUUAAGGGAAGCAGGGCAAAAUCCUUUGCUGUUAAUCUUGGAUGAUGUUCCUUCUGCAUCAGAAUCCCUUCUUGACAGGUUUGAUGAAAUCAAAAUUCCAGAUUACAAGAUUUUGGUGACAUCAAGAUACCAUUUUCCGAAAUUCGGGCCUCCAUAUAAUUUACAACCAUUGACAGAUGAAGAUGCACUGACUCUUUUUCGUCGUGGAGCAUUCCUGCCAAAUACGAGUUGUAACAUACCAAAUCAUCUUCAGAAAGAGGUGAUUUAUUAGUUUGAGUUUCUAACGUAUAUGCCCUUAUUUAUGCAUUCCUGCUUAUAGAAAAUGUCACUACACAAUCACCCAUGCACGCAAGUGAACCGUAGAUUUUACCAUAUCUGUAAAUAGUUAUUCACCUUAUUUGGGACAAUUGGACUGCAGAUAAUAAACCACUAUAAGAAAUUUCCGCUUGCCAUUACAACCGUAGGGACGUCACUUCGCAAUCAGCCUGUUCGUGGCGGGAAUUUCCGUGGGGGAUGCUUCCUGGCCGACGAGCACACAGCUCCCCGAGAGGUUGGCGCCGGUUGAUGCUUUCUGUCGCUUCUGCUUUACUGGCGGGCUUGUCGGGCAAAGCCUGUCGGGCAAGGCUGAAAGAGAAGGACAUAGUUAACUUUGAAAUGUGCCUUUGUGAGGCCUUAGGUGUAGGCCUUGAGGUUCACAAUCAAGAUUAACUUUUAAGUGCUCAGGCGUGCCACUGCCAUCUUCAGCAUGGCAGAUGUAGAACGGAUGUUUGAGUUUUAAUUAUAUAUAUUCGAGAAACUAUGUUAGUUAUUGACAGGUGCCUUUGUGGGGCCUUAGGUGUAGGCCUUAAGGCUUCCCAUAAAUAACUAACUUAAUACUCGAACACAUACGGUUCCUUUUCUUGGUUAUAUGAGUCUUAUAACUAGGGGUGGAAAAAAUUCCCAAAAUUCCCAAACCAAACCAAAAAAAUACCGAUCCCAAACCAAAAAUGUCCCAAACCGAUUUUCCCAAAAUUUCGGUAUUCCCAUACCGAAAAAAUACCAAAAUUUCGGUAUGGGAAUCGGGAUUGCCUUUCCAAUAUUUCGGUAUUCCCAUACCGAACCGAAAAUAUAUAUUUUUAAUUAUUUUAUAUAUAUAUAUAUAUAUAGAUAAUAAUAUAUAUUGUUUUUUUAAUUAUAGUUAGAGUUAAUUUGAACCGUUGGAUUGCUUCAAAUUAAUCCAUGCCAUCCAUUCCUUGUUAGGUUUCUCCCAGUCUAGUUUCAUUUCUGAUUUCUCACUCAGCCUUCCAACACCGACAGCCUUCCUUCGAAUCGUCUCUGACUCUCCAGCCGCCCAGCCUUCCUUCACGAAUCACCACCCAGCCACCGCCACGCCAAAGCAUCAAAGACUGAACUCUCCAGCCUUCCUUCACGAAUCGUCUCCGACUCUUGCGAUCUCUCUCUCACGGACAGAACUCUCGAUCUAGCACCGAGUCCGAGUCUCACUCUCACCCCAAAUUAGGUAACUAAUUUAGUGUUUUGAAAUCUAAUUUCUGACACUCAUCCAAAGUAGGGAUUGUUGAAGGGCUCGAGGCCGGUUAUAGACCCGCUGAUGGCCUAAUUUAUUCAUGCCGUUGGCAAUUUUUUUUGUUUGUGUGUUAAUAACUUAUACAUUUCUUCCAUCUUCAUCUGUUAGUUAGUAGUCAUUCAAUAAUUAAAAUGAUGUUUGAUUGAGUUUGUCGUAUUCUUUUAAAAAAAAUCGUUUCUUUUAUUGAUGAUGCGCUGCGGCACCCGUGUUUGAUGCUAUGUAUUUGGUUUUGGCGGGUUGUAGGGGGGUUAAAGUUGUUUCUGGUUGCAUCCUGCUCGCUUCAUUCAGAAUGUUGGUACUAGGCGCUGUGUUAGUCCAUUAAUUUCAUGUUCACAUAAUACUUACAGGGAAACUCUUCAACUUUCUAGAUGGCUAGUUCAAAUUGUUAGGCUCUAAUAUCAUAGCUUGGAAGUGGAGAAUUUCAACUCAAUUCUUAAUGAACUGCACUUUUGUUGCGAUACCUUAACUAACAAAGGGUUUAAUGAGAAUAAUACCCCUGAGUUUACACUCUGGAGAAAUAGAUUGAAGUUAUACUUUUUUCUUGGAGUCUUACUUGCGACAAUAAGUAAAUCUCUUUACACCUGCACACACAUCAUUGAAUUAAGCGUUCACUGGUGCACCUUUACAUGUAAUAAAUUAAACCGCUAUCAUUGAUCAUUAAUCAACAAAGAAAAUUAUUAAGCACUACUACAAGUGAUUAUCUAUGCUGACUGAUUUCCUGGUUAUCUUCAGGGAGAAGUGUUAGCAGGUUUAGCACUGCUGUAGCAACUGAGGAGUUAAUCAUUUCACCUGUUCAAACUUCAAAUUAGUCACACGCUGCGUCAGGUAAUAUUUUUUGUUUUGGCUAUAGAAUCUUAGAUACAUGGUCUUGCUUUAAUGUUUGAUAGCAAAUCAAGUUUUGUAAUUCUGUGCACAGAUUGGCAUAUUCUAGGCAGAUACUUAACUGGGCCUUGCCAUUUAAUUGGCAUAUUUGUGCACAGAUUAGUAGAAAAAAGACAUGACGUUACAAAGUCUGUAGGUUUGCCAUCCUCUAUAUUAGAAACGAGCUGGUUUUUAUUUGCUCGGAAUAUAUUUCUAUGUUGAAUGCUAAUAUUUUUGCUUUUGGAUUUGGUACUUAAUUUAUUUUUAUUGCAUGCAUGUGUAGUAGAAAUUGAAUAGGCAGAUGCUAUUGUGCACAGACAGAUUGGCAGAUUGCUUUUGAAUAGGCAGAUGCAAUGAAAGUAUGAAACUAUGUCAAAUUGGCAGAUUGGGCAGAUGCUAUGAAAGUAUUGAAUAGGCAGAUUUCUUUUUAAUAGGCCUAUAUGUCAAUUUUUCAAUAUAAAAGAUCGAAUUUUAGCCCAAAAGCAUAAUAUGUCAAAUUUUAGUCCAAAAGCCCAAAACCAUUUCGGGAUUCCCGAUUUGUCCCGAAAUCCCGAAACUAUUUCGGGAUUCCCGAAAAUUGGGAUUCCCGAAAAUUUGGUUUGGGAUCGGUAUUGCAAUUGGGAUUCCCGAAAAUUUCGGUUUGGGAAUCGGGACAAGGGUUUCGGUAUGGGAUCCCAUACCGAACCACCCCUACUUAUAACCAUUAUAUUUCUGAUUACCUGAGCCCAAAGAGCAGAAUGAAUCCAAAUAGGUGCUUUUGUGGGCCUUGACUAGGCCUUGAGGCUUCCCAUCAGAACUCCUUCUAUACUCAAUGUUCUCGCGUCGAGAAAUAGGAUGAAUCCAAAUAGGUGCCUUUGUGGGGCCUUGAAUGGGCCUUGAGGCUUUCCAUCAGAAUUCAUCCCGUACUCGAACGUUAUAUGAUAAUCAUAAUAUAACAGAAAUAAAACUAAGUGACAGGUCGAUUACUUGCGCCUCAAGUAACUUCGGACUUCUUGUUAUCAAAGAUUGUCGUGGAUGGGUUCAGUCCACAUCAGGUUCUUUUUUAUGCCUUGAGGCCAAGGACUUUUUAGAGUGAUCAAAUCUUAUAUGCCCGAGGGCUUAGAACUUAGAUCUGGCUUGAACUGUGAAGACAUAUUCAAAUCGGAUUCAAGCGCUGAGAAAGUCUUUUAAUAGCCAUAUUACUAGAAAUAACUUGGAUACAACUUGUAGGAUACAACUUGUAGUAUCCAACAUAUUGCUAGGCUAAUGAAUGAAAAGACAAAAGCAAAGAGGGUCGGGCAAGGCUGAUCGCCUUGCAACUUCCUAUCUUUGUGGUUUAUCAGGAGAUUUGAAAGCUUAGAAAAGGGGUUGGGAGGUGAGUUUACAGAAAGAAAUCGAUACUACAGCAAGAGUUGAACAGGGUAGCAGAGCUAUUACAAAGGGUUUAUCCCGAAAGGGAUGAAGGCUUGGGCUGACUGCAGCUUCGUUUUAAAGGCAAAUCUGGCUUUGAGCAGAGUUUGUGCUUGUAUUUGUUUGUUUGAGUGUCCUUGACUUUGAUUUCUCAUUCUCCUUUUAUAGACACUUUGGCCUGGCCUCAUGUAGCAAUAAUCUUGCCCGAAUGCAGUUUUGAAGGAUAGUGACUCAUCAGCUAUUUACUUGUACUGCCACUAUAAAGUACUUUUGGGCUGAUUAGUUGGCUGGUCUAUACCACUUGGCCCUUGGGUAGGUGAGCAAGUGGUGCAAAUGAUCUGCACGAAAUUUUAAGCCCAGAAAAGCCUUGGUCUGCUGGUGAGUUCUCCAGCCGAUUUGGGGUAAGUAAUUUUGUGAUUUGCAGUUGAUUUUGGGAAAUGAUUGAUGGGUUGCAGUUCAUUAUAUGAUAUAUAGAAUAUUUGCAGUUUUUUUUUUUCAUUUUAGGGUUUUUUUUUUUACUGUUUAGUUUUUGGGUUUUGUCUAAUUUUUGUGUUCUGCUUUAUAGGGUUUCGUUAUCUUUCAUUAGAGUGGACGGAUACCUGAAGUAGCUUUGAUGGCACGAUCUUACCUACCAAGCAAAAGUUUCAGAGAUAGUUUCAAUUUGGAGAAAUGACCUGAACAAGGUUAGACUUUUGCAGUGUUUUUCUUGAUUCAUGAACAUGAUGCUUUUCUUUCAAGUGAAGUGUAUAUAUGAGAUGUAGAAGUCAUAACAAAGAAAAAUUGUUAUGUCUUCUACUUUAUCGACCAAUUGAAUUGAAGCAAGGAAAUAUUUUUGCAUAUAUUUGGCUAUUCCAAGUAUUUUUAAUUUUGUAAUUUUAAUUUGCAAUAUGGCAGGUCAAUAAAAAAGCUCCAGAAUCAUUGGCCGAUCCGCAAGAGUGUCCUAAUUUGUUUGAGGACUGGCAGGUUUCUCUUGCCCUUGAGUCUAAAGAUGCAGAAAAUAGGUAUCCACCCUUCAUUUCACUGUUCAGCAUCAAGGCCAUGAAAAAAUCUACUUUUUAGCGCUGUAGUAGAUAUGAAUAUAAUUACUGAAUGGCAAGAAAUUGUGCUUAUUUGUUGGAUAAUUGUGGAUUGCUUUGUUGUCUUUUGCAGGGGCAUUCAUCCCCCUGUUGACGUAAGAGAUGAACGAACAUUCUUCUUUCAAUUUUUUUGGGCUUUUUCUAACCCAUCAUUUUCUUUUGAGUCAACCAAAUAGUCCCAGCUUGCAACUUAUGUUGUGUGGUAUUAUUGUCUGAAAAAUUAAGUAUGCAUGUAUAUUUUAUGUGUGUUCGCGUGCACACCUUCGCAUGAUGUUAAUCUCUGUGGGCCAUCUAUAUAUAUAUGUAGACAUAUAUGUGUGUGUGUGGAAUGCAACAUAUCGGAUUUAGGUUAUAAUGUGCAUAGUUUUAUUGUCUGUUGUUAUCUGUGCUAUACCAUAUCUAUGCAGGCUCAAACUUAUUCAUGAGCUUUAUAAGCACUUUCCAUAAUUUAAGCUGUCUGUUUUGGGUUCUUUUUCAUUAGGUCAUUAGCUACUGAAUGAUGGAGAAACGAGUACCAUGCCACUGAUUUUGGGUUCUUUUAAUAAUUUUCUGAUUUUUGGCGUUUUGCAGGUAGUGCUGAUGUACUGAUUUUCUGGGAUUUUUUUUGUCCUUGUAGGAUUUUUGGUCUUUGAAAUGGGUACGUGUUGUUUUUAACGUUUUGGUUCUUGUGUGUUCGGCUCUUCGUUGCUUCGUGAUUCUCAUUUUUCAGUGUUGGGUAAUGGAAAUUUGUAAAAAUAGUUGUAGUUUUUUGAGAAAGUUGGCAUUUUUAGUUAUAUUUUCUGUUUAAUCCCAAAUGUAAGAUUGAAAAAUAAUUGAAAUGAUGAUUUUUUAAAAACUCCUCUUAAUUUUUUCCUGGGAUUUAAAAGCAUCUUUUCCCGAUUGGUUACCAGGGUUAUGUUCUCUAUAAUUGGUUCACCUAAUUUUGAUUAGUUUUAAGAUUUGUCCUUUAAGUUUUGUUUUUAAGUUUUGUCUUCUGUGCUGUAAUGAGAGAUUUCUGUUGGCCUUUCGGAUUUCGGCAUGGGAAAGUUCACUUAUUUGUCUAAUUAGAUUGCGUAUGGCUUCGAUUCUUUAUUUAAUUGUUCUGUUUGCAUUCGGGUGUGAUGAUCUAAAUUUUAUAUGUUUGGAUUAUUCACUUAACACUAAUUUGUUACAUUCAGGUCUCCACCCCACAUUUCACAAGUUCCAUAGAAGUUGGUUGUGCAGAUUGUGUCUGCAAUUAGAUCAGAGGUCAACCACACUUUUGUUAUCAUGCGGAAGAUUGCUUUUGGGAAGGAUCUGAAGCAGUUCCUAUGUUUAUUGCCAUGUAGCUCUGUCUUUUCUAAUUGAUGGUGUUCAUGUUGCACUGCGAUUCAUGAUGAUGAUUUAAUUGUUUCUCGAUUUGUAAUUGUUUGUAAAUAAUGUGGCGUAUCUGAAUUGCAAUCUGUGUUUUGUAUGAAAGGGAUGGCAUAUCAUGUUGCUGACUUAAUUGUUUAUGUUUUUCAUAUUUGCGAUGGUGUUAUGAUCGAUUAGGUGAUUGCUGACCUGUGACUUUGUUUGGAGCUCAAAUUUUUUGAGCAUUAUAUUGGAUUGUAUUGCACUUGGUUUGAUGUUGUUUUGGUCGACAAUGCAGGGAUAGGAGAAACAAAGAGGAUGACACUUAUAACUGCCCCUCCCCAUCGGCCUUCUUCAAAUUUGGAUCACAAGAAGGGAGCAACAUAGGUAUUGAUCAUGGUGUUUUCCUUCUUAAUUUGGAUAUGGUUAAUGUAAAUAAUUGGACAAAAGAGCCAAACAAACCCUUUUCUCUCAAAUGGAGGAGAUGAUGUGGUCGACGGCCACCAGCCCCAACUCAAGAGUUUGGCCUUCUGUAUAAUCGGAUAUAGUAUAAUUUUAUUUUGGUCCAUUUCUUUUUUUCCUUUAUAUAAGUGCAGAUGUUGUGAUGUUUUGAAUGAAGGGUGGAUCACACACUUCCUCCUUACUUAGAGCAAGAGGAGAUGACGGUUUGUAUAAAAAGAAAAACUUACCAGGUACUUCAAUUUUCUAUUUUAUUAAUUAUUGUCUGGUUUGAAAUGUUGUAUUCAGAGAGAGAGAGAGAGAGAGAGAGAGAGAGAGAGAGAGAGAGAGAGAGAGCAAUUGUCCUUGAGAAACAAGUUUACAUUGCGAGAAUUUGCAGUGUGCAACUUUGAUUGGUUAUUUUAUUUGAUUGAGUUAAACUUGGAUUUCUGGAUUUUGACUUUUUCGUUUGUUUCUCUGUUGCAGGGUUGGCUUCAUUUCAUUCCAGUAACUCUCUAAAUAGGUCCAAGAACUCACUAAAUAGGUAGUCAAGAAGAAUUCAGUGUUGCUUUCCUUUUCUGUUUACUCUCUUCCUGGUUGCACUCUCACCACUUCUGUUGCUCACCACUUCAUCUCUUCUGUUGCCUACAAUCAUCACAAAAAAACUCGAACCCUCAAACCAACAUAUUCAUUUCUACAGUUUCUCUGACAAUUAAUCUAACCUUGAAACCAACAAAUUGCAGAAAUCCUCAACUGUUGGAUUCUGUUGAGAUGGGCAGAAUUUGGUGGUGUCUUCAUCGUCGAUUGACACCUGGACUGCAACAUCAUCUUCACUCACCCCAGCGUCAGCAGAUUCCACCUCCAAAUCCUCUCCGAUCCUUAUUCCCAAAAGCUCUCCCUCUGAUUUGUCAUCAGGUAAGAUUUUGGGGUUUUUGUUUGGCAUUUGAUUCAAGUUUUCUUUGCAUUAAAUAAGAAAACAACCUCAAGCCCUCAAACCAAUAAAUCAAAUUCUACAAGUUCUCUCACUCUUAAGUCUUAAUCUAAUCCUAAAACCAACAUAACAAUUUUGAAAUGUCCUCAGUUUUCCAACAAUUCCGGUCAGGUCAGCGUUGAUGUUGGUCUUAAACUAUUCCUCAGCGCCUCAGGUGCCUUCUAUUUCAUGUAAGAUCUGCUUCAAAUUUUUUAUUUAAUAUAAUUGGGUUUUAGUUAUUUUUUCGUAGGUUUUCUAUGGUUUGUGUAAAUUCUCAUCUGAUCGAUGAUUGUUUUUGUUAUCAUGGGCUGAAAAGUGUGUAAUGGGGUUAUGAGGUAGAAGACUGUUUGGGGGUGGCAGUGGAUUCUCUGAGUAUGACUGGGAUGUUGAGAAAUUGGAGCUCUUCUGGGGCCAUAUCCAUUUGGAUUUGCAGGGUCUGAUUGGAGGAAAAGAAAUGAAAAAUAUUUUGGGUUUUGGAUUGAUGUGGUGUUUGAUUUUAUUUAAUUUUUGUUCCUGCAUGUUUGGGUUUUUUUUUUUUUUUUUUUUAAUUUUUAUGCAUGUAUUUAUUUUUUUUUUUUUUUUUUGAAUUAACACUAUUUGUUUUGUUAAUUGCAGGUUUAUAGUGUUUGCUUGAUAAAGACGGAGAAUAGCACUGUCCAAAUGAAUAGGAAGACCUCAAAAACUCCUUGAUGUGUUGCUUUCCUUAAUGUAUAAAGACGGAAAAAGAGGGGCAAGUUGCGAAAAGACAAAAAAAAAAAAAAAAAAAAAAAAAAAAAAAACCAGAGAUUGGUACUUUUCAUGCAUUCGAGUCAAGUUUUAUAAUGUAUAUACAUGUAUUUUCCAUUUGGUGAAUUCCAAAAAAUAAGAGCGUUUCUGUACACUAUUACUCUUUAUAUGUAGGCAAAAAUGAGAGUGUCUCUGUACACUAUUACUCUUUUGUAUGCAGGGCAAGUGGAGAUGGCAAUUGUUGUGGUUCAUACAAUCCCUCCUUUUUAUUUAGAGCAAGUGGAGAUGGCUGUUUGAAUAAAAAGAAGAAUUUGGCCAGGUAAUUCAGCUUUCCAAUAACUGGCAUUUGGUUAUUUAAAUAUUUAUGCAGAGAGAGAUGAGUUAUGUACUCUGAUUUCCUUACAUUCUCAUUAAAUGUUACCCAAUUUAAAAUUGUCUCUCACAUGAAAGUUUGAUUUUGAUAAGAUGUGUGUUUUUAAAAUUGUAGUGUCGUGUUGGCAUUAUUGCUUAUUUAUGAAUGCAAGUCUAUUUCACAUCUAUGUAAUAUCUUUAAUUUUGAUCUCCACAUUAUUCAAUGUUCACUAGUGCCUUUAAUUGUCCUCUGUUUUACAUCUAACUGAUGACACCACUUCCACUGCACCAGCUCCAGAGAAAAAUCUAUCAGCUUUUGACUCAAAUUCCAACUAUGCCUUAUCACUCUGAAUACCAAAGCAACCCCAAGCAAUUCUGGAAUAAUUUUUACGAGUAAAAAAAUACAUUAUGUAUAACUUAACCUCAAAUUUAUUCAUUUCACAAACAUUCGCAUCAAAUCCGUAGUUUUUUAUUGCUUGAAGUUCCAUACCACUCAAUGUUUACUAACACUUUUCAUUUUCCACUAUUUAACAUCUAUAUACUUAUCAUUUUUGCAAUCGCUGGGUGUACGCAAAUAGCAAAAGAAAUAUAAAACGCAAUAUCAUAAAAAGAAAUUGUUUUCUGUGUUACUAAGGUGUUUUGGUUCAAUUGAGUUACGAGGGACCGAUCUUGAUUCUUCACUAUCUGCCUGAAAUUUUCAAAAAAAACAACUUGGGAGCUCAAGUUUGAAUUUUUUUGCUAUUUAGUAGUCAAUUUGUAGCACAGUGGAAAUGUGGAAUGAUAUUUUUGCCUUUCAAUUCUAAUUGGCAAUCUGCUGCCAAUUUAAACCUUUUCAGGGCGUUUGCCACGGAGGUUAUGCAGCUCUGCAGACAGUCACACAGUGGAACUUGGAUUACACAAAGCACAGCAAGCAGGUUGAUAGGUAUAUUUUCUCACUUUUACCAUUUUUAGAAUUUAGAUUCGUGAUAAAUUAAUUCGAAUCAUGUGGCGUGAUAUUUCCACUCUGUUACAGACCAUGGUUAUGAUAAAUUAAUUUGAAUCAUGAGGCAUGAUAUUUCCAUAAUUAGCCACCUUUGUUGUGGUUUUGUCGAUUAUACUCAAGGGAGACUUUUCUACUUUUUAUUUUCUUCUCAUAGGGUUUAUAUUCUGCGAAGUGAUAUUUUAACUAUUUAUGCGUAUUUAUUUGUCAUCUAUUUUUUUAUGUAAAUUAACUAUAAGAGAUUAAUGAAAUUAACUGAUAAGAAUAUGAAAUUGACAAGUCGCUUCUCUAAAACCAAUUUUGUUUUUCUUUUCAAUUUACUGUCUACUAUCUCUCUCUCUACAAUAAACCGUUACACAAGUUUGUUGGCAAUGUGUGCUACUUCCCAUUAAAUCUGCAUUGACAUAACAAAAUUUUGGUUCUUUUGAAUUAAUGAUUGUUUCAGGGGAAUCAAUUCUUAUGUACAACUUAAACAUCCAAUGGUGUCGUGUGCAUUUUUAUCAACAAUAAAAAGCUUUUUCUCUGUAUUGCAAACAAGUCUUCUUAUAAUUAAAUAUUUGAAAUCCCUGGUCUGUAAUCCUCUUGAUUCAUGGUUUUAACGCCUCCUGAUGAAAUAACUACAACGUCAUCACUUCUUUUAUCAGAUAAGACUUAAACAUUCUACCCAUUGUUGAGUUUCUUUAACGAGUUUCACCCAUUUGUCAUAAAAUUAGAUGAGGUGAUUUCAUACCAUCUCAGAGUGUUGUCAGAAUAUAAUAUGAUAUUUGAUUCUUUUUCUUUUUUUCCCAUGAGUCUCAAUUUGUAUUUGAAACAGUAUGUAAUAAACUUACCAGGUCUUCAUCGCUAUCAUACUUUUACAGGUUUUGUUUUAAGGUUCUGAUUGGUAAAGCAAAAGCUCCUACGAAUUUAGCGGAGUGGACUAAGAAUUCGGGCCUUUUAUUAAUGACAUUAAUUGCUAUGCAAUUUAGUUUUGACUUUUAGCAUGUUCGUGAUCUUUGAAUUUACAUGUCUAGUUGUUUUCAUUAUACUAUUCUGAUAGGUAUGUGCAAAUAACUAUUAUGUUUAUCCCCAUUCUCUGAUGGUGUUUGCUGCAUUGUUGCUACACAAUCUCUGAUGGUUCCAAUGCUGGACAUAAAAGAAAUUGACUAUUUUUUUCCUUUAUUUAUUUAUUUAUUUAUCUGAAGAGGUCGCACUUGGUGCGAUGGCAAGUGCCUUCGCCCAUGAGCGGUAGGUCUCGGGUUCGAGACUUGGGAGCAGCCUCUCCAUAAAUGAGGGUAAGGCUAGCCGACAUUCACCUCUCUCAGACCCUGCGUAAAGCGGGAGCCUUGUGCACUGGGUACGACCUUUUUAUUUAUUUAUUUAUUUAUCUGCAUAUUAUUUUGGUUUGUUGAAAUUUCAACUAUAGUUUGCUUUGUGCUGGACGUAAAGGGUUUUUCUUCAAUGAUUAUAUAUAGCUUCAACAGUGGACUCUGUGUUGUCUCUAGGUGAUUUUGCUUAUUUCUCCAUUUGUUACGUAUGAGUGGAUGCCUAUGAUUAAGUGAAAGUGAAAUCUAAAAGGUUUUUUGUUGUUAUUGUUGGGAAUUUGCCUAAUUUUAGGAAUGGGAAGUGAUUCUGGUGAACAGAGGUCUAGAGUUCAGGUUUGUGCUAAUCUCUCACUCUUCCUCUCUCCUUCUCUACUGGAAAAUCCAUAGUCUUUCAUCUUCCUCGGCUCUUCCUUUCUCUCCGCUCCCCAUUUCUCUCUCCUUGGAGCCUACAAACCAAGUAGUGAUGGUCGACAAGCUUCAAAUAUGCUGGACGCGUACUGGAGAAGGGACAGUUCUGUCCGUUGCAGAGAGAGAGGGGGGAGUAUGGGGGUAGGGGAGAGGAUUUCGGCAGGGAGAUAUGGGUUUGGGGAGAAAGAGUAAGGGAGAAGUAUGGGGUAGGCUGAUUUCCAGGGAUUUCCUUUCACCCCUUCACUCACCACGAACCCACCUUUCUCUUCGUUUCUCCCACCCUCAAAUCUUCCGUUUUCCCUCUCACAAAAUACCCACCAAGGAAACCCUGCUUUUGGUUUAUUUUGGGAUUUUGUUUGCGCUCUCAAUUUCAAACGACGGGCCAAUUGGUUGAGAUUUGGAUUUCUCCCCUUUUUGUGGAAGCUCACAAAUUGUGUUUCGGUGGGAUCGGUCUCGAAUAGCUGCGUGUGUCUACUCUUUCCAAGGUAUGGUGUUCACCGAUGGCAUGGUUUAGUGUGUCUCUCUUCUUUUUUCUUUGUUUUAUAUUUCUAAUCGUUUGCUGCUUGACAAUGGUUAGUUUGGAUGUUUUUCUGAUUUUGGGUUGGUCAGUGUUUUUCGGCUGCUUGAGAAAAUGUGAUCCCAUGUUUUGAUUGAGUGAAAUAAUUAAGAGAUAAAAAAGAGUGGAGAAUUAGUGUCAAGAGUAGUGAUGGAAAAAAUGAGGAAAAAAAGAUAGAUGUGGAAGAAGGGGAGAGACUGGAAAUUGAGGAAAGUGAAGAGAAAAAAAAAUGGGGGUUAAGUGAGCAGAGAAAAAAUGAGGAAAAAAAGGCUUAAUAUGGGGAGUAGGCAGAAGAGAAAAGCAAGAGAAGGGAGACAGAACAGGAACAAGGUGUGGUUUUGUUGUUAGUUUUAUCCAAACUUUUGAUUUGGAUUUUGAUUUGAAGCUUAUUUGUUAUUUGUUUAGUCUAAUUUAGUAUUGGUUAAUCUAGGUUUGUGGCUAAUUUAAUGUUAAUGUUGAUCUAGAUGUUUUAAUUUGUUAUGAACUUAUAUGGGUUUCGUGUUUUAAUUGUUAUUUUACAGUUGCUAGGGUUAACUUUGGCUUUUAUGUUGGUUUGGAUAAUUUUUUUAAUUUCAUUUGAAGAUUUAGUGUCAUUAUACACCUUUGCACCACUGUUUGUUCUGUUUUUCUCUGUUUCUGUAUGUAGUUUUGGUAGAAUUGGACUGUUCUUUUUAACUUAAUUAAAGUGUUUGACACUUAAGUGAAUGAAAGUUUAGUUUGGUUUGAUCACGAUGAGGUGUUUGGUGACACCUUUGCACCACUGUUUGUUCUGUUUUUCUUGGUUUCUGUAAAUAGUUUUGGUAGAAUUGGACUGUUCUUUUUAACUUAAUUAAAGUGUUUGAGACUUAAUUGAAUGAAAGUUUAGUUUGGUUUGAUCACGAUGAGGUGUUUGGUGUUGGGUGUAUGAUCCUUGGGUCCAAUGGAAAUGUGUAAUUCCCAUUAAGGUUUCAUCUUGCUGUAAAUUUAGGUGUUUUCUCUCUGUGUUGGUCCGUCUGCUUAUACUUUUCAAAUGUUGGUUUAUCUUAUGCAAAUAUUGAUACGCUUAACUACCCUGCUUCUUUCUCAUGGUCCUUAAACAUGUGCAAGUUUGUAUGUUUCUGAUGGAUUAUGCUAGUGGGAACUUAGUUACUUUUUUAUUUUUUUUCAUGUUUGUUGGGUUUGUUGUUUUCAGAAAAUUAUUGAAAUUCUGUAAUCUGUAUAUAGAGUGCUAAAUGAGUAUAUGAUUAAUGGGUUGAAUUUUGUUUUCAAAAGGACUGUUAUAUGUUUUGUGUGAAAAUUAUUGAAAUUCUGUAAUCUGUAUAUAGAGUGCUAAAUGAGUAUAUGAUUAAUGGGUUGAAUUUUGUUUUCAAAAGGACUGUUAAAUGUUUUGUGUCAAUUUGGCUGUGAUAGUAAGAUUACUUCAUGGAACAGUGUAAUUGUUGUGGCAUGUGAAUGUUAAAUUUUUCUUAAUUUAAUUUCGGAAAGAAAUUUGCUCAACUGUAGUGCUAUAUGAUGAAGUUAUCAUCCUUAGAGGUUGGGAACUCAAUUAGUGCACCAUUAGUUGUGCAAAUGUCUGAAUAUUGGUGCUUUUCCAGGAAACAGUGCUUUUUGCUUUCUAGAACCGUUUGGAGAGUGCACGACUUGAGGAUCUCAGACCCAAGGUAAAAGGUUAAAAUCUCUGGCUUCCUUUACUGAUGUAAGCUUGCAUGAAAGAGAGAAACAAUAACAAAAAAUUUAUCUGAACCCCCAUUUGGUUCUGUUUGAUUGUCUAUUUAGGGUGUUUUUUAGUUUUGCUUGUGGGGUUCAGAUUUAAUUUGGGUUUAUAUGUGAUUUCCAAUCGAUUAUUUUUUUAUUAGUUGCAGAUCAUUUUUACAUUGGAAGAUUGAAUUUUUGUGGUUGUUUCAGUGUAGUUCUUGGGUACACAAACAUUUAUCCAAUAAAUAAAUUCAUGACAUUGUUUUCAGGGGAUGGACAGAAGUCCCAGGCAGCAAUCUCUUUGUAAUCAUCGCCGGGAAAAUAUUGUGGUCAUUUUGAGUUUGGAUUUAGCCAGCAUGUGGUAAGCGUUACUUUUUCGAUUACUUUCAUUUGUUUAUUUGUGAAUCAAUAACUUUUUUAGGAAUAAUGAAUGUCACAAUUGCUGAUAAAUUGAUACUUUGUUCGGAGCUUGAACUGUAGGUCUGUGCAAGAUAUCCAUAUAUGGAUCAAUGCUAUGGACUCUUCUCAACCUAUGGACCUCAAAUUUCAGUGCGUCUUCCAUCAUUUCUCCUACCUCACUGUAUGUAGCUAUUACAUUUGCAAUCAUAUUAAUUCAUUGAAAACAAUAUUUAUAUUUCUCUGUAAAAUAUACUAUCAUUUCCUUGCUCGUACAUUAAAAUGGAAAUAUAAAAAGUAGAACCGAUCAUUGCUGGGUUCUCUCUUUCGACUGUGUUGUUUGCUUUACCGUUUUUACUUUUCUGUUUCACAGCUCUUUGACAAAUAUCUUAUUCUGCCACUCUCGAUCUCGCCCAGGGGUGUUGCAGGUCGAUUCGAUGCUACGAGGCACUUCAUUUAGGGCUAUCUGAGAGAGAGAGGUGUUGGGUGUUUGAGACAAGGGGUUUCAGGGAUUAGGUUUGGGUGGGGUUUCAAGGAUUAGGUUUUGGUGGGAUUUGAAUGAUUAGGUUUGGGUUUUUGUUUGUGCGAUUGGCAAAGAGAUGGGGGGUCCAAGAUAGGAUUAGGAGAUUUGAUUUAGGGUUUGCAGAGUCAGAGAUAGGAGGUGUCCAAGAGAGAUGUGGGAGGAUUUAGGCGAGGGAUUUCAGGGAUUUGGUUUAGGGUUUGUUUUCUGCGAUUUGCAGAGACAGAGAGAUGGGACAAGGGUGAGCGAGAUGGGAGGAUUUUCUGCAAGGGUUGAAGGAAACGGGCAAGGGAGGUAUGGGUAUAUGGGUUUGUUGCGAUGGGGUUUAGUAAUUUUCAAUAUUCUUCGACUCUUUUUAAUCUGCAAAAUCAAAUUACCCAUGGAAUUUAUAACAUGCAAUCAGUUUCUUUUUAGUUGAGUUCAAAUAAUGUUGAUUGCAUUGUUAUAAAGCUUUGUUUUAUUGUUAGGUUGAAAAUCAUAUCAAUAGAUUCUUUAUUUAGUUGGUCCAAUCGUAACAGAUGAGAUUGUUUUGUUUGAUGUUUAAAUCAAAAUUUGAUCUUUAUUUGUGUGAAAUUAUAAUGGAAUUGCAAAUCAAUUAUAUCUUAGAUUCUUAGUUGCAUACUCACCUUCCCACAACUAUUAUAUUGUCACUUGACUUGAUGGAUUUUUAUAAUUUUCUGGAUCUACAGUUACAAUGCUUUUUAUAAUUUCCUAGAUCUAUUCUUUUUGUUCGUUCAUGAUUAUAUUGAAUUUUUUUUUUCAGGUUAAAUGUGUCUUAUUCAUGUAGUAAGGCUGGUGUAUUCAAAUUCCACAGCAACGUGUGAGCAUAUUUUCUAGUUUACUUCUAUUUAUGGUUUAUGUGUUUGUAAUAACAUCGCAGCACUGUAGAAUUAUUGUAACUAUUCACACUGGGUAGUGACUUUUGCACCCCCUGUUCUUUUCUGCACUCCUCACUGUUCAACUCUUCAUUGAUUCUCGUCUUUGAUAUAUCCGUCGAAUGGCUAGAGAAACAGAGAUAAGUGCAUGGAAAGAAAAUAAGAGAUUGAAAAUCAAUAUUUUUUACGUAGGGAAAAAAGUGUAUUAAUUUAUGUAUUAUGUGGGAUUUCCGAGCCUUUUGUUUUGUGGGUGAUUUUUCCGCAAUGCAAGUUUCCUGGAAAUUGCAAAUCAUUUGGCUUUAGUUGCUGUUUGUUUCCAUCUUUUUCUUUGGAUUUGGAUCCUCUCCUGAGCCAAUGGAGAGGGUCCUCCUGACCAAGUAUUGUGGACCGUUGGAUUUUCAUUUAACGGUUAUAAUUAUUAUAACUUUAAAGGGACCCUUUUGUUUGUAGCGGUUGAAUAAAAAUUCAACGGUCCAAAAUGUUUGGUUAGGUGGAGCCUCUCCAUUAGCUCAGGUGAGAAUCCAAAUCCUUUUUCUUUGAUGCUUUCGCUUGUUUACGUCGGCAAUAUGACGUAAUAAAUUGGUCAAUGUGGCCCUACUACGUUGUUUCAAUGGGCUUUCCAAAUUAUGCACUAAGCAAGUUGCAAAUAAAAUAUUCUGGGAUUUCUGAGCCUUUCUAUUGUUGUGGGUGAUUUUUCCGCAAUGCAAGUUUCCUGGAAAUUGCAAAUCAUUUGGCUUUAGUUGUUGUUUGCUUCCUUCUCUUUCUUUGAUGCUUUCGCUUGUUUACGUCGGCAAUAUGAUGUAAUAAAUUUGUCAUUGUGGCCCUACUUGGUUGUUUCUAUGGUACCGGAUCUCCUUCGGAUCCAAAAAAUCUAAACCUAAUGAUCAAAUGAUCCGGACCAUUGAAAUUUGAUUUAAUGAUUACAAUUAUUAUAAUUUUUAAAGGAGCUCCUUAUUUGUAACCAUUUGAUUAAAUUUCAAUGGUUUGAAUGAUUUGAUCCUUAUGCUCAAAUUUUUUAGAUCCGUAGGGGAUUCAGUCCGUUUCUAUGGGCUUUCCAAAUUAUGCACCAACCAAGUUUUGCAAAUAAAAUAUUCUUCUCUCAAUGACUAUGAAUUGUUUUGUCGGUAAUUUUUCCGCAAUGCGAGUUUCCUGGAAAUUGCAAAUCAUUUGGCUUUAGUUGCUGUUUCCUUCUUUUUCUUGGAUGCUUUUGCUUGCUUACGUCAGCAAUAUGACGUAAACGAGUUUUGCAAAUAAAAUAUUCUUCUCUCAUUGACCAUGAAUAUAUAUAUAUAUAUGUAUGUAUGUAUGUAUUAUUGCUUAUCAAACUUGGAGUUUCAGAUCGAUUUGGCGAGCAAGAGCGCCGCGACCCACCGCAUCUCCUCUGUAUUGAAUUUCUUUCUUCCAAACUCCUAUCUUUAGAUGGGCUCUUCGAUUAGUCAUCAAGCUCUUCCAUUUGUUCUCAAUUCUUUCUGUCGCCGAGAGAGGAACUGAGUUGAGAGGAAGUCUGAGUUUCCUCUCAACUCAGUUCCUCGCCCAACGCCCGCCUAAGCCGCCCAGGCGCCCACUGCUUCUUGGCUUCCAAACUGAUCUUAACACUUGAGAGGUGUCUCUCCCUAUUCAGCCGAGCUCAAAUCCCUCUCUCUCCUCUGUUUAGAUUAGUUUAAAAGAAAGCAGCCUCUCCCUCGUUUCAAAUGCAUUUAUAAUUCUGUGAUCCAAAGCAAUUGCUCUCUUGUUUUAGAAGUCAGAUUUUCAGAGCUGGGUGGUGGUUGUUGUUGUUGUUGAAAUUAUGGGAGUCCUUGCGUCAGCUGUAGUAGCUAUUGUAAAAAUUCCAUUUGAAUGGCUGUUUGGUGCCGCCAUAAGAUUCUACAAGAUGGCUAAGAAGUUUCCAACUCUCCGCAGAGAUCUCACUUCAAAUAUAAACUACUUGGAACAACGGAUCCCACUGAUAAGCCGCACCAGAAUCGUUUGGGUUUCUGAAAAUUUAACAAGAACAAUGGAGGAUGGCAAGGAGCUGGCCAGAAUGUGCGACGAGGGGAAUCUGAACUUCUUUGAAAAGGCUAAAUAUGCUAAAAAAAUUGUUAAAUGGGACGAAUCUCGUCAAAGAAUCUUGAAGUUAGUGCAAACUGAUGCAAAUCUUGUGGCUCAAAAUCAAAACCAAGACCUUGUUACAACUUGGUGUGCAGUUCCUGACCUUCCAAGCAAUACACUAAAACUGGAUGCACCUUUGGCGGGGAUGAAGAUGAAACUCCUUAGAGAUGACGCGCGGUCAAUGCUUGUGCUCACUGCUCCGCCAGGAUGUGGGAAAACCACUUUGGCAAAUAUGUUCUGUCAUGAUCCACAGUAGUCACAGGUAUCUAUCUAUAAAGUUUUUGUACGAUGCGGCAAACAUUUUUUAGAUGCGCACACUCGAUACUGUAGAAUGGCUCCUACCUGUCUGCUAUUGAUAAUCACUUCUUUUCUCUCUUUUUUCUUCUAAUUAGUAAUGUUGCAUUCCUAUGUGUUUUCUUGGCUAGAUAAAUUCAAGGACAAUAUCUUCUUUGCCACGGUUUCCAAUAAGCCCAGCCACCUUGUUGUCCAAGAAUUGUGUCAACAUGCCGGAUUCAGGGUACCUGCUUUAGAAAAUGAAGCAAUUGCAUUUAGCUGGCUGCCGCGAUUUUUGAGGGAAGCAGGGCAAAAUCCCUUACUGUUAAUCUUGGAUGAUGUUCCGUCUACAUCAGAAUCCCUUCUUGACAAGUUUGAUGAAAUCAAAAUUACAGAUUACAAGAUUUUGGUGACAUCAAGAUACCAUUUUCCGAAAUUCGGGCCUCCAUAUAAUUUACAAGCGUUGACAGAUAAAGAUGCACUGACUCUUUUUCGUCGUUCAGCAUUCCUGCCAAAUACGAGCUGUAACAUACCAGAUGAUCUUCAGAUUCAGGUGAUUUAUUAGUUUGAGUUUCUAAUGUAUAUGCCCUUAUUUAUGCAUUCCUGCUUAUAGAAAAUGUCACUUGCUACACAAAUCACCCAUGCACGCAAGUGAACCCGUAGAUUUUAUAAUAUCUGUAAAUAGUUAUUCACCUUAUUUGGGACAAUUGGACUGCAGAUAGUAAACUGCUGUAAGAGAUUUCCGCUUGCCAUUACAACCGUAGGGACGUCACUUUGCAAUCAGCCUAUACAGGAAUGGAGAACCAAACUCAAAAAAUUAUCUAAAGGUUCUUCUAUUCUUGAUUCAGAGAAUGAUUCAGAGAAAAAAUUGCUUGCACUCCUCGAAAGUUGCUUAGAUGACUUGAAUAGAGAAAUGGCUCCUGUCAAGGAUUGUUUCAUAGACCUUGCUUUAUUUCCCCAAGACCAAAGAAUUCCCGUUGCUUUCCUUCUUGAUAUGUGGGCAGAGUUAUAUGAGGGAUCAAAUGAUGACGAUUCAAUAGUGAACCUAUACCACCUCACCUUCCGCAAUUUGGCCAGUCUUGUAGUCACAAGGUAUUCAUACUUUACUUUUUUUACCAAUUUACUACUGUGAUAUGCACGUUUCAGAAAUUUCUUCUGUGAAACUAAAUUUUGAUCACAACCAGGACUAAGGAUUUGGAUGGAUACUAUGGUGAACAUUUUGUUGUCCAACAUGAUGUGCUUAAAUUGCUAUCAAUCCGUGCGAGUCAUGAUGAAGACCCAACAGGACAUAGAUUGAUUGUAGACAUAAAUGGAGAUGAGCUUCCACCAUGGUGGACAGAGAAGAAAACAUGGAAGGCUCGCUUAGUAUCUGUCUUAACACCAUGGUGGACAGAGAAGAAGCAGAAAACAAAGAAGGCUCGCUUAGUAUCUGUCAUAACUGGUUGGCAUCUCUGAACUCUAUUUUUAGAAAAUAGAUACAUACAUAUGUACAAUCACGUACAUACAAGCUCACAAACGUAAUUUCACAUUAAUUUCUCCCCAGUCACAUCAUAUAGCACAUUGUUUAUUUGCAGGUGAAUCUUCUUCAACAGAGUGGCACAACAUGGAUCUACCAAAAGGCGAGGUUCUAGUUUUGAAUUUUCAAGCAAAGAACUAUGCCUUACCCAAGUUCAUGAAGAAAAUGUGCAAGUUGAAGGUUCUAAUAGUCACAAAUGAUGGCUUCUCACCUGCUGAGCUAAGUGACUUUGAACUGCUGUGUUCUUUGUCAAAUCUAAAGAGACUAAGAUUAGAGCAUAUUUCAAUUCCUUUGAUACGCGAGAACAUCAUUCCAUCGAAGAGUCUAAAGAAGAUAUCUUUAUUCAUGUGUAACGUCAGUCAAGCAUUUGGAAACUCUUCCAUCCAAAUUUUUGAGACAUUCCCAUACCUAGAGGAGUUGCACAUCGACUAUUGUAACGAUUUGGUGAAAUUGCCUGCCAAGCUAUGCGAUCUUAUCGGCCUAAAAGUUCUCAGCAUCACCAACUCUCAUAAGCUAUCUGUCUUGCCUGAAGACAUCGGAAAGCUGGAGAAUUUAGAAGUGUUGAGGCUAAGGUCCUGCACAGGCUUGGAAAAGCUUCCAGGCUCGAUUGAGAAACUCAAUAACUUGUACUUUCUUGACAUAUCUAAUUGUUCCAGCAUUAAGACGUUGCCCGAAGGCAUUGAUAAGAUGAAUGGUUUAAGAAAAAUCAAUAUGGCACAAUGUUCAAGAUUGGAUGAGCUGCCUGAGUCAGUGUAUGAUCUUGGUCCGCAGUUAGAGAAAGUGAUAUGUGACGAGGACGCAAGAAUUUUUUGGGAACCUGUCUUAUCAAAUCCCAACAAAAUAACGGUGGCAUUCAACCUGAAUUGGCUCCACAGACUUCAGAUUUGAGAGCUAUCUUUCCACGAUAAGUAUUGGAGCAAAUGGCCUGUGUACUUUGUAUUCCAGUUUAUUUUUUCCUAUUUCUCAUUUGGUGUUUGUAUGAGAUAUUGCAUCAUUCCACUGGCUUGGAUUUCCCUCGUUUUCUUCUCUAUAUACUGAUUAAGAUUUGUUGAAUUUUUGAUUUUUUAUUUUCUUCCUCCCAGGACAGACAGUAAAAACCCUCUAAUGCCUACCUUUUUUCAUCACUUCCCUCUCAUCCCCUCCAUGCUUCUCACAUCUCUUAACCAUCUAUCCACUGGCUAAUGGGUGUGGUCUCUCUAUCGCUUUGUCGACUAGAGCCUUUGUAUUUGUGGUCACUCUACCGAUGUAGCAGAUAUGGCUUACUACUCGAGUACUCAUCUUCAACAUCUUAUGCUUCCAGGAAAGAUACCGUAUCUGCCUGAGGAACAGAUAGGGCAAGUGAGAAGGAUACAAGGAAGCAUGUGGAGACAAGCGUAACAGCACACGUGCCGAUACAUCCACUACUCUGUCAAAAGCAAAAGUAUUCCAUAUCAGCAGGGUCGAACGUACUCUAGAUUUGAUGGACUUGUUUUGACCCUCAAAUUCUUCAGUCGGCCUUAUACUCUGGAGGAAACCAGAAAACCCUCCAGUCCAGUUCAAGAAUAAGCCUGUGGAAAGUUACUUCUUCAAAAGCAAAAGUAUCCCAUAUCAUCUAUUCUCAUUUUUCUUCUCUUUAUUCUUCAUGCUGCCUGCAAGAUAGGGAGAAUGUGAACAAUCAGCCGAAGCUCUGAUUGCUUACCUUGUCUGUCACCUCUUUCAGUAGAUCCUCUAGCUCGGCGACUUGGGGGACUCCUACUACAUGAUUUGUAUCGCACUUGACCAAGCAUGAAACUACAAGUAAGCUUCAAGUGAAAUUGAUACAUUACCUUGUGCAUCUCCACCAGUUACAGAUACCAUCCCUGGAUGGAGGAAUAGUACUUCCAGAGAAGAUGCCACAUCUACCUAUGAGACAGAUAAGGCAAGUCAAGACGAUACCACACUCCGGUACUUAGAAGUUUCGUGGCUACAAGAUCAUUCUCCCACAAUAUUUCCUAAUGUCAUUUGUACUAAAUCAUUCACUUGUCCUCACUAAAGGAGAGCUUGAACCUAUGUACUUGUGUAAACCCUUCACAAUUAAUGAGAACUCCUCUAUUCCGUGGACGUAGCCAAUCUGGGUGAACCACGUACAUCUUGUGUUUGCUUUCCUAUCUCUAUCCAUUUAUAUACUUAUCCACACUAAUGACCGGAGCAAUCUAGCGAAGAUCACAAAAAGUGACCGUUUUCGCUACCUAGGAUCUAUCUUGCAAGAGAACGGAGAAUUAGAUGGAGAUCUCAACCAUAGAAUACAAGCUGGAUGGAUGAAGUGUAAGAGUGCAUCCGGCGUGUUGUGUGACCGUCGUAGGCCACUGAAGCUCAAGGGAAAAUUUUAUAGGACGGCAAUAAGGCCAGCGAUGUUGUAUGGCACAGAAUGUUGGGCGGUGGAGCAUCAACACGUACACAAAAUGGGUGUAGCGGAGAUGAGGAUGCUUCGUGGGAUGUAUGGGCACACGAGAAAGGAUAAGAUUGGGAAUGAGGAUAUCCGAGGUAAAGUAGGAGUAGCCAAAAUUGAAUGAAAUAUGAGAGAAAAUCGGUUCCGGUGGUUUGGACAUGGCAAAGAAGGCCUACUGACGCUUCAGUUCGAAAAUGUGACUACGGAACAGAGGUUCAGGGCCAAAGGGGUAGAUGAAGACCUAGGAAAACUUUGGAAGAGACCCUAAGAAAAGACUUGAGUACUUGGAUCUAACGGAGGACAUGACACAAAACCGAGCGCAAUGGCGUUCUAGGAUUCAUAUAACCGACCCCACUUAGUGGGAAAAGACUUUGUUGUUGUUGUAUUUAUUUAUUUAUUUGCAUAUUAUUUUGGUUUGUUGAAAUUUCAACUAUAGUUUGCUUUGUGCUGGACGUAAAGGGUUUUUCUUCAAUGAUUAUAUAUAGCUUCAACAGUGGACUCUGUGUUGUCUCUAGGUGAUUUUUGCUUAUUUCUCCAUUUGUUACGGAUGAGUGGAUGCCUAUGAUUAAGUGAAAGUGAAAUCUAAGAGGUUUUUUUGUUGUUAUUGUUGGGAAUUUGCCUAAUUUUAGGAAUGGGAAGUGAUUCUGGUGAACAGAGCUCUAGAGUUUAGGUUUGUGCUCAUCUCUCACUCUUCCUCUCUCCUUCUCUACUGGAAAAUCCAUAGUCUUUCAUCUUCCUCGGCUCUUCCUUUCUCUCCGCUCCCCAUAUCUCUCUCCUUGGAGCCUACAAACCAAGUAGUGAUGGUCGACAAGCUUCAAACAUGCUGGACGCAUACUGGAGAAGGGACAGUUCUGUCCGUUGCAGAGAGAGACGGGGGAGUAUGGGGGUAGGGGAGAGGAUUUUCGGCAGGGAGAUAUGGGUUUAGGGAGAAAGAGUAAGGGAGAAGUAUGGGGUAGGCUGAUUUCCAGGGAUUUCCUUUCACCCCUUCACUCACCACGAACCCACCUUUCUCUUCGUUUCUCCCACACUCAAAUCUUCCGUUUUCCCUCUCACAAAAUACCCACCAAGGAAACCCUGCUUUUGGUUUAUUUUGGGAUUUUGUUUGCGCUCUCAAUUUUCAGACGAUGGGCCAAUUGGUUGAGAUUUGGAUUUCUCCCCUUUUUGUCGAAGCUCACAAAUUGUGUUUCGGUGGGAUCGGUCUUGAAUAGCUGCGUGUGUCUACUCUUUCCAAGGUAUGGUGUUCACCGAUGGCAUGGUUUAGUGUGUUUCUCUUUUUUUUUUCUUUGUUUUAUAUUUCUAAUUUAUCGUUUGCUGCUUGACAAUGGUGAUUGUAUGUUUUAGUUUGGAUGUUUUUCUGAUUUUGGGUUGGUCAGUGUUUUUCGGCUGCUUGAGAAAAUGUGAUCCCAUGUUUUGAUUGAGUGAAAUAAUUAAGAGAUAGAAAAGAGUGGAGAAUUAGUGUCAAGAGUAGUGAUGGAAAAAAUGAGGAAAAAAAGAUAGACGUGGAAGAAAGGGAGAGACUGGAAAUUGAGGAAAGUGAAGAGAAAAAAAAAUGGGGGUUAAGUGAGCAGCCAAAAGAGAAAAAAUGAGGAAAAAAAGGCUUAAUAUGGGGAGUAGGCAGAAGAGAAAAGCAAGAGAAGGGAGACAGAACAGGAACAAGGUGUGGUUUUGUUGUUGGUUUUAUCCAAACUUUUGAUUUGGAAUUUGAUUUGAAGCUUAUUUGUUAUUUGUUUAGUCUAAUUUAGUAUUGGUUUAUCUAGGUUUGUAGCUAAUUUAAUGGGUUUCGUUUUUUAAUUGUUAUUUUACAGUUGCUAGGGUUAACUUUGGCUUUUAUAUUGGUUUGGGUAAUUUUUUUAAUUUCAUUUGACGAUUUAGUGUCAUUAUAAUUAUACACCUUUGCACCACUGUUUGUUUUGUUUUUCUCGGUUUCUGUAUAUAGUUUUGGUAGAAUUGGACUGUUCUUUUUAAUUUAAUUAAAGUGUUUGACACUUAAUUGAAUGAAAGUUUAGUUUGGUUUGAUCACAAUGAGGUGUUUGGUGACACCUUUGCACCACUGUUUGUUCUGUUUUUCUUGGUUUCUGUAAAUAGUUUUGGUAGAAUUUGACUGUUCUUUUUAACUUAAUUAAAGUGUUUGAGACUUAAUUGAAUGACAGUUUAGUUUGGUUUGAUCACGAUGAGGUGUUUGGUGUUGGGUGUAUGAUCCUUAGGUCCAAUGGAAAUGUGUAAUUCCCAUUAAGGUUUCAUCUUGCUGUAAAUUUAGGUGUUUUCUCUCUGUGUUGGUCCAUCUGCUUAUACUUUUCAAAUGUUGGUUCAUCUUAUGCAAAUAUUGAUAUGCUUAAUUACCCUGCUUCUUUCUCAUGGUCCUUAAACAUGUGCAAGUUUGUAUGUUUAUGAUGGAUUAUACUAUUGGGAACUUAGUUACUUUUUUUUUUCAUGUUUGUUGGGUUUGUUGUUUUCAGAAAAUUAUUAAAAUUCUGUAAUUUGUUUCUGUAUAUAGAGUGCUAAAUGAGAAUAUGAUUAAUGGGUUGAAUUUUGUUUUCAAGAGGACUGUUACAUGUUUUGUGUCAAUUUGGCUGUGAUAGUAAGAUUACUUCAUGGAACAGUGUAAUUGUUGUGGCAUGUGAAUGUCGAAUUUGUUCUUAAUUUAAUUUCGGAAAGAAAUUUGCUCAACUGUAGUGCUAUAUGAUGAAGUUAUCAUCCUUAGAGGUUGGGAACUCAAUUAGUGUACCAUUAGUUGUGCAAAUGUUUGAAUAUUGGAGAGCACACAACUUGAGGAUCUCAGACCCAAGGUAAAAGGUAAAAGGUUAAAAUCUCUGGCUUCCUUUACUGAUGUAAGCUUGCAUGAAAGAGAGAAACAAUAACAAAAAAAUUAUCUGAACCCCCAUUUGGUUCUGUUUGAUUGUCUAUGUAGGGUGUUUUUUAGUUUUGCUUGGGGGGUUCAGAUUUCAUUUGGGUUUAUAUGUGAUUUUUAGUCGAUUAUUUUUUUAUUAGUUUCAGAUCAUUUUUACUUUGGAAGUUUGAAUUUUUGUGGUUGUUUCAGUGUAGUUCUUGGGUACACACAUUUAUCCAAUAAAUAAAUUCAUGACAUUGUUUUCAGGGGAGUUACAGAAGUCCCAGGCAGCAAUCUCUUUGUAAUCAUCGCCGGGAAAAUAUCGUGGUCAUUUUGAGUUUGGAUUUAGCCAGCACGUGGUAAGCAUUACUUUUUCGAUUCCUUUCAUUUGUUUAUUUGUGAAUCAAUAACUUUUUUAGGAAUAAUGAAUGUCACAAUUGCUGAUAAAUUGAUACUUUGUUCGGAGCUUGAACUGUAGGUCUGUGCAAGAUAUCCAUAUAUGGAUCAAUGCUAUGGACUCUUCUCAACCUAUGGACCUCAAAUUUCAGUGCGUCUUCCAUCAUUUCUCCUACCUCACUGUAUGUAGCUAUUACAUUUGCAAUCAUAUUAAUUCAUUGAAAACAAUAUUUAUAUUUCUCUGUAAAAUAUACUAUCAUUUCCUUGCUGGUACAUUAAAAUGGAAAUAUGAAAAGUAGAACCGAUCAUCGCUGGGUUCUCUCUUUCGACUGUGUUGUUUGCUUUACCUAUCGUUUUUACUUUUCUGUUUCACAGCUCUCUGACAAAUAUCUUAUUCUGCCGCUCUUGAUCUCACCCGGGGGUGUUGCAGGUCGAUUCGAUGCUACGAGGCACUUCAUUUAGGGCUAUAUGAGAGAGAGACGUGUUGGGUGUUUGAGACAAGGGGUUUCAGGGAUUAGGUUUGGGUGGGGUUUCAAGGAUUAGGUUUUGGUGGGAUUUGAAUGAUUAGGUUUGGGUUUUUGUUUGUGCGAUUGGCAGAGAGAUGGGGGGUCCAAGAUAGGAUUAGGAGAUUUGAUUUAGGGUUUGCAGAGUCAAGAGAUAGGAGGUGUCCAAGAGAGAUGUGGGAGGAUUUAGGUGAGGGAUUUCAGGGAUUUGGUUUAGGGUUUGUUUUCUGCGAUUUGCAGAAACAGAGAGAUGGGACAAGGGUGAGAGAGAUGGGAGGAUUUUCUGCAAGGGUUGAAGGGAACGGGCAAGGGAGAUAUGGGUAUAUGGGUUUGUUGUGAUGGGGUUUAGUAAUUUUCAAUAUUCUUUGACUCUUUUUAAUCUGUAAAAUCAAUUUACCCAUGGAAUUUAUAACAUGCAAUCAGUUUCUUUUUAGUUGAGUUCAAAUAAUGUUGAUUGCAUUGUAAUAAAGCUUUGUUUUAUAUUAGGUUGAAAAUCAUAUCAAUAGAUUCUUUAUUUAGUUGGUCUAAUCUGUAACAGAUGAGAUUGUUUUGUUUGAUGUUUAAAUCAAAAUUUGAUCUUUAUUUGUGUGAAAUUAUAAUGGAAUUGCAAAUCAAUUAUAUCUUAGAUUCUUAGUUACAUACUCACCUUCCCACAACUAUUAUAUUGUCUCUUGAUUGGAUAGAUUUUUAUAAUUUUCUGGAUCUACGGUUACAAUGUUUUUUAUAAUUUCCUAGAUCUAUUCUUUUUGUUCGUUCAUGAUUAUGUUGAAAUUUUUUUUUCAGGUUAAAUGUGUCUUAUUCAUGUAGUUAAGGCUGGUUCAUUCAAGUUCCGCAUCAACGUGCGAUCAUAUUUUCAAGUUUACUUCUAUUUAUGGUUUGUGUUUGUAAUAACAUCGCAGCACUGUAGAAUUAUUGUAACUAUUCACACUGGGUAGUGACUUUUGCACCCCCUGUUCUCUUCUGCACUCCUCACUGUUCAACUCUUCAUUGAUUCUCGUCUUUGAUAUAUCCAUCGAACGGCUAGAGAAACAGAGAUAAGUGCAUGGAAAGAAAAUAAGAGUUUGAAAAUCAUUAUUUUUUACGUAGAGAAAAAAGUGUAUUAAUUUAUGUAUUAUGUGGGAUUUCUGAGCCUUUUUAUUGUUUUGUGGGUGAUUUUUCCGCAAUGCAAGUUUCCUGGAAUGCAAAUCAUUUGGCUUUAGUUGCUGUUUGUUUCCAUCUUUUUCUUUGGAUUUGGAUUCUCUUCUGAGCUAAUGGAGAGGAUCCUCCUCAUCAAACAUUGUGGACCAUUGGAUUUUCAUCCAACGGUUAUAAUUAUUAUAACUUUAAAGGGACCAUUCUGUUUGUAGUCGUUCGAUAAAAAUCUAAAGGUUCAAAAUGUUUGGUCAGGAGGAUCCCCUCCAUUAGCUCAGGAGAGGAUCCAAAUCCUUUUUCUUUGAUGCUUUCGCUUGUUUACGUCGGCAUUAUGACGUAAUAAAUUGGUCAAUGUGGCCCUACUAUGUUGUUUCAAUGGGCUUUCCAAAUUAUGCACCAACCAAGUUGCAAAUAAAAUAUUCUGGGAUUUCUGAGCCUUUCUAUUGUUGUGGGUGAUUUUCCGCAAUGCGAGUUUCCUGGAAAUUGCAAAUCAUUUGGCCUUAGUUGCUGUUUGUUUCCUUCUCUGUCUUUGAUGCUUUUGCUUGUUUACGUCGGCAAUAUGAUGUAAUAAAUUCGUCAAUGUGGCCCUACUUGGUUGUUUCUAUGGUACCGGAUUUCCUCUGGAUCCAAAAAAUUUGAGCCUAUUGAUUAAAUGAUCCGAUCAUUGAAAUUUGAUCUAAUGAUUAGAAUUAUUAGAAUUUUUAAAAGAGUUCUUUAUUUGUAGCCGUUGGAUCAAAUUUCAAUGGUCUAGAUCAUUUGACCCUUAUCCACAAACUUUUUAGAUCCGGAGGGGAUACGGUCCGUUUCUAUGGGCUUUCCAAAUUAUGCACCAACCAAGUUUUGUAAAUAAAAUAUUCUUCUCUCAUUGACUAUGAAUAUAUAUAUAUAUACAUAUGCACCAACCAAGUUUUGCAAAUAAAAUAUUCUUUUCUCAUUGACUAUAAACUGUUUUGUCGGUGAUUUUUCCGUAAUACGAGUUUCCUGGAAAUUGCAAAUCAUUUGGCUUUAGUUGUUGUUUGUUUCCUUCUUUUUCUUGGAUGCUUUUACUUGCUUACGUCAGCAAUAUGAUGUAAACAAGUUUUGCAAAUAAAAUAUUCUUCUCUCAUUGACUAUGAAUAUACAUAUAUAUAUAUAUAUAUAUAUAUAUAUAUGUAUGUAUGUAUUAUUGCUUAUCAAACUUGGAGUUUCAGAUCGAUUUGGCGAGCAAGAGCGCCGCGACCCACCGCAUCUCCUCUGUAUUGAAUUUCUUUCUUCCAAACUCCUAUCUUUAGAUGGGCUCUUCGAUUAGUCAUCAAGCUCUUCCAUUUGUUCUCAAUUCUUUCUGUCGCCGAGAGAGGAACUGAGUUGAGAGGAAGUCUGAGUUUCCUCUCAACUCAGUUCCUCGCCCAACGCCCGCCUAAGCCGCCCAGGCGCCCACUGCUUCUUGGCUUCCAAACUUAUCUUAACACUUGAGAGGUGUCUCUCCCUAUUCAGCCGAGCUCAAAUCCCUCUCUCUCCUCUGUUUAGAUUAGUUUAAAAGAAAGCAGCCUCUCCCUCGUUUCAAAUGCAUUUAUAAUUCUGUGAUCCAAAGCAAUUGCUCUCUUGUUUUAGAAUUCAGAUUUUCAGAGCUGGGUGGUGGUUGUUGUUGUUGUAAUUAUGGCAGUCCUUGCGUCAGCUGUAGCAGCUAUUGUAAAAAUACCAUUUGAAUGGCUGUUUGGUGCCGCCAUAAGAUUCUACAAGAUGGCUAAGAAGUUUCCAACUCUCCGCAGAGAUCUCACUUCAAAUCUAGACUACUUGGAACAACGGAUCGCACUGAUAAGCCGCACCAGAAUCAUUUGGGUUUCUGAAAAUUUAACAAGAACAAUGGAGGAUGGCAAGGAGCUGGCCAGAAGGUGCGACGAGGGGAAUCUGAACUUCUUUGAAAAGGCUAAAUAUGCUAAAAAAAUUGUUAAAUGGGACGAAUCUCGUCAAAGAAUCUUGAAGUUAGUGCAAACUGAUGCAAAUCUUGUGGCUCAAAAUCAAAACCAAGACCUUGUUACAACUUGGUGCGCAGUUCCCGACCUUCCAAGCAAUACACUAAAACUGGAUGCGCCUUUGGCGGAGAUGAAGAUGAAACUCCUUAGAGAUGACGCGCUGUCAAUGCUUGUGCUCACUGCUCCGGGAGGAUGUGGGAAAACCACUUUGGCAAAUAUGUUCUGUCAUGAUCCACAAGUCAAAGGUAUCUAUCUAUAAAGUUUUUGUACGAUGCGACAAACUUUUUUUAGAUGCGCACACUCGAUACUGUAGAAUGGCUCCUACCUGUCUGCUAAUGAUAAUCACUUCUUUUCUCUCUUUUUUCUUCUAAUUAGUAAUGUUGCAUUCCCAUGUGUUUUCUUGGUUAGAUAAAUUCAAGGACAAUAUCUUCUUUGCCACGGUUUCCAAUAAGCCCAGCCACCUUGUUGUCCAAGAAUUGUGUCAACAUGCCCGAUUCAGGUACCUGCUUUAGAAAAUGAAGAAAUUGCAUUUAUCUGGCUGCCGCAAUUUUUGAGGGAAGCAGGGCAAAAUCCCUUACUGUUAAUCUUGGAUGAUGUUCCGUCUGCAUCAGAAUCCCUUCUUGACAAGUUUGAUGAAAUCAAAAUUCCAGAUUACAAGAUUUUGGUGACAUCAAGAUAUCAUUUUCCGAAAUUCGGGCCUCCAUAUAAUUUACAAGCAUUGACAGAUAAAGAUGCACUGACUCUUUUUCGUCGUUCAGCAUUUCUGCCAAAUACGAUCUGUAACAUACCAGAUGAUCUUCAGAUUCAGGUGAUAUAUUAGUUUGAGUUUCUAAUGUAUAUGCCCUUAUUUAUGCAUUCCUGCUUAUAGAAAAUGUCACUUACUACACAAAUCACCCAUGCACGCAAAUGAACCCGUUGAUUUUACUAUAUCUGUAAAUAGUUAUUCACCUUAUUUGGGACAAUUGGACUGCAGAUACUAAACCACUGUAAGAGAUUUCCGCUUGCCAUUACAACCAUAGGGACGUCACUUCGCAAUCAGCCUGUAGAGAAAUGGACAAGCAAACUCACAGAAUUAUCUAAAGGUUCUUCUAUUUUUGAUUCAGAGAAAAUUUUGCUUGCGCUCCUCAAAAGUUGCUUAGAUGACUUGAAUAAAGAAAUGGCUCCUGUCAAGGAUUGUUUCAUAGACCUUGCUUUAUUUCCCCAAGACCAAAGAAUUCCCGUUGCUUUCCUUCUUGAUAUGUGGGCAGAGUUAUAUGAGGGAUCAAAUGAUGACGAUUCAAUAGUGAACCUAUACCACCUCACCUUCCGCAAUUUGGCCAGUCUUGUAGUCACAAGGUAUUCAAACUUUACUUUUUUUACCAAUUUACUACUGUGAUAUGCACGUUUCAGAAAUUUCUUCUGUGAAACUAAAUUUUGAUCACAACCAGGACUAAGGAUUUGGAUGGAUACUAUGGUGAACAUUUUGUUAUCCAACAUGAUAUGCUUAAAUUGCUAUCAAUCCGUGCGAGUCAUGAUGAAGACCCAACAGGACAUAGACUGAUUGUAGACAUACGUGGAGAUGAGCUUCCACCAUGGUGGACAGAGAAGAAAACAAUGAAGGGUCGCUUAGUAUCUGUCUUAACACCAUGGUGGACAGAGAAGAAGCAGAAAACAAAGAAGGCUCGCUUAGUAUCUGUCAUAACUGGUUGGCAUCUCUGAACUCUUUCUUUAGAAAAUAGAUACAUACAUAUGUACGAUCACGUACAUACAAGCUCACAAACGUAAUUUCACAUUAAUAUCUCCCCAGAGUCACAUCAUAUAGCACAUUGUUUAUUUGCAGGUGAAUCUUCUUCAACAGAGUGGCACAACAUGGAUCUACCAAAAGGCGAGGUUCUAGUUUUGAAUUUUCAAGCAAAGAACUAUGCCUUACCCAAGUUCAUGAAGAAAAUGUGCAAGCUGAAGGUUCUAAUAGUCACAAAUGAUGGCUUCUCACCUGCUGAGCUAAGCGACUUUGAACUGCUGUGUUCUUUGUCAAAUCUAAAGAGACUAAGAUUAGAGCAUAUUUCGAUUCCUUUGAUACGCGAGAACAUCAUUCAAUCGAAGAGUCUAAAGAAGAUAUCUUUAUUCAUGUGUAACGUCAGUCAAGCAUUUGGAAACUCUUCCAUCCAAAUUUUUGAGACAUUCCCAUACCUAGAGGAGUUGCACAUCGACUAUUGUAACGAUUUGGUGGAAUUGCCUGCCAAGCUAUGUGAUCUUAUCCACCUAAAAGUUCUCAGCAUCACCAACUCUCAUAAGCUAUCUGUCUUGCCUGAAGACAUCGAAAAGCUGGCGAAUUUAGAAGUGUUGAGGCUAAGGUCCUGCGCAGAAUUAAAAAAGCUUCCAGGCUCGAUUGAGAGACUCAAUAAGUUGUGCUUUCUUGACAUAUAUAAUUGUUCCAGCAUUAAGGACUUGCCCGAAUGCAUUGAUAAGAUGAAUGGUUUAAGAAAAAUCAACGUGGCACUAUGUUCAAGAUUAAAGAGCUGCCUGUGUCAGUGUUUGAUCUUGGUCAGCAGUUAGAGAAAGUGAUAUGUGACGAAGACGCAAGAAAUUUAUGGGAAUCUGUCUUAUCAAAUCCCGACAAAAUAAGGGUGGCUAAAGAAGAAUUCAACCUGAAUUGGCUCCACAGACUUCAGAUUUGAGAGCUAUCUUUCCACGAUAAGUAUUGGAGCAAAUGGCCUGUGUGAUUUGUAUUCCAGUUUAUUUUUUCCUAUUUCUCAUUUGGUGUUUGUAUGAGAUAUUGCAUCAUUCCAUUGGCUUGGAUUUCCCUGGUUUUCUUCUCUAUAUACUGAUUAAGAUUUGAUGAAUUAUUUAUUUAUUUUUUCUUCUUCCCUGGACAGACAGUAAAAACCCACUAAUGCCUACCUUUUUUCAUCACUUCCCUCUCAUCCCCUCCAUGCUUCUCACAUCUCUUAACCAUCUAUCCACUGGCUAAUGGGUGUGGUCUCUCUAUUGCUUUGUCGAUUAGAGCCUUUGUAUUUGUGGUCACUCUACCGAUGUAGCAGAUAUGGCUUACUACUCGAUCAGAGCCUUCGUAUUUGUGGUUGCUCUAUCGAUGUAGCAGAUAUGGUCUACCACUCAACCCCGCAUGUAAACUGGCGGCUAUGUCAAGUACAAAGGUUGUCAGAUUAACAAUUAAAAUCAAAUUUAAUCCACGGUAAAAAUAUACAACUAGGUUUGAAAAAGAUAUGACAGAGACAGACGGACAGACACCAACCUCCAAGGAUAGUAUACGGGAUGAUAUAGAGCCUUCAAUCUACGUAUCUGAUUUUCUUUGCUAAUAAUCAAUUGCACAUUCUCUUUUUUUUUACUCCCAGUUUUUCACCAACAGCAAAAACUGUUUCCCACUAACCUCCAAUUAAAUUGCGUACACUGUUUCCCCGCUGCUAUCAGGAUCAAGUUUAGUUCCGGCUGCUGGUAUGUAGCCUCGGCUAUUAUUUGCAUGAUUGCGUCAGGAAGAAUGACAUAUUAAGCAAAAUGGCGAAGCACUUGCCCAGAUUGGAAGCAGGGGCUGCUACUGCUAGAAGACCAUCCGUGUACUGGGAGGUGCCUGAGGAAGCAGAGACCUUGCACAUAGGAAGGUCUAAAGUGAACAAAUUGUUGAACUCCAUGGGUCGUUUUUAAGACCGCUAGAUACUGCUCUGGAGGUGCAGCAGGAAGCAAGUGAAAUCAUGGAGCAGAGACAGAACUCGAACCAGUUGAACAGAAGAGUGUGGUACAAGGUAUACAUAGAACUACUUGGUUUACACAUAGAAUUGUUGAUUUAAAGAUGUAUGUAGAUACCCAUAUAAUCAAUUGACAAUGUAUGGUGGUGGUGUAAUUACGACAGAGACCCUCAGGGCGUACUCUUGGAGCAGCACUUACAGUGUUGUUUGAUGUCCUUAGGAAUGUGAAGGAAAAGACCACGCUCUUUAAACCUCUGCUUGAAGACAUAAAAUCCACGCUCGACUCUUUAGAACCACUGAUUGAAGAGAUAGGAAAGUACAAGAAGGUGUUGGAUCGUCCAAAAGAGGAACUACAACAUUUUGAAAAUCAAAUGAAGAAUGGGGCGGCGCUUGUUCAGAAAUGCGCCAAGCUUAGUCCUUGGAAAGGCUACAAAAAGUAUAGACACUCCAUGGAACUUCUGGAUUUGGACAAAUCUCUACAAAGACUGUUAGCUAUACUUAGAGCGCCAGAAAUAAGAGAUAUGGAGACAGUAAGGAAUAUAUCUACGGAGGUCAGCCAAAAUGAAUACGAGAUUGAUGCUUGGCAUGCAGUACCUCACGUUCCACCGUUUUAGUUGAGUUGGAUUUGCCUUUGAAGGAGUUGAAGAUGAUGUUAUUGAACAAUGAAAAGGUGUUGAUAUUGAUGCUGAUUUCUCCUGGAGGAUUGGGGAAAACCACUUUGGCAACAAAGUUUUGUCAAUAUCAAGAAAUCAAAGGUAUGUUGUGCGCGUGCGAUCACAUGUGUAUCAUCAUUUUAUCUUUUUAUUCUUGUUACAGUCCUACUUCUGAAUCGCAAACUUCUGUAGUACUUUAGCCUGAAAGCUAACUUCUUAUUAUGGUAUAUAUAGAAGUUCUUUCUGCUGCAGGGCGUCAAGGAAUGUUUUACAACUGGACUAAUCUUAAGAAUAUCAUUGUCGUUCUUAUGAGAGUUACUGAUAACUAUGUCCAAACCUCAUGAGAGUUACUGAUAGUUAGUCUCCUUGUGGAAAAAUUCUGUGAACAACCUUCCCAGUACAAAGACUCUGAAGAAUGUUCAAGGAAUGAUUCAUUUGUAAGACCUCAACAUCACCAUCUUGUAUGUUUUAUGUUUGCGUAAUCGUAUAUCUGCGUGCUUAAAUGCCCGCUUGGUGAUAGCUUACUUGUAUUUGGAUAGGUCUUUUCAAGAACAAUAUCUACUUUGUCCUUGUUUCGAAAAAACACCCAACUUGGAACGUAUUGUACCAGAACUACAUCAAUGCAAGGGUUCCCAGGUACCUACUAUCCAAAACGAAGAAACCGUAAUUAAGUGGUGGGAAAGGAAAAGGCAGCAAGGAUGAAAGGCGCGGGAGUGCUCUGGUAGUCGGUGAAGAAAAGAUGGGGAUGAGAGGAUAGGAGGGAGAAAAGAUAAGUUUAUAAAGAUAAAUUUAAUUUUAUAUAGAUAGCCUUAAUUUUCAAUAAUUAUAGCAUAAAAAUAAUUUAUUUUCAAUAAGGACAAUUUAGUAAUCAAGCUAGUUUUAAUUACGAUUCCAGUAAACUAGUAAACAAUAUAUAUAACUAAUAUCGUUUGUAUUCAGAUUCCAGUUUAGUUUCGUAAACAACUUUAACAGGAAUCUAAUUAUGUUUCCUUCUCAAUCCAAUUCAUCCUCAAUCCAAUUCCCCUCAAUAUGAUUACGGAUUAGUAAACGAGCCCUUAGUGUAAAAACGUGUACCCUCAAUUUGGAUGGAACAAUUUCGCUUAAACCUAAUGGGAUGCAAGGAUAAAAGUUCAAACCUAAACCCCAAUUCCAUUAACUUUUUCUUUCCUGGAGUUAGGUUUCUUGACCAGUCAACUAGCCGGAAAAAGUUCGACCGACCUUCUGCCAACUUGCCUAGUAAACGUCCACCUCAAAUAGCUGGAAAGUUCUAGCGACCUGUUGAGAGUGUACGAGAAAUGAAAGGGUAGAGAAGCGGGUCUAUAUUUCCGUGUUGUGUGUCACCAUCCUAUCUUUCGUCAACAUAAAAAAACAUUAUCAGCAGGUCUAAAUGAUAAGACAGGAAGGUUUACAAUGAUUUAGAGAGAGGAUUUUCGGACUCAAAACACAGGAUUCGGCUUUUCUGCCUCUCACUUGUCAUACGUUCCUAUCCCUUCCUAUUUUAUAUGUUUACAGAUAAGCUAUAUUAAUUUUUUAUAUUAAUUUUUUUAUAAAAAUAAUAAGAUAAAAAGUAAUAGUAAUAUAAAAUAUUAACGUGUUUUAACUGUGAUCAUAUAAAUAAGAAGAAAUAAGAAUGCACGAGAAGUAGGAAGGAGAGAAGCCAGUUCCUAGCCAUAUAGCUCCGCUAUGAAAAUGGUCCCUCAAAAAAAUCUGAAAGAGAACCAAACUAAAAGACGCGAAAGAAAUACAACAAAAUACCAAAAGAGAGGCCAGUUUACCUUGGCUCUUCAGCUCCAGCUUCGUCCGUUGACCUCUGGUGGCAGGCUCCAGGGACCAAGAGAUGAAGGGAGGAGGAUUGGGGUCUCGUCUCUUCCACCGUUCAUGGUGCCUCCUCCUCCAUUAGCAAGCGGAGCCACCCAAUUCGCCACCGUAUUGAAUAAGGUUGGCCAAAAUUUAGGUUGCAAUCAAACACAGACAUUUCUAAUUUUGCUGUAUUGGGAGUGCUUUGGUAACUAUGGCACUAGAGUUUAUUGGCGGAACACUGUUUACGCUGCUCUACGACGGCGUUAAGCAAGCGAUGAGCAAGAGCAGCACCUUUAAAUCCCUUCUGGGAGACCUCAAAUCUACACUAGACUCCCUAGUACCGAGAGACAUCCAACAAAUUGAAGAACAUAAUGUGGAAUUGGGUCUCCCCAACGACGAAAUCGAAAGUCUUAAAUUGAAGAUGGAGGAAGGCGUAAAGCUGGUUGUAAAGUUAUCGAAUUUUCGAAUGUGGAACUAUUGCUGUCUGUAUGAUUAUACUGACCAAAUUGUUGAGUUGGAUAGGGCUCUCAAAAGAUUGCUGCAAAAAUUGAAGAUGCAGGAAACAAGGGAUGUGAAAGAGGUUUUAUUGUUGUCGAGGGAAAACCGAGAUAAAUUGGAUGAAGUGAACAGAAGACUGUUGGAUAUACAGAAAUUACUGCAGCAGAGAGCUGGGGAAGGAGGGAGUGGCUUGCAGAAUUUGGUUUCCGGAAAUAGUACAGAAACCGCUCCGCCGGAGCAAACUCAAGGGAAUAGUGGGGAACAAGGUGAGUUGAUUGGAACUAAAUUUAUAGACAUGCUUGGUGUAGAUUUUCUUUUGCCGUUUUUGGAAUAUAGCUUUUGUUGUAGCAAUAAGCAUUACUUAAUAUUUAGCUAAUUUUAGAUCAGACAUAUGGUAAUUAAACCCGAUCAUCUGAUAUUGAUUUUGCUUUCAUUGAAUAUUGACUCCCAUGGCUAGCAAGAGCUUAAAACCCUUCUUUGAUAGUAGCGUGUAAUAUUUUCGACUCCCUUAUGAAACUUGUUGGUGUACCCGACGAUAGAAUAAACUUGCAAAUAGAGAAUAACUAGAAACACACAAAAUAUAUACUGGUUUGGCAGAACUUUUGCGUACGUCUAGUUGUGAUUUCUCUGGGUAGAUGUGUAUUCUUAAAAUGAGAGAUUAGGUUUUCUUAUUUUGAUGGUGUUGUAAUUAUGCAGUGACAUCUUUUGAUGGAGGAGCUUCUCUAGAAGCAGUGUUUUUGGCUUUGUUUGACGCUGUUAUAGGAGCAAAGGACAAGACUGUGAUGUUUAAACCACUAUUUGAAAAUCUUAUAUCCACCCUAGAAUCUUUAAAACCAUUGAUUGAAGAGGUAACAAAACAUAAGAAGAUAUUAGAUCGCACAGAGGAGCGACUCGAAGAUUUUAGAAUACAAAUGGAGAAUGGUGUAGAGCUCAUAGACAAGUGCGCCAAGGAUCACUUGUGGGUCAGCUGCAAACAGUAUAAAUACACUGACAGGCUUCUCAGAUUGGACGAAUCGCUUCAAAUACUGUUAAAUAUACUGAAAGUGCAAGUAGCAAGAGAUGUGAAGCAGACCUCUGCUUCAGUGCAACGUAUAGAGGCCGUGAUCAAGCAAAUUGAAGAAAGUGCUGUGCUUCAAGAUCAAAUUCAAACUAGAGCUCGGAAUGCAUUACCUGAACCUUUAUCACAUACAGUUGGAUUAGAUAUGCUGAAUGUGCGGGGAACAAGGGAUGUGAAGGAGGCAUUGCUUUCUGUCAGGAAUAAAAUAGUGGUUGCGGAGAAAAUCGAAGGAAGUGGUGUGGUACAGAACCUAAGUGAAAUUGAAGGUACUGCAGUACAUGAACCUCCAUUCUUACAGUUGGAUUUGAUAUAGGAGUCAAACCAACAUAGCCAUAGUAUUCUGGUAUUUUGAUGUUAUAGAUUCUUUUUAGAACUUAUUUUGUCAUAUAACUGAAUUUUGAGCUUUAUUUACAAUUUAUAUGGGAUUUGUCAUGUCUAGGAUUGCGUUCAAGUAGCAAACUGUCGACUAUCUCGGUGCCUUCAACUCUUCGGACAGAGGGUGAGAUCGUGCAGUCCUCCAAUGUGAAGAAAUUCGGAUUUAAUGAACUGAAAACAGCCACCAGGAACUUCCAUUCUGAUUGUAUUUUGGGUGAAGGACAUUCAGGUUCUGUCUUUAAGGGGUGGGUUGAUGAGAAUUCACUAACAGCUGCCAAGCCUGGUACUGGCAUGGUUGUUGCUGUGCAAAGGCUUAACCAAGAAGAUCUGCUGGGUCACAAAGAAUGGUUGGUGAGUAUCACUUCUAUCAUUCGAUGGCCUAAAUGCACUUUCCUAAUACCUUGUUGAUUCGUUUUUGCUCAAAGUCCCCUGUGGAUGAAUUGUUGAGUUUAGUUAGAAAGACUAAUAUAUUUAAACAGUCUUGAUGAAUCUUUUGUUAGAAUAUGAGCACAAGUGUAGGAGUAUUUUGGCCAGAUAUUUGAGCUCAAAUUGGUUUGAGUCUUAUUAGAAGAUGUUUGGUUGUCCUAGUUUAUAAAGGAUUGAGACCGGGAAUAGGUCAUAAAUUACUCACUUAUUUUAAAAUUGGGAGACAAUGUUGGUUUCCUACAAGGAUUCUAAUUGGAGAAUCGUACGGAUUGUAUGUCUAUAUAAUAGAGGUCAUUGCUCUCAGAGUAAAACUGGCUCAUAAUUGGACUUAGACCUAUUGUGAGUCGAGCAUGUUGUUUUUGCAAGAGAGAAGAAGGCUUACUAUUGAAGUCCGCUAUGACUUCACCUUCUUUGAUCUUUAAAGGUCAGAUUAUUCUUACAUUUUGCUCCUUAAUAGUUGUUACAAAUAGAUAGUCUUACUCGUAACAUUUUUAGAGAAUCAUUUAUUAAUUUUGUGGAGCCUCUUGAACGCUAGGCGGAAAUCAACUACCUUGGGCAGCUGCAUCAUGAAAAUCUUGUGAGGUUGAUUGGUUACUGCUUAGAGGAUGACCACCGACUUUUGGUGUAUGAAUUUAUGCCUCGCGGAAGCUUGGAUAGACAUCUAUUUAACAGUGAGUUAUGAACUUCCUUCACUCUUUAGCCAUUUGAUCGUUAAAAUCAGCAUUACCGUUGCUAAGGAGAUCAACUGUUUCACUACAAAGUAUAAUUUGGAUACUUAAAUGUUGUUGGUGGAACAGAGUCUUCUUUCUUUCAACCACUUCCGUGGAACCUUCGUAUGAGGAUUGCCCUUGGUGCUGCUAAGGGUCUAGCAUUUCUUAGCAGUGAUCUGCAAGUGAUUUAUCGUGACUUCAAAACUUCUGAUAUCCUGCUGGAUUCGGUAAGUGAACUUUUAACACGGUUGUCUCUGAAAUUAGACCUUUCAAUCAAAAUGAUGCAUGAAAUAGAAAAUUCAAUUUAGUCCUUGAAAAUGGGUUUUGCAAAUCAAUGUGGUCGUUCCGUUGUCUUUCCGUCAAAGUUUCUAUUAGUAUGCUGAUAUGGCACAGGGUGGGUCUUACCCAACCAAUCAUAUGGCGCCAUGUAGAUCAACCAUAAAAACCAAUUUUUUAAAAGAUUUAAAACUAAAACUAAAAAGAACAAAAAAAGAAACAACGUCUUCUUCAUUGAGGCACACGCAGCCUCCCAAUUCAUCUCCGCCGUCCGUUGCCAAGAUUGAUGCUGCGAUGACGAACACGGCAGUGAGAAAGCCGUAAUAGCCGAUCAGACCGGACAAGAGAAGGGAGGACAUGAAGAUUGUGAACUACCACAACAGCGACGAGUCUCUCUCGAUGAAGCUGAGCCCAAUCUCCUAGCCGAUGAAUUUGAGAUCCCAAGCUUGUUACCUGUUGUUUGGUUGCUGGGAAAAUCUAAUUGAUUGGAAUUGCUUGAAAACGAUCUUCAAUUCUCCACCUGAGUGAGAGAUGAAGACAACAUUGAUGUUGUUCUUUUUAUUUUUAUUUUUUAACACUUUUAGUUCAACCAAAAAAAAAAAAAAAAAAAAAAAACCUGUUUUAAUAAAUAGUUUUUUUACAUGGCGCCAUAUGAUUAGAUAGGAUGACCUACUCAGUGCCGCAUCACUACACUAACAGAAAAAUUGACAGAAAGACAACGGAAGGACUAAAUUGAUUUGGGAGAUCUCUUUUUAGGGACCAAACUGAUUGAUUUUUUUAUAUCAGUGACAAUCUUGAUUGAAAUGUCCAAUUUUCGGGAAGCAAUCGUGAUAAAAACCCUUUAACUAUUGUUUUUUUCUUCUAGAAUAGUUGGUGUAGAUUUGCUCACACAUCAAAUUUUUAUUGAAAAACCACAGAUGAACAAUGCUAAACUUUCAAAUUUUGGUCUGGCCUGGGGUUGGCCAGCCAGUGAUAAAACCCAUGUCUCAUCAAGGGUCUUGGGGACAUAUGGGUAUGCAGCUCCUGAGUAUAUAGCCACAGGUACUUUAGUUUACAGUAUUGGGUUCACUUACAAAAGCAAACUACCCCGAAAAGGGGGAAAACAUGUGUACGUUUUGAAUGGCCAUGUUCUGUUUCUUGCAAUAUUCUGUGUUUGCGCCUUCAACUUCAUGUAUUAUUAAUCAGUUCAGUUCAAUUUGAUCACUCAAAACAACAUCCCAAAUAUUUGCAUCUGAAAACUAGAGCCACGUUUCUAUCCUCUUUAGAAUAAAAUGGUGAUUGUUUCAUGGAUUAGGACAUUCUCCAUCCUUUAUUUGCAUUACACAUGAGUGUUGUAGGUUAAAAUUGUGUAGGAACAAAUUGUUUAGAUUAUACUUCUAAGAGGCUUCGUCUCCACCACUCUUCACCUUCACCAGUGUUGCAGCUACCACAAUGCAUUAUUUUUAUCUUAGAUUUGAUCUACAAUGCAUGAUCACUCCCUUCUGAUCCUUUUUUUUUUUUUCUUCUGUAUUUUUGUUUUUUUAGGUCAAUUCACUGCCAAAAUUAAUGUGUAUAGUUUUGGAGUUGUUCUGCUCGAAAUGGUGUCUGGCAGACCAGUUGUGGACAAGAAUCGGCCAUCCGGAGAACACAAUUUAGUUGAAUGGGCCAAGCCUUACCUUGCCAGCAAACGCAAAGUUUCCAAAAUUUUUGAUGCUCGUAUUGAAGGACAGUACUCUUUGAGUGACGCUCUCAAAGUAGUUAAUCUAGCAAUUCACUGCUUAGCAGCAGACCCCAAGUCUAGGCCAAACAUGAACGACGUGGUAAUAACAUUGGAGCAGCUUCAGAAAAGUGAACCUUCCCAAGUGCCGGCUGAUCGUUCGAAGGGUCCAACCGGUCUGACAUGAAGUGGGAGUAAUUUUUGCCUCCAUUCUAUCAAAUCUUCAAAUUACUCCUAUACACAACCGUUAUUUUGAAAGUUUGGAAAACAGUAGAUAGUUUUGUAAAACUAAUUUCUUGAGUUUUCCACCUUUACUCUAUUUAUGAAUUCAUGAGUAAGAAUUAUUGCACUUUGUAACUUUUUAUGUGUUUACACACAAAAAAAAAAAAAGAAUAAUUGGAAGAUACGAGUCAUACGACUUUUUGACAAUAGGGGCAGUUGGACUUUGAAUCUUCAGCGGUUGACCUUUGACUCAGGGAGGAGGGGGUCAGGCCUCUCCCACUAUUACGGCGCCUCCUCCUCCAUGAGCAACCGGAGCCACCCAAUUCGCCAAAUACUACUAUUUCUAGUUUUUGCUUCUGAGAUUGGAUGAAUCGCUUCAAAAAGUGCAAGUAGCAAGAGAUGUGAGGCAGACUUUGCUUCAGUGCAACAUAUUCAGGCGGUGAUCAAGCAAAAUUGAAGAAGGUGGUGUCCUUCAAGAUCAAAUUCAAACUAGAGGUCGGAAUGCAUUACAAUUUACCUGAACUUUAUCACCUACAGCUGGAUUAGAUAUGCUGAAUGUGCAGGGAACAAGCGAUGUGAACGAGGCAUUGCUUCUCGUCAGGAAUAAAAAACCGGUUGCUGAGAAAAUUGAAAGGAGUGACGUGGUACGGAAGCAAAGUGAAAUGGAAGGAACUGCAGUACAUGAACCUUCAUUCUUACUAGGGGUGGUUCGGUAUGGGAUACCGAACCAAAACACUUGUCCCGAUUCCCAAACCAAAAUUUUCGAGAAUCCCAAUUUCAAUACCGAUCCCAAUUUUCGGGAAUCCCAAAAUAUUUUCGGGAUUUCAGGACAAAUCGGAAAUCCCGAAAUAGUUUUGGGCUUUUGAGGUUUUGGACUAAAUUUAACAUAUUAUGCUUUUGGGCUAAAAUUCAACAUUUUAUAUUAAAAAUUUGGGUUUUUAGGCAGGCUGCCAAUCUGCCCAAUUUGUUGUUACACUAAAAUUUGAAUCUACACAAAUCUGCCAAUCUGAAUGCAAUCUGCCAAUCUGAAAUAUGUGCACCAAGAUUUGCAUCAAUUCGGUUGAGCACCACCGCGGAAUUAACUUCUAACUGCACGUUCAGCAGAGGCUAGAGUCUUUGAAGAGAUUUGUCCCAUUUAACAAUUUUUUUACCAUAUUUAGCCUUUUCAAAGAAGUUAAAAAAAACCAGCGGUGUAGAUUAACUUGGAAUUUGGAAAUAAGCACUUUCAAAUUUAUGUUAUAUAAUAAUAGUAAAUGGCAACAUACAAUAAUAUAAUAUCAUUUCUUCAUUUUAUGUUUAUUUAAAUAUAACUUUAACUAAAAACUCUUGGUACUGUUUAUUUUAACAAAAAAGGGUAAACUGUCGGUUUACCCCCUGAACUUUCACCUCACUUUCGAUUUCCCCCCUGAACUUUUCUAUUGGAAAAUUAAGGACUCAAACUAAUUUUUUUAGUCAAUUUGCCCCCUACCGUUAGUUUUUCAUAUAUUCCAUCCAUAUUUCCGUUAAGUGAGACCAUGUGCAUAACAUGUGAGGAUAAUUAAGUCAUUUCAAUUUAAAAAUGAUUAAAAACUGAAAAUAAAUAAUAAUUAAUUUUCCCUCUAUUUUUUCCCGCUAAUUCCUAUCCUCAAUUUUAAUUUUCCCUCUCAUUCCUAUGCAUGAGAAAUAACAUAUGGUGUUAUUGUCUUCAUAAGUAGCUAAGUUAAUCUUUUUUUUUGAAGCAUGUACUACCAUUUUUAUUUUCUCUAACAAUUAAUAAUUUGACAAAUGCUCAUGGUGUUAUUGUCUCCAAAGCAGUGCAUUAAUAUAAGAAACAUGUCCAUAAAAAAUACUAGGGUUUCUUAUAUUAAUGCACUGCUUUGGAGACAAUAGCACCAUUAGCAUUUGUCAAAUUAUUAAUUUGUUAGAGAAAAAUAAAAAAUGGUAGACAAUAACACCAUAUGUCAUUUCUCAGCAUAGGAAUGAGAGGGAAAAAUAAAAUCGAGGAUAGGAAUUAGCGGGAAAAAAUAGAGGGAAAGUUUUGCUUUUUUUAUUAUUUUCAGUUUUUUAAUCAUUUUUAAGAGUGAAAUAACUUAACUACCCUCACAUGUUGUGCACAUGGUCUCACUUAACGGAAAUAUGGAUGGAAUAUAUGAAAAACUAACGGUAGGGGGCAAAUUGGCUAAAAAAAUUAGUUUGAGUCCUUAAUUUUCCAAUGAAAAAGUUCAGGGGGGAAAUCGAAAGUGAGGUGAAAGUUCAGGGGGUAAACCGACAGUUUACUCUAACAAAAAAUCAUAUUUUUACACUAAAAAGUCAAUCCUGGUACUAUUCACUUUACCCUUUAUUUUGUCUUUGUGGUUAAAACUCAAAGUUUACAAGUCAUUUUUAUUAGUUUUCCUUUAUUUAGGAAACUAAGCUUAUUAUAUUAACACUCCACAUAUUAUUGAAUAAACCUAACGUACUUCAUACACCCUACAUUUACUUUUCCAAUCAAAAUUUAUAUACUCACACAUAUUUUUCCAUAAUACAUUUACACUCCACUCUCUCAACAUACGUUUUACAUUGGUCCCCUACAUUUUCUACAUACACGGAUACACUCCACACUCUUCACAAUGAUUUCUUUAUUCUUCUUUUUGGUCUGUGCUAUGUACUGUUUGAUACAAAAUCAUUCAUGUUUAGCAAGGAUUUGCUCAUGUUUUUUCUAUUGUUUAGCAACAAGGAUUUGCUCAACUUCUUUUUAACUAGUGAACAUUGAUAAGUGAGGGGGUGUAUCCCAAAAUGACAAUUUAGGAUAUGUAUAAGAUGAUGAUAUGAGGAAUGACUGGAUGUAUCUUACUAGCAUUCUGUAAAUUAAUGGCACCCCAUCCCACCACUAGAUUAUUUAUCCUUUUUGCUUCUGGACUUCCGUUUUCCGUCCCGUUUUCAAUGAAUCAAAAAGGUGAAUUACACAUAUGUGGUACGAUGUGCAACGUGCUGUGUAGCACCAAAGAUUCGGGUGUCCUAGGUAGGGGUGGUUCGGUAUGGGAUACCGAACCAAAACACUUGUCCCGAUUUCCAAACCAAAAUUUUUGGAAAUCUCAAUUUUAAUAGCGAUCCCAAUUUUCGGGAAUCCCAAAAUAUUUUCGGGAUUUCAAGACAAAUCAAGAAUCCCGAAAUAGUUUUGGGCUUAUGGGAUUUUGGACUAAAUUUAACAUAUAUGCUUUUGGGCUAAAAUUCAACAUUUUAUAUUGAAAAUUUGAGCUUUUGGGCAGGCUGCCAAUCUGCCCAAUUUGUUGUUACACUAAAAUUUGAAUCUACACAAAUCUGCCAAUCUGAAUGCAAUCCGCCAAUCUGAAAUCUGUGCACAAUAGCAUCCUUAAUUUGCCUAUUCAAUUUCUACUACACAUGCAUGCAAUAAAAAUAAAUUAAGUGACAAAUCCAAAAGCAAAAAAAAUUAGUUACAAGCCAAGGUUUUAAAAUAAAUAAAGUAACAAACCCAAAGGCAAAAAAAUUAGUUAUGAGACAAAUUUUCAAAAUAAUUAAGUUACAAACCAAAAGCAAAAAAAGCAAAGCUUAAAGUUUAUGAAGAUUGUUGGCCUCUUCGGCCCCUAGCUUCUUGUCUGGCUAUCUCUGCCUGCAACAUAACAAUGUUUGAUAAGGUUGAAAAACAAAACGUCGGUGCAUCAUGUCCAAAAUUUAGCAAAUGUAAGCACGCAUUUUGCUAAAAACUAGUUAUUACAGGGAUGAUUGCUCACGAAACAAAUAGUUCUCUGCAGAAUUUCCCAAGAACCAGUGUCGACUAGAAAUAAACAUACAACACGCUACACAGAGGAUCACAGAGAAACCUAGUCUUCGUUUUCUAAUACCCACAUAGCACUGCAAUCAGUUAAACUUAAAAGUAAGAGAAGUUCCCAGAUAUUGUUUAAAAAACUAAAAAUAAAAAUUAGGCGUGUAAGAAUGAAAAGAACCCAGUUAGAUGUGAACUAGUAAAGGUUGCAAUAACAAUUAAAAAAAGAAAAAAAUGCGAUGAUUGGGCAUAUUUGUGCUUUGCUUAACUAAUCAGAGCAAUUCAAUCUAAACUUCAAGUUUGUUAUUCUGCAUUCCAGAAAAUGAAAUUGAACCCGAGGUGUUUGACGGAAAGACUGAGCGAACAAUGUUCACUUAACCAUUUUUCCCUUUGGUGCUUACAACCAUUGAGUUAACCUUUGAUAGUUCAGAAAUGUGAUAACAAAAUUGAAAAUUUAUGCACUGAAAUCAAUCCGUUCAGAUUCACACCCACAGGGCCACACCACAUACAUAUUCGAACUCAAAUUCGAACCCACAAUACAGAUUCACACCCACAUACAGAUACCCAAAUGGCAAUACACAAUGAUUCGAACUCCCAAAUGCCGUAAAUUCGAACUCACAUACUCAAAUAAUGAACUUUAUCAAACAAAAACGUACCUUUUGAUAAAAAGCUCACGAAUUCGAGAACCCAGUUGGAAAUUGAAUCUUCCGCUGAAUAAUACAGAAAAAUUGAAGAAAAAAAAUGGGGGAAUAAUACACAAAAUUAAUUCCAAACCCUAAGUUAAAUUUCAAAAGGAAGACAGAAAUUAGAUUUCAAAACACUAAAUUAAAUUAAUUACCUAAUUUGGGAUGAUAGAGAUUUGAACUCAGUGCUGGAUGGAGAGUUCCCCAGAGAUAGAUCGUCGCGACAGAGAAAGGUGGCGUACAGGUGGCUGUGUGGUGAAGGAAGGCUGGAGAGUCAGAUGUGGCGGUGGCCGGUGGCUAGCCGGAAUUCGUCAGAGAGAGAGAGAAAUGAGCUGAGGGCUCGCCGGCUCGGUAAUGGAGAGAUCAGAGAUGAGAUGAGGAGGGCUCGGCCGCUCGGCUAUUCGAUAGAAAUGGAAGGGAAGUGAACUGAAGUGAAGUGGACUGUGAAAGUGAAAUGGUAUGCCGUAUGCAGCAUACUGACCUAAAAACAAACCAACGACAUAGAUUAAAAGGAAACUAAUGAAAAGAGCUUGAAAAUUUUGAGUUUUAAUGAUAAGGACAAAAUAAAAGGUAAAGUGAAUAGUACUAUGAUUGACUUUUUAGUGUAAAAAUGUGGUUUUUCAUUAAAGUGAACAGUACCGGGUGCUUUUCGUUAAAGUUCUCUAGAUUAAAUCCAAAACAAUCAACGGUUCAAAUAAUUCUUUUAUAAUUAAAAAAAAUACAUAUAUAUAUAUAUAAUAUUUAUUUUCGGUUUGGUAUGGGAAUACCGAAAAAAUGAAGAUGCAAAACCGAUUCCCGUCCCGAAAAUAUCGGUUUGGUUCGGGAUAACAUUGAUUUAGGAAUUUUUUGGUUUAGGAUCGGAAUUUUUUCGGUUUGGUUUGAGAUUUUUGGGAUUUUUUUCCAGCCCUAAUUCUUAUAGUUGGAUUGGGUACUCUGACGGUAUAGAUUCUUUUUAGAACUUAUUUUGUCAUAUAACUCAAUUUUGAGCUUUAUUUACAAUUUUAUAUGGGAUUUUUCAUGUCUAGGAUUACAUUCAACUUAUAUGGGGAGCUUUUUGCAGGUGCUGCUGUAGGAGCAUUGUUUACUGUGCUGUAUGAGGUUGUUAAGGAUGUCAAAGACGAUACUAUGAUGUUUAGAGAGCUCCGCUCUGAGGUCUCGAUUCCACGCUAAAAACGUUAAAUCCGCUGAUUAAAGAUAUAGAGAGAUACAAAGAGGUGCUGGAUCAAUCAAACCAGGAAGUGGAAAAGAUUGUGAGACAAAUAGCGAAUGGGGAAGAGCUGGUUCUCAAGUGCUCCAAGCUUAGCCCGUGGAAAGGCUUCAAAAAGUAUAAAUACGCCAAGCAACUUCUCGAUCUGGAUAAAUGUCUAAACAGGUUGCCCAAGAUACUGAAUGGGGAGGGAGUAAGGAACGGGUUUGAGAACUUGGUUAUUUUGAGGGAGAACUUGGCCGUCUCGAAGGAGGCCUUGGCUGCUGUCCAGAAAAAUGAUUUGGUAGGAACAGAGAGAAUAUUGUGAUACAAAAGCAAGAAAAAUUUCAUUGAUUUGGGUUCUGUUCCUGAACCUCCACAUUUUGCAGUUACACUGGAUGGGCCCUUGAGGGAUUUGAAGAUGAUACUCCUCAAUGAUGAUAUUUAGUUGCAUACAUGCUUGUGAACAAGAACUAAAAUUAGAACAAAGAAAUGUAGAUAGUUACCAUUCUCAUAUUGGUAACUUGCAUUUUGGCUCUAGAACUUAAAAGGUAGUUGACUUCGUUUUGGAAAAUUUUCCUGCAGAUAGUUCAGCAUUGCAAGGGAUAUCCUCUUGGUAUUAAGUGUGGGGAGUUCGCUUUUCGGGGAGGCUAUAGAGAUAAAAGGGAUAUCCUCUUGCUAAAGGUUUUUCUAUUCUUGCUUCAGAGACUGAAUUUCUUUUUUUGCCUUGAACGAAGCUUGGAUACCUUGGAUAAAGAAAUGGUUGCCAUCAAGGAAUGUUUUUUGGCUACGGGUCUGCCGUUCCGAUUUUGAUGUCUGGUUUGUGUUUCAUUUCUUAUUUAGUUGACAUGUGUCCAUUCAUUUACUCAAAAAUUAACACCGUUAACCUUCAAUGUAUUAAUAUGAAAAAGCUAAACAUAAAAUAAAAGAUAAAGAAAGGAAAAUGGUAUUUCUCCCUCGUCAGCGCUGGAGCUCUUGGUCUCACUGUUAAAACUCAUCGUAACCACCCUCUUCCCCUCCUACUCCCUCGUCACCACCGCAACCCUUGGGUCUCGCUGUUAAAAAAGGAAAAUGAUAUUUCUCUCUCCUCUCUCCUCUCUCCUCUCUCCUCUCUCCUCUUCCUCACCCUCUCUCGCCAGGAUCUGUUAAAAAUUUCUGGUCCCCUCUCUCAAACCAUGAAAAGGUCAUGGACUCAUGGCUCCGAAUUUACAAAAACUCCAUUAAAAACCUAUCAAGCAAACCCGAUAGCUCAUAGAGCAAAAAAAAUACAAAUUAUUCACGAUUCUAGAACAUGUAUUUACAUUCACAAAUUUCCGAUGGAAAAUUUUUAGAGAAAAUUAAGAUAUAGGGAGAAAUCCAUAAGAAAAAACUAAGUUUGGAAAAGAGAGACAAAAUCAAAUUGUGGGUUUACUCCAGACAUUUUCUAGUUCCGAAAUUCAAAUCUUGAGUUGUUUCUUCCAUUUGCAGAUUCAAAUCCUCCGUUCCCCAGUGUAUUUCAAUGAAUAUUUUCCAAUUGACAAUCAUAGUUACCAAUUCACUUGAUCCGGUGCUGUUGGUUUCCAAUCGGUAACCACGGUUGUGAAUUGGAAAAUAUCCAUCGAAAUAAACUAGAUCAAGUGAUUUGGAACCUUUGAAAAUAUCCAUCGAAAUACACUUGAUCCGAUUUGAUUUAGGCCAUUGGAUGAUAUUUUCCACCAAGAUCACCGGAUCAAAUGAUUUGGGCCUUUGAAAUUUCAUCAAAUGACCCACCUAUUUUGACCCUUUAAAAGUUAUAAUAAUUUUUUACCGUUGGAUAAAAUUUUAAAGAUUCAUAUAACUUAAUCCGGUGAUUUUGGUAGAAGAAAUCCAAAGAGGAUCUCUUUCCAAAAGAAAAGGCCAAAGGUUUGUUGAGGUGGGCCACUACCUUCAAUAUGCUUUCAUUAUAUUAUUUUGGGUAAAUUACGCAAAACUACCUGAAUUGUAGAUUGAACGACACUUUCAUACCUCAUCUUUUAAAAGUGACAAUGUUAUACCUCAUCUUACGAAUUUGUGCCAAUGUCAUACCUUCGUCAAUUUUUCUGUUAAUUUUUCUGUUAAAUGCUGACCUGGUCAAAAACAUCUAACAUGAUUAAAAAAUAAUUAAAUAUAUUUUUAAUAAUUAAAUAUUAAAAAAACUAAAAAAAAAAUGGUAGGGAUCUGACCUUCCCUUUCCUCCACCCGCACCAACCUUUUUUCUUCUUCUCUUCGACAGCCACCAAACCCUUCCCUGUCCCCCCAACCUUCCUCCACCACCCUCUUUCUCUCUUCACCCCACCGCCGCCUCUCUUCCUUCAUCUUCACCACCCAACUGAAUAAACAAAAAAAACCAAGCCCACACCCAGAUCCCACACCAAAAAAAAAAAAACAAAAAAAACCAAACCCACGCGGCCACCCCUAGAUCCCCUUCCCCUCCUACACACCCAAACCCUCAAUUCCCCCUCCCCCCCCCAAACCUUUGUUACUUAAUACGUGUGUGAACGCACAGUACUAGAUUUUUCAGCUGCGAAGUUCGAGCAAUGGUGCAUCACCGACGAGCCGACGCUGGAUGACAAGUGGCAGGCGGCAAUGGAUUGGGCUUGUGUGGGGGAGGAGGAGGUGCAGAUUGUAGCCAGAUUCAGGUGAAACAAGCUUGCUAUUUCCCAAACACUCUAAAAGACCAUGCUUUCUAUGCAUUCAAUAGCUACUUCCAAAGAUUCAAAUACAAGGGUGGGGAUCUUGCUACUUCAAGGGUGCUGCUCUAAUUGCAGAACUUGACCCGAGUAAGUACUUAUUAUCUUUUUUCUUUCUGGUUUCAGCAUAAACCCAUAAAGAAGGAGAGAGAGACAGAGGCGAGAGAGAGAGAGAGAGAGAGAAGAGAGAGAGAGGAGAGAGAGAGGCAAGAGAGAGAAAGAGAGAAGAGAGAGAGAUGAGAGAGAGGGUGGGUGGUGGAGGAAGGUUGGGGGGGAUGGGUAAGAAGGGUUUCCGAUGGGGAGAAGGAGAUCUGGGUUUUAGGGAGGGGGACACGAGUUGAUAGGGGGAGGGGAUCUGGGUUUUUGGGGAAGGGGGACACAGGGAUGGGUGUUUUUUUGGUUUUUUGUUUUUUGUUUUUGUUUUGUUUUAAUUUUUUAAUAUUUAAUUAAUUUUUUAAAUAUUUAAUUAUUUUUUUAAUAGAAAGUAGGCCCGAAUCAAGCCAAGUCAGCAUUUAACUAAGAAAUUCACAGCCAAGCUAACGGAAUGUAUGACAUUGACACAAAUUCGUAAGAUGAGCUAUGACAUUACCACUUUUAAAAGAUAAGGUAUGAAAGUAUCAUUCGACCUAUAAUUAAAGUAAUUUUGUGUAAUUUACCCUAUUAUUUUUAUUUUGGUCGUUGUCGUCAUAACACUUUUAAAUACGCUAUCAUUUACUCCGCUGUGUGCGUUGUCUCGCUCAGAUUGCAGGAAGUUUCCAAGAACGAUACUGUUUCGGUAAAGCUGUUUUGCAACCAUUUCAUUACAAUUUAUUGUGUGUGUGAUGCAUUAAACCGAAAGUCCUACCAAAUGACACGAUUACAUAACGAACAUGCACAGAAAUAUUAAACAUGUUUGACAAUUAAAAUUUUUAUAUUUUGGGAUUCUUAUUUAGUUUAAAAAGCUAAAAGCUGAAAGCUUAAAAAAAUAUUAGGCUUUAAAUAUUAAAAUAUGUUUGAUAAUUAUUUUAAUUUUUGUAUUAUCCUUGCGAGUUUUACUAACAAAAGAUAAUGCAAAAAUAAUUGUAAUUCAACGAUGUCUUUGUAAUGCAUUUGUCGUAUUUUUAAUAGUAAUUUUGUAAUUACUGAGUAGUUCAUUUAUAGUGUCUUUCUAGUACAUAUUUAACAAUUUUUUUAUUAGCACUCCACAAUAUGUUAAAUACACUUAAGAUUAAAAUUUAAUAUUAAAUAAAUUAUAUACUCUAAUAUGCAACGAUAAUUUUGACUUUAUAAGGUUUGAAAAUAAAUAAGAAAUUUCUAAAACACCCCAAGUUAAUUUUAACAUUUAUAUCCCAAGUUUAUUUAUUUCCUUCAACUCUCAAAACCACCUUCACUCUCCAUUGUAGAACAAAACUCUAACGAAUGAAAUUACAAACACGUUAAUGAAAAAAUUAGUCUUCAAGAAUGAAACAUGAAAUCGUGUUUCAGAAGUUUCACAUGAGGUAAAAAUUCGUAUUUUUCAUUGUUUUAGUGACUUCAACAACAUCAACAUGACUAUAGCUUCGUUAUGAAUGAUAUCCCUUGAAAAAAAAAUAUGAUUGAUGAUGAGAAUCACACACCUAAUAAACCUUAGCCAUAUUUGAUAAAAAGAUCCUUUUAUCAAAUAUCAUGUGUUAAUAUGCGUUAUGCUUAUAGCUGCCAUGACUACCAUAUUUUGUUUGGGAAAUACCCCAAAAUGGGACAAUUUCUUAAUCUUGGGACAUAAAUAGGACAAACCGGCCAUGCACAAGUCAUGCACAAUAUGCACAAUAUCAAAAUUACUAAAAUACCCACAUAUAAAUACUAAAAAUCAUCAGCCCAUUGCAUCACUGUUCUCAUUUGGAAGAGAGGGUUGUCGAGAGAGCUUUGUGAGCUCUGGGUUUCUAGGUUGAGCUCCGAUUUUGAAAAGAGUAAAGUCCAAAGAGAGUAAAAAAAAGUGGGCUGGGUUUUGGGUUGACCUCAUACCUCUAAUUUUGAACAAAGGGAUGCGAGAGAAAGGUGAGAAGAGUGAGCUGAGUUUUGUACCAUAUUUUCUGUUUUGGCCAGAAAGUUCCAUUUUUUUCGGCAACUAAAGCUUCAGCAUGUAUAGUAAGGUAGGGUGUUUAGUUCCAAGUUCCUUCAUCAAUGAUUUAUGGAAUAAAUGGGUUCUUUGUAAGAUGAAUUAAUAUUUAGAAGUUAAACUAGGGUUUGUGUUUCAUGUUGGGGUGUAUGGGUUGUGGACUAAAUUUCAAGUUUUGAUAUGCUAGAAACUAGGAUGGAACAAUUUAUGGUUCAAGUGUCCAAUUGCAGAAGUUUGUGAAAAUUUUUCCAUGGUGUGCAUGUGGUGUGCAUGGCUACAUCUUAAUAUGAGAAGCGGGAAGUUCAAUAGUUAUGAUGCACAUAUGUUAUGCCCCGGAAUUUUGUGAGUAUGACCACAACCUAGUUGGCCUCGGCGAAAAAGAAAAAGAAAAAAAGAAAAAAGCUUAGAGGACUUUAAGGGUCAUGUGUGUCCAUGAAAUAAUGAAACGAGUAUCAUGUUUUCUGCGUGCACAGUUAAGUAGUGAUUGAUAUAUGUAACAAGACUUUUCAAACUUUCACUGUAACCUUAUGUACGUAAAAAUUAUGUUUUAAUUGUAUCCACUAUACCAAUAUGUUUAUGUUAAAGUUUCUUGUGCUCUGUGCAUAUCAUGUGCAUGUAUUGUACAUAUUAUGCACAUAUGGCAUGCAUAUAGUGUAUAUGGUGUGGAUUUACAUCUUUGAUACUCUUAACAUUAACGUAGUUUACUACUUUUUUCUUUGAUUCAGAGGCAGGCUUUGCAAAUACGAAAAAAGCGAACAAGUUCCUGAAACAAUUUCCUUUGAUUCAAUUGGGUUCUUUUGUGCCCAUUCAAAUUUGUGCCCAUUCAAACUACAAUUUUCAAAUCCUUGAAAUAUUUGAACCCAAUCAAAUUUGAUACCAAAUUCAAAUUAAUGAAUUUUCGAUUCUUCAUAUAAAGUUUAGGGUCGAUUAUCUGAUUGCAUUAUUUAUUUUAUUUCAAAGAGAGAGCUGUGAGCUAUGGGUUUUUGGGUUGAGCUCAGAUCUAUGAGUAUAAGAUGUGCAUGUCAUGUGCAUACAGUGUAUGAAUGAGCUUAAUACGAAGAAAGCGAACGAGUGUGCGAAACAAUUUUGUCCAUAUCAUUCUCUAUUCCUUCUUUCCACUAUGAUUUCUCUCUUUUCCCUCAAAUUUAUCUCUUCUCCAAAAACAACUGGCCUUUAAUAUGUUUUUUCAUUUAAUUGCAGCAAAAGACAAACCCUAUUUUAGUGCUUGUAAAUUUGGAUCGAGAGGGGGAGUAGAGGGAGGGAGAAGACAAGAAAUAAAAAUCCACAUAUAAAUCAGAGAAAUGAUAAAAAAUCAACAAUAAAAAAUGAAGGAUUUGGGUCUCCUCCAAGAAACACAAAACCAAUUACUUCAACUCCAAAAAUCCAUCAAUCAAAAAGCAAAAUUAACUAAACCCAGUUCACAAAACCUACAAAUGAAAAGGUAAAAACUAAAGAUGGUUGGGCGAGAGGGAGCUUUUGGAUGAAGAAUAUGGGUGGGUGGGAUAGGGUUCUUUGAAUUGGAAUUGGGAGAAAGAGAUUUUCUCUCUCCUCCUUUUUGUUUCUCUCUCUACAAAAUGAGAAAUAAAUGUUGGAAUUUUUGGAUAAUCCAUUUAUAUGGGAAGACAAUUUGGUCAUUUUAAGGUGUGGGAAAAAUUGUAUUUCUAUUUGAUUGUUGUGCAUGCCGUGUGCAUAUUCAAAAUGUCAUAUUUUUGUCCCAAGAUUAAGAAAUUGUCCCAUUUUAGGAUAUUUCUCUAUUUUUUUUAUGCGUUAUAACAGCCUAAUCUCUUCCCGUAAUUCAAUGAUUAAACAACUCAAUCCAUUCCCAUGAUUCGAUUAUUGGAAAAAAAAGGAAAUCAUCAUCAUCAACCCUAAUCAUCUAGAUUCCUACAGCUGCCAUAUUUUUUUUUCCCUUUUUUUUUGUUUUUUUAUCUUCCUCAUCCCCUGCUGCGAAAAUCAUCUUCUUCAUCUACUUGAUGCUGAAUACCCACAGCUUUCCACCUCUUUCCAUGGAGUAAAUAUGAUCAAACAAUUGAAGUGAUAGAGAAAUAUGAAGGGAUGAACACAUGCAAAUAGGAUCAAACAAUUGCCGGCAUCACAUCGUCCAAGUAUUAAGUGAUGUAGGAUGAUACUAUUUAGAACAAUAAGAAGGCAUAUAGAAAUAGAAGAGAUCCGGACUCACUCCGCCCUUUGGAAAACAUCAGACCAAAAGUGUGUUGGAGUCACUCCAAUAGAGAAUUAGAAAAUUUCCUGAAUCACACCGGCUUAUGUGUGGUGUGGUGUAUACAGAAAAUGUGUGUUGCAUAUAUAGAAAAUGUAAGGUGUAUGGUGAUAGUGUGGGGUGUGAAGGUAUUAUGCAGGCCCUUAAUUUAUUAUCUCGAAAUUCUUGAUGCUCUUGCUCAUACGAUUAACGCUUCAGUGAGAGAUUUUAUAUGCGGUUCUCAUUGGGAGUUGCCGACUGCUUUCAUUAAUAUUUUCCCUAAGGUAGCUUUAGUUAUAGCUACUCCUCUCACACUGCAGGCAUCUAUUGACUCUUUAUGUUGGUCUGGUUCUCUCUCUAGUAUCCUUACAGCUAAAGAGGCUUAUUCUCACUUGCUUAAGUAUGAUAACCAGGUGCCUUGGAGUAAAUUAUCUGGUCUCACGGGAUUCAACCAAGGCAAAGCCUUACGGUUUGGAAAGUCCUACAAGGUCGUCUCCUCACUGAUGUGGUGCUUCAACAUAUGGGAGCUUCACUGGUCUCUUGUUGCUCAUUCUAUAAUUCUGUUGUUGAAUCUUUCUUUCACAUUUAUUUGGAAUGUCCUUGAAUUGGGAUCUUGGAGCUUUUUCAUCCUCUUCUCUUCUGGUAAGAUCAUUGUUAUAGGUUUUUUCAGAAACUUUUCUUUCAACUUUUUGUGGUUCAUCUAGAAAACUUUGGAUUAUAGUGGCUUGCACUUAUAUAUGGGGCAUGCGGUGUCUUCGUAAUCAAAUUCAGUUUGGGGGCAAGUUCACUUCAUUGGAUUAUAUCAAGUGCUAGCUAGUGGCUCGGUUUCGUGACUCGACCCUAUUAUGUUUCUCGAAUUUUAGCUCUUCAUCUUCAAUGUUGCAUAUUUUCUCUUUAUUGGGUAUGUCACCACUUUCAAUUGCGUCUCCAUCCUUUAUUCCAGUCCUUUGGAAUAUGCCGAUGAAUGGGUGGCUUAAGGUUAAUAUUGAUGGGUAUGUGCCAACAGACGUGCUGGAUUUGGGGGGAUAUUUCGCUCUUCGGAGGUUGAGGAGCUUGGUGCUUUUGCUUCAAAUACGAAUUUUGUAAGUUCAGUUGUUGCAGAAGUUCUUGCAUUCAUCAAGGCUGUGCGUAUAGCUUGUGUGAAUGACUGGAAGCAUAUAUGGAUUGAAACAGAUUCCAUGUUAAUUAUUCAUUAUCUUUUAAAAGGCUCCUAAUGCGGUCCCUUGGUUCCUUAUGGUGGAUUAGAAGAAUUGUCUUUGUCAACUUCGUUAAAUGCGGUUCAUAUGUACACAUAUUUAUCAAGAAAGAAAUCAGGUCGCAAAUUCUUUAGCUUCAUUUAGGGUAAAUAGUUAUACUGAUCGCUGGUGGUUUACAGUUACGGAUUUUUUUGCCUCAGCCCAUGCUCGUGAUAUUUCAUUUUGCCCUGAUUUGCAAUUUCAUUGAUCAUUUGGUCAUGGCAGGUCUUGGCUUAAUCCCCCAGCUUGUACUUUUUCCUUUUAAUUUCCUAAUAUCUAUUUGUAAAAAUGGUGGAUGAGGGACGGGUUGAGGGUUUCUGGGUGUAAGGGUCCUCACCCUUACGGGGGACGGUAGGGUGCCUCGCACACGAUCAUUGCUGAAGGACUAAUCUCGCCUAAUCUUUCUCCAUUAAACUUCAAAAAAAAAAUAAAAAAUGGUGAAGCCUAUUAAGAUAAAUUUUAUAUAAAAAAGCAAAUUUGGGAUGUUUUAAGUAUGUGGAGUGUAUUCAACAAUAUUUGUAUUAAGGAAGUGAGCGUUUUUGAGAAUUGAAAAUAGGAGUUUUACUCUAACGAAAAAGAUAAAUUUGGGAUCUAUUUAUUUUUGGUCUCUCUCUGGCAAGUGGAGUUCACCUCCUAAAUAUGUGAAUAUACAUUUUAUUUACAUGUUACGGGAAAAAUGGAUAAUUUAGAUUGAUAUUGAUUAUUAGACAGCUUCUUAAAAAAAUAGAAUUAUUAAUGGCUUUUUAUAUUAACAUCCUACAAAAUGUUGAAUGCAUUCCACAUUAAAAUUUAAUAUUAAUGACUUAUUUACCUUACUAUACAAUGACAAUUUUGACCUUAUUAGGUUAAAAAAAUAAAAAAUUUCUAAAUACACCCUAAAUCACUUUUAACGUAUUGUUUAUCUUCUUCAACUAUCAAAACCCCUCCCACCCUCUAUUGUUGAAUAAAACCCUAACCAAUGGAACUACAAAUAUGUUGAUUGAGAAAAAAUAUUUUUGACGAAUGGAAUACGAAAUCGGUAUUUCGAAAUUUUCACAUGAGGUAAGACUUCAUAUUUUUCAUUGUUUUAGUGAUUUCGACGACAACAAUAAUGAUUUAAUCUUAGAACUCAUAAAGAUCAGCAACAUUUGAAGGUAGGAGAAAUGCCCAUAGAAGAAGGAAGAUCCAUAACAUAAGCAUUAUCAUUAAUCUUCUGUAGAAUCUUGUAGGGUCCAUACUUGCGAGGCUUGAGCUUGCUGUAAGUCUCGACUGGAAAUCUUUCUUUCCUAAAAAACACCAUCAUAGCGUCACCGACCUGAAACACAUGGGAACGCCUAUGUUGGUCAACCGCCGCUUUGUAUUUUGCAUUUGUCUGUGCCAUACGUUCAAAAACCCUUGCCUUAAUAGCCUGGAUGCUUUCUGCCAUCUUUUCAGCAACAACACUCACACUUGGACCCUUAGGGAGCUUGAUGAGGUCCAUUGCAUGCUUGGGGACAGUAGUAUACACUAGGGAGAAAGGAGACUUGCCAGUUACUUUGUGAACAACAAUGUUGUAGGCAAGUUCAAUUUAAGGAAGAGCAAGGUCCCACAAACACUACGAACCAUGUUACCCAUGGUGCGGUUUGUAACCUCGGUUUGACCAUCCGUCUGUGGUUGAGCCAUAGUACUACGCCGCAAAUCUGUACCAAAUAAUUUCCACAAGGUAAUCCAAAAAUGAUUGAGAAAUGUUGAAUCACGGUAAGAAGUAAUAGACUGAGGCACUCCAUAUAGUCGCACAAUUUCUCAAAAGAAAAGUUGAGCAAUGUGGAAUCAUGGUCAUUAUUAUUGUUAUUGAAAAACAUUCAAAUGAACCUAAAUAUUUUUCAGAUCAUUCAAUUUGAAAGUAUUCGGCAAACUAAUGUUCAGAUGGUUUGAAAUCAUUCGGCAAAAUUAAAAAUGAGUGUUAUAAGAUUUGAUAAAUAUGGGGUAUAUAAAAAAUGUGGGGUGUAUGUAGAAAAUGUAUAGUGUAUAUUGAUAAUGUGGGUGUGAGGGUAUUAUAGGAAAUGAAGUGGGGUGUAUUAAGAUAAUUUUUAAUUGAAAAAGCAAAUGUUGUGACAUCCCACAUCGCCCAGGGGAGUGAUCCUUAAAUGUAUAUUCCCAUCCCUACUUAGCACGAGGCCUUUUAGGAGCUCACUGGUUUCGGGUUCCGUCGGAACUCCGAAGUUAAGCGAGAAUGAGGCCAGAGCACUCCCAAGAUGGGUGACCUACUGGGAAGUUGCUUGUGAGUUCCAAAAAACAAAACCGUGAGGGAAUGGUAAGCCCAAAGCGGACAAUAUCGUGCUACGGUGGUGGAGCGGGCCCGGGAAGUGGUCCGUCCCGGGCCGGGAUGUGAAAAUUGGUAUCAGAGCCUAACCCUGGCCGUGGUGUGCCGACGAGGACGCGAGCCCCUAAGAGGGGUGGAUUGUGACAUCCCAUAUCGCCCAGGGGAGUGAUCCUUAAAUGUAUAUUCUCAUCCCUACCUAGCACGAGGUCUUUUGGGAGCUCACUGGCUUCGGGUUCCGUCGGAACUCCGAAGUUAAGCGAGAAUGAGGCCAGAACACUCCCAGGAUGGGUGACCCACUGGGAAGUUGCUCGUGAGUUCCCAAAAACAAAACCGUGAGGGAAUGGUAAGUCCAAAGCGGACAAUAUCGUGCUACGGUGGUGGAGUGGGCCCGGGAAGUGGUCCGCCCUGGGCCGUGAUGUGACAAAUGUGGGGUGUAUUAAGUAUGUGGGGUUUAUUCAACAAUUUGUGGGGUGUUAAUAAAAUAAGCCAUUAUUAAUUUCUAGAUAUUUUACAUAUUUUAUUAGAGAUUUUCUAAUUGAGUAUCAGUUUGGGGUUGUUGAAAUUACUAAAAACCAACUUAUUAAAAAAAUCUAGUGUAUUAGACCAUCUCCAACUCUUGGGUUUAAAACCUAAAAUUUUUAACCCAAAACUUAAAAACUUAGGUUUUAAACCCAGAAAUCAUUUUUCUACUCCAACCCUUCUAGUUAAAAUUUUUAACUCGAUAUUAUUAAAGAAUGGAUUUAAGAUAAUUUUUUUUCUUAAGUAACUUUUAAACAAAAUAUUAUGUAGAUUAUUCUAAUUUAAUUUUAUGAACAUUUUAACUUAAAUAUAUUUAAAUUCUGAUAAGCAAGUGACUCUUUACCACAAUAGUAGAAAUGAGUUGAGCCCUUAAAUAACAACGUGGGUUCGAACCCCGUCGAUGACUAAUCUAACAAAAUCUAUCAUUUGACAAAAAAAAUAUAUUUAAAUAUAUUUAAAUAUUGAAAUAUACUAAACCAACAUCAUGAAACUCGUGGAACACUAUAAAAAAAUAUGAAACACAAAAGAUCUUUUUUAUUAUUUUAGCCAUUGGAUUUAAAUUUGGACUAGUAACUUUGGGUUAAAACUCAUAUUUGGCGCAAGGGUUGGAGUAAGUUGGGGUAGGUUUAGAACCUAAAUUUUAAGUUUUACUCCAAGAGUGGAAGUAUGUCUUAUGAGCGUGUUUGUUUGGCUCCCCUAAGUUUCACUGGACUGGCUAGGAGUCCUAGUCCAUGUUUUGUGCAAGCAGUGAUUGUGUUAAAUGAGAGUAAUCCGGACUAGCGGAGAUUAAACGCUUCGCUAGGGGGCCUUAGUGAGUCCCCCUGCAAAUGAGAGGAUUGCUAAUUCUGUCUCUUACACUUGUUUUGCUUUGCUUUACCUCAAGCUCGUCCAAGACUCCAGUAUGCUUUGCACCAUCUUUGUAACCGUCCAACGAUCGAUGAUGGACCUUCAUUACUGUCGAAACCCAAAUCCCCAAAAGACAAGAUAUUUGAAAUAACGCCGCCAGAUGAGCAAUGCUUCAACGAGCUCAAACCUGGAAUCAAACGGAUUUAGGGCAACAAAGCUUGCCCAUUUGAGCUUCCACGACCAUCGAACAAAAACCCGAACAACAAAGUUCGAAUUUGCGUUUUGCAGGAAAAAUUUGGCAAUUAAUCAGAGAAAAAUAGGGAAGGGAGGGAAAGCAUGGGACGGAGAAAACGAGGGAAAGAAAGAUGGAGAAAAUGACGGAGGCCCUAUAGCUGUGGAGAGCAACAUGCCCGUCAUCAAUUGGUUUACUCCUAACCCCUACACUGUUGAGGAAAGGAUAUAGGCCUCCAAGUUGUCCAAUUUCGAGAAGGGAUUUCCUUCAAUGAAUGAUGCGGCCUGGUCUAAGUGGGUGGAGCUAGAGCUAAUCUUCAAGCAGAAGUGGAUGUCAAAUGGCAUAUAUGAGCUCAUCAUGAUGUCUAAAACCACCAUUUUUAUCAAGCACGAGCUACUCUCCAUUGCUCUCUUUUUUUGGAACACGGAGACUAAUACAUUUGACUUCAGAAUGGGUCUUAUGUCCUCUACUGUCUUGGACAUUGCCCAAGUCUUUGGUUUAAGGCCAUCGGGAGGUGUGUGGAUGUCAUUGACGACUGGUCUUCACCUUCUCACCCUGUUGCUGGAGGUUCAGAGGCCUCCCAGGCCAUUGUCAAUUUGGAGCACAACUCCACUAGCUUUAAGUGAUAUGAGACCUUCUUCGUAGGCUUUAUUUCGUUCGCUAAAAAUAAAUAUAGCCCACUCUUUCCUACUGCUGACAGAGCUCAAGAGCACAUGUACUUCCUUUUCUAUUGGUUGAACAAACAUGUGUUUCUCAACAAGUCUAAGGCAGUGAAGCUGGAGUAGGUUCCCUUGGUGGAGGUUCUAAAUUCAUUUGAUGAUGUUGCCACUUGACCCUUCAUCUUGGCUCAUGUCAGCUUAUAUCUACCAUCUACUCUUUGAGAUGACAAUGGGUCAACCUUUUGAGACCAACCUCAAUGGAGCCACUUAAAUGAUCUAGUUUUGGCUUCAAUGGUACUUCCCAGAAUUUCGAGCUUCAAACUUGGAAUUCCCAGUUUUAGCUUAUGCCCGAAUUAUGGCAAGGCCCCUGCCACCAGCCACUCAACCCUUGCUUUCUUUUACUUCUUCAAGAUUUGCAAGACUAAGACCGAUGUUGAGUGGGGUGCCUCAGUGCUUAGAAGGUAUCCCUGGUUCUCAGACAACUUCUUCCAGGACUCUUUUGGUGAAGAUGCCAACAACUUCUGCAUGGAGAAAUUCAUUAGUUGUAUCCAGCAAAAAGAUCUGUCCUGGGGAGUAAGAAGUGACAAUCAAACUAUGCACACGACUUGAAGGUCUACCACCCCAAUUUCUAUGGCAAGCAACUAGGAUUUAGGCAAGCCAUUCUAUUCCCUUUUUUAUUCAGUUUAUUGUGGAACCUCAUAUAGUCUUUGUUCUCCCUCAGAGGUCACUAUUCGGGCAAGCAGACGCAACCUGAAAGUCAUGACCAGGGGUGAAUGCAUUGAGGGGCAGAGGGAUCAGGUGACCCCCCGAACUUAGUGAAUAUCCAGGGAUAACUUGAGUGUUAACCCUCCGAACUUCGGUGAAUGUCCAUGGAUGACUUGGGUACUGCCCCUUUAAAGUUUGGAAUUGCCCUUCAUAUAUGCCCUUCAAUUGCUUGAUAAAAUGCAUUAAAGAAGUGUUGCCCCUUUACAGUUUAGUCCUAAUAUUAUUUACCUCUAGCUUAUUUGUUAGUUGUGAUUACAAUUGUAGGCAGAAAAAAAAAGAACCAAGUAAAAAAUUAUCCAAAAAUGCAAAGUAAAUGAAAUGGUGAUCUCAGAGAAUAACAAAACAACAUUAUUAUUGGACAAACAUAUCAAUGAGAUGCAAUGAUAUCAAACAAUAUUAGUGUGUUCAAGAUAAGUGUGUUUCUUUGUUAAGCAUGCAUAUGGGAGUAACCUUGGAACAUGUUAGUUACCCACGCAAAUAAGGCAUUAACAGGUGUGCAUUAUGCCUUUCCAAAUGACUUCAAGCCUACCAAGACUCGAUGAAAUGAUGAUAUGCAUGCUAUUUCUUUUUUAAAAAAAUAUUCUUACUGAUCCCCCUAAUAUUAUUUCCUGGAUCUGCCACUAGUCAUGACCAAGAUUGCACAUAAGCCCGAUGCUCUCAACUUUGAGUGCACCUUUCUAUUUACCACUUGGUGGGAGGCCUAGUGGUCUAAAAAAUAUGGUGGAGACCUCAGAAAAGCCCAUGACAAGAUCUUCGGAUAAGCUUUUUUCAAGUCUCUUCCCAAGAAAAAAGAGUUUGAGAGUUAUAAAGAAGCCAUUAAUCCAAAGAACCAACUCAUGCUAAUAGGUAACAAUUGUUAUUGCUCUUUUGCCUUAAUUUUAUAAUAUUUUUUUGUUAACCCUCAUCUUAACUUUGUAGUCCAAGGUAACUCUGGUGAAGCAGAUGUCAAGCUAGAGGAAGAGGUUGCUAAUCCAUUGAUCCUUCAAGAGGCUGCCGAUGCAUUGGUCAUUCAAAAGGCUGCUACAAAGGUACACUUAGCUUUUUUUUUAACACCAUCUCAUUAGUGUAAAUUCUUUCAGGCUUUUUCUAUAAGUCAAGCAAGUUUACCAAGUGACGAAUAGACACGAAAGGAAAAGUAAAUGGCCAGAUGAGAUGCCCAGAGUCUUGUGGGCUUAUCGCACGACAGUUAGGAAAGCCAUUAAGGAAACAUUGUUCUGCAUGGCUUACAGAACUGAGGUUAUCAUUCCGGUUCAGGUCACAACUAUGCCAAACUUGGAGAAUACGGAAAUCCUGAAGACAUAUCUCGAUUUCACAAAAGAACGACGAGGGGCGCUCAAGUUCAACUAAUAGCUUAUUAAAGCAAAUCUGAUCAUAUUACAACAAGGGUGUCAGGCCCAGGAGCCUGCAAGCAGUAGACUUAAUCCUGAGGAAAGUAUUCAAAAACACCAGGAUUCCAAGAGAAGGUAAACUUGGGGCAAAUUGGGAAAGUCCGUCCAAGGUCGCUAGAGGAUGAGGCAACAAAACCUACCAUUUAGAGCAUACAGAUGGAAACCCAAUCACUAAGAAGUAGAACAUCGUCAAGCUUAAAAAUUACUACACAUAGAUGCACCACAGGAACUACAUGCGAUUUGAUUCCAUUCCUGAGAUAUGUAGGCAGUCCUCUUUGGACCCAAUCGCAACACCGCCAUCUAGGAGAAGACAAAUCAAUGGAAAACUCAUCUCUCAAUACCCCACCAUAAGCUUAUCGUCAUAAGUGAUCUCUAAUAUAAUUUUUACAUCAUAUAAUCUUUUCCUUAGAACUACACCAGUGAUUUGAUUUUCAUCCUGGAGAUAUAUAGGUAAUCCUCGUCGGAUUCAAUCACACCCCCUUUACAGAUGCCAAUUUUCGGAGGUAAUGUUUCUUCGAAUCAAUAUUACCAAUGUGAUUUUUCUCUAAAAACUCUAUCUUGGGCCCACAAACUUACUCACAUUCUGCUCAGCUACUUAUUCCAUAUUUUAAAGUUCAUUUACUUUAGAAACAUUUACCGGAUUGGGAAUUUUUCAUGAAUAAGAUGUACAAGAUAGAAAAAUCUUUACACAAGCACGUGUCUAUUAUCAAAGUCUCAAAGGAGAUUAGUUCAAUACAACAGUUUAAGGGAGACAACCAUUGUUUGUCAUUAUUGUAUGGGGAAUUCCAAAUAAAUGAUGAUAUUUUCAAACAAACGAUUUCAUAGUCGAAUUAAUGAUUUUUGUUAGGGGUUUCACUUCUAUCCACUUAGAGAAGUAGUUUAUCACCACUAUCAAGUAUUGUCUGUUUCCUGUAGCUUUCUUAAGGGAUCCAACCAAGUUGAUGCCUCAUUGCAUGAAGGGUCAUGAACCUGUUGGAGUGUUAAGUUCUUCUGUGUGUUGAUAGUUCAUAGAGGCAUACUUUUGACAUUUGCGUUGCUGGUUGCAUCUUAUUGCAUGGUAAGCCAAUAGUAGCCUGUAGUUAUUACUUUCUGGGUCAACGACCUUCUUCUAUCAUGAUUUCCGCAUAGCCCAAAUUAGAUGUCAUUCAGAAUUUGCAGACCAACUUUUAGCAUGACACAUAGUAGAGUUUUUUGUGGAUUAAUAUAUAUCUUGAUGCCUUUUGAACUAACUUACUGGCUAGGUUGCAAUCUUCUGGUAGUCAAUGAUUUCAUCUAUCCAAUUUUCUCAAACGGUAAUGACAACGACUACUUUUGGUUUCAUUUCGUGACGCUAGGGACUUUCAGAUACUCGAAGGGAAUUGUUCACCGUAGGGAGUAAUCCACAUUUGAGGCUAUCCUGACAAGUGCGUCGGCAUGGAUGUUUUGUCCUCUUGGUAUUUAUGUGAUCUCAUAAUUUUCAAAUUUCUCGAGAAGUGCCUUCGCCUUAUUUAAGUAAAGCCCUAUGGUAUGGUGAUAAGUGGCUUAGUCUCCCAUGACCUGGUUAACUAUGAGCAUUGAAUCACAAUGAAUUAGCAAUUAUUUUACCUAGAGUUCAUUUGCAAUUCUAAGUCAUGCUGUAAGGGUUUCAUAGUCGACCUCGUUGGUGCGUACUUUGAAUCCCAACUUCAGGACUUGUUCAAGUACAAAGCCAUCUGGUGCUACCAUUCCAGUAUCGGCUCUAUGUAUGUAAGAUGACCCGUCGGCGUAAAGCUUCGAGAGACAAGGAUUUCUAGGGGAUUUUGAGUGCCUUCCAAGUACUUUGUGCUACAGGGAUGAACUCUGCUACAAAGUCUGCCAAGGUUUGGGCUUUGAUUGAUGUCUUAAGAUGGUAAAUUAUCUCGUGUUGCCCUAGUUCGAUAGCCCACAUUGUGACCCUGGAUGAAGCAUUACAGUUGUGUAGGAUGCACCUCAGCGAAUAUUCCAUCAUGUAGAACAAACCUUCCUUGCUGCCAUUACUAGUUCUAAGAUGUAUUUUUCCAUCUUCUGAUAUCUUGUCUUUAGUUUGAAAAGAGCUUUUAAUAUGUAGUAUACCAGUUUCUGCUGCCCCGAGUCUUCUCGGAUCAGAGCUGCACUUACUGUGUUGUCUGAUACGGCUAGAUAAAGGUAUAGAUCCUCUUUGUCGAUGGGUUUGGAUAGCAGCAGAGGUUUGGAGAUGUACUUUUUGAGUUUUGCAAAAGCUUAUUCGCAUUCAUUUGUCUAGAGGAGGCCCUUGUUUUUCUUUAUUGUUGUAAAAAACUAUUCGCACUUAUCUAUGGAUCUUGAAAGGAAUCUGCAGAGGGUUGCCGUUCAUCCGGUUAAACUUUGUGUUUCCUUUAUGGUUCUGGGUGACCUCAUUUCUAUGAUAGCCUUGAUCCGAUCUGGGUUGGCUUCGAUUCCUCGUUGGGUCACCAUGUACCUUAGGAAUUUUCCUGACGCUACUCUGAGGUGCAUUUCUCCAGACUGAGCUUUAAGUUAUAGUUUUGAAGUAGGUUAAAUGAUUCUUGAAGGUGUGUUAUAUAGUUAUUCUUUUCUUUGCUAUUGACAACCAUAUCAUCUAUGUAGACCUUCAUUGUGUUUGUAAUUUUUCUUUGAAGAUUCGAUUGACGAGUCGUUAGUACAUUGCCCCUGCAUUUUUUAGUCUGGAAGGCAUAACCUUGUAACAGUAGGAACCUCAAUCGAUGACGAAUGAUGUUGCUUGCAUGUCUAGCUCAUACAUCUUUAUUUGGUUGUAUCUAGAGUAGGCAUCUAUGAAGCUUAGGAGUUCGUGUCCAACUGUUGAGUCCACUAGUAGGUCGAUUCGUGGAAAAGGAUAUUGAUCUUUUGGGUAGGCCUUGUUCAGGUUCGUAAUGUCCACACAUACUAUUUACUUCCCAUUCUUCUUUUGUGUUAACACGACGUUCGUUAACCAAUAUGGGUGGUGUACCUCAAUGAUGAAUUGGGCGUCCUUGAGUUUGUCAAUUUCUGCCUCUAUGAUUUUACUGUGUUCUGUUUCGCAAUUUCGUUUGCGCUAGAUAACUAAACAGGCAGUUGGGUCUAGGUGAAGACGGUGACAGAUCACAGAGUGGUCGAUCGCAGGCAUGUCUUCUGCUGACCAUACGAACACAUCUUUGUUAGCUCACAAGAAGCUGGAAAUAGUUAUUUUUCUCAGUCAGUCAGUUUUGAGCCUAUUCAGGCUUUUCGUCCUAGUUUGUCGAGGUUAAGACUGAUGUAGAUGACAUCUUCGUUUACCUUGGACUCUAGAUAAUGUCAUCUUUGGGGUCAAGAUCUAAGUCAAAUUCUUUGUAACUCGUCCAUAUGUGUGCUGGAACUUUGUUUUUCUUUUCUUAUCAUGUUCAUACUUUCGACAGUGCAAUAGCGUGCCAUCAACUGGUUUUAUUUUAUUUCUUUUACUCCACCGGGUGCCGAAUAACAAAGUAACUAAUGGUAACUGGAAGGGACGACCUUCAUCUUGUGUACCUAAUUCCAGCCAAGGAUGGAGUUGUAAGAGGUCAGGUAAUCCCUCAUGUAGAAGGUUACCAAGUGCUUGUAGGGUCCGACCUGGACAGCCAACUUUAUGGUUCCAAAUGACUGCACUGUUGCCCCAUUGAAGUUGUGAAGGGUCGUCCUCCCUUUGUUGAUGUUGUCGAGAAUUCCCAUCUUUUUAGCAGCAUCUUUGAAUAGGACACUAACUCUAAAACCAUUGUCAACUAAUAUACGGUCGUCUAGGGCAUUCAAGAUCUGGACCUUAAUGACGAGGGCAUCGCCAUGAGGUGAGUGGACAUCUUCCAAAUCUCGAUCAGAUGACAUCAAUAUGGUAGAGUUGAUGGCCAAUGACUUGUUGAUGCUGGCCACUAGUCUUGGUUUCUUGUAAGCCACAUUCAUUUCUUUCUGAUGUUUCCCAGAUACUCUUAUUCUCUAUAUAUAUAUAGUUAAUCCCAGAAGACGUUGUUACCUCCGGAAGUUGAAUUAGGGAUUUCCUAAGAUAUUUUCUUGGGAAAGAUCGUCGAGAUGACUCUCUAGAUGUUAGAUCAAUCACUUUUAUCCUUCAAGUAACCAGUUUCUCAAAGUGAGAAACUGCUUUUCAGAGAUCUUUGAUACGGGCUUUUAUAUCCACGAGUCAGGCGAGUUCUUUAGCCAUUGGACUAUGUCGAACGACCUCAAGGGAUAGACAAAUAUCCAUGACAUAUUCCCACAUUCCGUAAAUGGUGAUGACGUCAUUGUGCCCCUAGUGGGUGUCAUCAGGAUAGAUGGUUGGGCUUUUGUUGUUGAUCGAACUUUCGGACAUGUCAAACGGUGGAGUGAUUUGGCCAAAAAGAAUAUGGGUUCACUCUCAAUGAAAGCACUAAUUGUUAGAACCAAAUCUGCACACCUCUGUGAGCGGCGGUUAAACAUAAAUUCAAGUAAUCUAGAGCAACCUGUAAAAUAGUAAAACAACCAUGAGCAACCUGUAAAAUAGUAAAACAACCAUGAGCAAGCCUUAGGCCGGGGAGGGGUGUGUUGGCCAAAAGGUUUUCCGAUGGUCAAGUUAGUGAAUGAUUUUAGUCUCAAGUAGUGGGCAAGAGAAUUCAAGUGUAUAGAUUGUGUUAUCGUAUAUGAACACUAGAUGGGUGUAUUUAUACCAUGAGAAACAAACCUUUUUAGGAUAGAAUCCUCGUACUAAGCUAGGAGAAUCCUAGAGGAUAUCUAGUAAGUAGAUAUUGUAUCCUCUUAGGAGUUGUGAUUACUUGCGGCGCACGUCUAUCCCUAGAUUUUAGGGACUCCAAGACUUAUAGGAUCUUAUUGUGUCUAUAUCUAGAUCAAAUUGUGUGUCUUGCAAAACAAGUAUUGUCAUCCAGUGGAUUCCACCUAGUGCCCUGGUGGAGUAAAGUGAUGGUGGCACCCAUGCUCUGUCUAAUACAGGUCCGCCCGGAGUUAGUGAGUCCAUGACCAGACUUCUUAGGUAAUUGUAUUUGGAUUAACUUUACCCCAGCCCUGAAAAAUCAUGGUCCCACAAUCGUCCAAGUAAUUAGGGAAAUACAUGAAGGAAUUUGUUGUGUUCAUCAGUCUGGCUGAAAGAUGAAAUGGUUGUUUUGGUGCCAUGGUGGUUAUUUUUGGCCAACUAUUUUAACAGAGUGCAUUGAAUACGCAUGAGAUUAUGUACAUUGGCAGUUUCAUAGACCUAUACAAUGAGUUCUCAUCGAAGAACUCCAUUCGAUGGUAAAACCAUGGUCAUUUAGAAGAUACGCCAUAGACAUGAUUGGAAAAAUUUCCCAACUUCUAGUUUGGCAAAACUCACUUGGAUCCUAGUUGCCACAUAAUAUUUUACCAAACGGGUUGAAGCGAAGUCUUAUGCCAAAUUGACUGUCAAGGAAGUAUGGAAUUUCGUUGUUGAACAUAUGUGAAAAGAUUCGGCAUCCUAGAGACGAUCAUCACGAAUAAUGGUACAAUUUUUACGGUCAAAAGUCUAAGAAUUACACAUAUAACCUUAAGAUUCAACUAGAACAGUCUAUGCAAUAUUAUCAGCAAGCUAAUGGUCAGACCAAAUCUAGUAAUAAAGUGAUUGAAGGAUUUUUGGAAAAAAUGGUAAAAGAUAUCUGGCAAAUCUCAACGAGGUAGUCUGGCUUACCUCACGUCACAGCACUCAGGGAUCAUUGUCCCUAUGCUUUAACUUAUGGGCAUGAUGUUAUUCUUCCUAUGGAGAUAUGUGUCAACUCAUUAAAGGUCUCCAAGCAAAAUGGUUUGAUAAGGGCCGAAUAUACACAAGCACUUAUGCAAUAAUUGGAAGACCUAGAGGGUGUGAGGCUCGACACUUGCAAUUUACUCGAGAAAGAAUACAAUUGUUGAUGCACAAAAUCAGUGAGGACUUUGGUACAACAAAAAGUGUUAAGUUUGUGACCUUUGCUAGAUUGCUCCAGUCACUAGUGUGGAUAAAUAUGUAAAUGGAUAGAGACAGGGAAGCAAACACAAGAUGUAUGUGGUUCGCCCAGAUUGGCUACGUUCAUGGAGUAGAGGAGUUCUUAUUAAUUGUGAAGGGUUUACAAAAGUAUAUAGGUUUAAGCUCUCCCUUAAUGAGUACUAGUGAAUGAUUUAGUACAAAUGACAGUAGGAAAUAUUGUGGGAGAAUGAUCUCCUUUUAUAAAAGAGAGUUUCUAGCUUUGCUCUGACAUUGACACGUGUCGUGUUAUGAUUGACUUCCGAUGUUGACACGUGUCGCGCUAUGAUUGGCUUCUGAUGUCAACAUGUGUCACGCUAUGAUUGGCCUCCUGGUUAAAGGGAAAUUCUUCUGGGUCCUUGACGGUAUAACGUUGACUGGUGCUCGGUAGUUUUAGGAUUGGUCAAGUAUGGUACAAACAGUGCUCCCCUAAGUUCCCGAGUGAGGGAAUCUCCUCGAUUGGGGACUUGCAAGAUCCAAGCCGUUGAGUAAUCACAAAACUUCUAAGUACCGAAGUGUGGUAUCGUCUUCACUUGCCUUAUCUCUCUCAUAGGUAGAUGUGGCAUCUUCUCUGGAAGUACUUUUCCUCCAUCCAAGGAUGGUAUCUUUAACUGGUUUAGAUGCACAAAGUAAUGUAUCAAUUUCACUUGAAGCUUACUUGUAGUUUCAGGCUUGGUCAAACGCAAUACAAAUCAUGUAGUAUGAGUCCCCCAAGUCGCCAAGCUAGGAGAUCUGCCGAAAGAGGUGACAGACAAGGUAAGCAAUCAAAGCUCUAAGUAAUCAGUCCCAUAUCAGAAGUUUGAUUUUGAGUUCCGGCUGAUUUUUCUCAUUCUCCCUAUCUUGCAGGCAACAUGAAGGAUAAAAAAAAAGAAAAAGGAGAAGAGAUGAUAUAAGAUACUUUUGCUUUUGAAGAAGUAACUUUCCAUAAGCUUAUUCUUGAACUGGGUUGAAAGGUUUUCUAGUUUCCUCCAGAUUAUAAGGCCGACUCAAGAAUUUAAGAGUUAAAAAAAGUCCAUCAAAUCAAGAGUUCAUUCGACCUUGAUGAUAUGGGAUACUUUUGUUGUUGACAAAGUAGUGGAUGUGGUAUGGCGAGGCUUUGCUCUUUGGCGACGUUGCUAGUGAAAGGUUGUUAAAGUUCCUUGAGCUCUUCAGAUAGGGAAGCAAUGCCGAGCUUGGAUUUGACUUAGACUCCUCUGCUUAGAUUAUGCGGUUCUGUAGGGAGGGCGUCGUGUUAUAAUGAUAUGUUCUAGCUCAUCGUUGAACCUUCUGCUUCAAUCUUUUGCAUCACAAAAGUGGUGCGCAACCUUUGCAUUUGAAUGGUCCUUUAGAGCACUACUUCUCAACGACUCAUCCAUACUUGGCAGCUUCAGUGUAAAGAGCCAAUAUCGUAUCAACUGUUCUAAAGUAUUUGCCGAAAAGAUUCGUGACCUUGACAACAAUUGAGGAUGAGUACUCGAGAGCAAUGCUAGGUGAGCAACCAGGCAAAGGUUCCAGGCAAUCAAUUCCAGAUUGGAAGUUUGAUUUCAGGUUUCGACUGAUUGCUUUUUUUCUCCUUGUCUUGCAAAUAAGAGCAAAGGCAAAGGAAAAGAUAGAGAAAAAACAUGAUAUAGGAUACUCUUGCUUUUAACCCUGAUGAUAUGAGAUACUCUUGCUCUGGUGUGGCUUGUUUGCAGAGGUAUUAUCGGGGGGAAAGGAAGCUGAGUAUUUCGAGAGGCUUCGUUGGGAGUGCCCUCUCAGAUAUGAGGAUGGUUGAGUAUUUUUGCAGGUCUGCCUGUCCGUGGAGGGUGGAAGUAGACAUAUAUAAGAGUUUUCCCAACAACAAGUAGUAAUGUUAUUUCUUUACCCUUCUUGGUCAUAGCAAUGUAGUGGGAGCUGCAAGCUUCACGUGUUUUAACUUUGUUAGAGCACUUUGAAAAAACGGUCUGUGGUAUCUAGAAAGCUGAUGUUGCGUGUGAAGAUUGCAGACAAAUUUUAUCCAAGGAAAUCUGGCUCUCGAAGUUCAGAGAGCGGCGCCUCUUCAAUUUUCGAACAAGCAAUCUUGUUGGGGAUCUAGCUCUCGAGAAUCGGAGAGCAUUGCCUCUUCGAUUUUUGAACAAGCAAUCCUAUUAGGGAUCUGGCUCUUAAGAUUUAGAGAGCGCUGCCUUUUCGAUUUUUGAGAAAGCGAUCCUGGUAAGAGUCUGGCUCUCAAGAUUCGAAUAGCGGUGUCUUUUCGAUUUUUGAGAAAAUAAUCUUGGUGGGAGUCUAGCUCUCGAGAUUCGAGGAGUGGUGCCUCUUUGAAAUUUUGAGAAAGUAAUCCUGUUGGAAGUGUUUUCUUGAUGUGAGUAAAGGUUGGGCAUUUUUGCCAGUCUGCUUUGCCACGGAGCACAGAGGUUGACACACAUAUGGACUUUCCAAUUAUCAAGCAGUGGUGAUGUUCCUUUACCCUUGUGGGUAAUAGUUGGGUAGCUGGACCUUCAAAAUUUAUGUGUCUAAACUUUGUCAGAGAUCUUUGGCAAAGUUAUCUGUGGUACCCAAGGAGCUGAUGUUGCGUGUGGGGAUUGUCGACAUAUUUUACUCAGGAAAAUCUGCUUCUCAAAAUCCGAAGAGUGGUGCCUCUUCGAUUUUUGAACCAAACGGACCUGUUGCCCUUUCUUUUAUAGGGGCAUCAAUUGUGUGCAAGAAGUACAUUUAGAGAGUUAUUGCUUGUAGGAAUUUUCCCCUUAUUUUCGUACUUCAGAGAUUUAUUGGACCUCAUUUCUCCUUCAUCAUUUCUGAAAAUGUCUGGCCCAUCCGACCGUCGUUUUGACUUGAACUUUGGUGAAAAUGCAGUCAUGCCUCUUUAAGACAACAUAUGGCGCCCAUUCUUCUUACCCCCUACUGGUCAUCUUACCGUUGGGGACUCUGUAAUGAAGAGUGAUAUGACUGCUGUGAUGGUGGCCAGGAACCUUCUCACUCCUAAAGAUAACAGACUACUUUCCAAACGGUCUGAUGAGUUGGCUGUUAAGGAUUCUCUGGCUCUCAGUGUUCAGUGUGCAGGUUCUGUGUCUAAUAUGGCCCAACGCCUAUUUGCUCGAACCCACCAAGUUGAAUCAUUGGCGGCUGAAGUGAUAAGUCUCAAACAGGAGAUUAGAGGGCUCAAGCAUGAGAAUAAACAGUUGCACAGGCUCGCACAUGACUAUGCUACAAACAUGAAGAGGAAGCUUGACCAGCUGCAGGAAUCUGAUGGUCAGAUUUUACUUGAUCAUCAGAGGUUUGUGGGUUUGUUCCAAAGGCAUUUAUUGCCUUCGUCUUCUGGGGCUGUACCUGUACCGCAUAAUGAAGCUCCAAAUGAUCAACCUUCCGAUGCCUCCUCCUUCUGGGUUCUGUUCUGCCAGUACUGAGGCUCCGAAUAAUCACCCUCCGGUGCCUCCUCUUUCUGGGGCUCUGCCGACUGCUGAGACUUCUCCUGAGCAACCUUUGUGAAGGCUCCCUCUUGUUUGUUUAUUUUGAUUCAUGUAUAUGUACAUAUUUGUAACUUAUCGGAGAUAUCAAUAAAUAAACAAGCUUUGCUUCAUUUCAACGUAUUGUGUUAAAUACACCAAGGCCUUCUUCACUAAGUUCUUUGAAUUUUUUUCUUUUGUUGAAGCUUGUAUGUUGAAGCUUUGUGAGUGAAGCAUGUAGGUUGAGGUAGUGCUCCCUUAAUUUCCCGAGUGAGGAAAACUUCUCGGUUGGAGACUUGAAAAAUCCAAGUCACUGAGUGGUCGUAAGACUUCCGAGUAUCAAGGUGUAAUAGCAUAUGGUAGGAGUCCCCUAAGUUUCCGGUCGAGGGAGUUGACGAAUGAGGCAUUUCCUUCUAAGUGGUAGCCCAAAACUCCUCCUUCAUAUAUAUUUGUUAUGAAAGUUGUUAGGCCCAAAGAAGAUGAGGCCUAGGUUUUUUUUUUUCUUUUCGAAAUUUCGAAUUUUUGAAUUUUCGAAUUUCCGAAAAAAAAAAAUAUAUAUAUAUAUAUAUAUUAAGCUUUGUAGUUGAAGCUUUGGUGUUGAAGCUUUGUAGGUGAAGCUUUAAGGUUGAAGCUUUGUUGGGUACCACGAAUUGAUUUUGCUUCACACUAUCUUGAUCAAGAGUAUGUGAAGCUUUUGUAGGUGAAGCUUUUGUGUUGAAGCUUUUGUGGGUGAAACUUUUGUAGGUGAAGCUUUGUUGGUGAAGCUUUGUUGGUGAAGCUCUGGUGUUGAAGCUUUUGUAGGUGAAGCUUUGUAGGUAAAGCUUUGUUGGGUACCAGAAAUUGAUUUUGCUUCACUCUAUCUUGAUCAAGAUAGUGUGAAGCUUUUGAGAAUUUGUAGUUGCCUUCCAUUUGUUGAAGCUUUUGUUGGGGAAACUUUUGUGGUGAAGCUUUGUAGAUGAAGCUUUGUUAGGUACCAUGAAUUAAUUUUGCUUCACACUAUCUUAAUCAAGAUAGUGUGAAGCUUUUGAGAAUUUGUAGUUGCCCUCCAUUUGUUGAAGCUUUUGUUGGUGAAGCUUUUGUGGUGAAGCUUUGUAGGUGAAGCUUUGUAGGUUGAAGCUUUGUAGGUGAAGCUUUGGUGUUGAAGCUUUGUAGGUGAAGCUUUAGAGUUGAAGCUUUUGUUGGGUACCAUGAAUUGAUUUUUCUUCACACUAUCUUGAUCAAGAGUGUGUGAAGCUUUUGAGAAUUUGUAGUUGUCCUCCAUUUGAUGAAGUUGUUGAAUUCCCCAAUUUCCUUUUUUUUUUUUUUUUUUUUUUUUUUUGGAAAAUAGAAAUUUAAAAAUGUGGGAGAGACAACAUAUACAAAUUUUGCUUCCAUACUGUUGAGCAAGAGAUUGUGAUGCAAGCCACACCUUGUAGUAGUCGAAGGUUUGGAUGAACCAUAUAAAUUGAAUUUGCUUUGAACAGUCUUGAUCAAGAGUGUGUGAAGCUUUCUACGAGUUGUAGUUGCCCUUCAUUGAUGAAGCUUUUGUUGGCACCAUAAAUUGGUUUUGCUUCACACUGUCUUGAUCAAGAGUGUGUGAAGCUUUUGAGAAUUGUGGUUGAACUCCUUUGAUGAAGCUCUUGUUGGCACCAUAAAUUGGUUUUGCUUCACACUGUCUUGAUCAAGAGUGUGUGAAGCUUUUGAGAAUUGUGGUUGAACUCCUUUGAUGAAGCUCUUGUUGGCACCAUAAAUUGGUUUUGCUUCACACUGUCUUGAUCAUAAGUGUGUGAAGCUUUUGAGAAUUGUGGUUCCCCUCCAUUGAUAAAGCUCUUGUUGGCACCAUAAAUUGGUUUUGCUUCACACUGUCUUGGUCAAUAGUGUGUGAAGCUUUUAAGAAUUGUGGUUGCCCUCCAUUGAUGAAGCUCUUGUUGGCACCAUAAAUUGGUUUUGCUUCACACUGUCUUGAUCAAGAGUGUGUGAAGCUUUUGAGAAUUGUGGUUGAACUCCUUUGAUGAAGCUUUUGUUGGCACCAUAAAUUGGUUUUGCUUCACACUGUCUUGAUCAAGAAUGUGUAAAGCUUUCUACGAGUUGUAGUGUUUGCAUUGUUACAGAGGAGAAAUGUCUGAAGCAGAUGCAAGAGGGCUGAAUAGCUUGAUCUUCGUAUGCCAUGCACUGAAGUUGUUGUUAGCUUGCAAUAAGACUUUGUUAGUGACUAUAACUCUUGUUGGGGAUAUGUGCUCCCCUAGUUGAGUUAUCAAGCUUGAGGGAUUUUGAUUAUUUGUGAAUGCUAGGAGUUCACAUGUACAAGUUGUAUCCCUCGUCUUCUGGUAGGUGGAAUGAAUAGUGAGUUGCUUUCAUCACUUGGUUGGUGGUACAUAGGUGAGUUCCUUCAUCACCUUUCAUCACAUUUCAUCACCUGGUUGGUGGCUAAGUGUUCCUUCACUCGGGACUCUGUCGCAAAGUAAUCUUUUCUUUAAUACCCAAUCCCCCACUUUGAAAGAACGAGGUUUGACCCUUGAGUCAUAGUAGUUGGAGAUGCGCUGCUUGUAGGCGACAUUCCUCAAGUGAGCCUGGUUUUUAUGUUCCUCGACUAGAUCUAAGUUGAAGGUAAGUUGUUUGUCAUUUUUGCUUUACACGUAGUUUCAGAUAGGUUAGUGAUGUGUUGGUCAACAUGUUUUCUCUUAACUAGCAUAUCAUCAACGUAAACUUCCAUGCUUUUCCCAAUCUGUUCGGCGAACAUUGAAUUAACUAGUCUCUGAUAAGUCGCUCCUGCAUUCUUUAGGCCGAAGGGCAUGACUUUAUAGCAAUAUAGUCCCCUGUCAGUAGUGAAGGCUGUGUGUUCUUGGUCUGGAGGGUUCAUAAGGAUUUGGUUGUAUCCUGAGUAAGCAUCCAUGAAGCUCAAGAGUUCACACCCUGCCGUAGAGUUUAUAAGUUUGUCAAUGAGAGGAAGAGGAAAGCUAUCCUUCGGGCAUCCUUUGUUUAGGUCGGUGUAGUCGACACACAUUCUCCACAAGACCUUUUAGAGCAGAAGACUUUCUUUGGUCAGAUUUUUCUUAACAAAUACCACAUUUGCUACCCAUGUUGGGUAAUUGACUUCGCGGACAAAGCCUAUGCCUUUGAGUUUUUCAACUUCUGCCUUCAUUGCUUCAUAUCAUUCAGCGUCAUAAGAUGUUCGCUUCUAUCUCACCGGCUUGGUCUUGGGGUCAAUACUCAAGCGAUGACAUAUGAUAUCGGGAGAGAUGCCUGCCAUAUCCUUGUAUGACCAGGCGAAGACCUUAGUGUUCUCUUGCAAAAAAAGAGAUCAAUGCCAACCAAAUGGGUGGUGACAAGAUGGUGUCAAUCUUCACCAUACGAUCUGGAUAAUCUUUUGAGAUAGAAACCUUCUCAAACUCUUCAGCGGGUUAUGCUUGUUGGGUGAAAGAGUCGUCUCGAGGAUCGUCAGGUUAACUGUUGCCACCAUGGAGAUCCAAGUUGGCUUCGUCUAGGCUGGUCUUUAUGACUUGGUCAUGUAUAGAAAAGGGUUUCCUUGGGCACAUGCAAGUAUUGUUGCUUGGCCGAAGUGUUGUAGCAUGAUCGUGCACUAAGUUGAUCUCCUCUAAUGUAACCAUUGCCAUAGGGGGUUGGAAAUUUCAUCAACAACAUAUAUGUGGAUACCAUGGCCUUGAGAUCAUUGAUGCUUUUGCGUCUGAAGAUGACAUUGUAUGUCGUUGGGCAAUUAACCACCUAGAAGUUAGUGGUAAUGGUAGUUGUGUAAGGGCCUAUGCCAAUGGUGAAAGGUAAGUGUAUACUCCCUAAAGGUUGCACGAUAUCACCGGAGAAGUUUAUCAAAGGAGAAAUCGAGCGAUCGAGCAAGUUUCAGCUACAUUAAAUGCCCUGAAAGCUUCAGCAAACAUGAUAUUAAUCGAAGCCCCCGUGUCUACUAGGAUUCGUCGUACUUCAAAGUUAGCUAUGUGAGCUUCCACGAUUAGUGGGUCGUUAUGAGGGUAAAUGAUAUUUUUUUUCUUCCUUAGGGUAGAAACAUAUCGGAUCCCAAUUAGGCUUUUGAUAUUUGCCUCCCGUGAUGUCUUCCACGUGAAACACUUGGUGGCCAGGCCUUAAAGCUCGUUCGUUGUUUUUCAUAGCCCUGUUGGAAGAUUUAGAUAUGGGUGUGCCGCCACUUAUGGAAUAUAUCACAUUCACCUGGCGUUGGUUACUCCUUGGAGGGUGAAGGAGGAAUUGAUCAAUUUUUCCUUCAUGUGCCAAAGCUUCAAUAUGAUCACGAAGGGUGAUACACUUCUCGACGUCAUGGCUGUUAUGCUCGUGGUAGCAGCAAAACGUGCCCGUGUUCUUCGUGGGCUUGUAAUCCGGGUGCCUCGACUUUGGCUUCGAUAUCAAGUGUGCUAUGCUGGGGUAAAUGGCCACGCAUAUGGCGUUCAAAGGUAUGUAUGCCUUAUACCUCAAGGUAGGGCUUAUACUGACAUGUGCUUGACCCACUGUGUUGACUGCCUGGGGUCGGGGAUUAUCGUGGCGAUACCCUUGGUUCCCUUGGUUAUCGCGGUAGUGUCCCUUACUCCUUUUACUAAAAUGAGACUGGUAAGGAUGGAAAUCUUCCCUUUUGCCCUAAGAUUGAUAUGUCUGUUGACUUGGCAAACUAUUAAGUAAGGCAGGGGAAGACAUCGUUGCCGUUUGGAAGGUUGAAGUCUUCUCAUUUGGGUAGGUCGAGCUUCCACUUCCCAUUUGCUGAUAGGGGAUGGUUGUUGGGGGUUUCUCUUGGUGUGUCCUUGCCUCGGUGGAGGCAUAGUUAUAGGCCUGCGUCAUCACCUUAAAGUAAGUCUUCCAAGUGUUGGCAUUGAUCAUGUACUUAAAGAAACAGUCACGCAGGCCUGCCGUGAAGGCUUUGAAGGCAGUCUUGUCGUCUGCCUCGGCACAACGGGAAUACUCAUGGCUGAAGCGGCCAGCAUACAUACGUAAUGACUCGUCUGGCUUCUGGCGAAUAGUGUACAAGUCAUCCGCAGAGUGCAAGCGAUCGGUCUGGAAAAUGUGUUGAGAAACAAACUGUUUCCUCAAUUCCUCAAAUGAGUCUACUGUCUUAGGUGGAAGACGGUAAUACCAGUUUAAAGCUCCACCAAAGAGGGUGGAGGGGAAGAGAAGACAUCGCUUUUCGUUAGUGUGCAUCCGGUAUGCCAUGGUGGACUAAAAAAGGUUAAGGUGUUCAAUCGGGUCCUCCUUUCCAGUAUAGAGUUGCAAGCCAAGCUUCUGCUCUGUCUUUGCUUGGAGGGGGUGUUGAGGAUCCUACUUGUAAGAAGGCCAGGCCUAGGUUGGUUCCAAUCAGAUAUCUCAGCUUGUCGUUCGGCCUUCAACUUGUUUACUUCCUUAAGGAGCUAUAGGACAAUAGGGUCUUGAGUGGAGUCCUGUACCACUGGAGCUUUCUUUCGUAAAUCUCCAUCUCCUCUUGGAAGUAGGAAGGUUUGAUCAAGAGCAUGUGAUUUUUCCCUGGACUCGUCGUACUGACUUCCAAGGUAUGUCUGUCUGAACAUCUGAGUCCCUUAUACCCAGUAUGUUAUCUCUUUAGACAUUUAAGGCUGAGUAAUUCAUCAACCAUUGUAACUUAGUCAANGCUCUUCNNNNNNNNNNNNNNNNNNNNNNNNNNNNNNNNNNNNNNNNNNNNNNNNNNNNNNNNNNNNNNNNNNNNNNNNNNNNNNNNNNNNNNNNNNNNNNNNNNNNNNNNNNNNNNNNNNNNNNNNNNNNNNNNNNNNNNNNNNNNNNNNNNNNNNNNNNNNNNNNNNNNNNNNNNNNNNNNNNNNNNNNNNNNNNNNNNNNNNNNNNNNNNNNNNNNNNNNNNNNNNNNNNNNNNNNNNNNNNNNNNNNNNNNNNNNNNNNNNNNNNNNNNNNNNNNNNNNNNNNNNNNNNNNNNNNNNNNNNNNNNNNNNNNNNNNNNNNNNNNNNNNNNNNNNNNNNNNNNNNNNNNNNNNNNNNNNNNNNNNNNNNNNNNNNNNNNNNNNNNNNNNNNNNNNNNNNNNNNNNNNNNNNNNNNNNNNNNNNNNNNNNNNNNNNNNNNNNNNNNNNNNNNNNNNNNNNNNNNNNNNNNNNNNNNNNNNNNNNNNNNNNNNNNNNNNNNNNNNNNNNNNNNNNNNNNNNNNNNNNNNNNNNNNNNNNNNNNNNNNNNNNNNNNNNNNNNNNNNNNNNNNNNNNNNNNNNNNNNNNNNNNNNNNNNNNNNNNNNNNNNNNNNNNNNNNNNNNNNNNNNNNNNNNNNNNNNNNNNNNNNNNNNNNNNNNNNNNNNNNNNNNNNNNNNNNNNNNNNNNNNNNNNNNNNNNNNNNNNNNNNNNNNNNNNNNNNNNNNNNNNNNNNNNNNNNNNNNNNNNNNNNNNNNNNNNNNNNNNNNNNNNNNNNNNNNNNNNNNNNNNNNNNNNNNNNNNNNNNNNNNNNNNNNNNNNNNNNNNNNNNNNNNNNNNNNNNNNNNNNNNNNNNNNNNNNNNNNNNNNNNNNNNNNNNNNNNNNNNNNNNNNNNNNNNNNNNNNNNNNNNNNNNNNNNNNNNNNNNNNNNNNNNNNNNNNNNNNNNNNNNNNNNNNNNNNNNNNNNNNNNNNNNNNNNNNNNNNNNNNNNNNNNNNNNNNNNNNNNNNNNNNNNNNNNNNNNNNNNNNNNNNNNNNNNNNNNNNNNNNNNNNNNNNNNNNNNNNNNNNNNNNNNNNNNNNNNNNNNNNNNNNNNNNNNNNNNNNNNNNNNNNNNNNNNNNNNNNNNNNNNNNNNNNNNNNNNNNNNNNNNNNNNNNNNNNNNNNNNNNNNNNNNNNNNNNNNNNNNNNNNNNNNNNNNNNNNNNNNNNNNNNNNNNNNNNNNNNNNNNNNNNNNNNNNNNNNNNNNNNNNNNNNNNNNNNNNNNNNNNNNNNNNNNNNNNNNNNNNNNNNNNNNNNNNNNNNNNNNNNNNNNNNNNNNNNNNNNNNNNNNNNNNNNNNNNNNNNNNNNNNNNNNNNNNNNNNNNNNNNNNNNNNNNNNNNNNNNNNNNNNNNNNNNNNNNNNNNNNNNNNNNNNNNNNNNNNNNNNNNNNNNNNNNNNNNNNNNNNNNNNNNNNNNNNNNNNNNNNNNNNNNNNNNNNNNNNNNNNNNNNNNNNNNNNNNNNNNNNNNNNNNNNNNNNNNNNNNNNNNNNNNNNNNNNNNNNNNNNNNNNNNNNNNNNNNNNNNNNNNNNNNNNNNNNNNNNNNNNNNNNNNNNNNNNNNNNNNNNNNNNNNNNNNNNNNNNNNNNNNNNNNNNNNNNNNNNNNNNNNNNNNNNNNNNNNNNNNNNNNNNNNNNNNNNNNNNNNNNNNNNNNNNNNNNNNNNNNNNNNNNNNNNNNNNNNNNNNNNNNNNNNNNNNNNNNNNNNNNNNNNNNNNNNNNNNNNNNNNNNNNNNNNNNNNNNNNNNNNNNNNNNNNNNNNNNNNNNNNNNNNNNNNNNNNNNNNNNNNNNNNNNNNNNNNNNNNNNNNNNNNNNNNNNNNNNNNNNNNNNNNNNNNNNNNNNNNNNNNNNNNNNNNNNNNNNNNNNNNNNNNNNNNNNNNNNNNNNNNNNNNNNNNNNNNNNNNNNNNNNNNNNNNNNNNNNNNNNNNNNNNNNNNNNNNNNNNNNNNNNNNNNNNNNNNNNNNNNNNNNNNNNNNNNNNNNNNNNNNNNNNNNNNNNNNNNNNNNNNNNNNNNNNNNNNNNNNNNNNNNNNNNNNNNNNNNNNNNNNNNNNNNNNNNNNNNNNNNNNNNNNNNNNNNNNNNNNNNNNNNNNNNNNNNNNNNNNNNNNNNNNNNNNNNNNNNNNNNNNNNNNNNNNNNNNNNNNNNNNNNNNNNNNNNNNNNNNNNNNNNNNNNNNNNNNNNNNNNNNNNNNNNNNNNNNNNNNNNNNNNNNNNNNNNNNNNNNNNNNNNNNNNNNNNNNNNNNNNNNNNNNNNNNNNNNNNNNNNNNNNNNNNNNNNNNNNNNNNNNNNNNNNNNNNNNNNNNNNNNNNNNNNNNNNNNNNNNNNNNNNNNNNNNNNNNNNNNNNNNNNNNNNNNNNNNNNNNNNNNNNNNNNNNNNNNNNNNNNNNNNNNNNNNNNNNNNNNNNNNNNNNNNNNNNNNNNNNNNNNNNNNNNNNNNNNNNNNNNNNNNNNNNNNNNNNNNNNNNNNNNNNNNNNNNNNNNNNNNNNNNNNNNNNNNNNNNNNNNNNNNNNNNNNNNNNNNNNNNNNNNNNNNNNNNNNNNNNNNNNNNNNNNNNNNNNNNNNNNNNNNNNNNNNNNNNNNNNNNNNNNNNNNNNNNNNNNNNNNNNNNNNNNNNNNNNNNNNNNNNNNNNNNNNNNNNNNNNNNNNNNNNNNNNNNNNNNNNNNNNNNNNNNNNNNNNNNNNNNNNNNNNNNNNNNNNNNNNNNNNNNNNNNNNNNNNNNNNNNNNNNNNNNNNNNNNNNNNNNNNNNNNNNNNNNNNNNNNNNNNNNNNNNNNNNNNNNNNNNNNNNNNNNNNNNNNNNNNNNNNNNNNNNNNNNNNNNNNNNNNNNNNNNNNNNNNNNNNNNNNNNNNNNNNNNNNNNNNNNNNNNNNNNNNNNNNNNNNNNNNNNNNNNNNNNNNNNNNNNNNNNNNNNNNNNNNNNNNNNNNNNNNNNNNNNNNNNNNNNNNNNNNNNNNNNNNNNNNNNNNNNNNNNNNNNNNNNNNNNNNNNNNNNNNNNNNNNNNNNNNNNNNNNNNNNNNNNNNNNNNNNNNNNNNNNNNNNNNNNNNNNNNNNNNNNNNNNNNNNNNNNNNNNNNNNNNNNNNNNNNNNNNNNNNNNNNNNNNNNNNNNNNNNNNNNNNNNNNNNNNNNNNNNNNNNNNNNNNNNNNNNNNNNNNNNNNNNNNNNNNNNNNNNNNNNNNNNNNNNNNNNNNNNNNNNNNNNNNNNNNNNNNNNNNNNNNNNNNNNNNNNNNNNNNNNNNNNNNNNNNNNNNNNNNNNNNNNNNNNNNNNNNNNNNNNNNNNNNNNNNNNNNNNNNNNNNNNNNNNNNNNNNNNNNNNNNNNNNNNNNNNNNNNNNNNNNNNNNNNNNNNNNNNNNNNNNNNNNNNNNNNNNNNNNNNNNNNNNNNNNNNNNNNNNNNNNNNNNNNNNNNNNNNNNNNNNNNNNNNNNNNNNNNNNNNNNNNNNNNNNNNNNNNNNNNNNNNNNNNNNNNNNNNNNNNNNNNNNNNNNNNNNNNNNNNNNNNNNNNNNNNNNNNNNNNNNNNNNNNNNNNNNNNNNNNNNNNNNNNNNNNNNNNNNNNNNNNNNNNNNNNNNNNNNNNNNNNNNNNNNNNNNNNNNNNNNNNNNNNNNNNNNNNNNNNNNNNNNNNNNNNNNNNNNNNNNNNNNNNNNNNNNNNNNNNNNNNNNNNNNNNNNNNNNNNNNNNNNNNNNNNNNNNNNNNNNNNNNNNNNNNNNNNNNNNNNNNNNNNNNNNNNNNNNNNNNNNNNNNNNNNNNNNNNNNNNNNNNNNNNNNNNNNNNNNNNNNNNNNNNNNNNNNNNNNNNNNNNNNNNNNNNNNNNNNNNNNNNNNNNNNNNNNNNNNNNNNNNNNNNNNNNNNNNNNNNNNNNNNNNNNNNNNNNNNNNNNNNNNNNNNNNNNNNNNNNNNNNNNNNNNNNNNNNNNNNNNNNNNNNNNNNNNNNNNNNNNNNNNNNNNNNNNNNNNNNNNNNNNNNNNNNNNNNNNNNNNNNNNNNNNNNNNNNNNNNNNNNNNNNNNNNNNNNNNNNNNNNNNNNNNNNNNNNNNNNNNNNNNNNNNNNNNNNNNNNNNNNNNNNNNNNNNNNNNNNNNNNNNNNNNNNNNNNNNNNNNNNNNNNNNNNNNNNNNNNNNNNNNNNNNNNNNNNNNNNNNNNNNNNNNNNNNNNNNNNNNNNNNNNNNNNNNNNNNNNNNNNNNNNNNNNNNNNNNNNNNNNNNNNNNNNNNNNNNNNNNNNNNNNNNNNNNNNNNNNNNNNNNNNNNNNNNNNNNNNNNNNNNNNNNNNNNNNNNNNNNNNNNNNNNNNNNNNNNNNNNNNNNNNNNNNNNNNNNNNNNNNNNNNNNNNNNNNNNNNNNNNNNNNNNNNNNNNNNNNNNNNNNNNNNNNNNNNNNNNNNNNNNNNNNNNNNNNNNNNNNNNNNNNNNNNNNNNNNNNNNNNNNNNNNNNNNNNNNNNNNNNNNNNNNNNNNNNNNNNNNNNNNNNNNNNNNNNNNNNNNNNNNNNNNNNNNNNNNNNNNNNNNNNNNNNNNNNNNNNNNNNNNNNNNNNNNNNNNNNNNNNNNNNNNNNNNNNNNNNNNNNNNNNNNNNNNNNNNNNNNNNNNNNNNNNNNNNNNNNNNNNNNNNNNNNNNNNNNNNNNNNNNNNNNNNNNNNNNNNNNNNNNNNNNNNNNNNNNNNNNNNNNNNNNNNNNNNNNNNNNNNNNNNNNNNNNNNNNNNNNNNNNNNNNNNNNNNNNNNNNNNNNNNNNNNNNNNNNNNNNNNNNNNNNNNNNNNNNNNNNNNNNNNNNNNNNNNNNNNNNNNNNNNNNNNNNNNNNNNNNNNNNNNNNNNNNNNNNNNNNNNNNNNNNNNNNNNNNNNNNNNNNNNNNNNNNNNNNNNNNNNNNNNNNNNNNNNNNNNNNNNNNNNNNNNNNNNNNNNNNNNNNNNNNNNNNNNNNNNNNNNNNNNNNNNNNNNNNNNNNNNNNNNNNNNNNNNNNNNNNNNNNNNNNNNNNNNNNNNNNNNNNNNNNNNNNNNNNNNNNNNNNNNNNNNNNNNNNNNNNNNNNNNNNNNNNNNNNNNNNNNNNNNNNNNNNNNNNNNNNNNNNNNNNNNNNNNNNNNNNNNNNNNNNNNNNNNNNNNNNNNNNNNNNNNNNNNNNNNNNNNNNNNNNNNNNNNNNNNNNNNNNNNNNNNNNNNNNNNNNNNNNNNNNNNNNNNNNNNNNNNNNNNNNNNNNNNNNNNNNNNNNNNNNNNNNNNNNNNNNNNNNNNNNNNNNNNNNNNNNNNNNNNNNNNNNNNNNNNNNNNNNNNNNNNNNNNNNNNNNNNNNNNNNNNNNNNNNNNNNNNNNNNNNNNNNNNNNNNNNNNNNNNNNNNNNNNNNNNNNNNNNNNNNNNNNNNNNNNNNNNNNNNNNNNNNNNNNNNNNNNNNNNNNNNNNNNNNNNNNNNNNNNNNNNNNNNNNNNNNNNNNNNNNNNNNNNNNNNNNNNNNNNNNNNNNNNNNNNNNNNNNNNNNNNNNNNNNNNNNNNNNNNNNNNNNNNNNNNNNNNNNNNNNNNNNNNNNNNNNNNNNNNNNNNNNNNNNNNNNNNNNNNNNNNNNNNNNNNNNNNNNNNNNNNNNNNNNNNNNNNNNNNNNNNNNNNNNNNNNNNNNNNNNNNNNNNNNNNNNNNNNNNNNNNNNNNNNNNNNNNNNNNNNNNNNNNNNNNNNNNNNNNNNNNNNNNNNNNNNNNNNNNNNNNNNNNNNNNNNNNNNNNNNNNNNNNNNNNNNNNNNNNNNNNNNNNNNNNNNNNNNNNNNNNNNNNNNNNNNNNNNNNNNNNNNNNNNNNNNNNNNNNNNNNNNNNNNNNNNNNNNNNNNNNNNNNNNNNNNNNNNNNNNNNNNNNNNNNNNNNNNNNNNNNNNNNNNNNNNNNNNNNNNNNNNNNNNNNNNNNNNNNNNNNNNNNNNNNNNNNNNNNNNNNNNNNNNNNNNNNNNNNNNNNNNNNNNNNNNNNNNNNNNNNNNNNNNNNNNNNNNNNNNNNNNNNNNNNNNNNNNNNNNNNNNNNNNNNNNNNNNNNNNNNNNNNNNNNNNNNNNNNNNNNNNNNNNNNNNNNNNNNNNNNNNNNNNNNNNNNNNNNNNNNNNNNNNNNNNNNNNNNNNNNNNNNNNNNNNNNNNNNNNNNNNNNNNNNNNNNNNNNNNNNNNNNNNNNNNNNNNNNNNNNNNNNNNNNNNNNNNNNNNNNNNNNNNNNNNNNNNNNNNNNNNNNNNNNNNNNNNNNNNNNNNNNNNNNNNNNNNNNNNNNNNNNNNNNNNNNNNNNNNNNNNNNNNNNNNNNNNNNNNNNNNNNNNNNNNNNNNNNNNNNNNNNNNNNNNNNNNNNNNNNNNNNNNNNNNNNNNNNNNNNNNNNNNNNNNNNNNNNNNNNNNNNNNNNNNNNNNNNNNNNNNNNNNNNNNNNNNNNNNNNNNNNNNNNNNNNNNNNNNNNNNNNNNNNNNNNNNNNNNNNNNNNNNNNNNNNNNNNNNNNNNNNNNNNNNNNNNNNNNNNNNNNNNNNNNNNNNNNNNNNNNNNNNNNNNNNNNNNNNNNNNNNNNNNNNNNNNNNNNNNNNNNNNNNNNNNNNNNNNNNNNNNNNNNNNNNNNNNNNNNNNNNNNNNNNNNNNNNNNNNNNNNNNNNNNNNNNNNNNNNNNNNNNNNNNNNNNNNNNNNNNNNNNNNNNNNNNNNNNNNNNNNNNNNNNNNNNNNNNNNNNNNNNNNNNNNNNNNNNNNNNNNNNNNNNNNNNNNNNNNNNNNNNNNNNNNNNNNNNNNNNNNNNNNNNNNNNNNNNNNNNNNNNNNNNNNNNNNNNNNNNNNNNNNNNNNNNNNNNNNNNNNNNNNNNNNNNNNNNNNNNNNNNNNNNNNNNNNNNNNNNNNNNNNNNNNNNNNNNNNNNNNNNNNNNNNNNNNNNNNNNNNNNNNNNNNNNNNNNNNNNNNNNNNNNNNNNNNNNNNNNNNNNNNNNNNNNNNNNNNNNNNNNNNNNNNNNNNNNNNNNNNNNNNNNNNNNNNNNNNNNNNNNNNNNNNNNNNNNNNNNNNNNNNNNNNNNNNNNNNNNNNNNNNNNNNNNNNNNNNNNNNNNNNNNNNNNNNNNNNNNNNNNNNNNNNNNNNNNNNNNNNNNNNNNNNNNNNNNNNNNNNNNNNNNNNNNNNNNNNNNNNNNNNNNNNNNNNNNNNNNNNNNNNNNNNNNNNNNNNNNNNNNNNNNNNNNNNNNNNNNNNNNNNNNNNNNNNNNNNNNNNNNNNNNNNNNNNNNNNNNNNNNNNNNNNNNNNNNNNNNNNNNNNNNNNNNNNNNNNNNNNNNNNNNNNNNNNNNNNNNNNNNNNNNNNNNNNNNNNNNNNNNNNNNNNNNNNNNNNNNNNNNNNNNNNNNNNNNNNNNNNNNNNNNNNNNNNNNNNNNNNNNNNNNNNNNNNNNNNNNNNNNNNNNNNNNNNNNNNNNNNNNNNNNNNNNNNNNNNNNNNNNNNNNNNNNNNNNNNNNNNNNNNNNNNNNNNNNNNNNNNNNNNNNNNNNNNNNNNNNNNNNNNNNNNNNNNNNNNNNNNNNNNNNNNNNNNNNNNNNNNNNNNNNNNNNNNNNNNNNNNNNNNNNNNNNNNNNNNNNNNNNNNNNNNNNNNNNNNNNNNNNNNNNNNNNNNNNNNNNNNNNNNNNNNNNNNNNNNNNNNNNNNNNNNNNNNNNNNNNNNNNNNNNNNNNNNNNNNNNNNNNNNNNNNNNNNNNNNNNNNNNNNNNNNNNNNNNNNNNNNNNNNNNNNNNNNNNNNNNNNNNNNNNNNNNNNNNNNNNNNNNNNNNNNNNNNNNNNNNNNNNNNNNNNNNNNNNNNNNNNNNNNNNNNNNNNNNNNNNNNNNNNNNNNNNNNNNNNNNNNNNNNNNNNNNNNNNNNNNNNNNNNNNNNNNNNNNNNNNNNNNNNNNNNNNNNNNNNNNNNNNNNNNNNNNNNNNNNNNNNNNNNNNNNNNNNNNNNNNNNNNNNNNNNNNNNNNNNNNNNNNNNNNNNNNNNNNNNNNNNNNNNNNNNNNNNNNNNNNNNNNNNNNNNNNNNNNNNNNNNNNNNNNNNNNNNNNNNNNNNNNNNNNNNNNNNNNNNNNNNNNNNNNNNNNNNNNNNNNNNNNNNNNNNNNNNNNNNNNNNNNNNNNNNNNNNNNNNNNNNNNNNNNNNNNNNNNNNNNNNNNNNNNNNNNNNNNNNNNNNNNNNNNNNNNNNNNNNNNNNNNNNNNNNNNNNNNNNNNNNNNNNNNNNNNNNNNNNNNNNNNNNNNNNNNNNNNNNNNNNNNNNNNNNNNNNNNNNNNNNNNNNNNNNNNNNNNNNNNNNNNNNNNNNNNNNNNNNNNNNNNNNNNNNNNNNNNNNNNNNNNNGCUCUUCNNNNNNNNNNNNNNNNNNNNNNNNNNNNNNNNNNNNNNNNNNNNNNNNNNNNNNNNNNNNNNNNNNNNNNNNNNNNNNNNNNNNNNNNNNNNNNNNNNNNNNNNNNNNNNNNNNNNNNNNNNNNNNNNNNNNNNNNNNNNNNNNNNNNNNNNNNNNNNNNNNNNNNNNNNNNNNNNNNNNNNNNNNNNNNNNNNNNNNNNNNNNNNNNNNNNNNNNNNNNNNNNNNNNNNNNNNNNNNNNNNNNNNNNNNNNNNNNNNNNNNNNNNNNNNNNNNNNNNNNNNNNNNNNNNNNNNNNNNNNNNNNNNNNNNNNNNNNNNNNNNNNNNNNNNNNNNNNNNNNNNNNNNNNNNNNNNNNNNNNNNNNNNNNNNNNNNNNNNNNNNNNNNNNNNNNNNNNNNNNNNNNNNNNNNNNNNNNNNNNNNNNNNNNNNNNNNNNNNNNNNNNNNNNNNNNNNNNNNNNNNNNNNNNNNNNNNNNNNNNNNNNNNNNNNNNNNNNNNNNNNNNNNNNNNNNNNNNNNNNNNNNNNNNNNNNNNNNNNNNNNNNNNNNNNNNNNNNNNNNNNNNNNNNNNNNNNNNNNNNNNNNNNNNNNNNNNNNNNNNNNNNNNNNNNNNNNNNNNNNNNNNNNNNNNNNNNNNNNNNNNNNNNNNNNNNNNNNNNNNNNNNNNNNNNNNNNNNNNNNNNNNNNNNNNNNNNNNNNNNNNNNNNNNNNNNNNNNNNNNNNNNNNNNNNNNNNNNNNNNNNNNNNNNNNNNNNNNNNNNNNNNNNNNNNNNNNNNNNNNNNNNNNNNNNNNNNNNNNNNNNNNNNNNNNNNNNNNNNNNNNNNNNNNNNNNNNNNNNNNNNNNNNNNNNNNNNNNNNNNNNNNNNNNNNNNNNNNNNNNNNNNNNNNNNNNNNNNNNNNNNNNNNNNNNNNNNNNNNNNNNNNNNNNNNNNNNNNNNNNNNNNNNNNNNNNNNNNNNNNNNNNNNNNNNNNNNNNNNNNNNNNNNNNNNNNNNNNNNNNNNNNNNNNNNNNNNNNNNNNNNNNNNNNNNNNNNNNNNNNNNNNNNNNNNNNNNNNNNNNNNNNNNNNNNNNNNNNNNNNNNNNNNNNNNNNNNNNNNNNNNNNNNNNNNNNNNNNNNNNNNNNNNNNNNNNNNNNNNNNNNNNNNNNNNNNNNNNNNNNNNNNNNNNNNNNNNNNNNNNNNNNNNNNNNNNNNNNNNNNNNNNNNNNNNNNNNNNNNNNNNNNNNNNNNNNNNNNNNNNNNNNNNNNNNNNNNNNNNNNNNNNNNNNNNNNNNNNNNNNNNNNNNNNNNNNNNNNNNNNNNNNNNNNNNNNNNNNNNNNNNNNNNNNNNNNNNNNNNNNNNNNNNNNNNNNNNNNNNNNNNNNNNNNNNNNNNNNNNNNNNNNNNNNNNNNNNNNNNNNNNNNNNNNNNNNNNNNNNNNNNNNNNNNNNNNNNNNNNNNNNNNNNNNNNNNNNNNNNNNNNNNNNNNNNNNNNNNNNNNNNNNNNNNNNNNNNNNNNNNNNNNNNNNNNNNNNNNNNNNNNNNNNNNNNNNNNNNNNNNNNNNNNNNNNNNNNNNNNNNNNNNNNNNNNNNNNNNNNNNNNNNNNNNNNNNNNNNNNNNNNNNNNNNNNNNNNNNNNNNNNNNNNNNNNNNNNNNNNNNNNNNNNNNNNNNNNNNNNNNNNNNNNNNNNNNNNNNNNNNNNNNNNNNNNNNNNNNNNNNNNNNNNNNNNNNNNNNNNNNNNNNNNNNNNNNNNNNNNNNNNNNNNNNNNNNNNNNNNNNNNNNNNNNNNNNNNNNNNNNNNNNNNNNNNNNNNNNNNNNNNNNNNNNNNNNNNNNNNNNNNNNNNNNNNNNNNNNNNNNNNNNNNNNNNNNNNNNNNNNNNNNNNNNNNNNNNNNNNNNNNNNNNNNNNNNNNNNNNNNNNNNNNNNNNNNNNNNNNNNNNNNNNNNNNNNNNNNNNNNNNNNNNNNNNNNNNNNNNNNNNNNNNNNNNNNNNNNNNNNNNNNNNNNNNNNNNNNNNNNNNNNNNNNNNNNNNNNNNNNNNNNNNNNNNNNNNNNNNNNNNNNNNNNNNNNNNNNNNNNNNNNNNNNNNNNNNNNNNNNNNNNNNNNNNNNNNNNNNNNNNNNNNNNNNNNNNGCUCUUCNNNNNNNNNNNNNNNNNNNNNNNNNNNNNNNNNNNNNNNNNNNNNNNNNNNNNNNNNNNNNNNNNNNNNNNNNNNNNNNNNNNNNNNNNNNNNNNNNNNNNNNNNNNNNNNNNNNNNNNNNNNNNNNNNNNNNNNNNNNNNNNNNNNNNNNNNNNNNNNNNNNNNNNNNNNNNNNNNNNNNNNNNNNNNNNNNNNNNNNNNNNNNNNNNNNNNNNNNNNNNNNNNNNNNNNNNNNNNNNNNNNNNNNNNNNNNNNNNNNNNNNNNNNNNNNNNNNNNNNNNNNNNNNNNNNNNNNNNNNNNNNNNNNNNNNNNNNNNNNNNNNNNNNNNNNNNNNNNNNNNNNNNNNNNNNNNNNNNNNNNNNNNNNNNNNNNNNNNNNNNNNNNNNNNNNNNNNNNNNNNNNNNNNNNNNNNNNNNNNNNNNNNNNNNNNNNNNNNNNNNNNNNNNNNNNNNNNNNNNNNNNNNNNNNNNNNNNNNNNNNNNNNNNNNNNNNNNNNNNNNNNNNNNNNNNNNNNNNNNNNNNNNNNNNNNNNNNNNNNNNNNNNNNNNNNNNNNNNNNNNNNNNNNNNNNNNNNNNNNNNNNNNNNNNNNNNNNNNNNNNNNNNNNNNNNNNNNNNNNNNNNNNNNNNNNNNNNNNNNNNNNNNNNNNNNNNNNNNNNNNNNNNNNNNNNNNNNNNNNNNNNNNNNNNNNNNNNNNNNNNNNNNNNNNNNNNNNNNNNNNNNNNNNNNNNNNNNNNNNNNNNNNNNNNNNNNNNNNNNNNNNNNNNNNNNNNNNNNNNNNNNNNNNNNNNNNNNNNNNNNNNNNNNNNNNNNNNNNNNNNNNNNNNNNNNNNNNNNNNNNNNNNNNNNNNNNNNNNNNNNNNNNNNNNNNNNNNNNNNNNNNNNNNNNNNNNNNNNNNNNNNNNNNNNNNNNNNNNNNNNNNNNNNNNNNNNNNNNNNNNNNNNNNNNNNNNNNNNNNNNNNNNNNNNNNNNNNNNNNNNNNNNNNNNNNNNNNNNNNNNNNNNNNNNNNNNNNNNNNNNNNNNNNNNNNNNNNNNNNNNNNNNNNNNNNNNNNNNNNNNNNNNNNNNNNNNNNNNNNNNNNNNNNNNNNNNNNNNNNNNNNNNNNNNNNNNNNNNNNNNNNNNNNNNNNNNNNNNNNNNNNNNNNNNNNNNNNNNNNNNNNNNNNNNNNNNNNNNNNNNNNNNNNNNNNNNNNNNNNNNNNNNNNNNNNNNNNNNNNNNNNNNNNNNNNNNNNNNNNNNNNNNNNNNNNNNNNNNNNNNNNNNNNNNNNNNNNNNNNNNNNNNNNNNNNNNNNNNNNNNNNNNNNNNNNNNNNNNNNNNNNNNNNNNNNNNNNNNNNNNNNNNNNNNNNNNNNNNNNNNNNNNNNNNNNNNNNNNNNNNNNNNNNNNNNNNNNNNNNNNNNNNNNNNNNNNNNNNNNNNNNNNNNNNNNNNNNNNNNNNNNNNNNNNNNNNNNNNNNNNNNNNNNNNNNNNNNNNNNNNNNNNNNNNNNNNNNNNNNNNNNNNNNNNNNNNNNNNNNNNNNNNNNNNNNNNNNNNNNNNNNNNNNNNNNNNNNNNNNNNNNNNNNNNNNNNNNNNNNNNNNNNNNNNNNNNNNNNNNNNNNNNNNNNNNNNNNNNNNNNNNNNNNNNNNNNNNNNNNNNNNNNNNNNNNNNNNNNNNNNNNNNNNNNNNNNNNNNNNNNNNNNNNNNNNNNNNNNNNNNNNNNNNNNNNNNNNNNNNNNNNNNNNNNNNNNNNNNNNNNNNNNNNNNNNNNNNNNNNNNNNNNNNNNNNNNNNNNNNNNNNNNNNNNNNNNNNNNNNNNNNNNNNNNNNNNNNNNNNNNNNNNNNNNNNNNNNNNNNNNNNNNNNNNNNNNNNNNNNNNNNNNNNNNNNNNNNNNNNNNNNNNNNNNNNNNNNNNNNNNNNNNNNNNNNNNNNNNNNNNNNNNNNNNNNNNNNNNNNNNNNNNNNNNNNNNNNNNNNNNNNNNNNNNNNNNNNNNNNNNNNNNNNNNNNNNNNNNNNNNNNNNNNNNNNNNNNNNNNNNNNNNNNNNNNNNNNNNNNNNNNNNNNNNNNNNNNNNNNNNNNNNNNNNNNNNNNNNNNNNNNNNNNNNNNNNNNNNNNNNNNNNNNNNNNNNNNNNNNNNNNNNNNNNNNNNNNNNNNNNNNNNNNNNNNNNNNNNNNNNNNNNNNNNNNNNNNNNNNNNNNNNNNNNNNNNNNNNNNNNNNNNNNNNNNNNNNNNNNNNNNNNNNNNNNNNNNNNNNNNNNNNNNNNNNNNNNNNNNNNNNNNNNNNNNNNNNNNNNNNNNNNNNNNNNNNNNNNNNNNNNNNNNNNNNNNNNNNNNNNNNNNNNNNNNNNNNNNNNNNNNNNNNNNNNNNNNNNNNNNNNNNNNNNNNNNNNNNNNNNNNNNNNNNNNNNNNNNNNNNNNNNNNNNNNNNNNNNNNNNNNNNNNNNNNNNNNNNNNNNNNNNNNNNNNNNNNNNNNNNNNNNNNNNNNNNNNNNNNNNNNNNNNNNNNNNNNNNNNNNNNNNNNNNNNNNNNNNNNNNNNNNNNNNNNNNNNNNNNNNNNNNNNNNNNNNNNNNNNNNNNNNNNNNNNNNNNNNNNNNNNNNNNNNNNNNNNNNNNNNNNNNNNNNNNNNNNNNNNNNNNNNNNNNNNNNNNNNNNNNNNNNNNNNNNNNNNNNNNNNNNNNNNNNNNNNNNNNNNNNNNNNNNNNNNNNNNNNNNNNNNNNNNNNNNNNNNNNNNNNNNNNNNNNNNNNNNNNNNNNNNNNNNNNNNNNNNNNNNNNNNNNNNNNNNNNNNNNNNNNNNNNNNNNNNNNNNNNNNNNNNNNNNNNNNNNNNNNNNNNNNNNNNNNNNNNNNNNNNNNNNNNNNNNNNNNNNNNNNNNNNNNNNNNNNNNNNNNNNNNNNNNNNNNNNNNNNNNNNNNNNNNNNNNNNNNNNNNNNNNNNNNNNNNNNNNNNNNNNNNNNNNNNNNNNNNNNNNNNNNNNNNNNNNNNNNNNNNNNNNNNNNNNNNNNNNNNNNNNNNNNNNNNNNNNNNNNNNNNNNNNNNNNNNNNNNNNNNNNNNNNNNNNNNNNNNNNNNNNNNNNNNNNNNNNNNNNNNNNNNNNNNNNNNNNNNNNNNNNNNNNNNNNNNNNNNNNNNNNNNNNNNNNNNNNNNNNNNNNNNNNNNNNNNNNNNNNNNNNNNNNNNNNNNNNNNNNNNNNNNNNNNNNNNNNNNNNNNNNNNNNNNNNNNNNNNNNNNNNNNNNNNNNNNNNNNNNNNNNNNNNNNNNNNNNNNNNNNNNNNNNNNNNNNNNNNNNNNNNNNNNNNNNNNNNNNNNNNNNNNNNNNNNNNNNNNNNNNNNNNNNNNNNNNNNNNNNNNNNNNNNNNNNNNNNNNNNNNNNNNNNNNNNNNNNNNNNNNNNNNNNNNNNNNNNNNNNNNNNNNNNNNNNNNNNNNNNNNNNNNNNNNNNNNNNNNNNNNNNNNNNNNNNNNNNNNNNNNNNNNNNNNNNNNNNNNNNNNNNNNNNNNNNNNNNNNNNNNNNNNNNNNNNNNNNNNNNNNNNNNNNNNNNNNNNNNNNNNNNNNNNNNNNNNNNNNNNNNNNNNNNNNNNNNNNNNNNNNNNNNNNNNNNNNNNNNNNNNNNNNNNNNNNNNNNNNNNNNNNNNNNNNNNNNNNNNNNNNNNNNNNNNNNNNNNNNNNNNNNNNNNNNNNNNNNNNNNNNNNNNNNNNNNNNNNNNNNNNNNNNNNNNNNNNNNNNNNNNNNNNNNNNNNNNNNNNNNNNNNNNNNNNNNNNNNNNNNNNNNNNNNNNNNNNNNNNNNNNNNNNNNNNNNNNNNNNNNNNNNNNNNNNNNNNNNNNNNNNNNNNNNNNNNNNNNNNNNNNNNNNNNNNNNNNNNNNNNNNNNNNNNNNNNNNNNNNNNNNNNNNNNNNNNNNNNNNNNNNNNNNNNNNNNNNNNNNNNNNNNNNNNNNNNNNNNNNNNNNNNNNNNNNGUAAAAACGCGUACCCUCAAUUUGGAUGGAACAAUUUCGCUUAAACCUAAUGGGAUGCAAGGAUAAAAGUUCAAACCUAAACCCCAAUUCCAUAAACUUUUUCUUUCCUGGAGUUAGGUUUCUUGACCAGUCAACUAGCCGGAAAAAGUUCGACCGACCUUCUGCGAACUUACCUAGUAAACGUCCACCUCAACUAGCUGGAAAGUUCGAGCGACCUUCUGCGAGCUUCCAUAGUAAAUGUCCACCGACCUCAGCUAGGUUAAUUGUAAUAAACUACAUAUAAAAAAGAUGCCCGCAUGCUAAAGAGAACCUGUGAAAAGAGACAAGUAACACAACGUAAUUUCUUCUCUAUCGAAGAAGAAGCAGGAACAUACAUUAUUCAUCAAGAAUUAAGCAAUCAUGGUCAAUGCAGUGGAGACUCUGGUCGGGAGUGUUUCAGGAGCGUUUGGACCGAUAAUUGAUGGCAUUACGAAGACGAUACUGAAUGCUGCCGAGUUUGCGACCUCCCACACAAACGUCAAGUCCACGCUAGAGGCUUUGCAGUCAUUGCCGCAACAAAAGGCAGUGCAGAACACCACGUUGCUUGUCCCGGAUGAGGAACUAAAACAUCUUAAAGAAAAAAUGGAGGCGGGCUUAAACAGUGUUCAAGAGUUAUCGGAGGAGAGUGUGUGGAACUACUGCAUGAGGCCUUUUUACACCAUGGAGCUUAUAGUCUCUUAAAAGGCUGCUAGAGUUACUCCAGAUGCAGAGAAUACUGGAUGUCAAGGAAAUCUUGGUUUAAGUCAAUGAUUGCAAAACCGAUAUCAAAGAGAUCUCGAUUCAACUCGAUGAUUGCAAAACCGGUAUUGUCACGGGGAUCUCGGCUUGGACAGACAAAACCACCGACCACUUGUUCAAGUGGCAAGCAAUGGGAAGGAGACCUUGGAUUUGGCAAAGAAGAUUCGACCGAUUUGAACGACUGGUCCUAGUGGUUUUGCACCAAUCAGUGAGAAAGGUAAUCCUUGUGAUAAAUUUUGUUUUUUUUGGCUAACUUGUGAUAAAUUAUUUAAGUAAAACUAUACAUUAUUUUGAUAUUCUGAAAAAUUCACACAUUCUAAACUUUCUAUAUUUAAAAAGAUAAAUAAACUUAGGAGGCUACACAAUAAGUUUUUUGAAAUGUCAAUAAUAGGCAAUAGCACUUUUCUUAGGAAACCUCAAUUAUUGAAAAGACUGAAAUUUAAUUAAAAUCUAGUGUUAAAUUACAUAUUGAUUCUAGAACUUUGAUGUGUACUUUAUUUCAAAUUCAGAUUCAGUUUUUGUUUAAAAUUUAAUGUGUAUAAUACUCAGCCACUUAGUAUUACGGUCUAGUAGUAAUCUUCUUCAUUUGUAAGUGAGAGAUCUUAAGUUCGAUUCUCGCCAACCACAUUAUUAUACAUGGCAAUGCUCCCCACCACCCUUUGGAUAGAUACUAUCGUUUGUUCAACAAUAAAAAUGUGUAUAACACUCAAUGUCCCUCAUAAAUUCUUUUUUGUUUUAAAAUUAAUGUGUAUAAUAUUUAAUGUCUCUUAAUAAGUAUUUGAAUUGUAUGGUGGGAUCGGAUGUGGGGAGCCGCUGGCAAAACCGUAUAUUGGAUAUGGGGUUUGAGGAACUAAGGAGGUUAAGGAUAGAAGUGGAGGAGGGUACAGAGGUCGUUCACAAGUGCUCCAAUGUUGUUUUGUGGACCGACUACAAAGAGGUUAGAUACGCCAACAAACUUGAUGAUUUGGAGAAAUCUCUUGAGGCACUCGGACUCCGUUUGAACACGAAAGGGAUUUGAAUCCCAUGCAUAGCUCAAUCGAUUACAGCUGUGUUGGAAAUUUAUAUCAUAAUAUUUAUAGAUUUUUUAAUCUUUAAUUUCAAAUAUUUGAAUGAAAAAUUGUUGUAACCGUAAAUUGGUUGAUUGAAUAGGUUAUGCAACUUUUCUAAUGGAAUAGAAUUAAAGGGAUCAAUGCAUUCCUUGGUAAACGGUAUGAUCUAAUGGAUGAAUGUGUUUGGAUCAAAACUUGAACUUUGGGCUCAAGAAAGGAGCUGGCCCAAAGGGAUGCCUAGGGAAGAGCCCGGCCUAAGCCCAGCCGAAGCCCAGAAAGCAGGAAAGGGCCUUUUCUGACUUGGUGCAGCUCAUGAAGACCACUUGCUUACCUACCCAAAGGCCAAGUGGUAUAGACUGACCAGCUACACAACUCAUAAAGUACUUUAUGGUGGCAGUACAUGUAAAAUAGUUGAUGAGUCAUCACCCUUCAACCGCAUUCCGGUAAGGUUGCUGCUACAGGAGACCAAGCCGAGUUGUCUAUAUAAGAAGAAAGAGAAACCAGGAAUAAGGACACUCAAUCAAACAAACAAAUGCAAGCACAAACUCUGCUCAAAGCCAGAUUUGCCUUCAAAACGAAGCUGUAGUCAGCCCAAGCCUUCAUCCCUCUCGAGACAAGCCUUCAUCCCUCUCAGGAUAAACCUUCACUCAAACCCUUGUAAUAGCUCUGCUACCUUGUUCAACCUUGUUGUAGUAUCGAUUCAUCUUUUGUAAUAUCUCUCUCUAAAGCUUUCAGACCCUUGAUAAACUACAAAGAUAGGAACCUGCAAGACGACCAGGCUUGCCCGACAAGGUUAAACCUUGCCCGACCUUCUUUGUUUUUGUCUUUUCAUUCAUUAGCCUAGCAAUAUGUUGUAUACUUCCAGUUAUAUUCAAGUUAUUUCUAGCAAGAUGACUAUUAAAAGGCUUUCUCAGUACUCGGAUCCGAUUUGAAUAUAUCUUCAGUAUUCAAACCAGAUCCAAGUCCUAAGCCAUCGGGCAUGUAAAUCUAAUUAGUUAAAAAUCCUUGGCCUCAAGGCAUAAAAAAGAACCUUAUGUGGACUUAACCCAUCCACGACAAUCCUUGAUAAACGAGAAGUCCGAAGUUACUUGGGGCGCAAGUAAUCGACCUACCUCUUAGUCUUAUUUCUAUUACAUUAUGAUUAUCAUAGAACGCUUAAGUAUGGAAAGGAUUCCGAUAGGAAGCCUCAAGGCCUACACCUAAGGCCCCACGAAGGCACCUAUUUGGAUUCAUUCCGUUCUGCGGUCUAGAACGUUUGAGUAUAAGAACGAACUCUAAUGGGAAGCCUCAAGGCCUACAUCUAAGGCCCUACAAAGGCACCUAUUUGGGUUCAUUCUACCUCUCGGACUCGGGUAAUCAGAAGUAUAAUAGUUAUAAGACUCAUGCAUUCACGAGAACAAAUAUGAUGUGUUCGAGCACUGGUUUAGUUAUUGAUAGGAAGCCUCAACGCCUACACCUAAGGCCCCACAAAGGCACCUGUUAUAACUAACACGGUUUCUCGGGUAUAUACAUAUAUACAACCAAAACUCGACAUCCAUUUCACAUCUGUCAUACUGAAGAUGGCAGUGGCACGCCUGAGCACUUAAAAGUUAACCUUGAUUAUGAGCCUCAAGGCCUACACCUAAGGCCCCACAAAGGCACCUCUCAAAGUUAACUUUGUCCUUCUCUUUCAACCUUGCCCGACGAGCCUUGCCCGAAGAUUCUUGCCAGACAAGACUUGCCCGACAAAGCCCGACAGUGAAGCAGAAGCCCGACAUCAGCCCUCAACCGGCGCCAACCUCCCGGGGAGCUGUGUGCUCGUCGACCAGGAAACAUCCCCGACGGAAAUUCCUGACGCGAACAUAGUUUUGGCACGCCCAGUGGGACUUCAUUUGAUCAGAAGAUAUAUGUCAAAAUGCCAGAAGAUUUGCAAACCACGUUGCUACAAAUGUUGCAAAGAUUGGAGAAAGCUUCCACAGGCACCAGAAAAGAAACAGACCUGGUUCCUCUCGAGGGAAAGAGACUUAAAACCAGCCCGCCAGAAGAGUUGGUGGUAGACAAACCUGCAGUUCCCUUUUCAGAAGCCCCUGUAAAUAUGAUCAAUAUGGCAUGGGUUGAGAAGGGAAAAGAAAGAAUCACAAGGGAACCAGAGGAAGAAAGAUUGGCUGAAAAACCUACUGGAUGGGUGAUUAAAUCGCCCGAAUAUCCAAAAGCAGCCAUAAUCAAGGGGAUGGUUAUGUGUAGUAAGUGUCAAUGCGAGUGUGAGCUCGAAAUUCCCCCGGCUGGAAUCCUCAUUGAUCAUGAACUGAUCAGGAGGAAGGAAGAAGAUGAAAGAAGGAGAGCCCACGAAAAGAUCAAGCAGGAUACGAAAAAAGACAUUUCCCGAAGCGUUUUUCAACGAUUAGGAGGUGAUUCCCAACCCAAAGCUUUGUCAGAAGUAUUUCGAAACCAUGAAGCUUCUGAAAAGGCAGAAGAUAUGGAGGCCAAAAUACGGAGGGGUACAGAUCAUCCUCAAUAUGGCCAGAUGGGAAGGGAAAUCAAGAGGAUGGAUGGGAUAACAAAUCCUGUCAGAAAAGAAAAACCUGCCCACCUUAGGUGAAAAUGGUACGUAGUCGGAAAGAACGGACAGCCUACCAAACAAAUGGGAGCCUCCAUGGUCAGGAGGGUUCAAAGGCAGCACAAAGCCUACAUGAAUUCCCUGAAGACCCCCGCAACAUCCGAAGCCUCCAAAAAUCAAAAAUUGGAGAAAACAUCAUCUGGGGGAAAUAGUCAGCUCCGCUGGAAAAGAGAGAGGUCAAAAAAGGCCAAUAGCAAGACGGAAUGUGAGGGGAAUCACGUGCCGCAGAGCCAGCACCCUGGGAAGUAUCGGAUCUUGAGGAGAGCUCAAGAAGAUCUGGUCAUGGUGCCAACCCCCGGGUGGAAGCCAGAGCCUAUUUGCGUUGGAGCUGUUUCAUCUGAAAGGAGACCACCUUCUCUGCCCUUGGUGGAUCCUUUUGGUGAAGUUCCAAAGCAAACGAUGUAUGCGGGCAUGAAUCAACAGGAGGGGGCACCAGAACCACUACUUCCAGCCGAUGCAAUGGCCUGGUUGGAUGAAUUCAUAGACCAGAUUGGGGGCAAUAAAGAAGAUCUGCCCGAGCCUAGUAAUUUUCAUAUCAACAUGGCGUAUGUAUUAUCCGCCAUGUUUGGUGCCAGACCUGAUCAGCCCGCUACUAUGGAGGAUGAUUACUUGACAACUGAGCCAAUGAUGGCACAUGUCAAUGUGGAGGUAGUCGAAGAAGGAGAGUCGGGCAAGGCUGAAUCCACUAAAGCAUCCAAAGAUAGUCCUUUCAGGAUUUACACAGACGAAAUGGUGUUUAGCCGCCCGAACAGCUCGUUGGCCAAUCAUCUGAAGCCCAUAUAUGUUGCUUUCAUCCCUUCAAAAGAAUUUUAAUUGAUGGGGGAGCAGCUGUCAAUGUGUUACCAGCCAAGCAAAUGAGGAAAAUGGGAAGAGGCACGGAGGAUCUUAUUCCCACAGACCUCACGGUCUCUAGCUUCUCAGGCGCUAUCACCAAAACUCAUGGGAUAUUGCCUUUAGAAGUGGAUUUGGGAUCUAAACAGAUCAUGCUGGCAUUCUUUGUGGUGGACUGCACUUCCACUUAUGGGGCCUUACUCGGAAGAGAUUGGAUCCACCAAAGUCUGGCCAUACCCUCCACUAUUCAUCAACAAAUGGCUGUUUACCAUGAAGCGGGCACAGAAGGACCAGGCUUUUGGGAGAUGGUAGAGGCCGAAUCACGGCCAUUUCUCCCCACAGCCAAUGUUGCGGAAGCAAGUUUCUACAACCCCAACGUAGGAAUCUUGAAGUGUUCAGGAGCUGACGAGAACGGCCGCCCUACCAAGGUGACGGCCCAAAAGCUUUUGGAACAAGGAAUGCUCCUUACUAGAGAAGAGUGGGAUAGACCUUGUAUCCUCCCAAAUAGCCUACACCAUCAAUGACUGAACAAAAGAAGAAAGAUCAGGUAAUGGCAGUCAGAUCCCUGAUUAAAAGACUGUUGGUAUAUGGGAAGGGAAGAAGGCAAGAAAGUGAGCUCUUGGACAAGGAAGAGCAGGAAUGGCAGGUGGGAACUUCAACCAGCCAGCAUGAAAGCAAGGAGGAAUCUUGCAGAGAAGAAUUGGAAAGGGCCAUUCAAAUGGCCGAGUGCAUUUAUGACCUAGAUGGGCCAGAUGACUUGCCCGAGAGCCCGGAGCUGGUCGAAUUUUUGUGUGCAAAACCUGAUAAGCCACCACCAGAAGUCCAGGAUCCUCUGGAAAUUAUUGAUCUAGGGACGGAGGAGGAUCCAAGACCAAUACAAAUUAGUGGUUUAUUGGGGGUUGAUGAUCGGGCAAAGAUUAUUUGCCUUUUGCAAGAAUUCAAAGACUGUUUUGCUUGGCAUUAGACUGAGAUGCCAGGUUUAGAUUCAGCCUUGGUGGAACAUAGAAUGCCCAUCAAGGAGGGAUAUAAACCUGUUAAGCAAGCACCACGAAGGAUGUCAAAGGAGAUAGAAGAAAAGGUCAAAUAAGAUAUUGAAAGGCUAGUAAAAGCUGGCUUUAUCAGACCAGCCAAAUAUGUGGAGUGGUUGGCCAACAUUGUACCCGUUUUAAAAGCUGUAACAAAAGUAGUACGAUGUUGUGUGGAUUACAGAAAUAUUAAUGGCGCUACACCAAAAGAUGAAUAUCCCAUGCCCAUGGCCGAUUUAUCCAUAGAUGCAGUAGCAAAACAUAAAGUCCUAUCUUUUAUGGAUGGGAAUGCCGGGUAUAAUCAGAUAAAGAUGGCUCCAGAAGAUAUACACAAAACAGCUUUUAGGUGUCCCGAUCAUGUGGGGGCAUAUGAAUAUCUGGUCAAGCCAUUCGGGCUCAAGAAUGCUGGUGCAACUUACCAAAGGGCAAUGAAUGCCAUCUUUCACGAUCUGAUUGGCCAGAGCAUGGAGGUAUACAUCGAUGACAUAGUGGUGAAGUCCAAGACAGAAGAGCAGCAUCUGGAAGAUCUCAGACAAACAUUAGCAAGGAUGAGGAUCCACAAAUUAAAGAUGAAUCCAAAGAAGUGCGCGUUUGGAGUAAGAGCGGGCAACUUCUUGGGAUUCCUGGUGCAUCAAAGAGGUGUAGAAGUGGACAAAAACAAAUCUCGGGCAAUAAUGGAGUCACCUUCACCCACCAACAAGGUGCAACUCCAGAGGCUACUGGGCAAAAUCAACUUCUUGAGGAGAUUCAUUGCUAAUUUAUCAGGCAAGAUCCAGCCGCUGACUCCUUUACUAAGAUUGAAAGAUAAAGAGAACUUCGAGUGGGGACCACCACACCAACAGGCCUUUGACAGCAUCAAGGCCUAUUUGACUUCUCCACCAGUGUUGGUGCCACCUCAAAGGGGAAAACCCUUGAAGCUGUAUAUUUCUGCCUCAGAAAAGUCAAUCGGGAGUUUGCUAGCCCAAAAUAAUGAAGGCGGGAAGGAGCAUGCAGUAUACUACCUCAGUAGAAUUCUGACCGAGGUAGAGACAAGGUAUUCCCCAGUAGAGAGAUUAUGCUUGGCUUUAUAUUUCACUGCCAGUAAAUUAAGGCAUUACAUGUUACCUUGUCACGUGCACAUCAUCGCCAAGACAGAUGUGAUAAAGUACAUGUUGUCAAAGCCAAUGCUCACAGGAAGGAUUGGGAAAUGGAUUCUAGCAUUAUCAGAAUUUAGUUUUCAGUACGUACCCCAAAGGGCAGUCAAAGGCCAAGCAAUUGCUGACUUCCUGGCCGAGCACCAAGAAUCUCAAAGUGAGGUAAUCAAUAUCCCAGGAAGCCUGGAGGUUACUAGCAUUUGGAUCCCGCCAAGAAAAGAUAUUUCGGGCAAAGAAGAUUGGGUCCAGCAAGAGAUAAGAAGAGUAACUGGUCUCUGGAUCACUCCUUGGAAGUUGUAUUUCGAUGGAUCUCACACUCAGAAGGCUUUAGGAGCGGGGAUUGUAAUUGUAAACCCUCAGGGGGUUUAUCAUUAUUAUUCAUUUCUCCUGGACUACCAAGGAAAUACUAAUAAUCGGGCAGAGUAUGAGGCCUUAAUAAUUGGUCUGGAAAUCUUGAUGGACCUGGGGGCAGUAGAGGUAGAGGUCUUUGGGGAUUCAGAGUUGGUAAUAAACCAGUUAAAUGGGGAGUUCAAGUGCAGACAUAUUACCAUGGCGGGGUAUUACUUGGCAGCUACACAAUUAUUGAGUUUCUGGGAUUCUGAGAUAUCGGUCAAUCAUGUUCCCAGGGGAUCCAACUUAGCGGCCAACGAGAUGGCACAACUAGCCUUAGGAGUGCCAAUACAGGAGAGAAAAUAUGGGGUAGAUGUCGAGAUCCAAAGAAGAAACCUUCCUUCCAUCUUAGAAAGGGGAUUCAGUCUAGAUAUAAUGGUGCUAGAAGCCGAGAUAGAAGAUUGGAGGUCACCUAUCAUUCAUCAUUUGAAGGAUCCCUCUUCGCCUACAAGCAAGAAGGAUAGACAGCAAGCAACCAAGUAUGUCUUAUGGGCGAAGAACUUGCUAAGGAAAACUCCAUAUGGGUUACUGUUGAAAUGCUUGGGCCAAGAAGAAUCCAUGAGGGUAAUGGCCGAAGUACAUGAAGGAGUAUGUGGAGCACAUCAGGCUGGAACGAAGAUGAGAUGGUUGCUUAGAAGGUAUGGUUAUUUCUGGCCCGACAUGGAAAAAGAUUGCAAGUCUUAUGCCCGAGGUUGUGAAGAAUGUCAAAGGCACGGACCUCUCCAGCAUGUGCCCUCGGUACCUUUAAAUCCAGUGGUCAAGCCUUGGCCCUUCAGAGGAUGGGCGAUGGACUUCAUCGGGCAAAUCUAUCCAGCUUCUAGUAAAGGGCAUACCUUCAUAAUUGUAGCAACAGAUUAUUUCACCAAGUGGGUGGAAGCAUCAGCAGUAAAAUCCAUAACUUUAGCCACAGUCAAGAAUUUCAUCGAGACCAAGAUUCUGUACAGAUAUGGGGUGCCCGAAACUAUAGUGACGGAUCGUGGGCCAUCUUUUAUUUCAAAAGAAGUUGAGGAGUUUGCAAGUAAGUACAAAAUAAAGAUGAUCCAGUCCAGUCCGUACUACCCUCAAUCAAAUGGCCAGGCAGAAGCCAGCAACAAGAUCCUGGUCAACAUUAUCAAGAGAAUGGUGAUUAAUAGUCCAGAAAAGUGGCAUGAAAAUCUGGGGAACACUUUGUGGGCAUACAGAACUUCCAAGAGGGCAGGAACAGGGACAACUCCUUAUGCUUUGACUUUCGGGCAAGAUGCAGUGCUCCCCGUGGAGAUCAAUGUAAGUUCUGUAAGAAUUCAAAAUCAAUUUGGGUUACAUAGUAAAGAGUACAUCGAAGCCAUGUGUCAAGGAAUUGAAGACUUAGAUGUAGCCCGAAUUGAAGCUUUGAACCAGAUCAAAAAGGGAAAGCAAGCCGUUGCCCGAGCUUAUAACAAAAAGGUAAAGAUGAAGUCUUUCAGGGAAGAGGAUUUAGUCUGGAAGACAGUCCUCCCUCUAGGAGCUCAGCUCAGGGGCUUUGGAAAAUGGAGCCCGACAUGGGAAGGUCCUUUCAUUAUUAAUCGCGUUUUGGAUAGAGGAGGAUACUACUUGGCGGACCUUGAAGGAAACAGGCAGAAACAUCCCAUUAAUGUUAAAUUCUUAAAUAAAUAUUGUCCUACGUUGUGGGAUGUUAGAGAUUGUUAUGUUGAAGAGGAUGCAAGGUAAAGCAAGCUUUGGGAUAUCAAUGUGCAGUAUAUAUUUAUCAAUCAUUCAAGAAGAUGGAAAGACAAGAGUUGCUGAGAUAAUGUAUAUUUCAUUUCAACAAAUUGAUGAAAUUUACAAAAGAUUCAAAACCGACGCAUUACAAUCAAUUCUCCUUCUGGAUGCAAUGGUAUCUUCAGCUGAUUUUCCGAUGUCUUCAUGGAUGGAACCCGAUCAGGUGAUCGGGUUGUGCGGCCAACAUGAGCCUGGUAAAGGAUCCUCAGACAGGACCAUCACCAUAAGUGAUGGUGAAGCCCGACUUAUCACCGCAACAAGCAGGAAGACAAGCCUUCGAGAGGAAACCGCCUGACCAAGGGUGUUGGAGAUAGCGGGGUGUUCGACCAAGGGUGUUGGAGAUAACAGUCAUUUGAUGAAAACCCUUUUUUCUCACGAAAAGGGAGUUUUAGGAAACCCUACUCAAAGCCUGAGGAACCCAUUUCUCAGUUUCUGAACGCUCGAGGAAGAUGGAAGAGAAGGCCGAAGAGGAUUUAAUGGCUUGACAUAAGAGGUUCCGAGCCAGAAUUUAUAGAGCCCCCAGAGGAUAGUUCAAAGGUCGUGAGGAAAACAAGGGGCACAGGGUUGCCUUCAUCCUGUCUAGAAAACACAAAGUUCCAAAAGAUUGAUAUACACGCAUGCGGAUUUUCAAUCAAUGAUGGCGCCUGGGAUUCCAACCUUAACAUUAAUUGAAGAGGGCACUGUUUGGAUCAAAACUUGAACUUUGGGCUCAAGAAAGGAGCUGGCCCAAAGGGAUGCCUAGGGAAGAGCCCAGCCUAAGCCCAGCCGAAGCCCAGAAAGCAAGAAAUGGCCUUUUCUAACUUGGUGCAGCUCAUGAAGACCACUUGCUUACCUACCCAAAGGCCAAGUGGUAUAGACUGACCAGCUAAACAGCCCAUAAAGUACUUUAUGGUGGCAGUACAUGUAAAAUAGCUGAUGAGUCAUCACCCUUCAAACCGCAUUCGGGCAAGGUUGCUGCUACAGGAGACCAAGCCGAGUUGUCUAUAUAAGAAGAAAGAGAAACCAUGAAUAAGGACACUCAAUCAAACAAACAAAUGCAAGCACAAACUCUGCUCAAAGCCAGAUUUGCCUUCAAAACGAAGUUGUAGUCAGCCCAAGCCUUCAUCCCUCUCAGGAUAAACCUUCACUCAAACCCUUGUAAUAGCUCUGCUACCUUGUUCAACCUUGUUGUAGUAUCGAUUCAUCUUUUGUAAUCUCUCUCUCUCUAAAGCUUUCAGACCCUUGAUAAACUACAAAGAUAGGAACCUGCAAGACGACCAAGCUUGCCCGACCUUCUUUGUUUUUGUCUUUUCAUUCAUUAGCCUAGCAAUAUGUUGUAUACUUCCAGUUAUAUUCAAGUUAUUUCUAGCAAGAUGACUAUUAAAAGGCUUUCUCAGUACUCGGAUCCGAUUUGAAUAUAUCUUCAGUAUUCAAACCAGAUCCAAGUCCUAAGCCCUCGGGCAUGUAAAUCUGAUUAGUUAAAAGUCCUUGGCCUCAAGGCAUAAAAAAGAACCUUAUGUGGACUUAACCCAUCCGCGACAAUCCUUGAUAAACGAGAAGUCCGAAGUUACUUGGGGCGCAAGUAAUCGACCUACCUCUUAGUCUUAUUUCUAUUACAUUAUGAUUAUCAUAGAACGCUUAAGUAUGGAAAGGAUUCCGAUAGGAAGCCUCAAGACCUACACCUAAGGCCCCACGAAGGCACCUAUUUGGAUUCAUUCCGUUUUGCGGUCUAGAACGUUUGAGUAUAAGAACGAACUCUAAUGGGAAGCCUCAAGGCCUACAUCUAAGGCCCUACAAAGGCACCUAUUUGGGUUCAUUCUACCUCUCGGACUCGGGUAAUCAGAAGUAUAAUAGUUAUAAGACUCAUGCAUUCACGAGAACAAAUAUGAUGUGUUCGAGCACUGGUUUAGUUAUUGAUAGGAAGCCUCAAGGCCUACACCUAAGGCCCCACAAAGGCACCUGUUAUAACUAACACGGUUUCUUGGGUAUAUACAUAUAUACAACCAAAACUCGACAUCCAUUUCACAUCUGCCAUACUGAAGAUGGCAGUGGCACGCCUGAGCACUUAAAAGUUAACCUUGAUUGUGAGCCUCAAGGCCUACACCUAAGGCCCCACAAAGGCACCUCUCAAAGUUAACUUUGUCUUUCUCUUUCAGCCUUGCCCGAUGAGCCUUGCCCGAAGAUUCUUGCCCGACAAGACUUGCCCAACGAGACUUGCCCGACAAAGCCCGAAAGUGAAGCAGAAGCCCGACAGCAGCCCUCAACCGACGCCAACCUCCCGGGGAGCUGUGUGCUCGUCGGCCAGGAAACAUCCCCGACGGAAAUUCCUGACGCGAACAGAAUGUUUGCAUCUCUUGAUCAACCAGUAUCUUAGGUUUUAUAUAAACUCACGUUAGUAUAGCCGUGAUAUAAGAGAAGAAUUAAAAAGAGUAGAGUUUUCUCCUGUGUCCUUUAUUGUCGAAUUUCGAGUCGUAUCUUGAGAGUACGGAAUAUAUUGGGUUUGCCAGAGUCCGAAGCAUGAAGUUUUUUGACUUUGGAUUAUAGAUUGUUGAAUCCUAAGAGACGGACACCUAUUGAAGUACAAAUACAAGAGUAUAUGUCUUUCCGAUCAACUUUCCUUUUUGUUAUUCUGCUUUGCAUUUGAACCAACCCGGCGCUGGAAAAUAUAAUGAGGAGUACUUAAGAGAUUCGAUUUAAUUCGGGAUUUGAUUUGAUUCAAUUAUGUGAUUGUUUGCGUCUCUUUUCCCACAUUUCCCCAAUGAAUCCUAAGACCAUGUAAUUUUGUAAAUCUAGCUAUUGCUUUCUCCGGAGCAAUGGCUAUAAAAUAUACAACUACUUCUAUAAAACAUAUGAGAGUAACUACAACCUCCAAGGAGAGUAUAUGAGAUAAUGUAGCAUAUAGAGCCUUCAAUCCCCCUAUCUGGUUUUCUAUGCUAAUAAUCUAUCACACACACUAUUGUACACUCUCUUUGUUUUUACUAGUUUUUCACCGACACUAAAAACUCUUUCCCACUAACAAGUACCACAUCACCUACUCCAAUUAAAUUGCGUACACUAUUUCCCCGCUGCUAUCAACAUCAAGUUCAGACUCUGAGUCUAAGUCAUCCAUAUCAUCGUCCAUGUCAAGGUUGUCCAUCAUGUACGAGCCCAGACCAAGGGUUCCCGCUGCUGGUAUAGUAGCCUCCUCAAUUAUAUGCAUGAUUGCGUCAAGGCUUUGCAUUGGUUGAUCUGGCUCUUCAAACUGGUUGCUCUCGUCCAUCAAAUCAGCAGGGAGAUUCUUCAAGAACCACGAGUGGUUCUUUAUCUCAGGAAUGCUAAUUCUCUGUUACACGCAUGCACAUCCGUAACUACCCGCACAAUAAAACAACAAAUAAAGGAAAAGAAAAAAACUAGAUUCUUAUGUUCUCGAUAAAUAGAAUCCCCCCAAAAGCAACAACUUUCAAAUGUAACAAGUCCAUUUAUUCCUCCAGUUCUGGCGUUUAAGUGCUCAGUAAUGGGAAAUUGGAGAACUGUUGAAAACUUCCAUGAAAAACAAAGGGCCUCAAAAACACCCUGGAAUAAAAGCAGUGAAGCAACAAGAAAUUCAAGGAAUCGUCUAAAAAACAAGAAAUUCAAGGAAGUAUACAAGCAAACCCCAGCGUACACACACACAAAUGCCCUUUGUGAGGCUUUCCAAGGAACAUCACAAGUAGUUAGAUAUUACCUUUCCUUUUGGAAUAAGAUGUUAAGGGAAUAAGAUUAUCAUACUUGGUUAUACUGUAAUAAGGAAUCUAAUUAUAUUGGCUGGCUCAAAUUAAUACAGAUGGGAAAGUAGUAAUUUAAUUUGGCUUUCUUUCCCACAAUUACCCUUCAAUGUCGUCCCAUUAUAUUGAAAGAUUAUAAGAGUAAGUAGCCUCAAUCAUAUGUUCCAGGUGGUUACGGUCACUUUCCUCCUAUGAAUCUUAUUCCAAAUCGCUUUUCUGUCUUUGACCUUAAAAAAAGUAUCUCAAGUCUAUAAAAAGAGUAUGCUAUUUGAACAACUUACGUUCCCUGGUGGGCUUAACAGAAGCAUUAUUAACUUUUAUCAAUUACACAAAUGCAAAGAACAAAACAAAAGGUGCGGCAACAGAAGAGGUCAAAAGAAAUACAUGUGUGUGUGUGUGCACGUGUGAACCGAGACAAUUUUGAAAACCACAAGCACCCAAGUUCUUUUUCUUUUUUGGAAGAAAAAAAAAAAAAAAAAAAAAAAAAAGAGCCAAAUAAAGUGCAACAUAUAUCUCAAGCAGGAUCUGUGUAGAAGAAAAAACGAGAGUUCAGAGGAAAAAUAAACUAACCGCAGCAGGAUCUGGGACAAAAAUUCUCGAUAUCAGCUCUAGACAUUCAUGAGAUAUUUGAACAGUAUCUGGAAUGGAAUACUGGACGCUGAGUCCUCUGCAGGAAGAUAAUAACAAUCCCGAGUGAGGCAAUUUACGUUAACAAAUUUUAUGUUGUGCUAAGGCGAAAUGACAUACUUGUAUAGUCCUCCGGAAAUCUUUCGGUUCAUCAGGAUCCUCGAAAGGAUAUGCUCCCACCAGCAUCACAUAUAAGGUUACCCCACAUGACCAUACAUCUGCAAUCUGACGUUGUAACACACUUUCAACAUACAAACUUCUCAAUUCAAUAAACAGGAUUACAUUAUUUGAAACUAAUAAAAACUUCAACUUCAUGAUAUAGAAAGGAAAGACAAAAGUGGUUUAAAAAAUAUUAAAUGCAAAAAAAAGUGUUUGUAUGUCUGGUUUCAUGCUCCAAGUCCAGAAAUGAGCUGUAAAGCCAAUACAGAUAAAAUUAGCUGAUGCAUAUAAGCAGGCCUAAAAUGAAGUUAGCUGAUACAUAUAGGCAGGCAUAAAGUGAAGUCAGUACCUAUCGCACGCUUUAUCUCUAAAGGCAUAAAAGCAAAAAAUGAAAACUCAUGAAUAAUUAUCCAACAUGAAGAGAUAAUGAGUCCCAACUAUGUCAUUUACUUGUCAUAGAAAAUAAAUGGACUUUAACAUCCACAUGCAACAUUACAAUAGUAAAUCUCUGGCUGUCAAGUGCAGUUACACCCUUUGAUUCUUGAGAACUAUCAGUUCACGGAAAAAGAAUUAAGUUUAGGAACUUAGGGCUACAAGGUAAUUGCUCUUUUUUCUUUUAUUUUUUUGGUCAAGCAUAUGUUUAGCUGCAGUUCAAACUUGAAGAGCCAGCAAAAGUAUUUCAUAUUUUGAAUUGACCAUGAACUUAUUCAUUGUGCUAAAAUGUUAUUUGGAAUUCAAAUGCAAAGCUUGAAUGGUGAGAGAAUAUAAUAGACAGAGAAAUCUGAGGGGAUUUUCAAAUUACAGUUUAUCAAAGUUCAAACAACUUUGUUGGGAAAGCGUAGAAAGUACUAGCCAAUAACAUUUGCUAUAAUUCAGCUUCAUGAAAUACUCCAGAACAGAAUGCUAACCAAUUAUUAAACAAAACUUCUUGGUCCAAACAAUCAGGGAUAUCCAUAUUCAGUAAAUUAAAACCAAUGGCAUCAUAAUUUGAUAAAUGAUUAACCAAACUAAGGAAUUCUUAUACCUUUCCGUCAUAUUCUUGCCUCAAUAAUACUUCUGGAGCAAUGUAUGCAGGAGUUCCCACAGUAGAUUUUGGUUGUGAAUGAAGCACUGAAGACUGACAAAUAACCACAAUCAGAUAUAAAACGUUACGCCCCAAUAUAGCAUACAAUGAACUUAAAAUAACUUGACCCUUGACCAUUCAUACAGGUAUCUGAGCAGAGUCAGAGGACCAAUACCUUACUACCAACUAGGCUACAUAACUAUUCUAGAAACCAUAUCAUUGAUGAAAUUGUUCUUAACUUGAGAGACCAAAUCCUUCUUAAAUUAUCUAUAAACAAGUCUCUAAAACAAAAACCUUGGGUCUUGGGUCAAACUCGCCUAAGAUCAAGUCAAAAUUCAAGAAAACAGAUAUGCAACAGUCUUAGAACAAAAGCUCUAGAUCAGAAGUUCAUGUCAAGUUAGCCUUGACAGUCCCCUUUAUUUUAAUUAAUGAUAUGAACACAAACACAUAAGCCGAAUAAGCAAGAAAGCGGAACAUUACUAGUACCUUUGAGUACCCAAAAUCACAAAUUUUCAAACGAGGAGCUUGACUGCCAUCCAAUAAAGUGUUCUCCAACUUCAAAUCUCGGUGACAUACUUGCUUCAACAGGGAAAGUAGUAAUUCAAAUAAAUUAUCUAGUCCGCAUCCAGGAAAAAUACAUGAAGUCUUAAAAAGGUCAAAAAAGAAAGACUUGAAUACCAUAGCAUGGCAAUAACUAACUCCAGAUAUAAGUUGUUGAAAAAAGAAGCGGGCCUGGACCAAAAAUGGAAAACACAUCUUCAGCAUGUAAAGUAAAGCAGUAAAAGAAGCCGAAAGAUCGGGAGGAACUAUAGAGAUUGAAAUGAGGACCUCAUCCUCACUGAACCGCCCUGCAUUGUGUAUUCGCUCAAACAUUUCUCCUCCAGAAGCAUAUUCCAUCACAAUGGCCAGAUGGGUAGGAGUAAGAAUGACCUAUAUGCAUAGUAAAAUCCAGAGUAGAUUAGCAACCAAUUAGCCUAACAUCACUAGGAAGACGGAAAUUCAAAUCUUAUCGUCAACACAAGGCUAAACUAACCUCCUUGAAUCUGAUGAUGUUCGGGUGCCUCAAAGACCUAUGAUUUAUUAUCUCUCUUCGAACAUUUUCAUCAAUCUACAACACCGAAAACCACGGUGAGAAACAGAUGCUCCAAAAUCUCACCACUCAAUCAUCACCAAAAGAGCUAUAAAUCAUUAGAAGCAAACUUGCAAGUUUAAUCAACCUAAAAAAUUCAAUAUCUUUUUUAACCCAACUCUCCAUGCUUUAAUUUGAAUUAAUCAAAAUACCAUCUUUUCCUUUCAAACACUUAAUAAUCAUUCAUUAAUUAAUGCUAACAACAUCAAUUACAAGAUUAGAUUACGAAAUUUAGAAACGAAAAACUUGAAAGAAAAAAAAAAGGUAAAACAGCGGCAAAAAUUUAUCAAAAUCGAUCAAAUUACUAAAUUUUGAAACUAAAAACUUGAAAUAGCUAUCCCAUAUUCCAUAAAUGGAUGAUUUAAAAAAAUAUACAAAAAUAAAAUAAAAAACUGAAUUCCAAAACUGACCUUGUUGCCGCGCUCGAUGUACUUGACGGCGACGAGCUCCCUGGUCUGCCUGUCCGUCAUCAGCCUGGCGACCCCGAAGUUUCCGGACCCGAUAUCUCGGACGAAAUCAUACCGGUCGCUGUCGUGCAUGAUAGGCAUAUCCAUGGCCGGCCCAACCGUCAUUGCCUGCCGAUCCAUUUCGAUGAAAUCACGAGUUUGCCCCUCGACCAGAGCCGGUCACAUUAGAGAGCGAAGAAUCGGGAGAGUAAACGGCGUCGUUAUCAGCUUCAGAUUCUAGUUAACCGCAAUCAACAGCUGAACUCAGCGAGCAGAUCGGUGGCUCAGUUCAAUAUGAUCCGUCGCGAUACGGCGGAGCCGUCGUCGAGUGAAUUUUCCGGUCGACGGUGAAUUGUUGUCUGAGGAAACAGUGAAGGAUGACUUGGGAGCGAGGGAAAGGGAGUUGGAGAUGAGAUAAGAAGGUGAAUGGGACAAGGAGAAGUGGCGUCGUUUUGGUGGGUGAAGUGAUACAGGCUUCUUAGAUACGACGCCGGUUUGAGGGUGGAGGUUGCUUAGUUGCUUUCCUAGCCGCAUGGGUUCCCUCACUUUCCUGGCGGCUGGUUGGUUGGGUUGCUCGUCUGCUUUUGUCGAUUGUGAUUGGCUCCGGCUUCGGCUGAAUGACCAAAAUGCCCAUGUUUCGGAUAACUCUGCUGCCGGUGAAGAUCCGAUGCUUCGCGGCACGAGUUAAGAAAAGUUUGGACAGAGAUCGAACGGCGGGUUUUUAGUCGUGGGUCUAGAGAGAGUCAAUCAAGUGAAAGGGGUGAGUAAUCGUGUGAAAGCACGCCAAUCAUAUUGAAAGAGUGGAGGAUAUUCGGUGGAGUCUAAGAUACCAACUGAUCACAAAACGAUCAGACACUAAAAGAGAUGCAAGUGGGUUACUAAUAAACUCUUACAUUCGUAUUACAGUUUAGUUAUAUAUUUUCGUACAGGUAAUGUUAAAUUUGAUUUUACAUGCAAAACAUUUUGAAUUGUUCAAAUCAGUCAAAUAAAACAAGCUUCAGUAUUUUGAAUCAUAUUAUUAGAACCACAAUUAGUUUGGUUUGGUUUAAUUUGGCCUAUUUUAAAACCGCCUAAAUCAAACCAAAUUGUCAAAGUAUUUUUUUUUUUAUAACAUUUUCUUAUGGGUUACUGUUGCUUUGUUAUAUCAUUUGCAUUCACACUUUUAUUAUCAAUUUUGAUUAUCAAAUCUUAAAUACUAAAAUCUUUAAUAUAAAGAAUUUUUAUUAAUAUCAAACUGAUCACUAAAUUAAUUGGUUUGGUUCGAUUAACCUGCUGGCUCCUAACUCGAAUCAAUCUAAAUGAUGUUGAUUGAGGGCUAAACCAAAUCAAUUUGAAUGAUUUUACAUUAGAUCAAUAUGUUGUGUAGCCUAACCUACCCAAACCAGACACCCUCCCCAGCUUCCUUCAUUUCCUUGUGUUUUUUACAUAUCUUCAUGAAAAUAUGAAACUUGACUACAAUACUUACAUAUAUUUAAUAUAAGCAUGAAUGACUCAGUAUGUACAUAGAGCUAGAGAGUCCAACAUGAAUGGCCAGCUUCGGAAAUUUGUCUAUCUGUUGGAAUCAAAGAGGAACUCGACAAAACAGUUUGGCCGCCUUGGACCAUGUUUGUAUUGGGAUGGAACAUGUUUGUAAGAAGCAAGUCUGGCGGCCUUGGACCAUGGAAAAUGCUCAUUUCUAAAGCCGAGAGAGUGAGCGAUAGACUUACUGGACAAAACACUGUACUGGCCACAAUGCUUAACCGAGCUGAAAUAAUGUCAAUACCAACUUCUGUCAACUGCCACAUUUUUGUUAAACAUCGCCCCAACAAUCUUUGACUUCUUGUAGAAUCCCGCUGUCAUCAAAUCGAAAGCUCAAAUUUCUUAUUGCCCUUAAUCCACAAAUUUUUUUUAUUAUGAUUAGAAUACGAGUGGUACACCACGUGUUUUUAUAUAAGUAAUGAAAAUUUUUAUUUUUUAAGUUAUUAAUUUUUUAACACACAUAUUAUAUCAUUUAUAUCGUAACACAUGAUGUACUACUCCGUGUUACAAUCACACUGAAAAUUCUCUCCUUAAUCCAAGCAAUACACAGUUGUCGUGCGCAUUAAUUUUGAACCAAGACCCAUAUUUUAGCCUACCCUCCUCUCCUAGACUAGAAUGUUAGGCAUAAUGAAAUAUUAACGUGAGACACAAAUACAUGAUUUAGUGCGCAAGUUGGGACAAAGCAACUUUCAAGAGGAAAAGUGGGAGUGAAAAACAUUUACAGAGGGUAAAUGAGUAAAUAAGCCGAGAAUUAUUUUAUUGUGGUUUAAUGUGAGUGAGGUUUUAAUUAAUUAAAACUCAUGCAUUUUAGAAUUAUUCGAUUCAAGGUACCCUUAUUCUGAUUCAAGUUCUUAUCUUUCACUUUCAAAAGGCUUUUACUUUACUUUAAGCCCUUGUCUCUGUUGAUCACUUUUGGACGGUUGGCCAAGAUUAAGCACUUAAGUUGAAAAAAAUCCCGUAACCAAAGGGAUAAUCGUUUGUGGGCAAUUGCAAUGAGUGAGACUUUGAUUUUAGUUUUAUUUUUUGCUAAGAUAUUGAAUGUUGAAAACGAUAUAUAAUAAAUUAUGCUGCAUGCAUGUGAAUCCAUGAAAAGUAUGUAUGGAGAAGGAUUUACAUGUCAUUGUUACAUUGUUAUUGUAUUGUCCUGCACUAGUAAUACAACUAUAUAUGUCAAUUUUUUUUAAUGUAACGUUUUAUCAUUGAUACAAAAGUUAGAUAGAAGUACAUUUGUGCCAUAUAAGUUUAGAGUUUAGGGUGUUUUUUUUGUCAAACGAUAAGAUUUUGUUAGAUUAGCUACCGACGAAAUUGUAACUCACUCCGUCAUGCAAGGGCAAAACACUUAUCUACUAUUGUGAUAAAUGGUCACUUGCUUAGAGUUUAGGGUGGCUGAAUGGACUACAAAAUAAAAACGUUAUAUACAUAGUGGGCUUUUCUUUUCUCAUUGAUUGUUACUAACUUACUAGGUGGAGACGACAACAGCCCUAGUUACACCUCUCUCUUAAGCUAGGCCCUGACUUGAAGAAAUACUGCAAACAUUACGCAGAGUUGAGACCGGCCAGAUUGUGAAUAGACCUGGAUCAGAAGUCUAGGCCCAACAAACAUAUGCGUACUGAAGUGUAGAAGAAUCCCUUCCUUGCCUUGAUUAUUAUAUAAUGGAAGACUCAACAAGGGGGCUGCCGUCUUAGCUCAGCUGGUAGAGCGCGUGGCUUUUAACCACGUGGUCGUGGGUUCGAUUCCCACAGACGGCGUAUUAUUCUUAGUUUUGUACUUUCAUUUAAUUUUUUAUUUUUUUUGCCAUUUUGCCCUAGACCAAGUACGAACUAGCGGCGUACGAGUACGACUGAGAAUUAUUGGAGAACAAGCCCCAGUGGGAAACACGUACAUCAACAAUUAAAAAGCAUCAACACACUAGAAGAAAGGAGACAGAAUGUGGAGAGAGAAAGAGAGAGAGAGAGAGACAUAUAUAUAUAUAUAUAUAUAUAUGCUUUUAGGGAUGAUGUGACGGACACAUGUAAUUGGCUCAGUUCGUAUGCGGCGAACCGCUUCACCUGAUAGAUCCCUCAGUUUCCAUUAUCCUUUUUUAUCAAGGCAGAUUGUCUGCUCUCCUGUUUGAAUGUCCUUCUUAUUCUUUCUCUUAUUUGUGCGGUCACGGUUAAGUCAUAUCAACAUUUUAUAUUCUUAUUACUUUUUGUCUUAUUAUCUCUAUAAACAAUUUUAAAAUAAAAUGUUGACAUGGCUUAACCGUGAUCGCACAAAAUAGGAGGGAAUAGGAAUGACACCUAAACAAGAGGGCAGACAAUCUGCCUCCCUUUUUUAUUCCCUUUUUCUUUUCUUUUUCAGUACACGUAGCAAGUGGCAUCGUCGACGUCAAUCAUCAAAUCAAACCACUCUAACAAAAAAGGUUCAAACAUUAGGUUAAUGUUUGGAAUGAGGAUCCUCUUUGAUCAUUCAAUCACAUCCGUUGUAUAUUAUGCAGCUAAUUUUCAUCACGUACUAUUUAUAUUCAAUUUUAAAUAAAAAAAAUUUGCAAUGAUUUUCUAUCGCACGACAGAUUGGAGGAUCCACAGGAUCCUUACAAAGAGGAUCCUCAUUGUUGAUUAAUCAACAAUUUUCUUUUGUGAUUCUGCUCUUUUGAUUCAGACGUUGCUUUACAAUGUACGUUUUUUUGUUUCGUUUUUUCAUCACUAACAUGCUUCAAAUAUUUCACACCUCGCAUGACUCCUGAAUUUUUUAUUUGGACUCAAAUGUUGCAAUACAUUGUCCGUUUCUUGGUUCUGUUUUUUACAUUGGAUUCAGACGCUACGUUGGGCUGUAAACUUAGGGGGUGUAUUCAAUAAUAUCCAAAUAGAUAAUAACCAAGUUAAUUGAGGACCGAGAGACUUACGGGGUGUAUUCAAUUGAGAAUUUGAGAGACGUUAAUGGAUUAAUAAAUCCAUGAAUUUUUAUAGAGUUUAAUUGAUUUGUAGAGAUUCCAUAUGAAAUUUUGAUUCAAUUCUCUCGAAAUCUCAUGAGGAGAGGUGAUAUUUGUAGAUGCUUAAAAUACACUACGAAAUCUCUCCAAUUCCCUCUAAUUCCUCAACUUUCUCAAAUUCUUUAAAAUCAAUUUCUAAUUGAAUACACCCAGAUUUCUAAGGAUUAUAAUAAACUAUCUUAAAAUUCUAAUUGAAUACACCUUAAAUUUCAGAGAAUCACUUAAAAUCAUGAUUGAAUACCCCUAGAUUCAUUAAAAGAAUUAAAAUCCCUCAAAAUCCCAAUUGAAUACACCCCCCUUAAAUUAUUAAGAAUUUUCAAUAGGAUAAUGUAUAUAAAUCGUUUCUAACUUGGUACAAUCUUUACUACUAUAAGGGUUAAUAUUCUUUCUCUAACACACCCCGACCAGAAUCGAGGCAUGUUGGCCGUCACGUGAGGAUGACGUAGUCAUGUGCACAGUGCGGAAGCAAUAUUAAUAUAGGAAAUGCAAAUAAACAAAAACCAAAUCAACUAGAGUACUAGAUAAGAUAAGGUGCAAGUGCGAUAAUAAGUGUGAUGAUGCACAAAAUCAGCGAGGACUUUGGUACAACAGAAAGUGUUAAGUUUAUGACCUUUGCUAGAUUGCUCCGGUCACUAGUGGGGAUAAGUAUGUAAAUGGAUAGAGGCAGGGAAGCAAACACAAGAUGUACGUGGUUCACCAAGAUUGGCUACGUCCACGAAGUAGAGGAGUUCUCAUUAAUUGUGAAGGGUUUACACAAGUACAUAGGUUUAAGCUCUCCUUUUGUGAGUACUAGUGAAUAGUUUAGUACAAAUGACAUUAGGAAAUAUUGUGAGAGAAUGAUCUCUAUUUAUAGAAGAGAGUUUCUAGUUUCAUUCUGACAUUGACACGUGUCAUGUUAUGAUUAGCUUCUGAUGUUGACAUGUGUCGCGCUAUGAUUGGCUUCUGAUGUCGACACGUGUCAGACUGUGAUUGGCCUCUUGGUUGGAGGGAAACUCUUCUGGGUCCUUGACGGUAUAACGUUGACCGGUGCUCAGUAGUUUUGGGAUUGGUUAAGUAUGAUCCAAACAGUGCUCCCCUAAGUUCCCAAGUGAAGGAAGCUCCUCGGUUGGGGACUUGCAAGAUCCAAGCCAUUGAGUAAUCACGAAACUUCUAAGUACCGAAGUGUGGUAUCAUUUUCACUUGCCUUAUCUGUCUUAUACGUAGAUGUGGCAUCUUCUCUGGAAGUACUUUUCUUCCAUCCAAGGGUGGUAUCUUUAACUGAUGAAGAUGCACAAGGUAAUGUAUCAAUUUCGCUUGAAGCUUACUUGUAGUUUCGGGCUUGGUCAAGUACGAUACAAAACCCUAUAAUAGGAGUCCCCCAAGUCGCCGAGUUAGGAGAUUUGCCAAAAGAGGUAACAGACAAUGUAAGCAAUCAGACUUCCAAGCAAGCAACCUGGAUCAGAGGUUCGACUUCGGCUUCCGGUUGAUUGUUCUCCUUUUCCUUGUGUCGUAAACAGCAACAAGGAUAAGGAGAAGCAAAUGGAGAAGAGAUGAUAUGAGAUACUUUUUCUUUUGAAGAAGUAACUUUCUACAAGCUUAUUCUUGAACUGGGCUGGAGGGUUUUUUGGUUUCCUCCAGAGUAUAAGGCCGACUCAAGAAUUUGAGGGUCAAAACAAGUCCAUCAAAUCAAGAGUGCGUUCGACCUUGAUGAUAUGAGAUACUUUUGUUGUUGACGAAGUAAUAUAUGAAUCGGCACGUGUUCUAUUACGCUUAUCUCCACAUGCUUCCUUGUAUUCUUCUCACUUGCCCUAUCUGCUCCUCAGGCAAAAGUGGUAUCUUUUCUGGAAGCAUAAGAUGUUGAAGAUGAGUACUCGAGAGCAAUGCCAGGUAAGUAAUCAAGCAAGGGGUUUCAGGCAGUCAGUUCCUGACUGGAAGCUUGAUUUCAAGUGCUGACUGAUUGCUCUCUUUCUCCUUGUCUUGCAGGUAAGAACAAUGGCAAAGGAAAAGACAGGGAAAAAGCAUGAUAUGGGAUACUCUUGCUUUGACCCUGAUGAUAUGAGAUACUCUUGCUCUGGUGUGGCUGGUUUGCAUAGGUAUUAUUGGGGGGGGAGAAAGCUGAGUAUUUCGAGAGGCUUCGUUAGGAGUGCCCUCUCAGAUAUGAGAAAGGGUUGAGCAUUUUUGCAGGUUUGCCUGUCCGUAGAGGAUAUAGGUCGACAUAUAUGAGAGUCUUCCUAACAACAAGUAGUAAUGUUAUUCCUUUACCCUUCUUGGUCGUAGCGAUGUAGUGGGAGCUGCAAGCUUCACGUGUUUUAACUUUGUCAGAGCACUUUGAAAAAGUGGUAUGUGGUAUUUGGAAAGCUGAUGUUGCGUGUGAAGAUUGCAGACAAGUUUUAUUCAAGGAAAUCUGGCUCUCAAAGUUCAGAGAGCGAUGCCUCUUCAGUUUUCGAACAAGCAAUCAUGUCGGGAAUCUGGCUUUCGAGAUUCGAAGGAACGAUGCCUUUUUUAUUUUUUAGAAAGCAAUCAUGUUGGGAGUCUGGCUCUUGAGAUUCGGAGAGCAGUGCCUCUUCGAUUUUUGAGAAAGUAAUCAUAUUAGGAGUCUGGCUCUCGAGAUUCGAAGGGCGGUGCCUCUUCGAUUUUUUAGCAAGUAAUAAUGUUAUUCCUUUACCCUUAUUGGUCAUAGCAAUGUAGUGGGAGCUGCAAGCUUCACAUGUUUUAACUUUGUCAGAGCGCUUUGAAAAAGUGGUAUGUGGUAUUUGGAAAGCUGAUGUUGCGUGUGAAAAUUGCAGACAAGCUUUAUCCAAGGAAAUCUGGCUCUCGAAGUUCGGAGAGCGUGCCUCUUCGAUUUUCGAACAAGCAAUCCUGUCGGGGAUUUGGCUCUCGAAAUUCAGAGAACGGUGCCUCUUCGAUUUUUUAGAAAGCAAUCAUGUUGGGAGUCUGACUCUUGAGAUUCGGAGAGUAGUGUCUCUUCGAUUUUUGAGAAAGUAAUUCUGUUGGGAGUCUGGCUCUCGAGAUUUGGAAAGUGGUUCUUCUUCGAUUUUUGAGCAAGCAAUCUUGUUGGGAGUGUUUUCUCGAAUGUGAGUAAAGGUUGGGCAUUUUUGCCAGUCUGCCUUGCCACAGAGCACAGAGGUUGACACACAUUGGGACUUUCUAAUUAUCAAGCAGUGGUGCUGUUCCUUUACCCUUGCGGGUAAUAGUAGGGUAGCUGGACCUUUAAAAUUUAUGUGUCUAAACUUUGUCAGAGAUCUUUGGCAAAGUUAUCUGUGAUACCCGAGGAGAUGAUGUUGCAUGUGGAAAGUGGUGCCUCUUCGAAAUCCGGAGAGUGGUGCCUCUUCGGAAUCUGGAUAGUGGUGUAUCUUCGAUUUUUGAACCAAUGGCCCUGUUGCCCUUUCUUUUAUAAGGGCACCAAUUGUGUGCAAGGAGUACAUUCAGAAAGUUAUUGCUUGUAGGAAUUUUCUCCUUACUUGAGAGAUUUAUUGCACCUCAUUUCUCCUUCAUCAUUUCUGAGAAUGUCUGGCCCAUCCGACUGUCGUUUUGACUUGAACUUUGGUGAAGAAGUAGCCAUGCCUUCUCAAGACAACAUAUGGCGCCCAUCUUUUUUAUCCCCUACCUAGUCCUCUUACCGUUGAGGACUAUGUGAUGAAGAAUGAUAUGACCGCUGCGGUGGUGGCCAGGAACCUUCUCACUCCCAAAGAUAACAUACUACUUUCCAAAUUGUUUGAUGAGUUGGCUGUUAAGGAUUCUCUGGCUCUCAGUGUUCAAUGUGCAGGUUCUGUGUCUAAUAUGGCCCAACUCCUAUUUGCUCGAACCCGCCAAGUUGAAUCAUUGACGGCUGAAGUGAUAAGUCUCAAACAGGAGAUCAAAUGGCUCAAGCAUGAGAAUAAAUAGUUGCACAAGCUCACACAUGACUAUGCUACAAACAUGAAGAGGAAUCUCGACCAACUGCAUGAAUCUGAUUGUCAGAUUUUACUUGAUCAUCAGAGGUUUGUAUGUUGUUCCAAAGGCAUUUAUUGCCUUCGUCUUCUGGGGCUGUACCGCGUAAUGAAGCUCCAAAUGAUCAACCUUCAGUGUCUCCUCCUUCUGGGGUUCUGCCUAGUAUUGAGGCUGAGAAUAAUCACCCUCUGGUGCCUCCUCUUCUGAGGCUCUGCCGACUGCUGAGACUUCUCCUGAGCAAACUUUGUGAAUGCUCCCUCUUGUUUUUUUUUUUAAUUUUGAUUCAUGUAUAUGUACAUAUUUGUAACUUAUUAGAGAUAUCAAUAAACAAGCUUUGCUUCAUUUCAACGUAUUGUGUUAAAUACACCAAGAUCUUCUUCACUAAGUUCUUUGAAUUUUUCCUUUUGUUGAAGCUUGUAUGUUGAAGCUUUGCGAGUGAAGCAUGUAGGUUGAGGUAGUGCUCCCUUAAUUUCCCGAGUGAGGAAAACUUCUCGUUUGGAGACUUGAAAAAUCCAAGUCACUGAGUGGUCGUAAGACUUCCGAGUAUCAAGGUGCAGUAGCGUAUGGUAGGAGUCCCCUAAGUCUUUGGUCGAGGGAGUUGACGAGGCAUUUCCUUUCUAAGUGGUAGCCCAAAACUCCUUCAUAUAUAUUUGUUAUGAAAGUUGUUAGGCCCAAAGAAGAGGAGGCCUAGUCAAAUUUUUUUUUUUCGAAUUUUUUUUUCUUUCGAUUUUUCGAAUUUUUGAAUUUCCGAAUUUUUGAAUUUUUGAAUUUCAAAAAAAAUAAAAUAUAUAUAUAUAUUAAAGCUUUGUAUGUGAAGCUUUGGUGUUGAAUCUUUGUAGGUGAAGCUUUGAGGUUGAAGCUUUGUUGGGCACCAUGAAUUGAUUUUGCUUCACACUAUCUUGAUCAAGAUAGUGUGAAGCUUUUGUUGGUGAAGCUUUUAUGUUGAAGCUUUGUAGGUCAAGCUUUUGUGGGUCAAGCUUUUGUGGGUGAAGCUUUUGUAGGUCAAGCUUUUGUAGGUCAAGCUUUUGUGGGUCAAGUUUUUGUAGGUGAAACUUUUGUGGGUGAAGCUUUUAUGGGUGAAGCUUUUAUGGGUGAAGCUUUUGUAGGUCAAGCUUUUGUGGGUGAAGCUUUUGUAGGUCAAGCUUUUGUGGGUGAAGCUUUUGUAGGUGAAGCUUUUGUGUUGAAGCUUUUGUGGGUGAAGCUUUUGUGUUAAAGCUUUUGUAGGUGAAGCUUUGAAGUUAAAGCUUUUGUUGGGUACCAUGAAUUGAUUUUGCUUCACACUAUCUUGAUCAAGAUAGUGUGAAGCUUUUGAGAAUUUGUAGUUGUCCUCCAUUGAUGAAACUUUGUUGAAUUUCCCAAUUUUUUUUUUUUUUUGGGAAACUAGACAUUUGAAAAUGUGGGAGAGACAACAUAUACAAACUUUGCCAUUCAUGCCACCAACCAGGUGAUGAAAUGUACAACCCGUACUCUCCUUCAUGCCACCAACCAGGUGAUCAAAAGUACGCCCAGUACUCCAAAUUGUACAUGAGCAUUACUCAUGUUAUUCAUACAUAAACAUACAUGAGCAUUACUCAUGUCAUUCAUACAUAAACAUGAGUGAGUGAUGCUCUGUAAAGAUUAUAUUCCCGUGAGUGAUGCUCUGUAAAUGAAGCUUUUGAAGCUGAUUGACAUGAGUGAUGUUCAUGAAUGUUUAUGUUGAUUGACAUGAGUGAUGCUCAUGGAUGUUGUCAUGAGUGAUGCUCAUGAAUGUUAACAUGAGUGAUGCUCAUGAAUGUUGACAUGAACAAUGGUCAUGAAUGUUUAUGUAUGAUUGUCAUGAGUGAUGCUUAUGAAUGUUUAUGUAUGAAUGACAUGAGUAAUGCUCAUGUAUAAUUUGGAGUACUGGGUGUACAACACCUGGUUGGUGGCAUGAAUAAGAGUACAGGUUGUACAUUUCAUCACCUGGUUGGUGGUAAUAGCGGCGGGUUGCCGAAUAAUUUUGAAGUACUGAGCGUACUUUUGGUCACCUGGUUGGUGAUAAUAGAGGGUCUGGCUCUUUUGGGCAUAUGGGCCUUCGCCCUCCACAUGACAUUGCAGCCCAUUAUUUUGGGCUUGCCCUUUUUUUUUUAAUUACCCUCUGAUGGGGUUUAUACAUAUUACCCUCUGAUGGGGUUUAUACAAAUGUCUCCGAAAGAUAAUAAAAAUAAAUUACAUCAUUCUAGUGGGGUGUUUAUUCCUUGCUUUUGCAGUGCCCCCAUAUGCUUCCCUUUUGCUAGACCAAGAAAGUAUGGUCAAAAUAUUCCUUUCGCACGUUCUUCUGCGAUUAUGUCUAUCAAAAUAUUCCAUAAUAUUGAAAGGGUUCUGACAAUAAUGGAAAAGAGAAUGACCCCAACACGGUGGACGAGGAGGCUGAGAUUGUGGAAGAACGGGAAAAUGAGAACAGUGAGGAACAGGAGGACGAGGAGGUCGAGAUUAUGGAAAAGUGGGCAAAGCUUGAGAAACUAAUCCCCAGUUCUGAGAGUCAAUCGACCAGCUCGACAUCAACCACGCCGAAGCCACCACGUUGUGCAACGGCAUCAUCGAUCCCAACUCCACUGGUAACCUGGGAAAACCAUAAAUGUGUCGGACAAGAGCGGAGGCCGCAGAAAGAGGGUUCGACUUGAGCUGAGAGAGCUUGGAUGCCAACGACUUAUUGGUGAGAUUACGCGUGAAGAGAUGUAAUCAGGAGGAUAACCCAAAAAUAAUCUUUGGAGGACGCCAUUGGAGAAAGCUUCGAGCUUUGUGGGCUGUAAUCGACAAAUUUCAAUUACGAUUUUAAUUGAGAGAAAAGUACCAAUUUGAAUAUUCCAGAAUUGCAGCCAAUGUCAGGACAAUCCUUUUCUUCGAACUGUUCCUUCUUGAAAACCUUCAACCUAGCAUCUUCCUCCAUUUCUUGGCUAAUAUGAUAGCCGUAGUAACUUUUGUGGUAUCCGUAAGGGAAAAUCUUUUUGCGUUUCUUAUUACUGAUCUGCCCAUGUUGUUGUUCGCCUUGUAACCCUGAGCUCCUGCAAUUAAACUCCAUCAAUUGAAUGUGACACUGACUCAAGCUGCAAACCUGCAAAACUGAUCAUUCUCUGAAAAUUCAUGCGUUGAAGGUGCGCCAUGUGUUCCUCUUUCUUCCGGCCCUCCUCCUUCUGUUCGAUCAAUGGUCUGCUCGGCGGCUGGAGUCGAACUCUGUUUCUCCCCCAAAUGACGACGAUGUGUGGGUCUUGGUUUCCAGCAACCGAAGACGAUUUUUCCUCUGCGUUGGCUUUUUCACGCAGGAAGGAAGGAACUGUGUUUUUUUUUUUUUUUAAUUCUUGGAUUUCUUGAAAAUGCUUAGGGUUUGAUUGAUUUGAUGGGUGAGGGGUUGGUGGUGUCGUGGAAGCAGGAAAAAGAUAAAGACUGGCCUUGGAGGAAGGCAGAUUUGAUGGGAAUCAGAAAGCUGCUGCUUGUGAGCGACUUUUUCAGAAAUGCACCAAGUACAACACCAAUAAAUAAAACCAGAGAGAGAGAUGGAGGGUUUUCUGGAAAAAAAUCAAAAGUGAGGUUUUGGGCUCUUGGGUUUUGCAGAUUCAUGGCGGAGGUGAAAAUUUGAGAGAGAACCGACAUAGUUUCUCGUAUCGUUUCCCACAGACGGCACCAAAUGCUGAUGCACAAAACCGGAGGUCUUGGAACAACGUAAAUCCGACCUUGAAUCUUCAAGAAAUGUAAAUAACACAAGAUGUAUCGUGGUUCACCCCAAGGUUUGGGCUACGUCCACACUAAUUAUGUAUUUAUCUGAAGGAGAGAAAGCUCUGAGAGUGUUGAGCUUUGAGAGGGGUGAGAGGGCUUAGGAAUUGGCCUAUGAGGAUGUGAAUGAGCCUCGCCUAAUUGUGAGGGUGAGGGGUCCUUUUAUAGAAUAAGGACUCAUUACUUAUUACAUAUUUGCCAUUUCAUUUAUUACAUAAUUACAUUUUAAGUCCCCCGAGUAUUUAUACGAGGUCUAAAUACGGAGGCCCUAAGUAUGGUAUAAACAAAGUGUGAGUUCACAAUCAGAGCAUAAGUAACCUAAGUGCAGUCCAGCAGGACAAAUACUAAUUAUACAACACCAAAGAUAAUCCUACAUUGGUGAUAAUCUGUCAGAGUUGCUGUGAAUUCCUCGUAAACCACCAACCAGCACUCUUACCUAAAACCUGAAGGAACGCAAAACAGAAAGUGUGAGUGGGCAAAAACAAAGCUUUUCAAAACCAUUUCAUUUAUCAAAAGUUCUAACCCCUCGCCGUAAAACCUAUAUAAUUUCCCAAUAAAUAAAAUAUAUAGAUAUCUCAAAACCAUGCUCAGAAAACAAUAUUCAUGAGUAUGCCAUGCCAAAUAUCUUAAAAUAACUAAAUAAGUGACUUAGGUGAAAUAAACUCAUGAGAAAUAACAUAUCAGCCGGAUCCACCUAACGUGGCAUGUACAGCUGGGCCUAUAGUUCAACAAGUAUGCCUGCACACGAGUCAGAACCAUUUAAUGUGGUGUGUACGAUAGGACUGGGUGUAAAUAAAUACGCUCUAGUGCUACGAUCACGUGAAGACUGUGCGAAUAAUCGCAGGUCAACUACGAGUCGGAACCACCUAAUGUGGUCUGUAUGACAAGACUGUGCACCUAACUUGGAUCCAAGGUGAGCGUAUGGUGCGAGAGGUGAACAUCACGUGAAGGCUUGUGCCCUGGCCACGGGCCGGAGCACUAACACCAGAGUGCAGGUUUAUAACUUCUCAACACAUCUCACAUAAUUGUCAAUUCACAUAUAAACAUUCUACAACUUACCUGGUACUUACCUGAGUGUCCACAACAUCAAAUCACAUUUAUGCAUACUAAACUAAUUCAUAGUCUAAGCAUGAUACAAUAGGCAUGACAUUUCAAAACAUAAAUUUUAUUUAAACUCAUUUUCUGGGAAAAAUACCAAGUAUAUAAGUAUAUACUGAAAACCAAAAGCCCAUUCACUGAUAUGUGGAAGGGUCGUAGCCCCCGAGUCUUGCUUGACUUCGCUCGUCCUCAGGAUAGGUCUCACCUAUAUGUGAAACAACUAUAUAAACGUUAUUUUAAAGCACAUAAAUAAAACAAGGCAAUAACUUCUCGUAUAUUGCUCAAUUGGGGUAAUUGAAUAUACCACUGAGACCUACUCAACCUCAGGAACAUCCCCAUAUUUUUAGAAAAAAUUUCCGAGCACCCACGUGCCCUCACGCGCCGGCCAAGGCAUGGCCAGACGCGCGGCUCACACGUAAGCACGUCCUUGGCACACUGACGGAUUCCUUAACGGCGUUAGGGAAUAUUUCGUUAAAAAUCAGCAUAUACCGUUAAAGAUACCUGACGCCGUUAGCAUAUUUCGUCAACUUUGACAGAAUAUUCUCCUCUUUCUUCCUUGGUUUGUCGGAGCCCGGCGCCGGUGCCAUUGCCAUCGCCGGAAACUGGAAAAAUCUUUAAAACUUUAUAUCUUCUUCAUUUCUCAACUAAAAUUCAUGAAUAAUAUACCAAAAUGAAGCUUGAGAUGAGAGGAACAAAACCUUACCGCUCUCAUGUCUUCAAUCCACCGGAAACUCACCGAAAAACCCACGAUAAUCCGGCCAUCUCUGCAACUCAACGAACCCGAGUUUCCCAAUGUUCUAAACCUUCCAAAAUUCUUCUAAAAGCUUUGUGAAGAUGAUCUAAGACUUCCAAAAAGCUCAAAACUUCAAGAAACACUCGUGAUCAUGUCGAGUGAACAGUGCAUCUCAUCGGGUGUUUUCGGUUCUCGGGUUUUCGAAGCUUUCACGACCAAAAAGGUAUAGAUCGAGUCCUGAGCUCACAAGUAACACAAAAAUCACUUCUUCAACGUCGAUCUGUGCCUGCAAAGGCUGGUUUCAAAUUUGUCCGUACAAUUGUACGGAAAUGGAAAGAAAUCCGAGAGGGAAAGAAGGAAGAGGGUCUAUGGGAUUGGUUGGUGUGUGUGUGUGGUCCAUGUCACAUCCCCGCCCGGGUCCACCACAUCCCGGACCCGUUCCACCACCGUAGCACGAUAUUGUGCUUUGGGCUUACCAUUCCCUCACGGUUUUGUUUUUAGGAACUCACGAGCAACUUCCCAGUGGGUAUAACUAAAACAAAAAAUAACUAAAACUUAAGUUCCACAAACUUACGAAUAAAUUAAAUCAUUCCAAAACCUAAGCUUAAACCACACCACCACACAAUAUAACUCAAUGCCCAAGGGUAUAAAAGGAAUUUCCACGCUAUCGAGGAUAAAAUAAUAUAUACAUUCGGGACGGGCUAUCACAUUCUCGUUCUCUAUUUUCUUCGUUAGAAUUGAACUAUGAUUCAAGUGAAAUUAAUGUACCAUCUUUCUUAACAAAAACAUUAAAAUGUACCAACACAACUUAUUUUUAAAUUAAAACGUACCUAUGCCGAAUUGAAAGUCUUCAUAGUAAAUUAAAAUGUACCAUUACUAAAUUAAAAUGUAACCAUGCUGAAUUAAAAUGUACCCAUGUUAAAUUGAAGUGCACCGAUGAAUUUUAGGUACAUUUAUUUUAAAUGUACCAAUAUGCAUGUUUUAGUAACUUUAUGUUUUAUUGUUUGUAUCCACAUUUUAUAUGUAUCUAUUGUGUAUUUGCCAAUUAUUAAGAAAAACUUUUGCAAGUUGUCUUUUGGGUACAUUUUAUGAGUCAAGAUAAAACACCAGUGUUGUAUGAGUAUUGGAAGAUUUCAGAUUUUCAUAAUUUUAUGAACUAAUGACAAUUUUUAAAACUGUAAAUGCACGAAUAAUGAAAAGAAAACAAGAUAAUUUUCCAAAAGGAAAUAAUAUAAAAUGAAAUUAAUAAUCCCAAAAUUUAUAGGAGAAUGUUUAAUCAAAAUUUUAAAAGAAACAGAUGUUUAGUCUAAGUAAUUAAAAAACAAGGCACCUAUAUCAAAACAUCCCUUUAUUUUUUACCACGGGGACUCUCUUAAUUGUUAGGUCCUACCACCUACGUUACUUUUAAUCCAUUUUGCUGUUAAAACAUAUCACGUGCCCCUUGUGGAAGAAUAUUUUUUCCGUUUAUCCACUUUGGGGGUUGCCCAACAAAUAUGAACUUAUUAUCCUUCAUCCCUCUCCACUUAAUGCCAAUAUAGAUUUCAACAAUCAAUUUUCAUUUCAAAUCUUCAAUAACCCUUGCCAAAAUCAAACCAGAGAUCAACUUCUCCCUUUCUCUUCAUGACAACAAGGUCUUUAUACAAAUUGAUUCUAGCGAGUCCUAGAAAGUGAAUUGACGCAUGAAUAAAAACCCAACACCUAUCCACCAAGAUUGGAUAACGUACAACUAAUCAGAGGCGGGCCCACCUUGAGACAAGGUGGGUCAGCUAACCCCCCCCCCCCCCCCAACUUAGAAAUUCUUCAUGGAAAAACUGGGUGUUGCCUUUUGAAAAUUUGAGCUGCCCUUGAAAGCUACCCUCCAACUGUUAGAAGAAUUGCCUCUAGGGGCACUGGAUGGGGUAGCUGCUAGCAUCAUGCCUUUGUAUGCUUUGUUACGGGCAUCUUUCAAUUGGCUUACUCAACAUAUGUUGACAUCUGCAGGCAUGCUCGCUCAAAAUCUAUUGUCGACAUGCUCAUGUUGGCAUCUAUCGAUAGGCGUGCAAUAUGACUUAGCAAAUUACUUGAAGUCUACCAAGGCUCGAUAAACUGCCAAUUUUCAUGCUAUACCGUCCAAAAAGUUUUGUGUGCUACACUCACUAUUCUUAUUGACCACCCGAAUAAUAUUUCAUGAAUCCACGGCUGCAACUAAUCCAAUAGUGUUAAGCGGGACUUACUCUAUUCCUACCUAAUUAACCGAAUAAUAUUGUCCCAAAUUUGAUGAGGAUCGUCCUAGCUAGUGAUCGAUUAUAAGGAUCAAACUGUGCCAUAUGUCGUAGCACACAAGUCAAACAUCCUUAAAUGGAUAAGCACUCGAUGAAUCUAAAUUUGCAUACAGCUAGCUAACAGCAAUAUAAAAACCAGAAACAAACGUAAGUGGACCACACAUAAUGUUCCAAUUUAAACACAUCAUUAUCGACUUACUAAAUUCCAACCGAGACCGUUGAGCAACAGCUGCUCUCAUGCCUCAAACAUCUGGGCUCGAUCAAGGAAGCUACAUUUGCAUACGCAAACAGAACAUGAGAAUAAUUAGCAUGGUUAUAGUUAAAAGAUAAGGCCUACGAGGGAUUAGGAGAGAGACCUACGUUGCAAUUAGAAUAGUGUAUAUAUAGGUAACUAUAUAUGCAUGGUAAAUAGAAACUCGUAAUGUUACAAAAUGUUACAAUAUUGACUCCUACUCUGUCCAAACUAACGAGUUAAAUACUAUGUUUUGGUGUGACAAGGUUAUUCUAUGUUUACAUGCAUGUUAGAUUGGUGUCGCGUGAGUCAUUUUCAUCAUUUACAAGAAGUUGUUAUGUACUUUAUUUAGAGAAUAUAGUAAGUACAGAAUGAACGCACUGAUUGUCGUCCCAUCAAAAAAUAGUAGUUGAGUUGAUAGCUCAACAAACAGAAGGAGCACGAAAAUGGUAGUUGACUUGAUAGUUGAACAAACAAAAGGGGCACUCAGUGUAAUGUUGUGUAGUUAUGAGUACUAAUUAAUUCACUAAUACGAUUCUUGUUUUAUUUAUUUAUUUUAAUAGACGAUAUUACCUACAUUAAGAAAUAGAAGGUGGACUUAGUCAGGGCCGGCCAUGAGAAAUUGGGGGCUUUAGGCGAGCUUUUGAGUGAGGGCCCUAAAGUUCUUUGAUACCCAACUCAUUGUACAUUUAUAUGUAUAAGAAAAGAUUUCGCUAAAUACAUGAAAAAAUUCAUUUCUACUUCAAAAAUCAUUAGAAUUCAUAUCCAAAUAAGAAAUAUAUGCAAACAUUACUUAAAUAUUACAUGUCAAUAUUACACCGUGACCUCAAAUGAUUUUACCGAAGCAAUACAAGUUGUUCACAAUUUUUAAACCAAUCUCUUUCAUUAAUAAAUAUUCCAAAUGUUAGUAUUCCAUGGCUGGAGUUGGAUAACAAUUUAUUAAAUCACCAACUGCCAUAUUCUCAUGAUUCCAUGAAAGCCAUUUGCAGAACUUAUAAGAAAAUGAAAACAAAUAACUUACAAUACAAUAAUGACAGCAUAACCAGCAACGGAUUCCAAACCACCCUUCCCAAACUUCACUCUCUAGGUUACUCUUCAGCAACUCAUUUUUCACCUCCAAAAUCACUUCCAUUGUAAAAAACAAAAAAUUUGCCUGUGAUUAGAACACCCAGCUAAUUACAACAAACAUCCAAUUGGAAGUUACAAAAUCCAAUGAAAAAAACCCAACUUACCAUCACUUUUAUUAGUCUCUGGACGCCACGGAAGCACCUUCAAGAUCUCAUAAGCAUUGCAAAUGGGUCCAUCGCAGACUUGCUCAAUGCUCAGUUUGCUCUGUGCGUUAAAUUCCCAAAAAAAAAGGUGAAGUGUUGCUGAAGUUUCUGUUUCACCCCAACCAAGACAUUUUGCAGCCAAGUUUCCACUUUCAAGACAACUAUAUAAUUUUAUAUUUAAAUAUUUUAUUAAAUUCAAACUCUAAAAAUAUAUUUAUAUAUAUGAUAUAUAUACACACAUAUUUAAAAUGAUAUAUUUUGGGGCCCCCUCCCCACCCAAUACACACGGCUAGUUCCAAAUUUUUUUUUAAUUUCAUAUUUAGAUAUUUUACUCAAACCAAAAUUAUAUAUAUAUAUAGAAAAUUAUGAUUGGCACUCUAAAAUUUUCAUUCUACAUUUCAAACUUUCUAUAUUUGAAAAGAAAAAUACACUUGUGAAAAGUGUAGGAUGAGAUUUUUGAAGUGUCAAUAACACUUUCCUAUAUAUAAAAAAAAUAAAAAAAUUUGGGCCACCCCCCGAAGUGGGGGCACUAGGCGGCCGCCUACUCAGGCUACCCUCAGGGCCGACCCUGGACUUAGCCUCAAAAUUGACUAGUAAUAAUGUGGUUCAAAUUCAUCUUUGACGAGAAUCAAACCUAUUAUCUUUGACGAUAAUCAAACCUAAAACUUCUCACUUACAAGUAAUAAGGAAUACCACUAGACCGUAAUACUAAAUGACAAUACAAUUCUUGUUAGAGGAUGAAUUUUUUAUUCUUUUUCCUGUAUUAAUAAAUUGCCACUCUUAUCAUAAUUUGUGUAAGGUUAUUAUCCGAAAUUCAUCUAAAGAGAAACACAACUACUGUUUUAAAAAUAGACAGAUCCACAAAUGCAUAUCUACGUGAGAACCAUAUUCCUUCACCGUACAAUAUGCAUUUACGUAGAUAUAUAGAUUCUAAAGAAAUUAAACCCAUGCAAAUCAUCCCCAUAUUUUCAUAUUCUCGAUCCACAACCACAUUAUAAAACAAAGGCCUACCAUUGAAAAUUAUGGACGCUAAUUAAAAAAUGGAGUCACGUCUCUUUUGUCACUUUGCGACUAUGGAUUCAUGAUCAAAUAUCAUCAGAUUUGAUAUUAAAGGCCCAGAUUAAAAAGUUGAAAGCAUAAUUUAUUUAUUAUUUAUUUUUCGUAUAAUGUACGAAGGUGAGUAAUUAUACAUUUUUUAAGCACUGCCAACUAGAGCAUUUCUGAAAUUAAGGGAUAAUAGGAGGCAGUUAAGGAAGGGAAAUCUCCUUUUUUUUUUUAAUGGGAAUUAGUUGUGGGGCCCACAACAUAUCAAACUUCAACAAUCUGAACUGUUUACUUUUCAAGUUGUACCUCGUAGAUCAUCCGUGCAAAAUAUUAGUCAAAUAUGAAAUAUUUGAAACAUCUAAUUAAAUAGACAAAUAGACAAAUAGUUUUGGAUUGAGUUAAAUUUUUGCAAAGAUGAUCUAUGAAUCGAGACUUACGAAAUAGACGUUUAGAUCGUUGAUUCGAUGUAGAGUGGAUCCCACAACUAAUCAUCAUUUUUUGAAGCCACUUAAUUAUAGGCCUAAUAGUAUUCCUCUUCACUCGUCACUAAGAAAUCUUAUGUUUGAUUAUUGUCAAAGGCAAAUUUGAAUCACAUUAUUGCUAGCCCAUUGUAAGGCUUAGUCCACUCCCCCACCUACUUAGUGUAGAUAAUAUCGUUUGGUAAAAAAAAUUUACUUUUGAAAGCUUGUUAUUUAUACUUAAAUAGUACUAGGGACAUCAAAAUUUUAAAUUAAAUUGACAAACCGUGUCAUCAAUAAAAAUAAGCAUGUUAAUCAACAUUUGAGUAAUAAUUCAAUCAUCAAUAAUCUCAUUAUUUAGUUUACAAAAUUUAAUCUCUCUAACAUAACUCUUAUACUUAUAAAGAUCCAAAAGUUCGAUUUACAUAAAAAUAAGUCAAGGGAUUCGUCAUUUUUCACUUUAGACGGCAGAAAAGAAAUUAUAAAAACAAUCGACAAAAAUCAAAACACUAUGGAUGGUUCCAAAUAUAGUUGUCACGUUAAAUGAAAGGUGAGCAUCAUUUUUCAUUUUUAUUUUUUAUUUUUGUCCUCAAAGAAAGCCAUCGAAAAGCCCAUGGUCCCAAAAGAAUCAUUAUCCCUUAAAGGAAAAGCUAAAAAAUACAAUAUGUCCCCACGAAAAAAAAUCCAAAUAAAUUCUUUAGUGUGCCAAAAACAGAAUUUAGUAUACCACGUAUUAUAAUACAGGGUUAAUCUCAGUUUACUACUCUGAAGUUUCUUGGUUUUCAACAUUUGGUAUAUAAAGAUUUUUUUCGUCCCAGUUUGGUAUCUAAAGUCAUAAUUAUGAGACACUUUCAUACAUUCGUUAAAUUUUUCAUUAUAACCUCAGUUAAAUGAUGACGUGGCAUCCAGUGGACAAUGACUAGGCACUACGUAUCAUUAUGGGCCCACGUAAAUAUUAAAAAAAUUUAAAAUUAAUUUUUUUAUCCCCUCUUCUAGCCCUAGCUAUUCGGCCCUAAAACAAUUAAUUUUUGGGUUAAUCUCGGUUUACUACCCUCAAGUUUCGUGGUUUUCAACAUUUAGUACAUCAAGUUUUUUUCGUCUCAGAGUCAUAACUAAAGUGUUAAUUUUGGGAUAGUCUCAUACAUACGUUAGUCAAACCGUUAAGUCUGCCGUUGAUUAAUGACGUGGCGCCUAUGUGGACAAUGACUGGGCACCACGUAUCAUUAAAAAUAUUAAAAUAAUAAUUAAAAAAAAACUCCUACCCCGCACACUCUCUCUCCUUGCAUUCUCCAUCUCCAUCUCUCUCUCACUACCUUUCUCUACCUUUCUCUCCAACCCAGAACCCCUGCAAAUCAUCCCUAAACCCAAUCUUUCAAUUCAAUCCCCCACUCUCAAACCCUAAAGUUCAGUUCUUUCAGAUCAAAAGGAAAACCCCAACUCUGGGUUUUUCUGUAAGUCGCCGGAGUCGACAUCUCUGAGACACCUGGGUAUUCACCUUUCUUCCAGUGCCUCUAUCUGGUGUCGAAAGACGAAGAUGGAGUAGAGUGACGGCUUACAGCUAGGGUGGCGAAUGCAGGGAUGAGCAGCUUAAAGUUGGGGUAUUGGGGUUUCUAGGAGACGGCGAUGGUGGUGGUGGAGUUUUUGUUGAGAGGAAGAGGAUGAGGGAUGAGAAAGGAAGAGAAUGAAAGAGAGAUUGAAGAAGCCAUGGAUGGCUUUGGCCUACAAAAUUGUUAAAGCAGUGAGGUGGAUUUUAGAAGGCAGGGCAUGCAAAUUAAAAACCCAGAACGACUUCACAGGCUUCUCCUCCGCAGCUUCAGUCUUCAAAACCCUAGCUCUGGGCGGUCGGCCCCUCCCUCGUUUCCCUGCAACCUCAAAAUCCAGCAAACCCAACUCCAUAAAUUCGACAUUUUUUCCAUAACCCUGAGAACCCAACUCGACAAAAUUAUAGAUUGAAAUUGGCAUAAAAAUUUGAUCGUGAACCACCCAGCAUUAUUCGAGACUGAGUUUUCCGUCAUCCAGCCAGUCAACUGGGUUUUUCGAAUUAGGCCGCGGCGGUGAUGGGUUGUCUUCAGAUUCAGAGUUGGUGACGGUGGAGAACGCCGAAUCGAAGACCCGGUGCUGUUGCUAAUACACCUGCAACUUCUUGAGAAGUAGAUGAACGAGAUUCUUUCUCAUUCCAGUUGGACGAGAGGUAAGGGAAGAGAGUUGGCUGCAGAUAUGAGGAAAGGAAAAUGGGUGUGCAGUUAGAUUGUGGAGUUGGGUUUGCUGGAUUUUGAGAAUAUUCAAAAUUUGUGAAAUCAGAUUUGCUGGGUUUUAUAAAGAAUUAAAGACAAGCAGCAAGAGCUUCUAGAGAUGGCGAUGGUGGAGAUCAAAGAAAAGAGAGAAGAAAUUAACACUCAAAGUGGCGGGGUGGAGGGUGGAAGAAGAUGAGGGUUUUUUUUUUAAAUUAAUUAUUUUAAUAUUUUUAAAUGACACGUGGCGCCCAGUCAUUGUCCAUAUAAUCAUCACGUCAUCAGUUAACGGCAGACUUAACAGUUUGACUAACGGAUGUAUGAGACUAUCCCAAAAUUAUCACUUUAGGUAUGACUCUGGGACGAAAAAAACUUGAUGUACUAAAUGUUGAAAACCACGAAACUUGAGGGUAGUAAACAGAGAUUAACCCUUAAUUUUUUUUAAGCCCUCCCUCUCUUCUGUCUUUUACGCCCACCCAAUCCGUUAUACAUGACCCACCUCUACCUUCUUCACCUCCCCUUCCUUCUCUCUCCUCCACCCUUUUCAUCUCCACAUUUUGCAAAAACCCUAAUCCCUAAAAUCGCACACCCGGGUUCUAAUUGGUCUUUAUCCAAGAAUGACAAUAUCCCAACGUAGUACUCAAGACCGACGGAUGAUGAAACAAUUGCAUGAUUCUCAUCAAUUAAAUCCUCCAGAUUCCCCACGCUCAUCGAUGAGCCUCGGAGAUCGUCGACUUUAGAUAUGUCCUCCUCGACUUUCUCCUCAUGCGGCUUGAACCACCCUUGGUUUGUGACGAACUCCUCCUCCAUGAGGAGAUAGUCCUUGAUUCUCUCAAGCUUCAGCAGCCAAAGCUUGCACUUUGUCAGCAGGGUCACCAUCGAGAGCCGUACCGCAGCUUCGAGACCGUUUGCGUUGUUUUCGACCGACUCAAUAGGUGAGACAAAAGAGUGAGUGAAAGAUUAACACGAGGGGUGAGGUGAGGUAGGAGAGGUGGGUGUAAGAGGAGGGUGGGUGCAGAUAAGGGAAAUGAGAGAAAGGAUAGAGGGAUGAGGUCGUAGGGGUAAGGAGCAGCCCAGAAAAUUUAAAAAAAAAAAAUUGUUUUGGGACCUGAUAGCUAGGGUUAGAAGAGGAGAUAAUUUUUUUAAAUUUUUUUAAUAUUUACAUUGGUCCAUAAUGACACGUGUCGCCCAAUCAUUAUCCACAUGGAUGCCACGUCAUCAGUUAACAGAGGUUUUGACAUAAUACUUAAUAGAUGUAUGAAAGUGUCCCAUAAUUAUGAUUUUAGGUACCAAACUGGGAUGAAAAAAACUUCAUGUACCAAAUGGUGAAAACCAAGAAACUUCAGGAUAGUAAACUGAGAUUAAUCCUAUAAUAUAAGUAUUAUAUUUUUGGAUAAAUUACAUAAAACUACCUCAACUAUUAGGUCAGGCACAGUUUCAUACCCCAUCUUUAAAAAAUUUCAAUGUCAUACCUCAACUACGAAUUUGUUACAAUUUCAUACAUUCCGUCAGUUUGUCUGUUAAUUCUUCUGUUAAAUAGUGACGUGAUUUGAGACGAAACCCACUUUCUAUUAAAAAAAUUAAUUAAAUAUUAAAAAAUAAAAAAAAUAAAUCUUUUUUUUUUUUUUUUUGCAUGGGGAACCCACCCUUAUCCCCUCACCCUUUCUUCCCCAUCCACCUGUGUCCCCCUAACCUUCCUUCAACGCUAAAACCAAAACCCCCGCCGCCCUCUCUUCCUCCAUCUCCACCUCCCUCCCAUGGCGCUCCUCCCUACCACUAACUCAUCUUCAACCCAUUUUUUUUAAAGAAUACUUAGCAAAUCCCUAACCUUUUCAAGUCCCUAACCUUUUGAAAUUUGAAAACAAAGCAAACAUGUGAUGUGAAUGGAAGUGUGUGAUCAGUUUCGAAAAAUUAAUGAAACUGCAAUUUCCAAACAAGAAACAGUUGCAUCCCUUCAUAGAGAAUGUGGUUUGAAGCAUCACCUUCCAAAUCCAUAAGGUCAGUUGUAGCUGCAACGCGGACGAGAGUGAAGAAGCUCCUUGGAAACUAGGCUCUUAGCCUUAUCGAGAAGACCGAUGAGGGACUCAACUGCAGAGGUCAGGUUUGACCUGAAGAAAAAGCUUGAGAUCUUUGCCGAUGGUAAGGAGCUGGAUGUUGUGGUCGAAACAGAAGACCUGGACGCGGCUGCUGGAGCUGCCGGCGUCGAAGGAUAUGGCUUAUAAGAUCUUGGAAGGCAGCUUGCAUGGGAGCUGAUUGCUCAAAUUAGCGAUGAUGGUGCGAUGAUGAUGAUGGGAAGUAGGACGCGCGGGUGUUCCUGCUGGUGAACUUUGACGGCGCGAUGAUGAAUAUACGGAGCUCGCCGAGGCUUUCAAUCUACGACAACGGGGAGGGAGAUGAAGGGGAGGUGUGGCGACGGGUAGGGUUGGAAGGGUAGGAACGGAGGAGAAGAGGUUGAAGAUGAGUAAAGUGGUAGGGGGUGAGGCCCACUGUUCUUUAAAGUUUUUUUUUUUAUUUUUUAUUUUUUAUUUUUUUUGCUUUAUAGGUUAACAUUUCUUAAUAUUUAAUGAAUUUUUUAAUAGAGAGUAGUCCCAAGUCACGUCACUAUUUAACAGAAGAAUUGACAGAUAAGCUGAUGAAAGGUAUGAAAUUGUAACAAAUUUGUAGGUGAGGUAUGCCAUUGAAAUUUUUAAAAAAUGGGAUAUGAAAUUGUAACUGACCCAAUAAUUGAGAUAGUUUUAUAUAAUUUACCUUAUAUUUUUUUAAAUUUUCAUUCACUUGUACUAUGAUUUUAUUCAUUGGAACACGAUUCUAGACACACUAUAAAAUCUCUCCACACAAUGUACAAAAACCGGAUGCUGUGGGCACGUGUCGAUACACGGCGUGGAAUCUUACGACUGGAAUCGAAAAUUACCUGGCCGAUUGUGCGCCGAGCCAUGAAAUUCUGGAAACGAUUUUGUACUAACGGACGAGAGCGCACCGAAGAAUCUCACUGCUCCGGAUAAAAGGAUCGUGCACCACGUGUCCGUACGUGGUUGGUGGUGACGGGGUUCUUAUUCUUUUUGUGAUUUGAGAGGUGCCAUAAACAGUGUAGAAAAAGGUGCUUCGCUUAAAGAGAAAAAAAAAACACAAUCCAUUCACAUGACAGUUUUGGCUCCUUUGGUUUUUCAUUUCCCGUUAAACAUGAGGCUCUCUAUUGUGUUUGAGGUGCACGUUUUUUUAUUUCUCGUUCUAUUAUUUAUUUAAUAAUUAUUAUUCUUAAUUUUUUUAAGUCUUUCAAUUCGUUUAUUAAAAAGUCAAGAGUCGUGUGUAAAAUAUGAAAACAAAAUGUGUAAAAUUACGGACGACGCCUUCCUCCAACAAAGAAAAAUCAAUCAAGUAUCAAUAAGGGCACCGUAAAAAAUCUCAUACAAAGAACUUGCCCAAUAAAAUUACUUUUAAUUUUGCCAAAAGGUCAUCUGAGCAAAAGAAGAUAAAGAAUUCAAUUCAUGUUAGCGGCAAGGGCAUAAUUGGCUAUCAGAAUAUGAUUUCUUUAAAAAAAAUAAGAAAUACUGGUUACUUUCUCACAUCCUUUUCUAUCCUCAGUUUAUCAUAGAAAUCUACUACAUUACUCGAGUCAUCCAACAUUUCAUAGAUUUAAUAACGACAGCAUGUCAAAUUUGUCCAAAAAGUUGGAAUUUAUAACUGUGAUAAUAAUAAAUUUUUGGUCAUCGACUUGAUUGUUCUUGCACUAAUUGAGUUGACGACCAAGAGUUUGUCAUUUUCGCUGUUAUAAAUUAUGACUUUUUGGACAACUUUGGCAACAUCAUAAUGAUUGCGUGUCUAUUAUAACAGUUUGCUUUUCGAGAUUCGUUCCACUUAGCCCUCAUUUAUAAACAAUCAUCGGCCAUUGGUUGAUGAAGAUCCCAAAUUGGUUGUAAAUACUAGUCAUGUAGUUGGACAACUUCCUAUGUGCACACGGAAAUUGUGUAGGAUGUAUGCGCUCUACUCACCUAAAAGCAUCUCCAAUUUCAUGCUUUCUAUUUUCAAGUCAAAUUUUAGCUAAAAAUACUAUAAAGUUAAUUUAGGAGACCACUAUAAAAAUUGAACUCCAAUCAAACUCUCUAUUUUAGAGAGUCAUAAUAAUUGUGAACCAAGGAAUAAAUUUUUUACUUAAAAUACUAUUGAAAUUAUAAUAGUUAAUGCUAUGAGCUCCUUUCGCACUCCCUAGAUUUAGGAGCUCCUAUAGGUUUUGCUAUCUUAGGAGCAUAAUAGGGAGUGUGAUAAAAAUAUAUAUUUUUCAACUUCUCUGCUCCUUAUACAGAAUUGCUCUCCUAAGUUCCGAAUUUUGAGGACAUGUGAGGUCCUUUUUUUUAUAUGAACUCUCAGAUUAAUGUUAUGGUAUAUUAAGCUAUCAACAUAAAUAAUCUAUAUCACACCGAAACACAAUAAUUCUAAAAAGUUAAUAAAUUAAAAAAAUAUCUUGCGUGAAACCUACCUUCUUUUUCCCCAACUGUCUGUCUCCUCCACAUCCCCUUCCUCUCUCCAUCUGUCUCUCGAUUGUUCACUUCCCUUUUCUCUUCUUGAGUUGUUUUUCCCCUUUUUUGCAUAUGAAAAUGGGAGAGGGACUUGUUUCAAAAUUUUCACUAUCUUCGAAGAUUUUCAUAUGAAAAAAGGGUUCAUCCGUUCAAGAAGAAAGGGAUCCCAAAAUUUCAAAACCGCAAAAUCUCAAAUUUUUUUGGUUCCUUGUAACUAGGUUUGAAUAUUAUUGAUAAAAGAUUGGAUGAAAUUGGACGUGUAAAAUUAUUAGGGUUGUUUAUACCAUAUUUAGGGCCUCUGUAUUUAGAUCUCGUAUAAAUACUCGGGGGACUUAAAUGUAAUUAUGUAAUAAAGGAAUGGGCAAAUAUGUAAUAAGUGAGGAGCCUUUAUUCUAUAAAAUGACUCCUCACCCUCACAAUGGAGGGAGACCAUUUCUUAAGCCUUCUCACCCUUCUCACAUCCCCUCUCAUAUUAGAGGUUCUCUCCCUCACCUCUCAGGUAAAUACAUAAUCAGUGUGGACGUAGCUCAAACCUUAGGGUGAACCACGAUACAUCUUGUAUUAUUUACAUUACUUACAGAUUCACGGUCGAAUUUAUGUUGUUCCAAGACCUCCGGUUUUGUGCAUCAACAAGGGUUUUAUGCAAUUGGAUUUUUUUAGGUUUAGAUAUAUUCAAUGGGGAGACUAGGUUUUGCAUACGGAAAUGAUUAGACAUGACAUCAAUCCUUCUUCUUUCUUCUUAUUUUAAUUUUGUUUUAUCAAUUAGUAUUUUGUUUCCAUAUAACAUGAAUUAUUUAAGUUGAUAGCUUAAUCUACUUAAGAUUAAACUGAGGGAUCAUAUGAAAAAAAACCUCACAGGUCCUUAAUUAAGGAUCUUAAAAAAGCAGCUCUGUCUUCUUAUAUUUGGUUAAGAUCUCAUUUAGAGAGCCCAUUAGAGAUGUUCUUAUACGUGGGUGCCCAUUUUCCUCUAAUUCAUGCUAUUUUUUUCGUUUAUAAUAUUUACAUAUUCAUGUAUUGUGUAAAUUUUGAAGCAUUGAUUGAUUUCAUUUACAAUCUUGUACAAGUAGGGGAAGUGAAGUAUUUGUGUAAUUUUUGUUUGAUAUUAAAAAUAGAAGUUACAAUUUUUUUCUCACAGGUAGUUUGCUUUUUUAUUUUUUGUACUUUUUGAGUCGAGCAGUAGCAUUAACAUAUUAGAUUAGUUAUCAAUGGAGUUCGAAUUCACAUCGUUAUGCAAAGGCACAACAUUUUUUCACUAUUAUGGUAUAUGGCCACUUGCAGUUUUUUUAAGAGUGUUUGAGCAAAUUAACAAUAAAUUGCGUUAGUGGUUAGCGUCUUUCUAAACCAGAUCCAAAUCUUUUUCUUUUGAUAGUGUUUUUAAGAGUGUUUGAGCAAAUUAACAAUAAAUUGUGUUAGUGGUUGCGUUAGUAUGGGAUAUGAACCAUAUUUGACAACAAUUGAGUUCAAUAGAGUUUCUGUUUACUUUUCGUGCCUGUUAUAGGGCUGCGCAUCAAGUGGCUUCUUAUGUCAAGCGUGUGGGGGUUUUCAUAUGUGGGAUCGUUUUGAACCAUAGUGGUUGUUUAAUACUAUGGCUUCUGAUGUAAACAUUUCAAUUCAUCUUUAAUAAUAUUUGAAUUUUGACAAAAAAUGGUAAAUUGCACUUUACCACCCCAGGUUUGGAGUCGAUUUCAAUUCCUUACAAUAUCUUUAAAAUAUUUCACUUUCAUACCUCAAGUACUAUUUUAUUUCAAUAUAGUACAUCAGUUACAUUUUCCAUCCAUUGGUCCGUUAAGAGCUGACGUGGCUGCCACAUUUGUGCCAUGUGGCAAUUUAUUUAUUUAUUUAUGCAUUUAAAAAGUAAUAAUUUAAUCAUAAUAUUAAAUAUUAUAAAAAUUAAUUAAAAAAAAAACCCCUAAAACUAAAACAAUUGUCUUCCCCAUCCUAGCCGCAUUCACCCGAACCCAUGUUUUCCCCAUCCCUAGAACUUCCUUUCUCUUCAUGUUUUCCAUCACCACAUGGUCAAUCAUCGUCUUCAUCUCCCACCCGAAGUCGAUUUUCAUCUUCCACCCAAAUUGAGACAAAUCUCAGCAAAAAAAAUUGAGAAUUUUGGGAAUUUUCAAAAAUAGAAUUCAAAUCAAGAGAGAUUAACAUUAACGUACAUCGUAGGCUUUUGAGAUUUGCUUGAAUUUGGCCUCAGCGGCCUUCUUUUUGUUAGGGUUUUUAUCAGGGUGCCACUUCAUGGCGAGCUUCCGAGGUUAGAAUGAGAGAAGGAGGAAGAGAAAGAGUGAGAGAAGGAGGUUGCCGGGAUUAGGUGGGACGGCGACAAUAGUGUGUAGGGGAUGGGCAAUAGGUUCCAUCUUUGCCUUUUUUUCUUCUGGGUAAUUUAUCUUAGAUCGUGUGGGACGGCAACAAUGGUGUGUAGGGGACGUGGCUGCCACAUUUUCCAUCCCUAGUUGCUGGUUGUUUUUGGGUGAGGUGGGGGUGGUUUGGGGGGUUCAGGGGUUGGGUUGCAAGUGAGGGGAAGGAGGAGGUUGAAGGGAGGGGAGGUGAAGAAAGUGGAGAGGGGUUGCAGGGAAGGAGAAGGGAUGAGUUUAUGGGUUUGUUUGUGUCUUUUUUUUUUUAGUAACUUUUGUUUAAUUAAUUAUUUUUAAAUGUAUAAAAAAUUAUUUUUUGCCACGUGGCAUAAAUUUGGCAGCCAUGUUAGUACAAAUGUGGAUCAUAUAUUUGCCACAUCAUCACUUAACGAAUUUUCUAACGGAUGUAUUAUAUUAAAAUAAAAUAGUACUUGAGGUAUGAAAGUGAAAUGUUUUAAAGAUGUUCUAAGGAAUUGAAAUCGACCCCAAACCUGAAGGGGUAAAAUGUAAUUUAAUCAAAAAAAUAUCUAUUACAUUUUCUACAAUUUAGAUGAAAUUCAGACGUAUCAUAUUCUUUUGUCGAAAAAUAAAAACAAAAAAUUCAAAUAUGACUGGAUUGCCCUUAUUCGUCUCGCAUUAAAAACAACAAGGUCAACGAUUCAUAUUAACCCACGUAACAAAGAAUCUCGAAGAAGCACCCCACAAAAUACCAACCGAAAGUAAAAGAAAAAGGAAAAUAAUAAAUACUAAUUCAUAAUUACAUUUUCGCCGCGUGAGUACGGAUUCCAAAGAUUCCCUUACUUACCGUGAAAACUCGUUCCCGAGUUAAGAAACUGAGUCAGCGAGUUGACCCGGGGACGCGAGGACCCGCUUAUGUGAACCACUGAAUCUUUGUGUGUCCUGAAUCUCAUAUUCCAUUUAAAUUCGGGCCUCUCUGUUCCUUAUCAGGUUUUUAUCAGGGCAAUGCUCGAAAUCGAGAUAGAGAGAGAAAAUUAACAACAACGAAGAGAGAGAGAGAGAGAGAGAGAGAGAGAGAAUGGAGCUGCUGAGCUUGGACUCCAGUCCUCUGUUCGUCCCGAAAACAAUCACCGACUUUCUCGCUCAGCUCUCCGCCAUUAAAGACGGCUCUCAGAGGUCUUCAGAGCUCGAUGGGAACGUGAAGAGACUGGAAGACGAACUCAGAAAGAUUGAAGUUUUCAAGCGGGAGCUUCCUCUCUGCAUGCUUCUCCUGAGGGAUGGUGGGUUUUUGUUCUCUCUCUAGACUCUUGCUCUCUAAACUCUCUCUCUAGGAUUUGGUUUUUGAUCAUAUUUUUGAGAUGGGUUUUUGAUUUGGUUUGAUGGGUAUGCAGUGAUUGAGCGGUUGAAGGAGGAAGGAAUGCGGUGGAGGCGAAUUGAAGAGCGGCCGGUGAUGGCGGAGUUCAUACCGUGGAAGGGCAAUUCUGAGGAGGACGGAGGGGCAGUUUCGGGAAAGGAAAAUAUUGACAAGAAGAACUGGAUGAGCUCUGCGCAGCUAUGGAGCACAAGCAUCAAUGUUUUUGAUUACACCAAACACGACUCUGAACUUAAACCGGUUAAUUUCUAAAUUCCCCCCCCCCCCUUUUUAUAAGACUGAAACUUUAUUGGGGGUUUUCUGAAAUUUCAUAUUUUCUUGGAUUUUUAUUUUACAGGGGAAUGAGGAAGAUGAUCGGUCGGCGGCGGAGAACCCAAUUGAGCUGAGUAAUAAGAAAGGAGUGGGAGGGGCAUUACUGGCAUUCAAGGGUCAGAAUGAGUUGUCUGGUUUUGCAAACCCACGUUUGAAGGGAGACAAGGAGGUUACCGUGGUUCCAAACCUUUGUCUUAUGACUCCAUUGAUGUCUGAAGCACUGGCUGGUUCUGCAAAUGCAAACUCUAAGACCAACCAUGGCUGCAGAGGUGGCGGUUCGGGUUCUGGUAUGGCAGGACAAUUGAAAUUACAGAACAAACCCCAACAGCAGCCACAGCAGCAGCAGCAGCAACCCUUAAGGAAACAAAGGCGGUGCUGGUCGGCGGAGCUCCAUCGCCGCUUUGUUGAUGCCCUUCAGCAGCUUGGAGGAACACAAGGUUGGAGCUUUAUGACCCGAAAAUAUUUUAAUUGUGCUAAUUGAAAAAAAUUGACAUUAAUUCUCGGACUAAGAAUUGGAAAAUUUGACGAGUUUCAAGAUUUAUUGUUGGUUUUCGGAGAAAAUGUUUGAUCUUUAUGCUGCCAAACUACUUGAAUUUAGUCCUUUUUUUUCGAAUUGAAUGCUCCUCUAUGUUUAGAUUUUAUGUGCUUGUUUCUAAUUUGUCUAAUCUGUUUUUUGUAGUAGCCACUCCAAAGCAGAUAAGAGAACUUAUGCAGGUGGAGGGUCUCACCAAUGAUGAAGUUAAAAGCCACUUGCAGGUUCGUUAAUUACUUAAGUUUCUCUUAUCUGUAAUCACAAUUUUCUUUUUCUGACUCUACUGGAUGAUUGUUUGCUCAUAUUUUUUUCUGAUUUCUGUGCAGAAAUACCGCCUUCACAUCCGAAAGCUCCCGCCUUCUUCGGCUGCUGGCCAAGGCAAUGACUUACUCGUGCCCUUGGAUCACAGUGGAGAGCAUACUAAGGCAAACAACGCACAGUCUGGUUCUCCACAGGGUCCUCUCCUCGCAGGAGGGUUUGCCAAAGGCCGAUCCACAACUGGAGGCGAGUCGGGCGACAGCAGGGAAGGUGAAGAGGAUGAGAAAUCGGAUGGACAGAGUUGAACAAGUGGGAAUCACAACCACCACCACCACCAAGGAGCUGGAGAUGUAUAGAGUCUCAUAAAAUCAUCAUCCCGCAUGAGUUUUGCAGAUACAAAUAUCCAUGGGGAAAAAUCAAAGUCUCUGGAUUUGGGAAUUAUGAGCGUAUAGUAGUAAUAAGCGGAGAAUUUGCCAUUGUAGAGCAAGUUUCUUCCUCUGGUUCUUUUAUAUAGGUUUAUUAUUAUGUAAUGUGCCCUUGAUUAAUGUAGGAAGUAACAUGUUAAUGUUUCCCAACAUGACGUUAUUCAGUUUAAUGUGUUUCUAUGCCCUAGUUCUGUUGUAUUAGCUUAAUUAUGCUCUAAUAUAUGAACUGAAGGUUCAAAUUGAGAUCUAUGGACUAGAAGAAAUCUGCUACAUACUGUUUUCCUUCGGAAAUACAUUGCGGUUGCAGAUAUGACAGUUCCGGAUUUGGAUGAGAUCGAACCCUUUCAUCGUAGGAUUCGACAUGAAAACCUGAGUCCAUCCUGAAUGGAGAAUAGGUAUACCUGCGGACAAUUCCCCUUUCCAUGUCCAAAAUAGAGGGCUUGCCUUGCUUCUUGUGUUAAUGCUUGUCAUCAAGCUCUGACAUCAAAAUUUUGUCCAACUGAACUGAAUCCUAAAAAUUUUGUCCAUUUGCCAGUUAACCUUUGCACCUGCAUUGUCCUUGAAUUCUUAGUAGCAUGCCAACUUCUCUCUCUCUCUCUCUCUCUCUCUCUCUACUUUUAUUUUCCGCUGCAAGAGCAUUCCUAGGGUCAGUGGCACACGUCCACCGACUGUUCCCGACCAUUAUGCAUGCGGAGGCCAAAAUGUAUUCACAGUUAGAAGUAAUUGACACGUGUUAGCGAUUGAUCCUAGCAUUUUCUCUGUUGCAAAACCAAUGUCACGCUACUAUAUGUAUUAUUUUCAAUCUUAAUGGAUUGCCUCAGAUUACUCUCCAAACAAAACGGCAUGGUAUUCGCUGAAGCAAUAGCUUCGUUUCUGGUCAUGUACACGGUUAGGUAUUCGUCAAUUCCUCAAGAGUCAGCGUCAAAUGAAAUCUGGAGACCUAACUAAUCAUAUAAUCGAUUUCUUCUCUCAGACUAAUUAAUGGGUUACAUUAGUUAAUGUUAUCCAUUUAAAUUAACAUCUUAAUAAUCCUCAUCUUACAGCUAGGACCAUGUAAAGACAAAGCAGUCACCUUCAAGAUCGCAAAUUUUUUUUUUUAUUGAAUCUCUCAAAAGAGUUGAUAGGAGAGUCAGCCUCCAAUAAUCUUAUGCUUAGAAAAUUAAAUAUUUCAAACGAUUAUUUUUUUCCCAAAAUUUCAGAAGAUGAUUAAUUAGUACCAAACAUUUUCAUAUUUUAAUUAUCUUGAAUGUCAACUAUUUGAUUUGGUUUUUAUUUAUUAUUUGUCGGGUUUAUGGAUUCUUUAGAUUGUAUGGGAGCACAAUCCUGACCUAAGAUUUUGGUUGGCCUAAAUGUUUGGACUGUCACUGUUUUAUACCAACAAAUAAUCUACUAAUAAAGUCUCAACCAACCAAUUUUUGGAGCAUAAAUAACAGAACAAUUUUUAAACCAGCAAAGAAGCGAUCUACGAGUAUGUUUAGAGGGGGUAUUGUUCUUGUAUCGAGAUUUCCGUGGUUAAACAAAUGCUUGCAGUGUCAAACUGUGAACUUCUACGUCAGCGUUAGUGUCAUGUAGAUGGUUUGAUUUUGGGGAAACUUUUCAGAUAAAAACCAUGCUGAAUAUAUAUAUAUAUAUAUAUCUAUAUAAAAUAUGUUCCAAUUUUCCUUUUUGGAGUGUAUGCUGCCAUGCUAAUAGUAGUCUCUCAGUUAAUAUUAAUGUUUGCUACGAUUAUAAUGGUUAAACCGGAUAUAGUGGCAGAUUUAGAAUUUUUUUUUUUUUUUUUUUUGGUGGACGAGGUAUAAAAGUUUGGUGUGGUGUUGUUGUCUCCUUGUUGGUGGGAGGGUCUUAAUGAGGUAGCAUGGAAGGGAUUCAGGAAGGAAGUUAGGAUGAAGAAAUUUGAGUGAAGUAUUUUAAUUUGGGUUAAAUGGAUUUGAAAAGCAUGAGAAAAAAAAAUGUCAGGUGGUUUCGGUUAGAAAAGAAAAUCUGCAGCGUGGUCUCACCCUGUAUUGCCUAGGUGAUGAGUUAGGAUAUAGAGAAUUUUCAAGGUCUGCUCACCCUUGUAAGGAUCUCUUGUUGGCCUGUUAGUGAAAUUUUUUUGUGAAACGAAUAUACCGUCCCCAUAAUGUCCCACAAUUAUGACAAUGUACAUAUUUCAUAUAAGUCAUUCUUAGUCGCUAUUAACUUGUGUUAGAUUGGCACUAUAUAUAUAUAAUUUUUAAGCACUUUACUUCCUAAUCAAUGAAUUCUUUCAAUUGAUGUUAGACCUUGCAUUGAGGCCUUUGGAAGGUUCAACUGAGAGCUACGCACUUCUGAUUACAAGUCACAAGCGGUAAGGGGUUUUGGAGGGACAAAGCGAGACCGAAAUAAUAAUACAAGCAAACUAUGCUAAUUUAGUUGGGUUGAGUUGUAAAUUUUAACAUUUUACUUUGGGUGAAAACUCGAUUGCUCGUUUAAUAAGUGCGUUGUAAGUAUUAUUAACACGAUUAAAACCAACUAAUGCGAAUAUCAAUAAUCCCAACACGUAGAACUUGCCCAACAUAACUCGCCUUAGAGUGCUUUGGGUGAGUUAGGCUUGCCCCUUCUUUUGGGUGGAAAUUUGUUUCAAUUAUAGCAACCCAAAUCUAUUAGAUUAGCUAACGGGUUGAAAUCCAACUCAACUAACCCACUCAAUGCGCACCCUAACCCCCUUCCUCUCCCUUUUCCCUCCUCCUCUCCUAACUUUCUACUUUUUUUUUAAACAAAUAAUAUUAUCUAUACUAAGGAGUGGAAGAGUGUGCUAAGCAAGGUUCUAAAAAAUACUAUGCGCUAGUCGGGCGGCGGGUGGGGGUCUAGCAUAGACGGCUAGGCGGGCGCCUAGGCGGUCUAGGCGGAUUUAUGUAAAUUUAUUAUAUAUCUUGUAAAUAAGUGUCUAUUUACACCUAAAAAAAACUAUACUUUAAUUGUAUGGAUAAUAAAAGAAUGAUAAAAUGCAAAAAUAGAAGUAGAAGAAUACACAAAGUAUAUACAUAAAAAAAGUUCAAUAUUUAAAAAACAGUAAGCAUAUAAUCAUAAUGAGGAUGAUUCUUGGAUGAUAGACUAAAUUCUUCUUGUUCAUGAUCCUUGCAUUGGAUUGGAUAUAGACUAAAUUAUUUAACCUUAUUGUAUCUAGUUUAUUUCUUUCCUUUAUAUGUAUCCCCUCAAAAGUGCUCUAAUUCGUUUCACUAUUGGAUGAACUUGUAGUAAAUCCAUCAUUUGCAAAUUAGGUACACCAUUUUCAUAAGUAUACCACCAUGAAACCAAAAAAAAAAAAACACACAAUUAAUAAAAAAAAUUAAAAAAUAAAAACCGCCUAGGAGCCAGCUAGGACCGCCUAGGCAGUUACCUAGCUCCAGACCGAUUUUUUGAAACGAUUUGCCCUAAAUUGCGGGAGGGCUAACUACACUUGGCACAUUUCAUAUUUUGAAUAUUUUUAAUAGAAGCCACAAGAUUUUAAUUUUCUCAUAUUUCUAGGUUUUGAAAUUGUAUCCAUUUACACAUUUUAUCUAAUAAAUUAUUUAAAUGUUCAUUAAAGUGAUAACAUGGUAAUCAUGUAGCUCGUAACUCGAUUGACAUGUAAGCUAUAUUUGCACUAUAUAGCCUAAAAAUCUCAUCAAUUUAAUGAAUAAAUAUACAAAAAAUGCAAAUUGAUAUAAUUUCAAAAUUUUAGGAGACAUCGUGAGAAAAUUGAUGCUUCCUUACUCAAUUUAAAAAUCAUCUCAAAGUGUAAAAUGUCGUUGGCCGAUUAAUUUACAAGAAUUAAUUCUAGUUAAUUCAGUACUUAAAGGGGGCGUUUGUUUCACCUCUUUAGGAGAGACUGGACUGGACUGGACUACAGUCCCAUGUUUGAUAGGUGAUGGGACUAAGUUAAGUGGGACUAAAGGGGACUCGUGUGGACUAAAGGCCUCCUUAAAGGUUCUUAGCGAGGCACUCCCCAAACCAUGGGACUUGCUAAGACCUGCUUCUUCCUCCUCCCUGCGAGCCCCUCUGUGAGUUAUUGGCUUCUUCCUUUGCUCUUAUGUUUUCACAAACGCCGAGAGCCACCAUCAUUCCCCCUCGCCAAUUCCCCCUUCCCCUCUUCCUCUCUCCUCGCUUUCUUCUCUUUCUGCUCCGCCAAGAUCCGAGCUCAACUCGAACUCGACCGCGUUUCAAUUCGAACCUCCGAGAUCAUGCGGUGCAAAAUCCAUUGCAGGAAGGAGCUGCGAUCACGGUUUUGGAUAUGAUGGUUUCAGUGUGAGUCUGCGACUCUGUGUGGGUGUGGAGGAAUUGUCGUUGCUUUUGUAGACUUGGAGGUCUCUCAGUCUCAUCGGUUAAUCUUGUUAUUCUUAAUUGUUUUUGGCAGUUAAUAAAAAAAAAAAGAGGAAAGGGAAGGAGAGUGUGGGACGGAGAGAACGAGGAAGAAAAGGAUGGAGGCUUCCACAAAGAGAGGGAGAGUAUUAUUAGAAGAAAAAGAAAAGAUAGAAUUAAUUAAUAUAAUAUUAUUAGAUAUGAAUUAAAAAAUAUAAAAUAUUAUAGUUUGUUAUUAUCCUUCUUUUUAGUUCGACAUUGCAUCAAACGCUUUACUAAGUCAGUCCAGCUUAAUCUAAUCUAAGUCAGUCCAGCGUAGUCCUGAAGCUAAUCCAGUCCGAGAUCCGGUUCAACAAACGCUCCCAAAUAGUCCAAGUUAAGAACUGCGUGGCGGCGUGGCCUACUAACCGACUCACCGAGGAUUGCCUCCAGAUUCCUUCCCUCCCUCCGGUCCGACCCCUUCUCUCUAGUUCCGGAACCAUGAGAGAAAUCGUCACUCUCCAAGUUGGAAGCUUUGCAAAUUUCGUGGGCUCCCAUUUCUGGAACUUCCAGGUACUUGUACAGCUUUACUCAAAAACCCAUUAACUGUUUCUUUCUGCAAAUUUGUUAGCAUAUUCAUAUAUGUUUGAAGGAUGAACUACUUGGGUUGGCGGAGGACCCUAACUCCGACCCGGUAUUCAAGAAUCAGUCUUUGAACAUGGACGUGCUCUACCGCUCUGGUGAGACGCACCAGGUUUGCAGAUUUUGUAGUUUUUCAAUUUAUACAAUUUAGACAGUUUAAAUCAAUUGUUGUGCUUAUGGUUCACUUUCUUUACGAGACUGGUGAAUUUUGACAUGAACAGGGCACUGUGACUUACACUCCCCGCCUCGUUUCGGUUGAUCUUCAAGGUACUUUUAAAACUUCAAUUGGGUUUGUGUAUUUGGUGGCCUAGGAGCUCGUUUGGAGUGCUUUUGAAAAGAUUGAAAGCUCUUUUGGUAAAAAUGUUUUCGAAACCAAUCCUUAGUAAAAAAACAAGUGAAUCCUGGAAAAAGCACUUAAAUGCUUUCGGAACCAAAAGCAUUUUCUCUAUAAGCGCUUUAGUCACUUCCAAACGAGCCCUAGAAUGUAUGGAAGUCGUAAAUUUUCAUUCUUUUUGCCUGUUGCAGGUUCCCUCGGGUCUAUGAGUACACGUGGCACGUUGUACGAUGAGAGUUCAUCUGCAUCAUCAAACAUUUACACAUGGUCAGACCCUUUUUUUAUUGGGGCUUUAAAAAAUUGUGAAUUUGAAUGUGUUACCAUAUAUGCUCUCUUUAUUGUUGUAUAUAUGAAUUUAUUAUCCCCUGGACCAAUGUGUAGGGGUGGUAAUGUUACUACUCAAGUCGCCGAGCCUCAUAAAAAGAAUUUGUUCUUACGAAGUUUGUAUGAGGAAGAGCCGGUGAAUCUUUUGACUCUUGGAAAUGGUGUCAAUGCUGGGGGGAAGAGUUGUCGAGGAGAAAUUCAUGACAGUGACAAAGUGGAGAGUUUAGAAAAUGGGGUCCAGUACUGGACUGACUUUUCAAAAGUUCACUAUCAUCCCCAGAGUUUAUAUGAAUUGAGUGGAUUGUGGGUAGAUCCUCAGAAAUUUGACAAUUACGGGAUUGGAAGAGAGUCCUUAUCAGCAGGUUUACAGGGAGAAGAGGUUAGUGAGAGGCUUCGCUUUUUCGUAGAAGAGUGCGACCAUAUUCAGGUAUAUUUUGUCGUACAAACCAUUCUCCUUUACUUUGAUCUAUUUGCAUUUUUCUUGGCUUAGUUGGUUUUGUGGAGGGGUUGAGUUUCGCUCUAAAGCUGUCGGUUAGUGCUAGUUAAGUGAGCUUCUAAGGAGUGUGUGAUGCCUACUUUGGUAUAGCGGCUACUACACCAACCCCGUUUUCUGUUGUACAUGCAUAUUUCACAUAUGUAGAUACUGAAGUCGGAAGGGCUGACAGUAUUCAAAGAGUGAAUUUGUUGUCCUUCUAAAAUUUUCAUUCAAGUUAUGGUGUUAAAGAUCUUGACAUAUUUGUGAAAUUACUCUCCUUUUUUGGUCUUCAUUAAUUACUCCACUUAGUGGGAUAAGGCUUUGUUGUUGUUGUAUUAAUUAUUCAUCUGCAAUACAAACCAUCUUUUGCUGUCAAAUAUACUCUACGUGUACUUUCUAUUGAUCAUGUAUAAAUAGUGUCUUUCUAGUUAUGGACAAUUGUGUUCACUGUCCAAACUACAUAAGCUGUGUUUACAUGGACAAUUGUUUAGAGACUGAACGCCGCACAGGCUAAUACUGACUUUGGUAAGUAUAUCUUUGUUAGCCUUCUGAACAUCUAGGGUAGAAGUAGUAUCCAGUAUUUUCAGUUUCAAAUGAAUUUUCAGCGCUCCUUUUUUGCAUAAGCCUCUUAAUGUUGGUGUUCAACAUGAAUUUUUUAAUGAAUAAACUUGAGUCUUUGUGUUUUGGCAGGGUUUUCAAUUCAUCGUUGAUGACUCAGGAGGUUUCUCUCCUCUAGCUGUGGAUGUUCUGGAGAGUAUUGCAGAUGAAUACACAAAUGCUCCAGUGUUGCUCUAUGCUGUGCGUGGUCCUGGUUCUUCCAUGGACCCCAGAAGCCAGAAGCAGAGAGUUAGUAGGAAGCUUCACGAUGCAGUUUCAUUUUCAAAGCUAUCAUCCUUAUGCAAAUUGAUUGUUCCAGUCGGGUUACCCUCAUUGAGUACAAGUAAGAAAUCUUGCACUUCUUGAAUGCAUUAUUCAUUCAAUUGAUUUUCAAGUCUCUUCAGAUUCAUUUUACAUGUUGGUCCAACAUUGUGAUUUUAGAGCCUUUGUCCCCUUGGAUAUCUGGUGUCAUCCUAUUUGUCAGGAACUCUGCUUAGGUUGUUAAAUGGCCCACCAAAAGGAGUAUUGGCAUAAUUGAUAUGGAGGCUAGGUCUAAAAGCUUCAUUUGAACCAAUGGUUUGCUGUUCAGUUUCUACGAGAGUGUAGAUACUCUCUUGGUUUCUCUGUUUCGAAUAAGUUACACUUUCUUGUGGAAUAAUAUUCUCUUCACUUGAUUUGAAAGGUAAAGCUUCAAGAUUUCUCAGCAUCAAUGAUAAAAAGCCUUAUCACUGCAGUGCAGCUUAUGCUGCUACCCUACAUUCUAUUAGUCUUCCGUUCCGAAUGGAACCACUCGGGCCCACUGCAGACUCAUCUUAUGCUUCUGGUGCUGUGACUAUUAGUGAGGUUGUGCAAAUCCUAGCAGGGCAAGCUAGGCAGAAUAUGGUUGCCAUUCUGGAUGCUGCAAUGCCAUCCCCUUCUUUAACUGGUAUUUCCUUCAAUCGAUUUUUGUAUCAGACCCUCAGUUGUUAGCAGUGAUUUUGGUUAAUUAUUGUCAUUUCCAACAGGGAAUUGGGUUGGUCAAAAUUUAACAGGGAAUUUGCAGCCAUUGACACCAGAGAUAGCAGAAGAUGUCGAGGAUUUACAGUCAUUAGAAUCCAUGAUAGUCCAUGGGGCCCUAGGAUCAGGUACUUUCUAGAUCAGUGAAGCACUAGUUUUUCUUUAUUAUUUUUUCUUUAGUACGUUGAGAAUGUUAAACAUGCUCAUUCAGGAUACUUCAUACUGUGCACUUUUGGCACAUUGUUCAAUGAUUAUAUUUUCUGAAUAUGAAAUUUAAUGAAUGCCUAGUUGCCUUAGUGGCUACUGGCUAAAGCAAUGUAACUUUGAGCGUUGGCGUUAAAUAGAUCUAAAAUCUUAAGGUUAUAAAUUUUUUGUUUUUUUUUGUUUGGUCAUGACAUUUUAUUCACUAGAAAUCAAAUCUGGUGGUAUCUGUUAACUGGAACUUGGGAGAGACUUAAAACCAUCUAUCAGAGGUUACAAGAUAACUCAGGAGAGACUUAAAUCCAUCUAUAUUUCUUGGCAAAAAUAUCUCCAAAAAUUUCGCUCUUGUGAUAACUGCGCUCUUCUUCCAUCUUAUUCUUGUUAUCACGUUCACUGUCAUUGAUUACACUCUAAAACUGUACUGCAUUUCAUUGAUGUAUAUGGUAUAGCUAAUUUGUUACUUUAGAGGAAAUGUUAGUUUUGUGCUUGUGGAAUUACAAGGCCUUUGAUUGAAACGUCGCUUGUGGAAUUACAAGGCUUGUGGAAUGCUUAUUAUAUUUUAAUUCAUUGUUUCUGUUCAACAGGAGGUCAUCGAGCAUCAAUUUCUGAAGUUAAGGACACAGUCCAUGCUGCCUAUGAGCAUGGAAUAACAAGGCCUAUGUUCUGCCAUCUGUCAGUGGCUCAAUGUCCUCUUCCAAUACCUUUGCCUUUUCCUUCAAUCUUUGGCAACCUUGUUGGCCAACAUGGUGAACUUUUGAGCACGCCAAUUGUUGGUUCCCCAUCAAGGGGAUCACUUGAUAUCCAUUCCAUCCCCAUGGCAGCUAGGCUACGGUCUAGCAGUGCCGUCUUGCCAUUUUUAGAGAAUAGAUUGGGCAGCCUUCGUAGCUGUGGGAUUGCCAGAGGAGCACCUGGGGCGGAGCUAGUUAGAAAUUGGGGCUUUGCAAAGGAUGAAUUGGAAGACAUGGGUGAGAUGCUGUCUAAAAUGAUUGCAACACUGGAUCUGCGUUCUGAAAUGUCCUCUGAUUCAGAUUAAUUUUCCGGUUAGUGUCUCUAUGUCUUUCUCUUUCCAUUUGUUCUCUGUAUAUUAUAUAAGCGAGACAGUAGUUGGUCUCAUAGAACCUCGAGUCCAAUAUGUAUGAGUUAAGCUUUCAUAGUCUUGUUUUCGGGUCCAAUAUGCAUGGGGAGAUUUGUGUGCCUAUGUAAUUUCUAAUCAUUUUAGCCAACUUCCCUAGAUUGUUGUGGUUGUAUAUAAACGAUGGUCCAAUUCAAACGUAGAUUCAAAAUUUAAAAUUAUUGAAUCAGCUUCGAACAGAUGAAUAUCGAGAAAUGGAGAUAAAGUUAUCAUAUAAACCAAAAUUUUAUGGUGAUGUAUGAUGAACAUCAAAAUUAUAAUUUAGUUACCGUAUUUAAGCCUCUGCUACUGCUAGAGUUAAGCAACAAGUCAUAAUUCUAGUGUGGUGAAUUGGUAAUACAUUGACCUCCAAAUAUACCAGAUCAGGUGCAAGUGCAACUAUUCUAUCCAGUAACAAAUAUAAAUUCGUAAUUCAUAUUUAUAUUCACGUAAAACGACAUCGCAUCAUCAUGACAUGCGACGUUUCAAUCAAUCAACUUUCUUAAUAUAAUUUAAAUUUCCCCUGGCCAAACAAAAACGCAAAAUGAAGUCGACGUCUCAACCAAUUAUUGGACAGCAUCGUUUCUUGGAAAGUCCUGCAAUCCGAGCCAGUCGACAUGGCGGAGUAAAGUAAAUAAAAGCGUCUUUGAGACGUCUCUGACGACGGCGGCGAAUACCAAAUCUUAUGUGGUAGAAAAUUCGGCGUCUCUUCUCGCCUUCCGCAUUGUCUUUCCUAGCAUUUUGGUGAAAUUCCUAACCUGUUCGUUAAGUUGUGUAUAUAUAUAUAUAUAUGUCACAUGUGACAUGUGUGCUGAAACCAACAAACAACUUACAUAACAUUCUGAGUUUCUCAUCAAACUAGAUUACUUUACAUUCUCUCCGUAUAUCCAUUCCAAUUUCUCUUCUUCUUUCUUCAGCCAAGAACAGCUUACAUGAUUGACUAAGUUUUGAGUCUCUUUGUUUUGCUUAAUAUGUCUCUGGUUUCAGUCGCAGUUGGUGCUCUCAGAACCGCAUUUCAAAUGCUAUUUGAUGCCGUAAAAUCAGCGCACGAGGAGAAUAAAACGUUCCAACACCUCCUCAGAGACAUCAAAUCAACACUGGACUCUCUACAACCACUCUCAUAAAAAAAAAAAUAUAACCCUGAAAGAGGGACUGGAAAAUUUCGCAAUACAGACAGAGGAGGGAGCAAAUCUUGUUCAAAAGUCCACAGGCCAACUUUGCUGCACUUUUGAACAAGAUUUGCUCCCUCCUCUGUAUUGCAAAAUUUUCCAGUCCCUCUUACAGGUUAUAUUGUUUGAUGAGGGGUUGUAUAGAGUGUAGUGUGGAUUUGAUGUCUCUGGGCAGGUGUUCGAACAUUAUAUUCUCCUCCUCAACUGAUUUUACAGCAACAAACGUCAUUUAAAAUGCAGCACCCAUUUCGACCGAAGCCACAUACAUUAUCUUGAGGAGGGAUACAGUCAAUUGUUUUCCACUUGAUUUUGCUUUAUUUAUACCACUGCCAUCAUAUCAGUGGCUGGAUUGGAGGGCAAUUAUUAAAAAUUAGGAGGGUGAUUUUGUGCGUUGGUUUGGGACGGAUUGGGAUGGGUAAGGUGCCUCAGUCAAACAACUUUUUACAUCAUCAAUCAAAAUCUCAUCAUCUAUCUUCUCUUGCAUAAACAAUCACAACUUAUUCACAUUUCGUUGAUAUAGAUGUAACCAAACAUCCUGAUUUACCAAUCAAAAUCCCAUUAAAGAGAGUCUAUUCAACUUAUUCACAUUUCGUUGAUAUAGAUGUAAUGCCUUUUACAUAUAAAUAAUUAACUUUAAUUUGUUUGUUUGUUUGAGAAAUUUGAACCUUUUGUCUUCGUUGUUAAUUUCGUUGAUAUAGAUGCAUGAUUACAUAUCAUUCAAUCAUUUUUGUUCAAACAUGACAUCCUUUAUCUUAAGCAUCUAUGUAUCAAAAAGAAGAACAAAGAUCAAGUAAUGAGAUACACCAAUCUAAUUCAAUGAGAAGCACUUUGAUUUGAUUUGCAAUUGAACAACCUUAGAUUGUUUGUUUGAGUUCAAAUUUAGGGGGAUUCUGAGUUUUUUUCCGACCAAUUUCAGGCCUUUUCGACCAUUUAUUGUUCCGGCAAGGGUGAUAUUCUUACUCUACACCCUCCAAUUAGCUUAGAUUGUAAAUUAGAGCAUCUAAGUUUUAGUUGUCCAUUGAAUUUUGGUUCAGUUUUACUUUAGGUCAACACGGGAUCCACCCACUUUGGCUCAAUUUUCUGUUGUAGAAAUACUUUCUAAAAAAUGCCUGUUACAUGUGUGGUUGGAAAGAAAUUAUGCAGAAUUUUAGGAGGGUGUAUUCAUUGGGAAUUUGAAAUAUUUUAAUUGAUUUAUAAAUUCAUGGAUUUUUAUAGAGUAAUUGAUUUGUAAAGAUUCCAUGUUUUCCCUCAAAAUUUCUUGGGGAGAUGUGAGAUUUGUAGAUGCUUAAAUAUACACUACAAAAUCUCUCUAAUUCCCUAUAGUUUCUCAACUUUUUCAAAUUCUUUAAAAUCAAAUUCUAAUUGAAUACACUUGGAUGUUAUAAACUUCUUUAAAAUUCUAAUUGAAUACACCCAGAUUUCUAAGGAUUUUAAUAAACUAUCUUAAAAUCCUGAUUGAAUACACAUUGAUUUUCAGAUAAUCACUUAAAUUCCUGAUUAAAUACCCUUAAAUUUAUUAAAAGAAUUAAAAUUCUUCAAAAUUCAAAUUGAAUACACUCCCUUUAAUUGGGUUUAAAAAGGUUGCUAAGUCCAUGGUUGAUUCUAAUUGGUAUACAUCCCUUGGAUGGUUGCCUUGGCCUUUUAGCCUUUGUACUUUUUGAUCGGGGCUUUGCCCUCCUUUGGUUAAUAUAUUUAUCUAAUUACAGAAAAAAAAAAAAAAAAUCUAUGAAUGAUUACCAAGAAGACAGUCAUAUAUUUUCAAUCUGAUAGUAUUUCAUUACCUGAUGCAAAACUUUUCCUCUGCCAGUUUAUCAAUUUGAAAUUCCAGGUUAUUUGUGGUUUGUGAAUUGACAGGUAUGUAUUGAGAAAUUCUUUAUUUUGAGUAUGUUCCUACCUGAAUAAGCUUUUAAUUAGUUAUGAAAGGUCAUAUAUUUUUUGGGUGUUCAUAAUUUAUGACACACACUCCGUUUCUUUUGAGUUGGAAUUGAAUAUUCUGCAGAAUUUCAUCAAUUUCAUCAGUUGGGUUGUUCGUCUUUUCUGAUUUCGAGAAUUGUGUUAUUCUUCUUUUGUGAUUUCUGGGUCUUCUUCUGGUUGUACGGUUUCAUGGUUUUUUUUCCCCUAUACUCAAAUUGUUUCGUUUGACAGGAAUCCAUAAAAAAAAAAAAAAUGUUUGAAUCUGAUUACACACCUCAUUAUGGUUUAAUUUGAAUAUCUGCAUAUUUGAUUUUGACAUUGUUUAAUUAGGAUAUUUUUAAUUUGAGUUUUUGAGUAGGAGGUUCAUUGAUUGUCUAUUAUUAUGGGAGGAAAUGUAGAUUGAAGGUGUCUGCUCUGUUUGGUUCCUGAGAAACUGAAAUGAUAGGAAAAAGAAAAUGUUUGAUCUGUUGAUUUCUCUGAUCUCUUCGUUUGGUUUUUUAUUUUUCCAUCAUAGAGCAUUUCAGAGAAGAGCCGUUGGAGAGGGGUGUGUUUGAACUUGGUAUGUCUCUCUAAUCUCUGUUAUUGAGGAAGAAAUUGGAUAUAUUGUUCUACUUUUUGAUUUGUUACAAGUCAUUUGAUUGUCACUGAAUGUGGUCAUAUUAUUUUCCACUUUUGAAUCCUGCAUUGAUCACAGAGGUACACCUGAGCACCCUGCUCGGACUUGCACUUUGGAGUACCAAGAAGGGGCUAUUUGCGUAAGUAACCAUCUAGAGUUCUACAUAUACCCGUUAAAACAUUCGAUUAUUUUUUUAGCUUUCCUUGUAUAGUAUUAAGCACUGCGGAUGCAUUACGAUUAAUUAGUUGAUUUACACCAAAGUGUAUGGACUAAUCUCUUGAUUCAAGUAUCAUUAUGAACACUUAAUAAAGAAGUAUGUAACGUUAACAGGUAAAAAUAUUUCCAAAGAAAUUGUUUACUGGGAUUGCUGAUAUCCUGAUGUAUAGUGAGUGAUGAUGAUCAUGAUAAUUAUGUGAAGUUUUCUUGCCUAAAGGUGAUGCCUUACAUGUACUCAUGUAUUUUUAUACUUGCCUAUGCAAAAUUAAGGAAUUCAUAUUUAUACAUAGAUAGUGUCUUGCUCGAAGGUGAUGCUGAUUCGAUGAUUCUAGUGUGACAAUGACAUUAUGUUGCAUUUUUUUAUCACAAACUUAUGAAUUCACAGAAAAAAAAUAAUGUUAUGCAGGUUUUAACAUGUUGAACCUUAUGAAUAUUGAGAAGCUCCAUGGUAACAAUUUCUGAAAAAUCUCAAGUUUUAAAAUUUUCAAAAUUGAGGUUGAAAAACAAUUGGAAAGACUAAUUAAGGUAGUAAGGUUUGAUCGUGGAGGGGAGUUCUAUGGCAAGUGUACUGAGAGUGGAAUUGAAUGAUGAAUCUAUUUCUUCGUCUCUUUGUCAAUAAAAAAACAUCAGAAUUAUCAUGGAGAAUAGUAGGAAGUAUGAGAUUAUAAUGACCCGUAUAUAUGAUUUCCUAUAUUUGAAGCAAAGUGUUGUUUGAUUAAACCACGAAUUACAAUGUUUGGAAAAAGCUCUAUUGCUAUUUCGCGAGGCAAUCCACAUCGAUGUAAUGAAAGUGAGGGACCUACGACAAUCACAAAACGUCCCAAAUAAUCGACCCAUUUGCCAAGCAGAGUCUCACGAAAUCUUCCCAUUGAAUAAGUUUCUUCAUAUUGAGUUGGGUUAAAAGCACGGAAUGUAUUUGCACCAUCACCAUCUUCAAAUAAAAUAUUUUCUAUGAUAACACCAUGAAUAGCGAAUAACAGAGUAGUGCCCAACACCCUAGCAACUCCCAUCAUAUAAAAUGGGUUCAUAUGAUACCCCCACCGAAUUUUUUUUCAUUUUGAUGUAAAAGAUUUAUGGAUGAACUUAACAAUUUGGAUAAUAUAUCCAAAUCUAUUCCUUCUUGAUUGAGGAAAGGAGAAGCCGUUAAAAAUGAAAAUUAUAUAUUGAAUCGAGUGCCUACAAAAGUUGUUAAGGUCACUCCUUUUAAAGCUUAGACUAGUAGAAAACCAAGUUUGUCGCACUUUCAUACAUGGGAUUUAAAUGUGAAGCCCAACUCUACAAUCCAAAAGAAAGGAAAUUGGAUUUGAAAACACUUUGUUGGAUAUGCAGAGAAGUCAAAAGGUUUUCAAUUUUACUGUCCUCAUCAUUAUACAAAAUUGCAGACAGUCACAAUGCCAUAUUCAUUGCAAAUUAUGAGGAAACUUGCGUAUCAAGUAACAUAUCCUAUGUUUUUGAGGAGAGAAAUGAAGAUGCAUCAGAAAUUGAGAAUGUUUCUGAGAUGAAUCAUUCCAUUUUGUUACCAUUGGCUCCUGCACAAAUUGGAUCAAGUUCAAUUUCAACUACUACAAUUAAUGCAGCACAUGUGAGCGGAAAUGUGGGAAAUUGUACCAACUUGUAGAAGCCUGCACUCUCUUCCAGCACCACCAACUAUAAUUCAAGAUAGUAUAUUGCCCUCUCAAGCAACACUUCAUGAUCACAAUACCAAGCAUGCCUGAGCCUUAACAAGUUGUGAGAAAAUCCACAAGAACAAGGAAAUCAGCCAUACCAGAUGACUACAUAGUUUAUUUGCAGUAAAUAGAAUAUGAUAUUGGUGAUGAAAAUGAUCCUACAAGUUUUAAAGAGGCUAUGAAAGUACUAAUUCUAGUUUAUGGAAAGCUGCAAUGGAAGAAGAACUGGUUUUAGUGCACAAAAAUAGAAUUGGGACUUUAGUUGAAGAUGCAGAAAACUUGAAAUCAAUAGGUUGCUAAUGGUUCUUCAAGACAAAACAUGAUUCACAAGGAAAUAUUGAAAGUUUAAGGCAAGGUUGGUGGCAAAAGGAUUCACUCAGAGAAGAGUGGCUUAUAAUGAAACAUUCUCUUCAGUCUCUACCAAAUACUCAUUUGAACCAGUGGCUUUCUAUACAUCAGGAUAAAAUGAGUAACAAUAUCUAUGUCAUCCUAUUGAUAUGGAGGCUAGGUCUAAAAGCUUCAUUUGAACCAGUGCUUUUCUAUUCAGUUUUUAUGAGAGUGUAGAUGCUCUUUGGUUUCUCUGUUUUGAAUAAGUUACACUUUCUUGUGGAAUAAUCUUAUGUUCACUUGAUUUGAAAGGCAAAACUUAAAAAAUUUUCAGCAUCAAUGAUGAAAUGCCUUAUCAUUACAGUGCAGCUUAUGCUGCUACCCUACCUCCUAUUAGUCUCUUAUUCCGAACGGAACCACUCCAACCCACUGGAGACUCAUCUUAUGCUUCUGGUGCUAUGACUAUUAUGAGGUUGUGCAAAACCUAUCAGGGCAAGCUAGGCAGAAUAUGGUUGCCAUUCUGGAUGCUGUAGUCCACCCCCUUCUUUAACUGGUGUUUACUUGAAUCCGUUUUCGUAUCAGACCCUCAGUUACUAGCAGUGAUUUUGGUUAAUUAUUUGUUAUUUUCAACAGGGAAUUGGGUUGGUCAAAAUAUAACAAGGAAUUUGCAGCCAUUGACACCAGAGACAACAGAAGAUGUCGAGGACUUGCAAUCAGUAGAAUCCAUGACAGUCCGUUGGGCCCUAGGAUCAGGUACUUUUUUAGUUGGUCAUUCAUAUAAACUUUGAGUCCCUGAUUUCCUUACCUCUUUGUUUUUCUCACUCGAUUGUGAUUAAAAUAGGCAAUUCUCUCUUGCUCCGAUGGUUAUCUUUCGGGACCCUAUCUUUGCUAAUAUUCGUUUAAUUACUAUAAUCGAAAAAAGAUAGAAAAGACGACCAACCAUAUGUAUAUGAAAAUUUGACCAAGUUAUAAUGAUAAUGAUGUAUGGACAUGGUUCAACAUAUUAAGUUGGAUUGAAUGGUCCGUUUUCUUUUCCUUGGGAAAGCAAUUACUAACGCGCGGUUUUACACGGGGAGAUACAUGGAAGUGGGGAAGGAAUGAGUUUAAGCAUUGUACAAGCUGUAAAUUUGUGAUGAAAGUCGAAGAUAUAUAUUAAAAAACUGGGAAUACAAGGCAAACUGGUAAAGGAUGAGAGACCAAAGAGGUAUGAAUUUCCAUGCUGCUGGAUUUUUUUGAGUUAAGCUUUCAUAGUCUUGUUUUCGGGUCCAAUAUGUAUGGGGAGAUUUGUGAGCUUGUGUAAAAUCUUGUAGUUUUUACUUUCGGUUCUAAUAUGAUGUGGAUAUAAAGGAACUCUUCAAUGUUGGAAGUCAAACAGUCUCCAGCAACACAAACAAGAAGCUAACGACUAGAUUUGUGUAAAUAGGCUAACGACUAGUUUUCUCAAGCUAAAGACCAAGAGACAAAUGAAGGGCUGAGAUUGAAAAUGUGCUGUAAGGCCUAGAUUAGAGUAGUACAAUGUUAGGUUGUGUUCCUUGUCUUAUUCCUAAAUUGAGAUAAGAAUGUUGACUGUAAAACCCUACUACUCUAAUAAUAUAUAUAUAUAUAUAUAUAUAUAAAUGAAAUGAAUGCUGCUGCAAUGACAAGCAGCCAUCACUCUUAUUCUCAUUCCCUUUUGCUCUUAAUACCUGUUUGGGCCUAAAAAUAUUGUUUUGGCUCGAGUUUAGAAUUGUUCUCGGCCCAGUGUUGGUUGGGCCGAGUUUAGAAUUCUUCUCGGCCCAGAGGCCGUGUACAGGUGUCGUUGGGGGUUAUCUAGCUUAUGGGCCGCGCGGUCGAAGUUGGCCAUAUCCCAUUGGGGAAUUGGGGAUGUGGAUGAAUCCUGUUAUGAGAAGGAGUUUCAACAGGAUCAGGAUGCUGGAAUUGAAUACGACAUGAUAACGAGUUAUAUUCAAAGUCCUAGUAGGAAUAGGAUUGGCCGAGAUAAAGUUGGAUCAUGGAAAAGAGUUCUAAUCUAGGAGUGAUUGGGAUUCAAUAUAGGUUGGCUGCUAUAAAUAGGGAGGGAAGACAUCGAAACAACCCCCUCCAAUUCAACACACAAACUGCCCUGCGCAAACUCUCGCUCUACGCAAAACCUCUCAACAACCUUGAGAUUUUUGUUUUCCUUUUUCGCCAACACAUCUUCAGUUUGGAUAAACAGCAUUGUGAAGGCAACCGGCAAACAUCUUCAGUUUGGAUAAACAGCACUGUUGUCGUAGAAUCAGCCGACCGUGAAGCACCUUCAGUUUGGAUAAACAGCACUACGACAAGGUCGACUGGUUAUCUAUCUAAGUCUCGGUCGAGAAGGAUUUUCGAAUCCUUAUUGGCAGAGGUCAUCUCGUUAGCCUUCUCGGCGAAACGAGAUGUUACAAGUUACUAUACUCGACACAUUGAACGCCGAGUCGUUUAUGAUUGGUUAUUCGCAAUUAGGUUUUAGAGUUCGGUAUUUUGACGGCCAAACCACUUUCACAAUCAAGACAUACAUUUGUUUUGAGUAUUUGUGUCCCUAUACUUUGGUGUCGAUUCGACGUGCUUAUACUCUCACGAACAUAAUCACCGUGAUCGAAUCCGGCGCCGAUGAUUUGUGAACUUCGCAGAACUAGUAGCUUUGUCUUCAAGCUCUAGAACCUGAAGGCCGAGAUGUGUUCCUUCCUUGGCCGUAGUCGCAAGAUCGAGAAGUCAACCGCGCACCCAACGCAACAUCAACAAAUUUUACUCCUCGGUCAAGCUCGGCCGACGAGUUGGCACGCCCCACAUACAACCGAAUGACGUAGUUAGUAUACUAAUUACUCGGCCUGCGCGUCACGUAGGCUUGGUAGUUUUUAAGGUCAACAUUUUGGCACGCUAAGUAGGACCCAAUGCUAAAACUACGAAGUUCAUGACCAUCGAGACAUGAUUGGUAAAAAAGAAAACAACCAUGGGAAGAUUAGCGACUGAUUUGCCAGUUUAGAGUCCUGGACAAGAGGUGUCACAUGCAUGAAAUCCUAUCGUCGCUGUGACCCUUGAGGCUGUAAGUGUGACACACCGAGAAAAAGAAGUGUGCCUCGGUGCCUAGCUUUGAAAUACAGAAGUACCCGACCGAACCGCAUGCGUUUUCAUUGAAGGAAUAGUAGAUGAUUGCGAUGAAGAUGGUGAUGAAGGCUCUGAUCUUUUGACUAGGUCGUUUCUUUGAAGACGGCUUGACGAGCAAUCUCGACAAGUUGACCAGAGUGGGCCACAAAAUGAACAGUUUGCUUCAAGUGAUACAAAGCAAUGGUCAGACCCAAACCAGAUUGCUCGAACUAUUAGUUAGUAAAAUCUUUGAAGAGAAACAUGUUGAUCAGGCUCGGCAGCUUCCACUUAAAGGUAAUUCCCUACAGGCCAAAGUAGUAUCUACUCGACCCAAGGCGAAUGACUUAGAAAAAAAGGAAGGAUUAAGUAGUAGGUCAGAUGGAUCCGACCAGAGAGUGGAAGCAACACCCGUCGAUGUGACCGAGGUCUAGCAGAUGAUUGAUUCGACCAUGAAAAAGGGGCCGAAGUUCCCUAAAUUCAUCCACCUGUAUCCAGCUUAUGUGGAAAAGUUUGAAUAUCCUAAAGGUUUCAAGAUUCCAGAUUUCAGCCUUUUUGCUGGAGAAUCAUCCUUAUCCUCAUUAGAACAUGUGGCUCGUUUCACUGCGCAAUGCGGAGAUGUUAAUAGUGACUUUCACAAACUACGGUUGUUCAACUUUUCAUUGACAGGCUCAACAUUUGCAUGGUAUAUCAACCUCCUAACUAAUUCAAUCCAAAGCUGGGAGGAGUUGGUCGAGAAAUUUCAUGAACAGUUUUAUCAGCCAGGGAUGGAAAUGUCAGUUUCUUCAUUGGCUAGGAUGGCUCAAGCCUCUGAUGAGUCACUAAUGGAUUAUCUUACUAGAUUUAAAUCGGCCAGCAAUUGGUGCCAAGUACCUCUCCCCGAAGUUGAAUUUGUUAUGCUUGCUCUGAACGGGCUUAACGUGGAGUACAAAAAGAAAUUCUUGGGGGUAAACUUUGGGGAUAUGUAUGAAUUAGCCUAGCAUGUCGAGCAAUAUGAUUAUUUGCUCCGAGAAGAGAAGAUCUCGAAAUCCCUAUCUCUAGGAACGAUUUACAAAAAUCCCAUGGUUAGUUAAACAUCGACUGAAGGCGAGGAUUCUCAGUACAUCAGCGUGGACGCAGCCGAGAUAGUAAUAGAUAAACCAUACAUUUGCAAGGCAUUGACUCAAAUUAAUUCCAAGGAUGCCAAAACCCGCUCGGCCAUUCAAGAGACGGCGAAAACAUCGAAAGUUUACACUUUUGAUAUCACAAAGGCCAAAGCAAUUUUCGAUCAAUUGUUAUUAGCAAAGAUCAUCAAACUUCGGCCAGGGCAUAAUAUUCCUAAGGCUGAAGAGCUUAAAGGAAAGACGUAUUGCAAGUAUCAUAACUCGACCAAGCAUGCCACAAACAAUUGUGUUGUAUUUCGUGAUGAUAUCCAGAGCUGGAUUGACAAUGGCAAGCUAAAGUUUCCUGAAAAAUGAAUGACGGUUGACAGAGAUCCAUUCCCUUCGACAACAGUUGGCAUGGUAGACGCCCGUUUGCCCAAGAGCAAAGGGAAAAAGAAAGUCGGGUUUGCCCCAGUACAACACAUCCUAAAGAAACAUUCCUAGCCACGACUCAAGAUCGACCUAUUUUCCAAUGCGCCACCUACCGGGUUUUCAGGACUGGCUAUAGUUGAAUCCAUGUUAGAUUCCAGCGAAGAAGAAAAUGACGGGUCGAUAGUUUUGUGCAGCAAUUGUAAGGCAUGCGUUGUAUUAACCGAACCCAAGAAGAAACAGCCUUAAACUCAGACGCCGAUGUCAUGAGAGCAAUCGAUGACCACGACGGCACCUUCAAAGGAACCUAGUGAAGGCCAGCGCUAGAAAGUGUUUGAUAGGCUCGGCCCCAAGAAACAGACGGACGACCCUACCUCGGUUAGAGGGUUUCUUGAUUUCGACGCACCAUUUUAUAAUGAGGAUUAUUAUUCACGUAAUUCUAGUAGCUCAAGCUUAUCAGCGAAUCCAAAAACCUACAGGCUGCCUAAACCACGUGACCAAUGUUGGUAUAACUACAAUUCUCCCAUCGACAUGUAUACCGCACUUUCCAAAUCUUAGAAACGUCGACGUCAGCGUAUAGAUUGCAUGGCUCGACGGCAGGCGGCCCAGAUUAUUUCGGCCACUUAAUGGCAGCCGAAAGAGGCUGUGGUGAGCAGAGAUGACCGGCCAACCCCAACAAUCAUGGCUGAGUUACAAGGGCAGAAGGAAACCAAUCGCAACUUCGAAACUACCAUCGAAGAGUCCGAGAAGCGCAUCAAACUCCUCAUUCGGCCUGAGGGGAUGAAAGCUAGCUUCGAGCAAUUUAAGAAAGAGGCCGAAAGCCAAUUGUCCCCAUUACCUUUGAAAGAGCCACUAAUCAAAGUUCGGCAGAAUCUGCACCCCUAUUCCUUGGCGAAUCUUUGGAAUACAUGAAAGAGUUUCACAAGAAAUAUUCUGCCAAAGAUUUGUAUGGUUUACCUAAGGUGUGCCAAGAAGCUCUUGACCUGGCACUAACUUGCCCCGAUGCUAAACAAAUCAUCCAAAAAACCACUGAUCCAGCAAUGAAAGCUAGAUUCUAGCACAUACGUGAGGCUAAGGUUCUCGGCUUCGAGGUCGACCCAUACACGAACAUUGACAUAGCCGAACUCUUUUUUUCUCUCGAAGACCUUCAACACCUUCGAUAUCACUUCGAAGUUUUCUCGACCAUAUCCUUAUUCGGUUUAACGGCCGAUGAGAAAGAUCAGGUGGCACGUCUGGACGCCUACCUAGAUAUAAGGGACGCCCAGAUCGCUUAUGAGGAAUGAGCUCGUAAGACACUGCAGGAGCAAAAUCAGACACCAGGCGCAUGUAAGCCCGACGACGACAGUCAAAAGGACACAAGGUCGGAUUACAUGACACAAGAGCAAGAGCAUGUUGAGACACACAAUAAUCAGACUGAUGAUGCUCUAACACACGAUGCUAUAAUCCUUACUAACUAGAAGACGACGACCAGGAUCCAAUGGGCCUUUCAGUCCUUGAAAAUAUGAAAAUCAGCAUGGUCCAUGUUCUACCUACUGAAUUCUAGCUGACUACACACCAACCAAGUUUCUUGGAUGGCGAUGUGGUCGCCGAGGAAGCAACACAAGUUGAUUUCGUCACCACCACUAAAGAUGAGUCAGCAAACAAUGAUGAUAAACUUAAAACAGUCUUGGACAUCUUGUUUCCCCGUCCCUCAUCGGCUAAUCUUCAACAUUUAAAACCGUUGUAUGUCACGACCCGCAUUGAAGGUUACCCAAUCUCUAAAAUUUUCAUCGAUUGCGGGGCAACAGUCAAUAUCAUACCUGUAUCCAUCAUGAAAGCAUUACGACGAUCCAACGACGAACUCAUUCCUUCAGGAAUAACCAUGAGUAGCUUUGUCGGUGACAAGUCUCAAACCAAAGGAGUACUCCUUCUAGAGGUAAACAUUGCAGGUCACAAUCACAUGACCGUAUUUUUUAUCGUCGACUCCAAGACUGAAUAUAAUGCUUUGCUUGGUAGGGAUUGGAUCCAUCAAACGAAUUGCAUCCCUUAUUCUUUAUACCAAGUUCUCAUUUUUUGGGAUGGCAAAUCGGUCGUGGUCCACCCAGCCGAUACUCAGCCAUUUGAAACCAACAUGAUUCAGGCCCGUUAAUAUGAUGAUCACAUCGGCUACAUUACCCUACAGGGUUUUAAUUAAGAUGGACGGCCGACUCGGAUCUUAGUCCAGAAAACCAUCGAGGUAGGCGCCGAGAUUGUCCACCAGGAUUUGGCAAGACUCGGCUUGGCCAACUUGACCCUACCACUGAUGAUUGAUGUCAAAGGCGAGGGGCGUCGGGCCGCGGUUUCAUCCACGAUGGAACGCCUGUUGGCCCAUUGGUAUGCUAUUUCCAAGCACCCACAUUCGAGCAUCAACUUAAUUGAAUUUUUGGCCGAAGAAGAUAACGGCCCGGUAUUGUCGUUGGAUAAAGUUUAGGCCGCACCGGUCAAACUCGAAGACAGUCGACCUCAAGUUAAGGACCCUUUAAAGGAAAUAAAUGUCAGAACGGUCGACGACCCUCGGUCGUUAUUUGUUAGUGCAUUAUUACCCCAUACCAUGAAAGUCGAACUUUGUCAAUUACUCAACGAGUUUAAAGAUUGUUUUGCUUAGAGUUAUCAUGAGAUGCCGGGCCUUGAUCAGAAUCUUGUUGAACAUGAAUUACGCAUCAAAGCUGGUUGUAAGCCUUUCCGCCAGCCCACUCACCGGUUCUUGACCGAAGUACAGCUUAGCAUAAAGGAUGAACUAGUUCGACUUUUAAAAGAUGGGUUUAUUCGGACCGCUCGAUAUGUCAAGUGGCUGGCCAAUAUCAUCCCGGUGCUAAAGAAAAAUGGUGCCCUACGCAUCUGUAUCAAUUUUCAUAAUUUGAACCUGGUAACGCCCAAAGACGAGCACCCGAUGCAGAUCUCUGACUUGUUAAUUGAGGCCGCAGCACAUCACGAUAUCCUAUCCUUUAUGGAUGGGCAUGCCGGUUAUAAUCAGAUUUUCAUCACCAAGGUUGAUAUCCACGAGAUUGCAUUUCGGUGUCCUGGGGCACUCGGCACAUACAAAUGGGUCGUCAUGCCAUUCGACCUCAAGAACGCCGGGGCUACAUACCAACGAGCUAUGAACACUAUUUUCCAUGAUUUAAUUGGUACCAUCGUCGAAUUCUAUAUUGACGAUGUGGUCAUCAAAUUAGCACGACGGCAGACGUAUUUGGAUGACCUCCGUCAGGCAUUCCUGCGUAUGCGCCGGCACAAUCUGAAGAUGAAUCCCGCCAAAUGUGCUUUCGACGUAUCAGCAGGGAGUUUUUUAGGCUUCCUCGUCCAUCAUUGUGGUAUUGAGGUAGACGACAACAAUGCUCGCGCAUUCAUUAAUGCUCCACCACUGACGACUAAGAAACAAUUACAGUUAUUGCUCGGCAAGAUCAACUUUCUCAGACGAUUCAUUGCUAACUCGGCUGGGAAAAUGAAAACCUUUUCCACGCUUUUGAAACUCAAGGACACUGACACAUUCGAAUGGCAUGCCAAGCACCAAGAGGCAUUCAUGUAGAUCAAAGUCUCUCUAACGACUCCACACGUCCUCGUUCCACUAUGAUGGGGUCAACCUCUUAAGCUAUAUAUCUUAGCGGCCGAAGAAUCCAUCGAUUGCCUUCUUGCACGGGAUAAUAACGCUGGGCGAGAACAUGCCAUUUUUGACCUUAGCCGAAACCUCAACCCACCAGAGAUCAAUUACUCUGCUAUCGAGAAGCUAUGUCUUGUCUUAUUUUUUACCGCAUCAAAACUCAGACAUUACAUGCUCCCGUCAGUCACUCAGGUCAUCGCCGAGACCGAUGUUAUUUGUUACAUGCUUACUUGCUUGAUCGUAAAGGGCCGAAUCGAUAAGUGGAUGAUGGCCCUUUUUGAAUUCAGCUUGCAAUAUGUACCCCAAAAAGCUGUCAAAGGUCAAGCUCUAGCUGAUUUUUUGGCCCACCACCCUUCCCCAUACGCAUUCGGGGGCAAUGCCGUUGACAUUGGCCUGAUACAAACACGUGAUAAUUAUUGGACGAUGUACUUUGAUGGUUUCAGUACUUCAGUCUCGGCUGGCGUUGGGAUCGUUGUUCAAUCCUCUACUCAUAAUCAUUGGUAUUUUUCUCUCAAGCUCGAUUUUGAAUGUACAAAUAAUCAAGCCGAAUACGAAGCCCUUGUUAUCGGCCUCAGCGUGCUGCACGAUUUGUGGGCAACUCAUGUCCUUGUUCUUGAUGACUCCGAACUUGUCAUUAAUCAACUCAACGGGACUUUUCAUUGCAUGAGUUGUACUCUGGCGCCUUACCACAUGAUUGCCAGCUAUUUGGCCGAAUCCUUCGACAUAGUAACUUUCAAACACAUUUCACGAGUUCAUAGCAUUGACGCCGAUGAAUUGGCUCAAAUAGCUUCCGAAGCCCAACUCAUGGGGGGCAAAUUAGCUUGAGAAAUACCUGUGUUACGACAAGUACAUUCAGCCUUGAUUAAUCAGCAAGUUCUCCAACGAGACUGCGUGAUCCGUACAUGGGUCAUGUCUUUGCCGUCGUUGUUAGAACGCAAGGACAUUAUUAAGGUUUGUGCCGUCCAGGCAUUACCAGACGAUUGGAGAAGGACGAUUAUGCGAUAUAUUGAUAACCCCAACGAAAAACAUAACGGACGGACAAGGGUCCAUGCCACAAAUUACAUGUUAUACCAGAAUGAGUUGUAUCGAAAAGGUGAGGAUAGGUUACUGUUGCAGUGCCUCGACCUGCAAAAAGCUGCUUAAGCAAUGGUAGAAGUACAUGAAGGAAUUUGUGGAGCCCACCAAUCUGGACGAAAAAUACGUUGGCUACUUCGACGGCACGGAUAUUUUUCGCCGAGAAUUCUGAAGGAUUGUAUUGAGUACGCAAAAGGUUGUGUACAGUGUCAAAUCCAUGGGCCUAUACAGAGAGUAUCGGCCAAAUUAUUACAUUCGGUCACUAAACCAUGGCCGUUCCGAGGAUGGGCCAUAGAUGUUAUCGGUAAAAUCACCCCAUCUUCUGGUGCAGCCAAACAUGCGUGGAUACUUGUUACAACGGACUACUUCACCAAAUGGGUUGAAGCCAAGUCAUAUGCCGAGCUAACGUCCAAGGAAGUUUGUAGUUUCGUUGAAGAAAACAUUAUGACUAGAUUCGGUGUGCUAGAAACAAUCAUAACAGAUAACGGUACGAUUUUUACAUUCGACAGAUUUAAGGACUAUACGGCAAAUCUAAAGAUUCGACUUGAGCAAUCUACGCCAUACUACCCGCAUGCGAAUGGACAGGCCGAAACAAGUAAUAAGGUUUUUAUUGGUAUUCUUGAAAAGAUGAUAAAAGAAAGGCCAGGCAUAUGGCAUUUAAGGAUAAACGAAGCAUUAUGGGCUUAUCGAACCUCUCCACGGACAGCCAUUGGAACAACUCCGUACGCGUUGACUUAUAGACACGACGCAAUGUUGCCCGUCGAGCUAAGUGUAAACUCAUUACGAAUAAUUGAACAUAGUAGUUUGUUCAGCGCCGAGUACAGUCAAGCCAUGAGAUAAGAGCUAGAAGAUUUAGAAGAUGCUCGACUUGAUGCUUAUAAUUUAUUAGUGGCUCAAAAAAAGAUCGCCGAUCAUGCAUAUAAUCAACGAGUUAGACAAAAAACGUUUGGCAAAGGAGAACUGGUUUGGUAAACCGUACUACCCGUAGGAAUUAAAGACCCUAGAUUCGGUAAGUGGUCGCCGAAUUAGGAAGGGCCAUUCGUUAUUCAUAAAGUCCUCGGCAAUGGGGCAUACCGUCUUAGAGAUCGAACCGGUAUUAUUCAUAAGUUGCCAAUCAAUGGAAAGUUUUUAAAGAAAUACUAUCCAGUCACAUAGGAAAUGCAAGGAUAAAAGCUCAUUUCAUUUCAUUAAGUUCAAUACAUUGGUCGAUUAAUUUACAAUAAUCCUAGGGUGAUGAAGGAAUAAGAGAUUCAAGAACAGCCUUUAGCUCUAGCCAUCUCACCUCGCCCAUCGUGACCUCAGCUUGCUGAUUCCUCUUGUCCAUUUUUAGCUGCUCGACUCGCUUCAUGCCCGUCGCAUAUUCAGUCAGGCAAGAUUUGCCGCCCAACUCAAAAUCCUUCGCAAGCUUAGAAGCAAUUGUCGACCUACGAUUUCGAAGUUCGGCAAUUUGACGGUCAAGGUCAGCUAGGGUCUUCUUUUUUACCUUUAAAACUUUGACCUUCAGACGAAGAGGGUCUCGAACAGCUGUUGCAGCUUUCAAGUCAUUGUCAGCCCAAAGAGCCUUCACGAAAAUACUAAAAUAUUCUCGGGUCCGUUCCAAGGCGGACGACCUUGAAUGAUAGCUUCGGCACUCAGUUGACCGUCAACUCUGAGAUCGUUCAGACAUGCACCUACCGAAUCAAUGCCCUUGCACUCGAGGACUUGCGAAGCUGAGAGAGACAAAAGCUUUUGCAACCGAACAAGAACAGUUGAUUCGACGGGUUCAGUUGUAGUUGUCAAAGGACCAGCCGCUCCCGAAGUGCUUGAUAGAAGAGCAUCAAACUCGACUUCCCAUGAAGGUUGCACACGAAAACAGUUUAGGCGCAAGGAAAAUCAUAAAAGAAUGUAGCAAGGAGGAUUUGUUUUAAACCUAUCGAGAGGAGACUUCGGCCAUCUUCAGGUUCAUUGCUCGAACCUAAAGAGCUUAAUGGCUGAGCCUAAUGUUUCAGACUACUUUUUAAUGCAUGCGGCCGAUGAAGGUUAUCUACAUUCGAUGGCCAUUGAGGUGGCCAAGAAAUAUAGAUAACACCUUUUGGCGUAUAAAAUUUUCGGUGAAAUGAAUAAUUGGGCACCUGACAUUUAAUAUUUUCUCGGUUCAGACUUGUUAUAACAAAUUGACAAAAGAAAGUAAUCGAGCCUUACAAAAGUUGAGGUCACUUCUUGAGAGGGGAUGCUGAGAUCUUGGUCCUGUGGGUGAAUUGGAGUUUCUAACGUCGCUUUAGGUUCGACGAUAGGCCUCUUUCCGCGGUCGGCUACAGGAGGAUUAACCUGAUCGAUGUUCACAACCACGGGGGGAGGAUCAACGGAAAUAGCUUAGGUUGGUCGAGAACGACUCGCCGGUGGAAUCUCGUCACUCUCAUCAUCCUAAAACAAAAAGUGUUAACACUUUUUUGACUUAACAAGUAAAUGGAUUUGACAACAUAAUCAUACAUAUUCCAAGAUGACCGCCGAAUGUUUUGGAUUCUUAGGGAGAUUCUUCCCAGUUGAAGGGGUUGUUCCCCCCAGUAUAGGUACUCCUGUUGACCCUGGAGUUGCAGGUGAUUCGACCGAUGGUACGGUAACUGGCUCAACCACGACCUUGGGGACUUCAGGUAUUGGUCGAGCUUGGGUUGUCGGGCUAGCAGAAGAAGGCUGAUUCUUCGCUGAAGCCUGAAUAACAGAAGCAGGAAGAGAAGCACUCGGAGCAGUUGUCCUAGUGGUGUGGCUAGAGAUAACAUGAAUCUCCUGUGCUCCCUUCUUCGCCAAUUACUUGACGCAUUUUGGGGGACGAGGAGCUUCACCUGCCGUCUCAACGUCCGGGUAAGGUAGUUUACUCGGUGUGUUUUGUGCGACGACUUUGGUUGUCUUAGAAGAAUGGGCCAAUUUUUUCUUGACCACUGCCGGGACGACCACGUUCGCCUGUUUCAGUACCCGAACACCUAAGAAAGUGAAAUCUCGUUAGCAAAACCGUUCAAAUGUUUGAAGAAUAAAGGUAGAAAUAGGGGAAUACCUUGGGGUGCCUCUUUAGAUUGAAGGGCGGAGGUUUUCUUGGGCCGGCCACCAAAAAUUUUGUUGACUACUUCCUCGAUCGAAGAGCCAAAGAAGUUGUGCGUAUAUUCUUCCCACCAGUCGCUGAAGAUAUCGAUGCCAAGAGAUUCAGGGAUAGUUGGUCGAAGGCCAAAAUUUCUUACACCGUUCUUGAAAUUCUUUCUCGGUGUCCUUACACUCCCUUUCUGAGGAACUAGAGACGCGCCUUCAGUUUAGAAGGGAGCGAGAAGAAAGUAAAGGCAUCGGUUAACCUUGGAGGUAGCCGAGUUGUCGGGCGGCAAAGUGAGGAUGAUAGACUUCCCAACUUGCUCGGCGAGCAUCACAACCAAGGGGAAGGUCACAAGUUAACAUGAACGACCCCCAGUUUUGACGAAAAGCGGCAUCUUCGCUUUCACUCUAAGUUGAUGUAGGAAGUCUGAUGGAGCGGGGGUAUUUUUGACGACGACAUAUCAAAAAUUCAUCAUCAGAAAGGACAUCCAGGCCGAAGAGGUGCUUAAAGACUUCUUCGACUCGGUGAUGGGGCACUGGUCGAGAGGCCAAAUGAAGGCCGAACGCUACAGUAGAUUGGAAGUCGGAGACUUCUGGCCGAAGUAUAGAGAAAUAAACCUACAGCUAGAGUUAGAACACCCAUAGAGGUUCAUUCUGGUGCGGGUUGAUCUUGUUGAUGGUCGUUUCUGCCAAGCAACGUAGAAGGUUGACGAGGAUGGCGGAACUGAGCGCCAGAGAGUGACCACUAGCCAGGGCUUCCGCCACCGGCAUAUUGUCAACCAAGCAUUUAUUCGACUUGGUACAACAGAUGAACUUAUUGUACCAGUAAAAUAGGAAGGCCUCGUGUCCCCCUUCUGUAGACAAGCUUCUCCCUGACCAGCAAAAUGGAGGAUAAGGGUGUUAUAGUUCAGAAAAUUCUUGUGCAAUUUCUGAAACAUCUUUUGAAGGCUUUUGACCUUCUUGGCUCAACAUCUCGAUGGCCCGAUCAUCGAACAGCGCCUUGAGGUCAAGAUUGGAUGGGCAUCCAAUAAAGGUGGCGUCGACUGGGAUGCCAGAAUGAGGAGUCCCGAUGAUAGCCGAGAUGUCGAUGAUGGUAGGGGUCAUAAGGCCAAAUGGAAGGACCAUGGUAUUGGUGGCCGAGCACCAGAGGCUUAGAGCUGCCAUGAGGAGUUCUUUAUCCAUUGUAAUCUCCAUGGUCGAGAACUUGAUAGCGUCGUAAAUACAAAGAGCUUUCCACUUUUUACCAAAAUUUUUUUCCAUUCGAAUGACCUAUGUCACCCAAUUCGCAUUGGUUGAGGGCCAGGAUCCUUGGGGUUUUGUUUGGCACCACUUCGACCAAUUGAAUCCCUGCAGCAAACCUGCCAAACAGUGUUUUUUUGAAUAGGUUGGUGAUAGACGACGGCACUGUAUCCUUGAAGAGUGGGCCCAAAAUUUGGUGAGUAGUAUUUAACUCAUAAUCGAAGCACAGAAUCUUCAUGGCAUGCUAAUCGAUGAAAUCCUUGCACUUGUUGCAUUCGGAUGAGAGUUCUGAGACAAAUGAGGCCAUUGAUGAAGGCUAAAAAUUUCUGAGAUGGAAGUUUCAGAUUCCCUGGUUUUUGAAGGUUUUGAGAACAGAGUGGCGAGAAAAUUUUAAGAGUUUUGGAGAGCGUAAGGUACGAAUGGAAGGGAUCUAGGUAUUUAUAGGCACUUGGGACAGAAGGCUAAAUGUUUGAUUUUCAAAAUCAAGGGUGAAAUCAAGCGGGAAAGGUACUAAUCAUUGUACAUGCUCAGAAAAUCGAGACAAAAUGAUCGAUAUUUUCGUGGUUUGAGGACGCACGAUGGCGUGUUACGGCGGGUUUAAUGCGAGAGAGACGUUUCGGCUGUCGUAUGUUUUCGAGGAUCAUGAUUAAAAGCUGCUAGGGUAACGAGGGGGUUAACAUGUGGCAGAAUGAUUUGGAAAUCGAGAUCGUGGGGCUACGUCUCAUAAGUACACAUGGUGGUAGUUCCCAAAAGUGGGUUUCACUUCUUCAAAGUUGAGGCUUGAAUUAAGGAGUAUAGGUUGGCGACCUCAGAAGCGAGGGGGCAAUGUUUGGGCCUAAAAAUAUUGUUUUGGGCCAAGUUUAGAAUUGUUCUCGGCCCAGUUUUGAUUAAGCCGAGUUUAGAAUUCUUCUCGGCCUAGAGGCUAUGUCCAGGUGUCAUUGGGGGUUAUCUAGCUUAUGGGCUGCGCGAUCGAAGUUGGCCAUAUCCCAUCGGUGAAUUGGGGAUGUGGAUGAGUCUUGUUAUGAUAAGGAGUUUCGACAGGAUCAGGAUGCUGGAAUUGAAUAUGGCCUGAUAACGAGUUAUGUUCAAAGUCCUAGUAGGAGUAGGAUUGGCCGAGAUAAAGUUGGAUCAGGAAAAUGAGUUCUAAUCUGGGAGUGAUUGGGAUUCAAUACAGGUUAGCUGCUAUAAAUAGGGAGGGAAGACAUCGAAACAACCCCCUCCAAUUCAACACACAAACUGCCCUGCGUAAAUUCUUGCUCUACGUGAAACCUUUCAACAACCUUAAGAUUUUGUUUUCCUUUUUCACCAACACAUCUUCAGUUUGGAUAAAUAGCACUGUGAAGGCAAUCGGUGAACAUCUUCAGUUUGGAUAAACAACACUGUUGCCGUAGAAUCAAUCGACCAUGAAGCACCUUUAGUUUGGAUAAACAGCACUGCGAUAGGGCCGACUGGUUAUCUAUCCAAGUCUUGGUCGAGAAGGAUUUUCGAAUCCUUAUCGGCAGAGGUCAUCUCGUUAGCCUUUUCGGCGAAGCAAGGUGUUACAAGUUACUAUACUCGGCUCAUUGAACGCUGAGUCGUUUAUGAUUGGUUAUUCGCAAGUAGGUUUUAGAGUUCGGCAUUCUGACAGCCGAACCACUUUCACAAUCAAGACAUACAUUUUUUUUGAGUAUUUGUGUCCCUAUACUUUGGUGUCAAUUCGGCAUACUUAUACUCUCACGAAUAUAAUCACCGUGGCCGAAUCCGAUGCCGAUGAUUUGUGAACUUCGCAGAACUAGUAGCUUUGUCUACAAGCUCUAGAACCUGAAGGUCGAGACAUGUUCCUUCCUCGGCCGCAGUCUCAAGAUCAAGAAGUCAGCCACGCACCCAACGCAACAUCAACAAAUUUUACUCCUCGACCGAGCUCGGCCGACGAGUUGGCACGCCCAACAUACAACCGAAUGACGUAGUUAGCUUAAUAAUUACUCGUCCUGCGCACCACGUAGGCUUGGUAGUUUUUAUGGUCAACAAUACCUCAUAGAAUUACUCACUGAAAUUCCUUACAAAACACUCAGAAUACAAAACAUUAACAUGGCCUCAGAGCCUAUGUUGGAUUAAAAACCAGCUGGGCUUUGUGAAGCUGUUUUUAAGGGGAGAUUUCGAGUAUUUGAAACCCCAGAAAGUGAUUCAAGAACCAAGAAAUGUCUGGAUCAAGUAGCAGCGGUGGUGAGCUUAGAACUCUUAUUUUUAAUGGAGAGAACUAUGAUUUCUGGAGGAUAAGGAUGACCACCAUUUUCAAGUCUCAAGACCUAUGGAAAAUGGUUCAAGAAGGGUAUGAAGUCCCAGAUUCAGAUGAUGAGUCAAAGGAUGAUGAAUAACUCAUUGCAACUUGAAGAGCAUCUUUGAGAGAAAAUGGGAUGAAAGAUGCUAAGGCGCUGGGGAUAAUACAUAAGGAGCAAUCUCAGAUGCUAUUUUUCCCACGAUAUCAAAUGAAUAAACAUCCAAAGCUGCUUAAGAAGUUCUUCAAAGAGAAUACAGAGGUGACAAUAAGGUAACCAAAGUAAAGCUUCAAUCUUUAAGACGUGAUUUUGAAUAUACUCGCAUGAAAGAAGAUAAACCCCUUAAUGAUUACUUUACUAGGUUGUUGGAUGUUGUGAAUCAAAUGAAAACUCUUGGUGAAGAACUACCUAGGGAAAGACUUGUACAGAAAUUGUUAAUCAGUUUGACAAAACCCUAUGACUCUAUAGUAAAUGUUAUAGAGGAAACCAAUGACACUGAUACAUUUGAUACAUAAGAGGUUACAGCCUCAUCAAGAGCUUUUGAGCAAAGGCUAGAGAGACAUGCUGAUGCAGCCACAGAGAGGGUUUUUCAGUCAAUUCUAGAAAGGGAAGUUCAACUGGGCAAUACAACAGUUUCAAGCAACAAAAGAAGCCAUAGAAAAUGAAGUCUAAGAAAUAGGAAGGAAGGCCAAGUGAGUCUACCAGAAACAAUGGUGCUGGUAGGACAAAACCACAGUGUACAAUCUAUGAUAAGGCCCAUUUUGGUGUCUGUUGGUUCAAAGGGAAACCUAAAUGCAGUAAAUGUAACAAGUUUGGCCACUUGUCCAAAGAUUGUGGUUCUAAAAUAAACCAACUAGUGAACUAUGCACAAAAGACUGAUUGAGAAAAACAAAGAUAUAUGGUAUAUUGACAGUGGGUGUAGCAAUCAUAUGACUGCACAGGAGUCCCUACUUAUCAAUAUUGACAAAGAAUUCACUGGGAAGGUUAAGAUGGGCAAUGGUCAACUUGUAAGUGCCACUGGUAGAGGCACUUUGGUGAUUGACACAAAGCAAGGAAGGAGAUACAUCAAAGAGGUUAUGUUGGUACCUAGACUUGAUGAGAACUUAUGGAGUGUGGGCCAAAUGAUUAUACAUGGUUAUUUCUUACUCUUUGGAGAUUCCAUGGUUGAAAUCUUUGAUGACAGGAGUUUGCAUAACAUGGUCACAAGAGUAGAAAUGACAGAGAACAAGAGUUUCCCAUUGCCACUCAACUAUAAUCAAGCUAUCUCACUGAGGGCUAGUGUCAUUGAAAGCACAUGGUUGUGGUACAAGAGAUAUGGUCACUUGAACUUUCAAAGCUUAAAAGAUGUGCAGAGAAUGGAGAUGGUUCAAGGAUUACCAAAACUACAUGGAGAAAAAGAAAUAUGUGAAGGGUGUGUUCUAGGUAAGCACCACUGGGAAAGUUUUGAAGCAGGAAAGUCUUGGAGGGCUACACAACCAUUGGAAACCAUCUAUAUUGAUGUAUGUGGUCCAAUGCAAACUGCAACAGUGAGUGGUAAUAAAUACUUCCUAACCUUCAUAGAUGAUUAUUCUAGAAUGUGUUGGGUGUACUUCAUGAGACAAAAAUAUGAGGUAUUUAGUAUAUUCAAGAAGUUCAAAAUGAUGGUUGAAUUGCAAUGUGGUUACAAGAUCAAGAAAAUAAGAAGUGAUAUGGGAGGUGAAUAUACCUAAAUUGAAUUCAACUUUUUCUGUGAAAACAUGAGAUUGGAAAGACAGUUGACAGUGGCAUAUACCUCUCAACAAAAUGGGGUUGUUGAGAGGAAGAACAGAACCAUAAUUGAAAUGGCGAAAUCCAUGCUCCAUGAGAAAGAGAUUCCUUAUCAAUUUUGUGGAAAAGCUGUGAAUACAGCUGUUUAUUGGUUAAAUAAAUGCCCAACAAGUUCCUUGGAAAAGAAAACUCCAUUUGAAGCCUUUAGUGGAAGGAAACCAGGUGUGAAACACCUAAAAGUGUUUGGCUCAAUAUGCUAUGCACUAAUACCAUCACACUUGAGACACAAAUUGCAGGAAACCAGCAACAAGUGCAUUUUUGUAAGUUAUGGUAACUGUGAAAAAGGGUAUAGAUUGUUUAACUUGAAAACACAGAAAAUCAAUAUCUUAAGGGAUGUGGUCUUCAAUGAAGAUACAAGGUGGAAUAGGGAAGAUGGUGUAAAAGUUAACAUAUCAGUACCAAUGAUAAUUGGUGGAACUGACAAUGUAAUUGAGUCACAAACUCAAAUCUCUGCUCACUCACCAAAUCAAUCCCAACAAUCUCAGUUGCAGUAAUCACCUCAACAUACUUCACCUCAAACUUAGAGUGAAAGUUCUCAAAAUACACAGAAUGCUAUCUCCCAAAACUCCACUCCUAGUUCUACUCCUGUGAAACUGAAGAGCUUGAGUGAGAUAUAUGUAGCCUGCAAUUUCUGCAUAGUGGAGCCUGAGAACUUUGAAGAAGCUGAGAGUGAUAUAGCUUGGAAGAAAGCUAUGGAAGAUGAAAUGGCAAUGAUUGAGAAGAAUUCCACUUGGGAAUUAGUUAAUAGGCCUAGUGAAAAGCCUAUGAUAGGUUUCAAAUGGGUUUAUAAAACUAAACUUAACAUGGAUGGCACAGUGCAGAAAAACAAAGCAAGAUUGGUAGCAAAAGGUUACUUUCAACAACCAGGAGUUGAUUUCAAUGAGACCUUAGCUCCAGUAGGUAGAUUGGACACCAUUAGAACUCUGAUUUCUCUUACUGCACAAAAAGGUUGGAAUUUAUUCCAACUUGAUGUCAAAUAUGCGUUUUUGAAUGGUGUACUUGAGGAGGAAGUUUAUGUUGAUCAACCUCAAGGUUUUGAAGUAAAAAAUGAAGAGAACAAAGUCUAUAGGUUAAUAAAAGCAUUAUAUGGGCUCAAGCAAGCUCUAAAAGCAUGGUACAGUGAGAUUGACACUUACUUUUCACAAAGAGGGUUCAAGAAAAGUCCUAGUGAAGCCACUGUGUAUGUGAAAGGAGGAAAUGAAACUGAUGUGCUCAUGGUUGGAAUUUAUGUUGAUGAUGUGGUAUUCACUGGCAACAAUGAGAAGAUGAUGAUGGAUUUGAAAGAAGAUAAGAUGCAGAAGUAUGAAAUGUCAGACUUGGGGUUAUUGCAUCAUUUCCUUGGAAUUGGAAUUAUUUAGGGAAUUGAAAGGAUAUUUAUCCACCAAAAGAAAUAUGCUCAGACCGUAUUAGAUAAGUUUGGUCUUAAAUGUUGCAAAUCAGUAGCUACACCACUGAUCUCAAAUGAGAAACUCAUUAAAGAUGAUGGAAUAGAACUCGCAAACUCCAAUCUUUACAGGAAAAUUGUUGGAAGUCUUCUCUACCUAACUGCCACUAGACCUGAUGUGAUGUUUGCAGCAAGUCUGCUUUCUAGGUUCAUGCGUAAUCCAACUAAAAUUCACAUGGGAACAGCUAAGAGGGUACUCAGAUAGAUUGUAGGAACCAUUGAUUAUGGUAUCAAAUAUGACAAAGGUAAGGCUGCCAUUCUAGUUGGAUUAUGUGAUAGUGAUUGGGGUGGCAGUGAUGAUGAUAUGAGAAACACUUCAAGGUAUGCUUUCACUCUUGGUUCAGGGUGUACUUUCACUAUUUGGUUCAGUGAAGCAGCAAAGUGUUGCUUUGUCCAUUGUAGAAGCUGAAUAUGUAUCAGCUGCAGAAGCCACUUCACAAGCUAUUUGGGUUAGGUGAUAGGAGCAUAUUUAUGCAACUUAGUGAGCUUGCUUCUUGGCAUUUACUUAGGCCCCGUUUGGGAUUGAGGUGAUUUUAAAAAAAGCCACUGUGAAAAAAAGCUGAGGGUCAUUUUUGUGUUUGGUAAACUGAAAAAAAGGGCUUAUUUUGGAAGCUGCUGUGAGAAUAAGCUGAAAAUCAAAGGAAAAGCUGAAGCUGCUAUUUGCUGCUUUGAAAAAAAGCCAGUUUUUUCAAAGCACACGGAGCUACAGUGCUCCUUUAAUGAAAAGACACACUAUCAUCCUGAUUUUUUUUCCAAAAGCACUUUCACAAAAAAGUUUACCAAACACUCUACUGGCUUUAUUUCACAGCCGCUUAUUCUCACAGCACAGUCGCAUAUUCUCACAGCAGCUUUUUUUCAAAGCACAACAAUACCAAACCAGCCCUUAGUUUAACUCUAGUUAUUUUAGUACUUUAAGCUAUUUUCGUGUGUUUGUAGGUUCAAAUAACAAAGUUGGCAACAAAGUGCUAUUCGGAGCAUUUUGGAGCAUUUUUGGGCCAAGAUUGGAUAGUGCAAGCAUGGAGACAUGAGGAUGGACGUUUUUGAAGAUUAUAAGGCUAGAAAUCAGCAUGUGUGUGUGCAAGUGUGUUGACCUACAACUACAAACACUCAUCCACUACACCCAUUACAUCCACUCAUUACCAAACAUCCAUCCACUACACCCAUUACAUCCACUCAUUACCAAACAUUCAUCCACUAAACCCAUUACAUCCAUUCAUUACCAAACACUCAUCCAUUACACCCAUUACAUCCACUCUACAUCCGCUCAUUAGCAAACAUCCAUCCACUACACCCAUUACAUCCACUCAUUACCAAACAUCCAUCCACUACACCCAUUACAUCCACUCAUUACCAAACAUUCAUCCACUAAACCCAUUACAUCCACUCAUUACCAAACACUCAUCCACUACACCCAUUACAUCCACUCAUUACCAAACACUCAUCCACUACACCCAUUACAUCCACUCAUUCACUCAUUACCAAACAUUCAUCCACUACACCCAUUACAUCCACUCAUUACCACAACACUCACUCACUACACCCAUUACAUCCACUCAUUACCACAAUAUACACCACUACCACCUUAAUUAGAUGGUGGUCCUCUCCCUAGCCUAUAAAUACAUCCACCCUUCACCAUAACAAGGGAUCAGAAAAAAAUCGAUCUAAAGACACUACAUUCAUAUCUCACAACUCCAUACACUUACACUUCCAUUCCUUAGCCGUGAGCACCAUCCAUUCAUCCAUUCAUUUCCCAUAUAUCUCAAAACACAACUCCAUACACUCCCUUCCCUUGGCCGAGACAUUCACCAAUCCUAAAUAUAUUCAUAACCUUUCCAUAUAUCCAUACACAUCCUUAGAAACUUGUGUUGCAACAAGGUGGUGAAAAUGAAGGUCCUUGGCGUUUCAAGCUUGAAACUUUGGAGCGUUUUAGGUGUACUUCGUUCUUGCUUUCAAUGUCUAAAUUUGUUUAUCUUUGCUUUGUGAGUAUGAGGAACUAAACCCCCCCUUAGCUAGGGGGAAUUCGAAACUAUGUUCAUGCUUGCAAUAUGAUUUGAUUACUUUCAGUUAUGAUUCAUAAGUUGUGAUUUCAAUUUACUCAUCCAUUUGAAUUAAAACUGAUUUUUGUAUGUUGGUUAAGAGUGCAUGCUUAAUUUUCAUGCAUAAAUCUGAUGCUAGGAUAUAAGGAAGUUUCACCUAAUCGUUAUGAACUUAUAUUCACAAGUAGUAAAGGUUGCUCGUCACAACCGUGUUAAGUAAAUUCUUGGCAUAAGUUUCAUGCAAUUCAUAGUUACAAGUGUUUCGUCAAUGCUUAUGAUUUUCAUAGAUUUAAUGAUUCUUGCUUGUAUCUCUAUUAUGCAAUUCAUGUAGGGAAUCUGUGGGGAAUGCUUUGGGUUGUUGUAUGCAAUCAUCCAAUUCAAUGAAAUUAGGAAAAUCUGAGGGUUCAUUAAUGCAAUUCACAGUUAAUCUGGGCCGUUGAGAAUUCAUAGUUUAUUGAAAAGCAACUGGAAAUCGUUUUGUUUGCAAGUGUGUCAUGUGUGGAGAAGAACCUCCCAGCUAGCCUUCCAUCCAUUCAAUUUACUCAAAUUCUUGCAGAUUUCAUUAGUUCUUUAAUUUACUUGUUUUGUUUUCAAAUUCAUCAAAACCAAAACCCCAUUUACCUUGUUGAGUUAUAUUAGUUAGAAACUGAUUUAGUUUGUGCUUUUAAGUAUUUCGAACCAAGUUGAAACCAAAAUUCGUCCAAAAGUGUGUUUAGAGUCCAAAUCUGCCCAAUUUGUGUUUUUAGGCAGAUUUGAGUGUUUUUAGCUUGUUUUGAGUUCUUUGAGUUUGUUUUGAAUUCUUUGAGUCUAGUUUAGUGUUUUUAACUUUGUUUAUAUGUUUUUAAGUUAGUUUAGAGGUUAUUAGCAAGCCCUUCUAAUCCCCGGUCCAUAACGAUCCAUACUUACAUUCUUUACUACAAUUGAUACAAGAGGGUUUAAUUUGUGUGUUAAGUUAUUUUCGCACCAAAUUUUUGGCGCCGUUGCCGAGGAUUAGCAACUUUGCUAAUCCCCCGUUGUUUCUUUUACAUGUCUUUUGUAUUAGUUACUGACUUUGUUUUUGUUUUUGUUUUUUAUUUUUACUUUUGAUAAGUAAGACAUGGAUUUUGCUACCAUUCAAGCUCAAUUGGCGAAACUUACUUCUCAAUUGUCACAACAAGCCAAAAGGACCACAAUGCAAAGUAUCCCGACAUGUGGUGUGUCCUAUGGGCAAGGAUAUCCAACUCAUCAAUGUUCUCAAUUCGUUGCAAAUGAAUAUGCUUGGGGUUAUGAAGGCCAUAGCCAAUCAUGGGACAACAUGUUUUCCAACGCUUACAAUUCGGAUUGGAGAGAUUGUUCAGAUUACAUGUGGGGAGAACCUCAACAAUUCCAACAAGAUGGAUAUUGGCAGCAAGAAGAGGAGUUAUAUUCAAGACCUAUGUAGCCACCACAACAAUCUGCUCAAUUCAAUUCAGGUACGUCUUUGGAUAAUGAUAUGUUUAAUAAGUUACUUACUUCUUUGAACCAGGAAGUAGAAAAUCAAAACAAAGAGAUGCAAAAUCAAGCCAAGAAGACGGGCAAAUUGGAGAUGCAAAUUGGGCAGAUUAUGGAGUUCAUGGCACAAAUUCAAGAGCAAAGUGAACUCUCCAACUCAACUAUUGAAAAUUUUUAGGAAGACUUUGAAAUCCAUGAUGCUAUCAUUUUAGGAAGUGCUAUGGAGGUUGGAGCUGACCUAAAAAUGUCUAAACAUAGCCUAGAAGUGGAUGAGGAGCUGCUGAUUGAGGAGGAGGAAGAAGACAUACACACGGCAAGGGUAGAACAACCCUUGCCGCAGCCCCCUAAGCCCUCUAAACCACCCACCACAAGUAAGGACAUCCCAAUUUCAUUUCAUUCUAAUGUUAUUCCUCCGAAUGCACCUUUUCCUCACAGGUUUUUAAUUCCCAAGAAAGAUGAGAGUGAAAAAGACAUUCUGGAAGCCAUUCCAAAGGUGCAAAGUGAUAUCCCAAUUCUUGGCACACCAAGUCAAGUUCCAGAUUGUGUUGAAGUGUUCAAAGAACCUUGUACACCAAGAAGAAGGAGUCAAGAGAAAGAAGUGGCUGGCGAAUGUGUAAAUUGCAUCAAGGAGGUUGUAUAUGAGACAACAAAGCCCAAAGAAGUUGAAUUUUAUGACACGGGACAAGGCCCAACCAUCACAUUCAAUCUAGCCAAGUUCAAUAUCCCUGCAACCUUCAAAGAUGUGGUGUUCGUAAUUGAGUUUGCGUCGGAGCAAGCAAGUAAGCCAUCUUUUCCAACUUCGAUUUUGUUUUCUACUAACUUGCUGAUUUUGAUGAUUCAGGCACCUACACUAGAAUUUAAACCAUUGCCGGAUCACUUCAAGUAUCACCUUUCGUUUAAGGAUUCAAUGUGUGAGCACUUUGAGAAGCAUGUCGUGAAGAAUGUACCCCUCAAUGCCGUGGGCCCUGUUCAAGCUUAAAUAGAGGUAUCGUCCGGCUGGAAGACGUUAAAGCAAGCGCUUCUUAGGAGGCAACCCAUGUACUCAAAUAAGGAAGAUUUUGGAAUUGCUCCAUGAUUGGUUUUGCGUUCCUAAAAACCUUCCCUUUUCCGCAGUUUUAUUUUGUCAUGAUUGUCAUUUUUAUUUGUUGCUUGUUUAAUUGUUUUUGGUGUGGGUUUAUUUUUGAAACAUUGACAGAUACACAAGGUAUUUUUACAUUCAUUUUCCAAAAAUUUGAUGCGAAUAAUAACUUAACACACAAAUUAAACCCUCUUGUAUCAAUUGUAGUAAAGAAUGUAAGUAGGGAUCGUUCUGGACCGGGGAUUAGGAGGGCUUGCUAAUAACCUCUAAACUGACUCAAAAACGUAAAACAAAGUUUAAAACACUAAACUAGACUCAAAGAAUGCAAAACUAAACUAUAAAACACUAAAACAACUCAAAAGACUCAAAACAACUCAAAACAAGCUAAAAGACUCAAAUCUGCCACUAAGAGUGAAAUUGGACGAAAUAGGUUUUAACUUGGUUCAGAACACUUAAAAACACAAACGAAAUCACUUUCUAACUAAUAUGACUCAACAAAGUAAAGGGGGGUUUGGUUUUGACGAAUUUGAAAACAAAACAAGUAAAGUAAAGAACUAGUGAAAUCUGGAUGAAUUUGAGUGAAUUAAAUGGAUAAAAGGCUAGCUAGGAGAUUCUUCUCCACACACGACACACUUGCAUACAAAACGAUUUCCAGUUGCUUUUCAAUAAACCAUUAAUUCUCAACGCCCCAGAUUAACCGUGAAUUGCACUAAUUAACCCUCAGAUUUUCCAAAUGUUAUUGAAUUGGAUGAUUGCAUACGACAACCCAAAGCAUUCCCCACAAGUUCCCUACAUGAAUUGCAUAAUAGAGAUACAAGCAAAGUUCAUUAAGUUCUAUGAAAAUCAUAAGCAUUGAGGAGGCACUCGUUACUAUGAAUUGCAUGAAACUUAUGCCAAGAAUUUAUUUAACACGAUUGUGACUAGCAACCUUCACUACUUGUGAAUAUAAGUUCAUAAGGAUUAGGUGAAACUCCCUUAUAUCCUAGCAUCAAAUUCAUACAUGAAAAUUAAGCGUGCACUCUCAACCAACACACACAAAUUAGUUUUUAUACGAACGGAUAAGUAAAUUGAAUUUAUAACUUAUGAAUCACAACUGGAUGUAAUCAAAUCAUAUUGCAAGUAUGAACAUGGUUUCGAAUUCCCCCCUAGCUAAGGGGGGUUUAGUUACUCAUAAUUGUAACAAAAUCAGAAAAUAACAAAGUAGACAUUGAAAGCAAGAACGAAGUACACCUAAAAACGCUCCAAAGUUUCAAGCUUGAAGUGCCAAAGACCUUCAUUUUCACCACCUUGUUGCAGCACAAGCGUCUAAGGAUGUGUAUGGAUAUAUGGAAAGGUUAUGAAUGUAUUUAGGAUUGGUGAAUGUCUCGGCCAAGGGAAGGGAGUGUAUGGAGUUGUGUUUUGAGAUAUAUGGGAAAUGAAUGGAUGAAUGGAUGGUGCUCAUGGUUAAGGAAUGAAAGUGUAAGUGUAUGGAGUUGUGAGAUGUGAAUGUAGUGUCUUUGGAUGGAUUUUUUCUGAUCCCCUUGUUAUGGUGAAUGGUGGAUGUAUUUAUAGGCUAGGGAGAGGACCACCAUCUAAUUAAGGUGGUAGUGGUGUAUGUUGUUGUAAUGAGUGGAUGUAAUGGGUGUAGUGGGUGAGUGUUGUGGUAAUGAGUGGAUGUAAUGGGUGUAGUGGAUGGAUGUUUGGUAAUGAGUGGAUGUAAUGGGUGUAGUGGAUGAGUGUUUGGUAAUAAGUGGAUGUAAUGGGUGUAGUGGAUGGAUGUUUGGUAAUGAGUGGAUGGAAUGGGUGUAGUGGAUGAGUGUUUGGUAAUAAGUGGAUGUAAUGGGUGUAGUGGAUGGAUGUUUUGGUAAUGAGUGGAUGAAAUGGGUGUAGUGGAUGAGUGUUUGGUAAUGAGUGGAUGUAAGAAUGGAUGUAAUGAGUGUUUGGUAAUGAGUGGAUGGAAUGGGUGUAGUGGAUGAGUGUUUGGUAAUAAGUGGAUGUAAUGGGUGUAAUGGAUGGAUGUUUGGUAAUGAGUGGAUGGAAUGGGUGUAGUGGAUGAGUGUUUGGUAAUAAGUGGAUGUAAUGGGUGUAGUGGAUGGAUGUUUGGUAAUGAGUGGAUGAAAUGGGUGUAGUGGAUGAGUGUUUGGUAAUGAGUGGAUGUAAGAAUGGAUGUAAUGAGUGUAGUGGAUGGAUGUUUGGUAAUGAGUGGAUGUAAUAGGUGUAGUGGAUGAGUGUUUGUAGUUGUAGGUCAACACACUUGCACACACACGUGUUGAUUUCUAGCCUUCUAAUCUUCAAAAACGUCCAUCAUCAUGUCUCCAUGCUUGCACUAUCCAAUCUUGGCCCAAAAAUGCUCCAAAAUGCUCCAAAUAGCACUUUGUUGCCAACUUUGUUAUUUGAAUCUACAAACACACGAAAAUAGCUUAAAGUACUAAAAUAACAAGAAUUAAACUAAGUAAAUGCCAAGAAACAAGCUCACUAAGUUGCAUAAAUAUGAUCCUAUCAUUAGGUUUGUUCUAAAAAACUUUGGAGAGAUGCAAGUAGAUGCCACACCUCUAAUGUAUGACAAUACAUCUGCCAUAAUCAUGACAAGGAACCCUGUCUUCCAUCAGAAGACAAAGCACAUCAAAAGGAAAUACCAUUUCAUAAGAGAAGCUUUGCAAAAGAAUGUGAUUGAACUGUUCUACUGCAAAUCAGAAGAGCAAAUUGUAGAUAUCUUUACCAAGGCAUUGCCUAAGGAAAUAUUCGUGUAUCUCAGGGAGUUACUUGGAAUGCAAGCAGGAAACAGUUUGAAGGGGAGUGUUGGAAGUUAAACAGUCUCCAGCUACACAAACAAGAAGCUAAUGGCUAGAUUUGUGUAAAUAGGCUAACGACUAGUUUUCUCAAGCUAAAUUUCAAAAGACAAAUGAAGGGUUGAGAUUGAAACUGUGCUGUAAGGCCUAGAUUAGAGUAGUACAAUGUUAGGUUGUGUUCCUUGUCUUAUUCCUAAAUUGAGAUAAGAAUGUUGACUGUAAAACCCUACUACUCUGAUGAUAUAUAUAUGAAAUGAAUGCUGCUGCAAUGACAAGCAACCGUCACUCUUAUUCUCAUUCCCUCUUGCUCUGAAUACCUCAUAGAAUUACUCACUGAAAUUCCUCACAAAACACUCAAAAACAAAACAUUAACAUCCAACAGUUUUGGGCCAAUAUAUCAUGUAUCUUGCCAAAUACUAAGAUGUUGUCACAUCGAUAUUUUCUUUCCUUAUAUAAAAUUUCAUUUUAACAAACAAGUAUAUGGACAUAAUAUCGACAAUUAUGUAGUUGAAGUUCUAUAGCAUCAAUAAACAACACGUUAACAGUUGAUAUGUUUGUCGAUAUUUAAGUGGUUUCGUUUACAACAUUAAAAUUUAUAUGUGAAAUAGUUAUACUGAAAUGAGACUAUAUAUAUAAACCAAGGCUUGAAAACGCUCUAAAAGCACACCAUGAUUAUGAAGUUCUUUAAGCAUUCCGGUAUCGAAAUUGUCGGAAACUACAUGUUCAUCUAUGGCAACCCUAAGAAGUAGAUUCAUUCCUCAUUUUGUAAGGCUUCCAUAAUAUUCUUUUGUAUCUUGUCCACUAUCUGGCACGAAUGUGUCAUAAAAUAAUUCGUCAUCCAUCUCGAACGAAAGGAUGAGUUUCUAGUUUUCAUCUAGGGUUUGCAUGUCUAGCUCUAGGGCAAACCAGUAGUAAAAACCCUUGAAGUACAUUUGGGAAGAAGGAAACCAAACCACAAUACUAGGCAUAUCAAAUUUGAUCUCUGUCCAAGAGUUUGAACUUACAAUAUACACCUCUGCCGUGUGAGGGUGAAACAAAAUCCAAAAACCCUCGAAAUGCAUUAUGAUCUUAGAACUUUGCAAUCUUUAGAUUUUUUAUCGUAUCCAAAUCCCACAGCUACUCCAGUGGACUGCAAUAUCUUUAUUUAUUUCAGGGGAGUGAGAUGAAGGCACAACUUCGGAAGAAGCUUGGAUUCCUUUAGUGCCUGAUUGCAUAGAAAAACAUAUUCAGAGUAAUAUGUUAGGCAAAUAAUUCCAAGACAAUCGCCUGCAAUGUCCAAAUACUAAUGCUUUAGCCCUAAGGAAACUGGAACAUUGAGGAGAUCUUGAAGGUAAUAGACAUCACUAUUGUUGUCUUUGCAAGGAUCUAGAAGUGACAACAAAAUUUUCAUGGAGUCAUCGUUGGUGUUGUUAAGGUUGCAACGCUUGAAAAGGAUGCAUGUUGUGUAUGAAAAUUUGUUUGCCAAUGAAUUUUGGAGAGGUGCACAUCCACAAAGCUAGGGUUACUGAUGAAUUUGUACCACUAUUUACGAACACAUUUGAAUCACAGCAGAGAUUUCGGAGGAGGCCAUGAUAAGAUCUGCAGCACCAUUUCUUCUGGCAUUUUGCAAAAGUACGCCAUUUUCUGAGAAAUGAACAAAAUGGAUUCUUAAUCACAGGGACAUACUGCAAAUGAAACGUAUGCAAAAGGAAAGAUCUAGAAAUUAAAAAAAAAAAAAAAAAAGUGGUUACUCUUUUUUGUUUCUUAAAAUUUCAAAACAGCGUGUUUGUCUCCUUGCACUUGAGUUUGGAUGUUCCUCCUAAGAAUAGUUUAGUAGAUUAUCGCCUUGUCACAAAUAGUAGUUGAAAUUCUGUUGUUGAGGUUCAGGAAAGAGAGGAGAUUGCAUUCUCUGAAAUUAUAUAAUUAAGUUUGAGAAUUGACAAAAACUGGUGUUUCUCUUGCAGUGCUUUGAAAUGAAGCCAAUUGCCUGUAGUGUAUAGCUAGAAAUGAAAUUUGUGGAUACAAAAACUAAAUAUGAUAAUUGGUGGUUUGAGCUGCCUGCUUUGUGAGAGAAUUAUCGGAGAAAGAAAUGUGAUUUGUUUUAGGUUGAAUGUGAAGAAAAGAACCAUAUGCUUCUCUUAUUUUCAUUUUUAUCAUUUUGUUGAUCUUAAUUGAAAAUAGGUUUUUUUAGUGAAAAUGGUCUCUGAAAUUUUCCUACCUCCUCAUUUGGUCCCUGAAAUUUGAAAUAAAUAGAAGUGGUCAUUGAGUUUAUUCUUCAUCAAUCAUUUUGGUCAUUUCGUAAGAAUUUCUAUUAAAUGAGGACAAAAAUUAAAAAAAAUACCCUCAAUUUAAUAAACCAUGGGCCAAAAUGAUUUGACAAAAAUUGAGGGUACUUUUGUUAUUUUGGUCCUUAUUUAAUGGCGAUUUUUCAAUGAAUGACCAAAAUAAUUUAUCAUGGACAAACACAGGGAGCACUUCUAUUGAUUUCAAAUCUUAGGGACCACUUCUAUUGAUUUUAAAUCUUAGUGACUAAAGUGAGGAGUUAUGCAAAUCUCAAAGGCCAUUUUGGUUAAAAAGCCUUGAAAAUAUUUGUUAAUACUACCUUUCAUCAUCAAUUGAGGACUUUGAAAAUAUUUUUUUGGGGAAAUAAGUCAAAAUAAUUAUUUUUGAAAUCUAAAUUUGCUAAAAUGAUUAGUCUUUCAAUAUGUCGUCAAUAUUUAGUCUUUCAAUAUGUCAUCGAUAUUUAGCCUUUCAAUAUGUCGUUGAUAUAUAAUUUUGAUCAGUUUAGCAAAUGAGAUUUGAUUUCUAAUCAUUUUAGCCCACCUUCCUCAGAUUGUUUUGGUUGUAUAUAGAAAUUAUGAUCCAAUAUAAAUGAGAAUUCAAAAACUAGAACUACUGAACCAGUUUGAUCGGAUGAAUAUCUAGAAAUGGAGAUCAAGUUAAAUUACCAUAUAAACCAAAAUUUUAUGUUAAUGUAUGAUGAACAUCAAAAUUAUAAUUUACAUAUAUAAGCCUUUGCUACGGCUAGAGUUAACUUAUGCUACAAGUAAGAAUUCUACUGUAAUACAUUGGAAAAUGUAAACUGCCAUUUGAACUCCAGUUGAAAUUAACCCUCUGAACUAUUUUUUUUUGUUAAGUUAACCUCCUGAACUAUUUGAAAUAAGCCAGUUGACCCCUUGUUGGUAGAUUUCAUCUACUAUUUCAUCAAAUUCAAAGGAAGAUUAGUCUUUUCUUCAUCAAUUCUUACUUGUCAACUAUAACCAACAAUGUAAUUAUGACAUGUGAAAACGGACAAUGUAAACAUUUGAUUUUUUUAUGUUUCCUCAGUAUGUUAUAUAUUUUUGAAUUAAUUUGUGUCCAUGUGUCAAAAUUUUAUUGGCGGUUAUAGCUGACAAGUAACAAUUAAUGAUGAAAUGACUAAUUUGUCCUUGAAUUUGAUAGAAUUGAUUCCGCAAUCUAACGGUAAUGGGUUAAUUGACUGAUUUUAAAUAGUUCGGGGGGUUAAUUUACCAAAAAAAUAGUUUAAAGGGGGUCAAAUUCAACUGGGAUGAUAGUUCAGGGUCAAACCGCACUUUACCCACAUUGGAAUACAUUGAUGCAGAGCUUCCGCCGAUCGAUAGAUCUUUUGUGAACGUAUUUAAACUCAGUUCGGUCAUGCAAUUCCAAGAAAUGUAUAGAUUGGAGCAUAUACCAGAUCAAGUGCAAGUGCAACUACUUUAUCCAGAUAACAAAUAUAAACGAGUAAUGCUACAUUUAUUAUCUACUUGUAUCAUAAUUUAUAUGAUUCGCAAACGUAUGUGAAUCAUCUCUCUAUUAGAAAAAUGAACAAAUAAAUAGGUAAGAAUAAUGUUUUUUUAAUAUAAAUUCAUCAUUCAUUUACACCGCAUCGUCACAUGCGACGUUUCAAUCAGUCAACUUAUCACAUAGAUUCUUAAUAUAAUUCUAUCGUGGUCAAAUAAAAAAGCAAUGUGAAAUCGAUCAAUGGAAUUAUAAAUUCCUUCCAAUUAUUCGUAUAAUAACGGACACUUCAAUUAUUGGACAGUUCGUUUCUUCUUGGAAACGUCCUGCAAUCUGAGUCAACCCACAGAGCGAAGUAAAUAAAUAAAAUGGAGCAUUUCUGCUCACCAUCGUUGAUAUGGUGAAUGUCGUUAUACAGCUAAUCAUUUGUCAUGUGUUAUUUCAUUUAAUUUUAGUGAACUUUCAUAUUAAAUGUUAUUUUUUUAAUUUAAAAAAAAUAACCAAAGUUAAAUAAAAUGACACGUAGUAGAUAAUUAAGUUUACGAUAAAAUUAAGAUGGUGAACAAAAAUACUCUCUAAAUAAAAGUGUAUUUGAAAGGUCUUCUAACAACGGCAACAACAACUACAAUAAUAACAAUGAAAGCGUAGUGGGCGACCUCAACAAACAAACCUUUGGUCCUUUUUCGUUUCAUGAUUCCAUUUCCCUAGUCCGAAUACACAGUAAGGAGAAAACAAAAAAGUCUUAGGAAAUUAAAACAAAAGUAAAGAGAAAACAACAAGUUUUAGGAAAUCAAACUUCUCAAUAAGGGACUAUGAUCAUGAUAAAACAUCAUACAGGACAAAGUACAGUAGAGGAUUUUGUUUUGAUUCGUUCAAUAAUUGUUGCAGCCAAUUAACUGCCAUGACUUCGUUUAGGAAACCAGGCAGCUCGGACCCCUUCCUUUGACUUCUUGAUCUUGACAAAACAUUUUAGCCAAGGUGGUUUUCCCACAUCCUCCAGCAGCAGUCAGCACAAGCAUAGACACCUUUUCAUCCUUAAGGAGCUUCAUCUUCAACUCCUUCAACGGCAAAUCCAACCUGACUGUAACUGAUGGCGGUUCAGGCACCAGACGAACACUUCACCUUUUGUGGCUGAUUAGAUUAGUUUUUAUCACCAAACUCUCUUCUAUUCGAGAGAGAAUCAAAGUUUCCCUAAAUAUGUAUGUGGAUUCAGUCGUAAUGGGUGCUCUGAGAACGGCAUUUCAAAUGCUGGUUGAUGCUAUAAAAUCAGUGCAGGAGGAGAAUACAGUGUUCCAACACCUCCUGAGAGACAUCAAAUCUACACUGGACUCUCUACAACCACUCAUAAAAAAAUAUAACGCGAAAGAGGGACUAUAAAAUUUUGCAAUACAGACAGAGGAGGGAGCAAAUCUUGUUCAAAAGUCCACACGCCAACUUUGCUGCACUUUUGAACAAGAUUUGCUCCCUCCUCCAUCUGUAUUGCAAAUUUGCAGUCCCUCUUUCGGGUUAUAUUUUUUUAUGAGUGGUUGUAGAGAGUCAAGUGUGGAUUUGAUGUUUCUGGGGAGGUGUUCGAACAUUGUAUUCUCCUCCUCAGCUGGUUUCACAGCACAAACCGCAUUUAAAAUGCCGUGACCAAAGCCACAUACAUAAUUACGAAAAGAAAGAGACUCAAAACUCAAUUCUCUUACAUAAUCUGAUGAAAGAACAGAAAUUCCAAUGGAUUUACGGAGAGAGAGUAAAAUAAUCUAGCUUGAUGAGAAACUGAGGAUGUUAUGUAAGUUGUUUCUUCGCGACUCGGAGUUUCAGCACACAUAUAUACAACUCAACGAACGUGUUGACCAAAUAAAAAACACGGAAUUAGGAGGCGGGAUGAGACACGGAAUUUUAAAAAUUGAUCCUAUUUUUUUUAUAACAUAAAAGUCGGUGGUUCUAGAGCUGCGUGUGGCCUCUGAGUAGGCUGCGCGUCUGGACUUGGUUUGGUGGUUUGCACGACUUUGUUUUGUAUUGUUUUGUGGACCUCUUUUGUUGUUUUUUGUUUUUAUGAUUAAUAAAAAUUCAUGGAAUGUUUUUGUUUAAAAUUUUAUUUUGUAAAACUCUUUUUUUUUUUUUCAUUUUCAUUAAAUAAAGUUGAGUUAGUGUAUUUUUUUUUCUCUUUUCAUUGAAUAAAGUUAUUCGGAUGCUUUUGGUUUAAAAAAGUUUUAUAAGAGCCCUUAUCAUUAAAGCUCCCAAGAAAUUACGCUAGCAACUCUCUCAUUUUCCUUACCAAAAUCUUAGAUCCACAAAAUAUAUAGACUCUGGCUCGUUGCUCCAACUUAAGGUUGGUGAAAGCCCUUCUCCCUUCCCCUCGCCUUACUAUUUUCUCUUCCCAUAGAUUGUUGUAGAUUUAUUUUCGUUUUAGUAUUUAUGUUAAUAAGAGGCUUCUUGGUGAGUUAUUAGUGAGUCUCUCCUAUUGAGUAUUUUAGUUUUAUUAUUGCUGUGUUAUUGGCUCUUCUUGGGUCUACUUUAGUGUUCUUAGUAGCUUCGUUGAUGGUGUUGAGAAAAAAAUCCGGGGAGACAUUAUUUGGGUCAUUGCCAGUUUCUCUUCGAGUUAGCAUUGCUCGUUGCAAAUAAUGUCUUUAGCAUGUUCGUUAUGUUGCAAUUUCGUGCAUAUAAUUUGCUAAGUGCUUGACUGUUUCUUCAUGAACGAAGUUUUUUUUGGCUUUGGAGUGCCAUCUUAGUCUUUCGAGUUUAAGUGUGGACGACUUCAAGACCUGAAUGCUUUCCUUUGCUUAUUCUUGUGCUUGUUUUGCUCUCAUAUCCACCAAUACGGUGGCAACUAGUUUAGCCAAUUUGACCCUUAGAACAUCUAGACACCAUUUUGUAAUUAUUUAAUUUUUAGUUUUUGUUUGCACUUAUUUUUUAAACUAAAAAAUUUUAGUAACGACCUUUAGUUUUCUGUUAAAAAGAAAUGAAAAUUGAAAACUACAAGGCCGAUUGAUCAUUAUUUCAUUUUCAAUUUUGUUUUAUGUUUUCUGAAAUUGAAAACUUGCUUGGUAACUACUUUCAAUUUGUAGUUUUUAAAAGCUAACUAUUUAAAUUAAAAAAAUUGGAAUUUCAAGAAAACUAAAUAUUGAAAUUAGUUAUGUUUUGAAAUAUAUCAAUAGUUAUUUUUUAAAAUAUGUUAAUAAUUAUGUGGGUACAAUAUUUUUCUGCCAUAAUUUUGUGAAAAACAAUAUUACUAUAUUAUUGAUUUUUACGUAUUUAUUAUAUUUAAAAAAUAUUAUUUGAAUUUUUUAAAUUUCAUAAUUUGUGCGAUAUUAAAUGCAUAAAUGCAUGAGUUAAAUCUCUUAAAUGAUGCUAAGGACCUCAAUCAAAAUAUUUAAACAAACAAGGUUUCAGUCUAACAAUUAAGCUGAUUAGUGACCGAAACCAAAAUGACCCUUAUAUUAAACUCAUCUUCACAUGCCAUGCUAUAUCAUAUCGUCCCUUCACAUGUUGGUUAUCCUUGAUAAUAUGUAGCUUACCACAUAACCCCUAAAUUGAUUAUUCUAUCCUAAUGACUUGCCAUACAUUUAUCCCUCAGAUAAUCCCACACUAACGUUCUUAUACUUCAAUAAUAUUUCCAAAUAUCCACAUAUCAUCACUAUAUAUAAUAACUUUAAAUAUGCAUGUCACCAAAUCCAACUUGCUUGACUUGAAAUAGAGAGAUAUUUGUAAAUAGAGUAAAAUCACAUGAUAACUCAUGGUUUUUAGUUAUUAAAAAAUAAGAGUAGUUUGAACACCACACCUUACAUAAACCACUCAC